UAUAUUCAUGCAAACACCAAACCUGUAGGAGCGCAUUUAGAUCGACUUAGUUGUUGCAUGGUAAAUUUCUCAGGUGGUGGGUUGAACUUGGCGCGAACAAGAUGACCUUCUUCAGAGACAGAUUGGUGGAACACUAUUUUUGGUGCUGCGCCAUGGUUUUUGAACCUCAAUAUACAGCUUACAGGGAAAUGACGACGAAGCUCACUUGUAUGGUGACACUUAUCGAUGACGUUUAUGAUGUAUAUGGGACACAGGAAGAACUUGAGCUCUUAACAGAUUUUCUUGUGAGGUUAGUGUAAUAUGAUUACUAUCAUCAUUUUCCCUUGUAACUAUUGUUGCCCAGAGAAACGAUAAGCAAUUAAAUAGUCCCUGAAUGACACAAGGGAUACAACAAAUUUUGAUAGUUCUAUGAUAUAAAUUCUCUGAUGUAUUUUGAACAUAUCACUUUUUAAGCUAGAUUGUUUUUUUCCUCUAUAUAAUUGAUUGGUCUGGGCAAUUAAAGUAGUAGUAAGUACUAACCUUCAUUGUUAUUACUAAAAGUGUAUCCGGUGCUGGUAAAAUUUACAAAAUGUUGAAAUGUCGAUAUCUUAUCCAGGUGGGACAUCACAGAAAUCGACAAGCUUCCUCCAAUAAUAAGGGAUAGUUACAUGGCCUUGUACAACACGACCAACGAAAUUGGGUAUUGGACGAUGAGAGAGCUAGGAAUCAACACCAUUCCUUACAUGCAAAAAGUGGUAAUCUCGCUGAAUCUUUCACCUGAUAAUUUCUAGCCCGUGCAAGGCAACUCACUUUUCUACUUCUGACUUUCGUAAUGAAACUUCUAUUUAAACAUCUGAGAAUUCGAAAAAUGUACGAGAGAAGAAUGUCCCUCGGCUUUGUCAUUGACACACUUUUUUCGAAUUUCAAUCCUCUAGUGGGCGGAUGAAUGCAAGGCGUACAUAAAGGAGGUCCAUUGGUACAACAAGGGCAUCAAACCGACACUGAAGGAGUACAUGGACAAUGCGGUGGAUUCAAUCGGAGGGCUGAUUAUGCUGUUGGGCAGCUACUUCCUAACCACGGACAAAUUGACAGAAGAGGGGCUUGAUUACGUGUCGAAAAUUCCGAGUGUCAUGCAUUGCUCUGCCAAGAUCCUUCGACUCAACAAUGAUCUCAGUACCUCAUCGGUAAAUUACUUUGACGUUUACCUUUCUCCUUUUAUAUAAUCGCUUAUGAAGAGAAAGCACAUCAUUGAUGGAUUCAAAAAUACGUGCUAUUCUUUUUAAUAUAUUCGAUGAGAAUCCUGAGACUUAUGUUUGUGAAACAUCAAUCUCAUUCAUGGUCAGUAUGAAUUGGCACGAGGAGACAACUUCAAGGCUCUAGAAUGCUACAUGAAUGAAACCGGCGCCUCGGAACAGGCCACACGCGAGCAUGUCAAGCAAAUGGUGCACGAGACCUGGAAGAGGAUGAACAAAGACGUGUUUGAGGACUACCCAUAUUCUGGGUUCGGGCCUUUUCUCGGCGCUUGUCUGAACUUGGCACGAGCUUCUCAGUGCUUUUACCAGUACGGAGACGGACACGGCCUUCCCGACAACGAAACAAAGGACCACCUUGUGAGGGCACUAUUCGACCCUGUGCCCCUCGAUUAGGGAUGCAUAUUACCGACGGAGGUGUCGUUGUUGGAGAGAGCCUAUCGACUUACGUGUUAUUAUUAGCUUUUGGGGUGGGUGGCUCUGGAAGCCCUGAGACUUUGAAACUGUUGUAAUUGAAGCCUAUACGAUAGAUGGGCAUUGUACGAGCUCCAUAAAAUUUGCCGGGGAACCUCAUGCUAUUCGGGGGUUUGAGUUCUGGUUGAUAUACAUAAUUGAUAUUAAAAUUUGUGGUGACUGUUGAUGCUUAAUUUUUAGUUAACGCGUCAAAAAGGUAAAAAAAUCGAGAUUUAGAUUUCCGAUUACGAUGGAGCCCGUUUCUCACUAAAAAAAUAUCGUUUCUCAUUUCUUUAUUUUGUAUUGUUACUUUUAAGCAAUUUCCAAUUUAUUUUCGAGAAAAAAUCAAAAAGUCGAAUGGUUGACUUUCGAGUUGACUUUUAGAUCAAUUCUUUGAUCAAAAGUCAAUCCCGAGUUGAAAAUCGACUUUUCACCUAAAUUUCACUUUCAUCAAAUCAAUUUUUCAAAAAUUCAAAGAUUUGACCAAAAAAUCAACAUUUAAAAAAAACCAAUCAAGUAAAUGGUUGACUUUUGGUGAAAUCUUUGAUUAAAAAAUAAAAAAUCCAUUAAAGCACUUCUUUUAGCGUCAAUUUGAUUUGUAUGUCGAAAAUUUCACAAAAUUCAACUUGUUUUCCAAACUUUUCAAUUUUAGGUUCUAAAUUGUCCAAAAAUGAAAUUACUUUUAUUCUAGUCACGGUUAGGUGUAGUUCCUUUUAUGACAUGGACUAUUUUAAACCUAUUUGUUCACUUGAUUUUGCAAAUUACCACAUUGAAAGGCAAGUCGCCAUUUUAAGCCCUACUUAGAGAGCUAAAAUCUAUUCUUCAUGAUAUACGAACAGAUAAUCGAUUUUCACUCACUUUCUUAAGAUAGGUUCGAAUCCGAGACUAAUUUUGAGAAAUUCACAUUAGAACUCACCGAUUUGAGGAAUUUUACUCUCUUGAGUAUAAGAAAAUCAAGCAAUUGAGUUUCAAUUAGAGAAAUUCAAGUUGACCCAGUCAAGUCUAUGGUCCAAUUGUAUGGACCAAGGUCCAAUUUUAAUAUUGGAUCUAAGUUCAUUUUUGACAUGAGCUUAAACACUUCAAUUUAAAGCCAAUUUGAAUACAUUAGAUGAUUCUACACAUGGGUAAUUAGUCAAAUAGGUUUAUUGCAACGUUAAUUGAAACCAAUUUCAAAUAAUUUGCAAUUUUGACCAUUAAAUGGCAAAAUUGUUCAUUUUAGCCCUUAAGGCUCAAUCUAACGAACCCAUAGUCUUAGUUCAUUUUUUUUUUUUUUUACAAUAAUCGCUUAGUUAAGUCAAUAGAGGGUCCAUAGGUCAUAUUAAUAAAAUUUAAUUGACUUAUUGAAAUGAAAUUGGAAAAUUUCUCCUCAAAUCGUGCAAAUUUCCUCUCCAAUUUGGUCCUUGAGAGACCAAAUUCACAAAUUUUGAACCCAUAAGAGCCACUAAUGCAUGAACUAGCUAGAACCAGUUUGAACCGAUCAAGUACCGGUCAAACUAGCAUGACGGUUGCCAUACCGGACCCUCCAAUGUGUUUUUGCAUCUGCCAUUCCGGCAUUGCAACUAAGAAGCAGCAGAGAGGAGCAGUCUUUCGUUUCGUAACCUCUGAAGCCUUGAUAGUUGCUUAUAUGAUGUUCACUCAGCUAGAUGCUUAUUUCCAUCGUGACCCUUGCGCCAUCAGUUGGUUAGGGUCCUCUUCUUUUUUCUUCUUUUUUUUUUGGGGGGGGGGGGGCUUUCCCGGGAGUGUGCUAAGGGUAAAUAUAUAUCUCCUCGUAAAGAUUCCAAUGACAUCUUCCUCGUACCCGGUUCCAAAUUAUAUCGAGUCAAGGCAAUUACUUCUGUUUGAUCGACCUGUAAUCAGCAAUAUUGAAGAAAAAACCAAACAAAACAAAUGACAAAAAAACUGAGUUUUGGGACACAAACGGCUUAAUUCAUUUAAAAAAAAUCAAAUUUAGAACCCAAAACUUCUUUUUCUUAGAAAAAGGGGAAAACUGACACAUAUGACCUUAGUAUUUCAGCCUAUUAUGCAAUUAUUGUGCCUAAAGUUAAGAGACCAUUUGUAUAACUAUUCCCAUAAAAAAAAACACCAACUCUCUCAAUUGUAAACUUUUCAGCCAGUAUCCCAAUUGAUGGAUUUUUUCUUUAUUGAUGGGCCUGAGUUGGCCCGUCCGCCCAAGUUGGGCCCAAAAAGCCCGGCCCACGGGAAUAGGGCCCGUGGAUGGGGGAAGGUAUAAAAGGGAGGAGAGAGAGAGAGAAGACACCCUUUUGGCCAUUUUAACGUACGCUUCUCACUCUCUCUUUCCCUCCAAAUGCUUAAGGCACGUUGUUUCCCUUUUCAAGGCGAAUUGACAUCAUCGGAUCAGAAUUUCUUCCUCGAUCUUCAGCAUUGGUGUUUAAUCUGUGGCUAACAAGGUAUGCUCGAAUCCGUGGUGUGCUUUACGAUCGGUGAUACGUGUUAUUCCCGGGCUUCGUCUUCCGCAUUGAUUUAGGGGUUUGAUUUAGUGUCGAAUCCGUUUUUCGGGGAUCCGUUAUUCCCUACAUUGGUAUCAGAGCCCUAGUUCACGUUUUCCCGAUCAAUUUGAUGUUUUUUGAUUGAUUUUUCGCAAAAAAAAUUUCGGCCGUACGGAUCGGGGUGAGAAAUCCCGACACCCGAGCGUUGUUCGGCCAUUUUUCUGAGUUUUCGUAAGUCGAAAUCCUUUUCUGAAAACAUGGGGAGAAAGGCGACGUCGAGACGAGUCCGGCGACAUGUCGCACGCCGCCGGGAGAUGCCGCACGCGCGGCUAGAAGCCGCUGCACGUGGGCGCGACGCGCCCGAAGCGCUGGCAAUGGCCAGCGCGUGCGUCACACGCGUCGGUGACGAACCGGCACGUGCGCGCCGGCGACCGGCGAAACAGCACGCGCCGGUCAGUGAACCGACGCGUGCUGACGUCACUCGCUGACGUCGCCCAACAGUCGGUAACCGUCGGGAUGACGUCAUUGAUGACGUCAGCGCCGACAACGGUUGGCCGGCCGGUCACCAGCCGGCAACCCGACCCGACGGCGACCGACCCGACCCGAUCAGCCUGGCGCAUGCCGCGCACGUGUCGGCUGACGUCUGCGUGACGUCAGCCAGCGCACGCGCGCGACAUGUGCGGUCGGUUCGUCCGACCGGCCCGACCGGUCCACCGACCCGCGCGCCCUUUGACCGUUGACUUUGACCGUUGACCGUUGACCGUUGACCGUUAACCAAAAAAAAAAGGGAAUUUGUUUCUUUUUCAUGUAUGCCUAUGUGGUUUAUAUGUAAUCAAUUAUUUAUUCUGCAUUUGUUGCAUGAAUCAUAGAAAAUUAUGUAUUUUCCAUUUUGUUAAUUGUGGAUUAUAAGUGAUCAAUUUAAGUUCUGCAUUCGUUGCAGGAGCUAUGAUGCGUUAUGCACGGAUGCCUGCAAUCCCGAGAAUGAACGAGGGAAAUGCAAGACUUAAAAGGCUGAUGUUAGAUUUAGCUAAAUAUCGGUGGCAUAACGGUGAUUUAGUAUCACAUGUGGUCAAGGUCAAUCAGAUGAUACAGGAAAUCAUCUGGAAUGGUUAUCUUAUGCCGGAUUUUGAGAAGGUGCCGGCUUUGAUGAACACUUUUCCACCUGAAUGGCAAGCGGUGUUGGAUCGGCUAUGGGAGGUCAACGUGGUCCCGGGUUAUAGGAGGCUGGUGGAAGCUUUUGUAAGAGAGCACUAUAGGAUUGAGUUGGCCAAAACUUCAACCCUUAGAUUGAGCGCCACAUGGCGUAGAGUAAAUGCGCCUUGGUGGCGACAUGAAUGCUCUCCAAAAGUUUUUCCAUGGUUGACAAAUGUAAUUUCAGUUUUCUCAGAUGUUUUGACUGAUAGAUUAGAAGGGACAUUCCCUAUUUAUUUCUUUGAUUAAUUAUGUAAUGUUUACUACCUGAUUGUUGUUGAUGUAGCAACCGAUAUGUUAGUUGUAUCAUGUGAAAGCAUUGUUAUUUUAUUCGAUGUUAAGAUUUUAUUUGCUUUCUGCUAUUGCUGGUUGCUGUGGGUAAUUAGCUGUGGGUAGUUUAGAAGUUUUUGUAGCUUCAUAGAAUUGAUUUUGCAUAUGACAAUCAUAUUAAUGAUAGUUUUAAGUUAGGAUUUUUGGAGGAUGAUUGGAAACGUAGUGACCUUUUGAUUCUAAAACCUUACUUGAAAUUGUUCAUUAAUAUGAUGGGUCUGUGCAAAAGGGAUGCAUAAAUGAUAGGCAUUAAUUAUUCGUGCAUGUAUGUCUGAUGUAUUCAGAUCGAUGUUUUCAGCAACUAAGAACGUAAUUGCUGAUAUGAACGGCAACAAUUGUGAAAUAUUGAAUAUGAAGAUUCAAUAUGUGCUGGAAAAGCAAGAAGCACUAGAAGCUCUUGACCAUGUUAUGGAAGAUCUUGAGGAUGCUGUGCGCCACCUUGAGCUGGUAGAGGACCACUUAACGGCAUGUGAGCUGAAAAUAAAUAUUUGCAAUGCUGGUUUUAGCUCAGAAAGGGCUUUGAGCUCUAAGCGCAAGCGUAUUGAUUCGUUCAAUAUGUGGGAAUGCAAAGGAUCAAGUCCUUAUUGCAAGAGAUCAAGAGUUAACCAACACAAGAGAGGAAAACGUCAUCAAGUGAAGAAAAUGUCAAGGGUGAGGUGUUACAAUUGUGACAAGAAGGGUCACUAUGCUCGCGAUUGUUGUGAGCCGAAAAAGGUAAACACCUCUUGUACAUUUGAGAACUUUGAUUAUGUGUCAAGUUCUGAAUUAUUAGCUGAAUCCAAUUCUUUGUGGACUGUAGAUUCAGGAAAGACAGACCAUGUAGCGAAGGAUAGAGAAUCCUUCGUGGAAUUCCGACGAAUACCAACUGGAACUAAGUGGAUCUAUGUGGGAAACAACUCCAGAGCUGAAGUUAAAGGGAUUGGCACCUGCCAACUGAACAUGUGUGGUGGAUGCACCUUGUUCCUACAUGAUGUUCUAAAUGCUCUGGAGAUUCGUCAAAAUUUAAGUGUUUGUUUUGAUGUUGGUUAAACUUGGUUUUAGUAUGAACUUCCGUAAUAACAGUGUAGAUUUGUAUUUGGAUACAAACUACUAUGAUUGUGGUCACCUUCUAGAUGGUUUUAUUGUACUAAAUGUUGAUUGUGGUGAUGUCAAUAUAUGUUAUUCCCUUGUUUCACGUCUCCUACUUCAUAUGAUAAUGAUGUGAAUGUGUGGCAUGCUAGACUUGGUCAUAUUGGCCAACAACAUAUGAAUAGACUAGCCAAAGAGGGCUUGUUGGGCAAUAUUGAAUAAGUCGAUUUGUCCAUAUGUAAGCAUUGCCUAGAAGGGAAAACGACAAGGAAACCAUUUGGAAAAGGAAAAAGAGCUGACGUUCCUCUGCAUUUAAUCCAUUCUGACGUUGGUGGUUCAAUGAAUGUGAGAGGAAGGCAUGGGACUGUUUACUUCAUCACUUUUAAUAGAUGAUUAUACUCGAUUCGGAUGUGUCUACUUGAUUUCUCAUAAAUCUGAAGCAUAAGUUGUUUCAAAAGGUUUAUGAACUUGGUUGAAAAUCAAUUAGACAAGAAAAUAAAAGUAUUUAGAUCCGAUCGAGGUCGAGAAUAUUUAUCUGAUAAGUUCAGAAAAUUAUGUGAUGAAAAAGGAAUAGAAAGACAGUUGUCUAUUCCAUAUACUCCUCAACAAAAUGGUGUUGCAGAGAGAAGAAACAGAACCCUACUGGAAAUGGUUAGGUCCAUGAUGGCGCAUGCUAACUUACCUAUCACCUUUUGGAGUGAUGCGUUGUUAACUGCUGCUUAUAUACUUAACCGGGUGCCUUCCAAAUCAGUUAGUUCCACUCCAUAUGAGUUAUGGACAGGUAGAAAACCGGACUUAAGUUUACUUAAGCCAUGAGGUUAUGCUGCCUAUACUCAUAUGUCCUCUCACAAGUUUGGAAAAUUGAGUCCCAGAUAAAAGUAGAGUAUUUUAAUGAGAUACUCCGAACACUCGAAAGGGUAUGUGUUCAUAGGUGAGUAGGAAAGUGGGAGAAUAACUGAAUUUUGAAUCACGGGAUGUCACAUUCUUAGUGGAUGAAUUUCUUAAGAAGGGCGAAAUAGGGGAAGAUUACUUCCUAUUUGAAACCUUGGAUCAAGAUAAUGAUAUUAAUGGAGUUCAUCCAAGUGGGAGUAAUAUGAGAAGUGAUGAAUUGAAUUCAACUCAUUCUCAAUUACAACCAUAUGAUGAGAUGAUAUCGUCAUUAUCUAAUCCGAGUGGGAGCAUGAUGGGGAAUGAUGUGCUAAGUGUACAAUCUCCCAUACGGUGAACAAGUCGCCAAAGUAUUCCCCGUCAAUGUUUUGACAUUGAAAGGGAAACUUUAAUGGUUGCUCCACAAAAUGAGGAUGAGCCAAGAAAUAUUAAUGAGGCUCUGAAUUGCCCUAAUAAGAAAAAAUGGAUUCAUGCAAUGAAAGAGGAAAUGGAGUCAAUGAAAUCAAACCAAGUCUAGGAACUGGUUGAUCUUCCAAAAGGACGCAAAGCUAUUUGGAACAAGUGGGUUCUCAAAAUAAAGCAAAAGGCUGAUGGCUCGAUAGAAAGGCAUAAGGCUCGCCUCGUGGCGAAGGGGUAUAAUCAACAGGAAGAAAUUGAUUAUAAAGAUACAUUUUCUCUUGUAGUGAAAUUUACCUUGAUUCGCAUUAUUCUGGCAAUAGUAACUAGUAUGGAUCUUGAGUUACAUCAAAUUGAUGUAAAGACUGCUUUCCUCAAUGAAGAAUUAGAGGAAGGAACAUAUAUGGAACAACCUGAUGGUUUCAUAGUAAAAGACCAAGAAGAAAAAGUAAGUCGACUUUUGAGGUCGAUAUAUGGUCUUAAGCAGUCAUCAAGACAAUGGUAUAUACGUUUUCAUAAUGCCAUAAUGGCAUAUGAUUUUAAAAUGAUUGAUGAGGAUCAUUGUGUAUAUAUCAAAAGAUCCAAUAAUCAAUUUGUGAUCAUAUCAUUAUAUGUUGAUGAUAUCCUGAUUGCCGGAAGCAAUAUGGAGUUGGUUAAUACUGUCAAGAGAUGGUUGUCUUCCAACUUUGAGAUGAAGGAUAUGGGUAAAGCUGCAUACAUUCUUGGAGUUAAGAUUUUGAGAGAUCAUUCGAAGAGAUCGUUGUCUCUUUCGCAAGAAAUCUAUAUAAAUAAGGUUCUUGAACGAUUUCGUAUGCAAGACUGUAAACCCAUAGACACUCCUAUUGCAAAAGGUGAAGGAUUGAGCCAUAGACUGUGUCCAGGGACUCCACAAGAGAAGGAACAAAUGAAACAUGUUCCUUAUGCUAGUGCUGUUGGAAGCUUGAUGUACGUUAUGAAGUGUACAAGACUUGGCGUAUGUUUUAUAGUUGGAAUGGUGAGCAGAUACCAAUCCAAUCCAGGUCAAGCACAAUGGAAAGCCGUUAAAAGAAUACUAAGGUAUCUAAAGAUGACUGCUGAUUAUACGUUGAGUUAUUAAGGAAAUGAUCUGCAACUCAAAGGCUAUUCUGAUACUGAUUGGAGAGGAGAUUUAGAUGAAAGAAAAUCUAUCUCUGGAUUUGUUUUCUUACCGAAUAAUGGCACCAUAUGUUGGAGCAGUAAGAAACAAAAGAGUAUAGCCUUGUCCACGAUGUAAGUUGAGUUCGUGGCAUUAUCAGCAGCAGUGUAAAAAGGUAUUUGGCUUAAGAGAUUUUUGGAUCAUUUAGGUGUUAUUGGAAGUGCUGCAGAUUCAUUGUUGGUUAACUGUGAUAGCCAAGCAGCAAAAGUGUACACCAAAUAUCAAAAAUAUCAUGGCAAGACCGAACGCAUAGAUACCAAGUAUAAUUUUGUAAAGGAUAUGGUUGCACGAAAAGACGUGAACUUAGAGUACAUACUACGCAUAGAAUGGUAGCAGAUCCUAUGACAAAGCCAAUACCUAGAGAUGUGUUUUGUGGCCAUAUGAAAUUUCUAGGAUUGCGUAGAGGCUAAUGUACUUAAUGUUGUAAUUUCCCUAAGUAUUCACAUUUGAUGAAUUUAUGUUUUCAUCAUUAAUGCCUAUGAAUCUUUGUUUGAUCUUUAUGCAUCUUAAUGCUUAGUGCAUUAUUUUAAGUUGAAAAAGUAUGUCGAACAGAUAUGAGAUUAGCCCACUCACACGGCUAAUCGCCUCUAUUUACUGUGCGAUAAAUAGAGAUGAGACUGUUUUUAAGCUUAUUAUCUAGGUGAUAAUCGAGAGCUCAAGCUUAAAACACGUAUGUCGCCUUAACUAGGUGUUAAGAUGAGGAUAUAAUGCUUACUAUGUCCGAAAGUAAAAUACCCCACAUAUUUUACUUUAUCUGUCUACGAUGCCAGAUGUGAGUUUUGAUAAAUUUUGUGAAUGAGUAGAUACGUGAACUCAAGUUAGACAUUGGGUAUGUCUGAACUAUCAUAUGUACGGUAUUGAAAGGUGUAGACAUACGCUCCAUGGGAAAGGAGUUAAUACCGUAAUACGUAUUUCAUACUACGUAUGCAUGAGACGACCAAUAAGAGUGGCAAAAAGUUUGAUCUCAACUUUUAUGCCGUGUGAGACUCUUGAGGAAUAGAGUUUAUCAGUUUUAGUCCCCUCAUGACUCUUACUUAUUCUCAAAAUUUCUAUUUAGUGUUUGCUAUCUUAGGAUGUUGCCAAUGGUCAUAAGUGAUUCGAUCUAAUGGGACAUUUCUAGAAAAGCAAGCUGAACUGAAAUUGAGAGUUUGAAGGAAGGAGGAAGAUCGAAUUUGGAGAAUCACAUUGUAGUUUUGUAUUCACCGGUUAACCAAUUAUAACUGUCUUUGGGAUAAUCAUAAUUGUGAAUACAAUAUAUAUAUAUAUAUAUAUAUAUAUAUAUAUAUAUAUAUAUAUAUAUAUAUCAUUGUUUAAAAGAGAUCAAGAGAGAUAUAAAUGUGAUCGAUUGAUCUAGGGUACUGCAUACUAAAUCUACUCAGGAUGUGAUGCCCAUUAUGAGCUGCUAUAUAUUCCUAACAGAUGUAUGGCAACAAGCUCUCAAAGUAUGCUGGUCGCACGGAUUAUUCACCGGUAUGAAUGUUGAAGAGAGGAAAAGAGGAUUCUGUUUGGCCCACCAUGUUAAGUGAGAGUCUAUGAUGGAUUUUUCUCUGAUGGGGUUGAGUAGGGCCUGUCCGCCCAUGUUGGUUUUGGACCACCAUGUGCGAGUGGGAGAUGAUGGAUUUUUUCUUUAUUGAUGGGCCUAAGUUGGCCCGUCCGCCCAAGUUGGGCCCAAAAAGCCCGGCCCAUGGGAAUAGGGCCCGUGGAUGGGGGAAGGUAUAAAAGGGAGGAGAGAGAGAGAGAGAAGACAUCCUUUUGGCCAUUCUAACGUGCGCUUCUCACUCUCUCUUUCCCUCUAAACGCUUAAGGCACGUUGUUUCCCUUUUCAAGGCGAAUUGACAUCAUCGGAUCAGAAUUUCUUCCUCGUUCUUCAGCAUUGGUGUUUAAUCUGUGGCUAACAAGGUACGCUCCAAUCCGUGGUGUGCUUUACGAUCGGUGAUACAUGUUAUUCCCGGACUUCGUCUUCCGCAUUGAUUUGGGGGUUCGAUUUAGUGUCGAAUCCGUUUUUCGGGAAUCCGUUAUUCCCUACACCAAUAUUAAUUGAAAAGUACACAUGGAAUGGAAUGUCGCAUCUUUAACGGCAUUAUCGGAUGGAAUCAUGAGUGGGGCCAGAUUUGAGUACCUACUGAAAAUUUAUGUUUCUUUUUAGACAAAAACAAUUAGAGCCAAAAUUAGAACCUGAGCUAAAGUUGGUAUUUUUUUUUUUAUAAGAAAAAUUAUUUAGGACAGAAUUAGGACUUAAGAUAAAGGUGAUUUUCUUUUUUGGACCAUAAGUAAAACCUGAACUAAAGUUGGUGCCUUUUAAGAUAAUUGGAUCGACACAACGAGAUACAAGUCCUCGGAAUAAAUUAAUUCAACAAAACCGGCAGUGAUCGCAGGGAUUACAAAUUCAUUUUGAGGGGAGUAGGUCUUAUGUUGAUUUGGCAUCUCUCUUUGUUGCCGUAAUUCAUCUUCGUACCAUCGCACAUCAAUCCUCUCGAACCAGUUCCCUCUUUUUAAUCCCAUAAGGGCUUUCACACAAAACUUCUGCUUCUCCACCUUGGCAUGUCGUUGGCCCCCACCAGACAAUUCUACCGUGCUCUUCUCAAGAAGCGAGGAUCUGCAACAACCCAAACGGAGGAAACUGAGUUUCCCUCUAGAAACUGUCGAUUGUGUGGAAAAGAAUACAGAGGCGAGUGCGACAAUUUAGAGCAUCAGAAAUUACCAGUUCGACGUUGUAAUCGCUAAAGGGACAACAAUUGAGACUUCUGGUCAAUGCCGUUGAAGAUGAACGUCCCGGACAUGGGAACAAAUUGUUUCGUUAUGAGCUACAACAAACAGAGAACGUGGCUUUAAAGCAAAAUAUAGCAUCUCGGUUCCGAUAUAUAACCAAAAGAAGAGCUGAGUAAUAGCCCGAGCUAUUUGGAGCACUCGACAUCAACGAAUUAACUAACGAAGCUAUGGUGAACAGAGAUGAUGAUGCAACCUUGAUCACUUCCUGAGACGCAACUCCUCCAAUGAAAGCAGCAACAGCGUGAAGCUCUGCAGCACCAAACCGGCACAUUUCACUAAUAAGAUCCUCAGUCAAGGUUUGGCCAUUGCAGCCCAAGUCGCUGAGAAGACUGACUGCUGCUGUCUUCAACCGAGAUAUAUCCUCGUCCAUCUCACUGCAGUGCAUUCACCAUGCAGAGAAAUGCAGUGAUCAGGUAAUGACUUUUAAAAAGCUUGCUGGAGGAAAAAUGGUAGAUUCAAUAUCGGCAAUACUUACCCAUCAAACUCUCCAGGAAAGCUGUUAUAAUUAGCAGCAAACCGGUCAACAGCUCGAAGCAGUAUAUAGAACCCCACAGCAACACUGAUUGACAAGAACCACAGAUUUUCAGAUGACAGGCAAAAAUGAUAGUCUUUUCCAGCAAUAAAAUUUAUUUGCUAGUCAACUUGAAAAAAUUAGUGGAAGAUUGAAACAAGCCAUGUGGUUGAGCCAAGAUUAACAUGGAUCAAACCUGCACUAGCCAAGUCCAAUUUGAUCCAGAAGAUACAUGAACUUUGACUCAAGCAAGUGUCAGCAGAAAAAGAAAAAAAAUUAAAGCCUAAUAAUGGGAAAUAAAAUGAAUCGUCCGGGGUUAAGAACAGCCCAUGCUGUCAAGGAUUAAUUCCAAAAGAAUAAAUGCCAUUCCAUGUGACUGGUACCAGCUUUACCAAUGUACUUUUCUAAGCACACUGACCAUUCCAUGUCAUAACGAAGCAUUCACCACAUCCCAACAAAGUAACAAUAAAAAUGUAUUUAAGGGAAAAGCUGUUAUCAUGGAAAAAGAUAAGUUAGUGAGGAUAAUUUUAUGAUGAGUAUCUUCAGAAUUUCUGGUAGAACAGAUGGACUCUUGAAUUUAUCUUUCAAGGAUGAGGUCCAUGACUGAUUGAUGAGCACCCCAAAAGAGUGCUUAGAAGACCUUGAAUAAAUUGUGAACUUCUAAUUCUUUGUUGGAGAGAGGGGCUCUAGGUCUCACGAUCUAAGCAUGCAUAUGAAGCAUUUGCAACUGCAUAUUUCAGCAGGAAAAUAAUUUAAGGGAUAUAAGCUAAAACCUAUCUUACAUGUAUUCUUCAUCUGCUAAAUACUUCUGAAGUUCUGAUAGGACUGGAGAAUUAAACUCGUCCUCGACUAGGCGAUACCUGCAUACCUACAGCUGAAAAAUGUUAUCUCUUCAUUUUCGGGAAAGGAAAAGAAGAGACUUAAGAGAAGUGAUAAACAAAAACGAAAAAAAUGGAUUCUAAUAAUGCUACAUAAUUGAAUCCAGGAGGGAAAAAAUCUGAACUAGGCAGCAAUUUUAGCUUAUAUGUAGAAACUUACAACAGGAGUCAACAGCAAAACAGUUAAGGAGCACACAAGCAAACUCAGCAGCAUCACUAAUCUCAAUGGACUCCAAAGCGGCUUUGAUAAGCUUACCUUACACCAUUCUACUCUGAAUUUACUAUUUAAUGCAGUACACCAAUUUUAAGCAUGAACUAAAUCAUGUAAAAAAUAACUCACUUUGAGUUUUCGUGCAUUUCUGCAGAAGCUUCGAAUAGUUUGUUUUGAAAUCAUCUUUGUCUCUCUACCAAUUUUCUUCAAAUGAUUCCUCACUCGUUGCUCCAUAACAAGAAAGUCAGCCUCUGCCUUAGCUUGGUAGAUCUUCUGCAGGUUUACAUAAUGUCUGCAAAAUAGAAAUGAUACAGAAGACAUGUCACCAAAUUCUUCUCACACAAUGGAGAACAAAAACAGCAUCAUUCAUUCCUAAGCCACUAACUCUGUUGAAGAUGUCAUAUCUGGUAUUGAACCCUCAAGGGGUGCCUCUCCAGCACCUUCAUUUGCAAUAAAUUCCUGCAAAGAUAAAGCAACAUGAUGCAUGAAAUUCCAUCUUAGGAACAAAAUAUAUCUUGCUGGAAAGUCAUAAGUCAGCCAGAAGUUCUACAGGCAGAUCAGCACAAAUAGCAAUUGAAAUUUUCCACAAACAAGGGUAGUAGGAAAUGGAACCUAAUUAUAAAUCUAAAACUCCAUUGUAUUGUAAACAUUGUGCUUCUAAUUGAUGAGGUUCUAUUGAACUUCUACUCGUAGAUCUCAAAUCACAGCAACUCAAAGAGACCUGGAAAAGGAAGAUCUCUUUUCAGUGUCUACCCACUGAGAGAUGAUGCAAGCAUUCUCCUAAGAAAUAAAUAACAAGAACAUGUCCUCUGAAAUGGAAGAAAGACAUGCACGGGUUUAAAUGAACAAGUUCCGGGGUUCAGUUCAAACCCUUAUCGCAUCCUGUUAAAUGUAUUUGCACUAUACUUGUCAUUUAAACCAUUCAAAGACAUGUCAAGUACGAUACAACAAGAAAUCCAUGCGAAUUACCAGUUCAGUAAAGAUAACUUCCCCCCUCCCCAACCCAAAAGCAGGAUCAAUGGAAAAACAAAGCAGAGAUCAAGGGAGUGAUCAUGUUCAUUUCAUAAGGGGGCAAACAUAAGGAACUGGGACAAUUUGUCAUUUACCAAAUUUCCAGUAGAGUGAUCCUGUAACGAGUCAUAUUGAAAGGGAAAAUUACUCAAUCAAUCCUAAACCCUUUGUGUAGACGCUAUUUCAGUCCCAACUUUCCAAUUAUGUCAAUGUAGUCCUAAACUAAUUUAGAAAAUUCCAAUGUAAUCAUUCCAGUCAAUUUUGUUCUAAUAUUGCUAAUUUGGUAUUUGGUCAUCGCUAGAAGUCCUUAAUGGCAUGGCUGGUGAUUUGACAUGGACAAGCAUAGACAAACUAUGCCAUUUUGCUUAAUCUUUUGAAUUUUCUUUCUUCUUUGUUUUUAAUUUCUCCUUUCCCUUCUACAAUUCUUUUGUGGCACUGUUCAUCUUCACCUUCUUCGUAUUAACAAUACCACCAUCUUCAUCUUCCCAUUACUAUUCAUCUUCAAAACAAGCCACUAACCCAUUUGGACCUAGGAUAGACCUAGAGCCAAGGCCGACUAGCCCCCUGAGCUAAGCCUUAGACCUUGACUGUCCCCAAUGCCACGUGUCCUCAUCCUCACCUGUCCCGUUGCCGCUUAAAGGCCAUUGAUCUCACUUGUCCCUCGAGCCAAGCCUUGGUAGCUGUUAUUUGAAGAUCUCUUGUCAACAAUCAUCUGGAAUCCGAUUCUUAAUAACUUUGACUAUUACUGCUUUUCCGAUUCUGGGUGCAAUAUGAGAUGGUGUAUCUCCAUAGCUCAACCAUUCAUCAUCUUCAACCCAAGAUUCAUUGUCUUCAACCCAUGAUUCAUCCUCUUCGAGAUUGCUUCAAGCUAUGGAACGAAAAUUGAAAGUAAAUGGAACUUCUCGCACAUUGUCUUCAACCUAAGAUUCCUCAUUUUUUGUCCUUUUUCCUUUGGGAAAAUGUUACAAAUGGUCCCUGAGCUUUCAUCUAAUGUUUAAUUUCAUUUAUGAGCUUUCGAUUUGAUCAAUUUAGUCCCUCAACUAUUAACAAAUGUUCCAUCUAGUCCUUUCGUGUAUUCAAAUUGUUAAGUGAUAACGUGGAGCAUUAAUUGAUGAUGUGGAACUAAGUUGAAUUACUAGAAUUAGGAGUCAAUAUAUAUCUUAAAAAAGGAAAACAAAUUAAGGGUCAACUAGAAAUGAGAGCACUAAUCACAAAAGCAGAGAGAAAAAGUGGUAUGUAUCUCUUUGUUGGAUGGUGGCCACAAUUUGACCUGUUUUAAAGGUAAUUUCCACGUGGAUAUUCCACAUGUCAUUUUUUAUUUUAUAUUUAAGAGACUAAAAGCCAUGUAAGCCAAUUCCGUUAACUUUAACUAAUGGAGGGACGAAAUUGGUCAAUUUUCAAAUAGUCAGGGACUAGAUCGGACAUUUAUCCAUAAUUCAAUGACCAAAUUGAACAAAUUAAAAGUCUAGGGACAAGAUUGCACAUUAAGUAGAAGUUUAGAGACUGUUUGAGACAUUUUCCCUUUUUCUUUUAAGGCAUUUCAGGGGUUUCUUGUAAUCUUGAGGAGCUGAUUCAGGAGAUAUCCUUGACCAAGAAAAGCAUACUAAUUCCAUUUUGUGCCAAAUUUUUCCCCUCUAAUUCUAUGUAAAUGCUUCGCUUCAUGAUUUUUUUUCUCACCCCCAUAGGAUUCAAGGUCACUGAGCCCCCACGACCUCAAUUCGAGGUCGUCGUCCAUGGUGGCUCAACCUUAGAUUCAAGUUCGCUGAACCCCCACAACCUCAAAAGCCAUGGACAACCUUGACCAAGGUUGUCAUCCAUGGUGUCUUGACCUUAGAUUCGAGGUCGUCUAACCCUCACAACCUCAAUCCAAGAUCAAAGAAGCCAUGAACUACCUCGACCAAGGUUGUUGAGUCGUCUCAAUGGUGGCUCAACCUUCUCUUGUGAAGCUCAUAGGCUGCAAGUCUCGUUUGUGAAGAUUUCCCUUGUCCUCACCCUUUUAGCUUCACUCGUGAAGAUUUCCCUCCAUCUUCAGAAAAGCAACAUAGAAAAGAAGAAGAUGAACAGUAGUGCGGAAAAGGGGAAAAAAUCAGAAAAAUAAAGAAAACAACAUAGUUUUGAUUGAGUUGCACAUGCCAGAUCACUCGCUAUGCUACGUAGGACAGCUGACAAAGACUAUACCACCUCGUCCGCAAUUUCCAACGGCAAUUAACCACAAGGGCAACAUUGGAAUUUAACAUAAAGGUUUAAGACUACAUUGGAAAAUUUAAGACUGGAUUGACAUCAGUACAAUAGGCUUAGGACUAAUUAGGUAAUUUUUCCAAUUGAAAAGCAUCACUCCAAAAGACUCCACAACCCAUCCACCAGGACCUCCAAUCCAAAUUGAUUGGUAUAAAGUACCAGCUAAACCAUGUCAAAAUUGAACGAAUAGCUAUAAAUGUUACAGACAAGACUUGGGAUAACUACCUUCAAAGCUGCCACCAUCACCCAAAAAUCUGAUGAAUUAUGAUGAAGUUCUGCAGCACUAUCGUCUAUUAUCUGCUUCAAUUCUUGACCUGGUAAAGAAACAAGAUUGACUAAGUCACUGUUCACAUGCAGCAGCAACAGCUCGAUUUUAUUACAAGAAAACUGCUUAUAAAUAAUACAUGGAGCAAGCAUUACUUUUCCACUCACAAAGAUCCAUCCAUAUUGAAGAUGCCAUGGGAAGGCACUUGAAAAUGGGAACAAGAAAGUCAGGCAUCGAACAAUUAAUAUAUAUGAGGGGCCUAUAGGCAAAUGCUAUAUCCAUACGUGGAACAGUGAGCUUUAGGAUUUAGAUGGCAAUUGAAACAUAUAAAAGUUCAUCACGAAAUAAUAGCUAGGGGAAUAGAGCAAAGAAAUAAAAUCAUAUAUGCGCUUUUUGGGGGGAAAAAAAGAAUUUAAAUGGGAAAAAUAAUGUAUGGAAGGUAUCUAUGCCAACGGAACAAGAAAGGACCCUUACUAACAAAAGAGGAUGGAUGGGCAGCAAGAACCUUUUAAUGAGAAAUGUAGGGCAUAUUAAGACCGAUCCACAAAAUUUGUUUACCACAUACUACAAUAAAGUGUAAGUAGAUAUAUCUGAAUAAGUGAACCAUAUUGAAGCAUGGACAAUGCCACUUGUAAAUUAAUUAUGUAAAUCAAUCUUUGUAUCUCUAAUAUUAUUUUUAAGAAGUAUAGAGGUGACAUAUCAUCUCAGACAAAGUGCACGUCUAACCUUGUGUGUAAGGUUUAAGAUGGCAUAAUCAACCAUAUGAGCAAUUUAACAAAAUUUGCCACCAAAAAAAUAGUCAAAGCAAUUGGAUCCAUUAAGACCAAUAUAAUUAGAAAAACUCUGUUCUUGCUUGGAUAGAAAUAGAACAAAGAACUUCUACCCAGCUCCCCACAGUAACUGCAAGCAAGCCCUAUUAAGAAAUAUUGCUUAUCAGGAAUAUAGCUAUGCAUGAGGUUGUUUAACCCGUCACCGAAAGAGGUCUCGAUGAAUGUCGCUUCUAUCCUCAUAAUAACAAUAUGCUUACUUCUACAACUUACUAAUUCCUUGAGGAGCAAAGACCUUAAAGGAUGCCUCGACAGCUUCCCUGUAGUUGUCUUCGUCCAAUGCAAUCAUCCUGGAUUUCAGAAGCUCCUGAAAUGUUCAAUAUCAUUAAUAUCUUCUGUUACAGCCUAUCAUGAGCAAAGUGAUUCAGUAUAAAACAUCAAAACUGAAUACAAACCUUAAAUUCUUUCUUCUCUUCUCUAGUUGAUGGAAGCCUGCCGUUGUGAGAGUCUGCCCAUUCAUUUGCCAUCUUAACAAGAAUGACAACAUAAGGUAUGUGCUUGUGAGCAACUGGAUCUGCAGUGGUCAGAUCAAUGCCUUCUGCAAACCUGACAUGGUAUAUUUUAGUCAUAAAUGAUGACCUUAUCUACAUGCACUGCUUGUAUGAUGUAUGGAAGAACAGAAUGGACUAUGUUUAUGACAUAGCAUGAAGCAGAAGAAGUUUUCUAGUUAGUUGAAGCAUUUUGACAUUUAUGAAACCAAAGAGUCAUGUGUCUUCAGUAAUAAAAUGCAAACCUCUUCAAUUCGGGCCAUGGAUUAUUUAAACGAAGGUCAUCCAGAAAAUGAUCUGGCUUUGACUCAAUUAUCAUAUGCUCCUGCUACAAAAAGGGAUGUUAGAUAUAGCGCAUAUUUGUAACAGUAUAUGCACAGAUUUCUGUCUGACUCAAUACACGUUUCUCAGUUCAACAUUAUAAAGAAAUCUGCAAUUCUAAUUCGAGCAAAUCACAUCACUUGAUAACAAACCAGUGUUAUUUUAGAAGUCAAAAGUUGGGAUUACAAGAACAUUACUUUUACACUGAUCCGCACAAGUCCCGUAAGUCCAUAGGAACGAGCAAAUAUCAACUUCACAUUUGCCUCUCUACAAAUUCUAUCGAGCUUGAUCAUAGAGUCUUCUACCAGCUGAAAGAGCAAUUACGAGGAUUCAAUUGUGCACUCAGAAGAAUAAAAAACAAGUAUCUACUGCAAGAAUAGUACAGUUCUUAAUGCUACAAUCAAGCAAAAUGGAUUUUGAAAAUUUACAUGGAACAACUAAAGAGAGCAUACAACAGUAGCUUACAACUUCAUACCUGAGUAGCCACCACCAAAGUAAACUGAGAGAAGAAUGAAGAGUUUGUCUCAAUUAGAGCCUGAGGAUACUCCUCAAUAAACUUUGCUUUAACUGCAUCAUUCAACUCUUGAAGGAAAGAGCACACACACUUUGCCUUGGAUUCCCCAACGCUCGAUUCAUCCACUAAAGUUUGCAGAGCCAUUGAGAAUGUAGGAAAAAAAAAUCCCAAAAGAAACUGGAAGGAUAGCACAGUUAAGGCACAAACCCAUGAAGUUAUUCCCAAGGUCCCCGACUUCAACUUUCGAUCCAUCAACCACAGUGAUGCUCCCGACCCCUCCAAGAACAAGAUUUUUUAACGUCUCAGAGCCAGUAGGACCACAAUUAAGCAAACAUAUACUGGCUUUCUCGAGAGCAGCCUGACCUUGCUCACCCCAGAUCCUGAGGUAUCAAUAUAUUCACAUAAAAACAUGUGGAAACACGACAGAGUACUUUACAGUGACCAAAGGAUCUACAUGCAAGUUAAAGACCAUCGACAUUUAACAAAGAAAUGGCAAAGGUUUCUCUAUCAAGUUGACCUCCACCUCUUUAAGCGAACCAUGUUGCAUUAAGUCGAUCAAUACCGAAAAAACUAAACUCCUCUUUCAAUGAACACUUCAGCACUCUCAGGCAAACUGUAAUGCAAUUCCAACAAAAUGAAGUAAUCGAUAAAAUGUGAAUUUCUCCGUAUCUAAGGCCCUAGGUGCAAUCGAAUGGAUGAAUUGCCAAUAUCAGAAGCGUAGCUAAAAACUUCAAACACACAGAACUUUCCACUCAACGCGUUGCCAAGUGCAACCUCGGACUCUCGUCAAAACAAAAUUAGGUCUGCGAAAGUUCUCUUCCACUCUCGCUAAAUCAAAUCUGCCAUAUUCUAAUUUUUAUCGAGUCAGGACGGGAAUAAUCCAGGAAACAUCGAGCUACAACAAAAGCACUCGAUAGACAGGAAGCUGCAAGCGGAGUACCGGAGCUGGCGAUCGUAUUUGAUUUUCGGCUCGGCCAUCGCGGUCCGAUCGUCCGGUGACUAACAAGCGGAGAAGCUUCGGUCACUUGCGACGAACCGACGCCUCAGCAUAAAAAACAGCGAGUGUCCUACUCAGCUCCGGAGAACCGCCUCGUCCGAAAACCCGUCGCUCGAGCCUGCGAGUGAAGCGGAAAGGACCUGCGAGCACCGCGAAAGCUUCAGUCGCCGGCCAGGAGGCACGAACGUCCGGAGACCGCGCUCAGGCGCGAGAUCUCUCGCCGGCGAACGAACGAUCGAUCGAUCGCCGGCGCAUGGCGCUGGAGGAGAAGAAAGAGAGAGAGAGAGAGAGAGAGAGAGAGAGAGAGAGAGAUUUACCUGGGAAGGGGAUCGAUAGCUGCGCGCGCUCGAGCGGGCGAGCAGAGCUCGCAGCGAGGAGGGAAGUGAGGGGAGGCGUUCGGCUGCUUAGAGCCUAGGCUAUGUUUCGGCCGAGCGGAGUCGAGUCGAACAGUGAGAGUACGGUGGGCCCGUAUCGGCAUGGGCCUCCCUCAGGGCCCAUCUUUUCCCUGUAUGCAUUCCCUUUUUCCAUUUCGAGGAACUUUGCAAGGAAAAAUGAUAUAAAUUAUUCAUGAGCUUAGCCUCUGUUUAUAAUAUAAUCUCUCAAAUUUUAAUUUAUUAAAUAAGGGUUCCUGAAAUUUUGGUGCAUGAAAAAUGUUCAAUGUUAUCAUUUCAUUAAUUCAAAUUCUGAGAAAAUACUGAAUAUUUUUGUAUAGUUUAUGGAUUAAAUUGAGCAUAUCCUAUGAUCAUAUUGAACAAAUUAAAAGUUCAUGUACCACAUUAAACAUCAUGUUAAAGUUCAUGAACCAAGUUGAAUGAAUCAAAAGCUCAUGAAUUGCUUACACAUUGUAUCAAAGUUUAGAAAUCAUUGUGUUAUUAUCCCAACUUGAAAAUACAAUUGCUUCACUCAUCCAAGUAUAUGACAUGUUGGAUCAUUGCAUUCGUGUAUUUUCUCUCGUGCCAAAUAGGCAUCAGCUAAUACAUGCGUGGGCAAGUGAUUUUGGAUUAUACAGAUUUUUGCGGUUAAGUGCAUGGGAUAGUGUAUGGAAAUGGAAGUCGAAGGAUAAAAUACAAAAUAAAAGAUAGAUUACAAUCCCACCAAGGUCUAAAGAAUGUGCCACUAACCAAAAUGAAGAUCAUGAUAAAUGAAGUUAAUUGCCAAGGCUUAAAGGACAAACCACCUAGCAAUUGUAAAGGACUUCAGGACAAGAGGAGCUCAUCAUCAAGACCCAAAGGAAAAUCCACCAACUCAGGAUAAUCCACUCUCCAAGGAUAAAUAGAUCAAAAUAAGAGUUAUCCAUUCUCCAAAGAUAUUUACUCAAGUAGAGAAAAUCCCAUGUAUUUUCAUUCAUCAAAUCUUGCCUAGUUACAAUUGAGAGAUUUGCUCUAUUUAUAGGAGGAAGACAACUUAAGAAAUAGAAAAACAAUAAAUAGGCAUGGGAACUAGCCUAUCCUUAAAGACCUAGGAACUUAAAACUUUUACUCUUGGAACUUACAUAAAAUUAAAGACUCCUAUGAAAAUAGCGAUGCAUUUAAUGACUUGGGAACUUGCAUUCUUGAUUCUUCAACCUUGCAAAAUUCGUGCUCCCAAACUUCAUCCAAUAACCAAGGAAGUUGGUUGGCCUCCCAUUAAUAUGUUGUAAAUAAACUUCGAGAUCAGCAACUAAUAAAUCAUACUGAGAAAUCAGUGACUAAUAUAUCAUACCGAGAAUUCGGUAACUCAUUAACCAUUGGUGUCGAUAACUUCGGUGACUCAUUAAUCAUUAGUACUGAUAACUUUAGCAUAAUAGUUUGGUACCGCUUUAGUUUGAAAUUUCAAUCUCAACCCAUUGAAGCACGUUAUACUCAAAUUCUAACUUGACUAGCAAUGAUGGUGCUAAGUGGGCUGAUGGAGUCAAGUUGGAUGCUUUCGCAUCAUCGGCAACUAGACAACCAGGUAUUUCACUAGACAGUCGUCGUAGGACACAGCACAUUACGUUGAAGAGAAUUCAUAGAACUUGAUAAGACUCAUUUUGGAGCUAGCAAGUGAGGUGUUGAUCGUAUUGAUAUGUCGUCACUCAGGUUGUUAUCUAUUAUCGAAUUCGCUAGCUCGACAAGGUUGACAUAUGGCAAAAGGUGAGAUGCUUAGGCGGCAAUCUCUCGACUAGAAUAUUAGGACCGGCCUAGUGAGAUCAAUAAACAUGAGGGCUUUUAAAACCUCAGAGACAAUGACAACGUCAAAGUGACCAAUUUGAAGCAAACGUGCUAGAACAAAGUCAAUGACAGAGUAGAGGCGUCGUUUCGGAUGACAAAAAGGAUCCCAUGCCAAUAGGCGUGACACUCGAUGGUGCCAUCGCUCCUCCAAAAUUAUCAGGUCAGCAUAUAUUCUUCUGCGGCGGCUUCCUAGGAAAGCCUUAGGCCACCAAGGCCAACUAUGUUUCACCACGUCCAAACUGAACCUUUGCUUGUGUGAUGCGAUUAGUAACUUCUAGCGAUGAUCGGAAUCAUAUAUUUCACUUAGAGGAUUGGCGUAAUGUUCGUAUCAGCCUCGGGUAAGUAGAUGUUUGAGUCUUCGUUUACUUGUUUAGAGGCAUUUAAUCUCUCAUUUCGCUGUGGAGUAAUUUGAUCCGGGCCUUCUAAGUUUCAAGAGUCCGUUCGAGAUCCGGGAACCUCUCUGUCCGCAAGAAAAUAGCCUGCCAGGGACAGGGCACGAGCUAGCUUUAAUUGCCGCUGUCAUGAACAAUCUUCAUGGGCAAGAUUGGCGAGCUACAUAUGGUUCAAUAGCGAUCGAAUUCCAUGAGAUGGUUCUCUCUAGCUCAAGUGAAGGCAAAAUUGCUCAAUUGGCGAAAAGUACACAAAAUAUGCUCAUAAGGAUAUAGACGAAUACACUUAGGGUGCGUUUGGCACCAGCUUUGCCAAGUACCUUUGGGUACCCAAAGUCCAUUUGCCCAAAUAUUGGGUGUUUGGGAAAAAAUUUUAGACCUGCCUUGAAGAAAUGCUGGCCUUCCAAAGGCUGAAAGCCCAAGGUAGGUCCUAGGCUGCCUUGGGCUUUCAGCAUUUUCGGAAGGCCCGAUGCACUGUUCAUCUUCCCCUUCGUUGAAUUCUCAGAUGUCGGCAGGCGAGGUGGCGAAUCGGCCGGCGAGGUGGCGAUGGGUCGGCGAUGGGUUAGAGAGAGGCCGACAACCGUCGCCACACCCCGGCGACCAUCAUCGACCAGUCGCGCGACCCAGAUCUGGGUCGCGGAGGUCGCCUGUGUCGCGGCGAGGUCUGUCGCCACGACCUCCGGUGACCCACGACCUCGCCGCGACACAGAUCUGGGUCGCGGAGGUCGCGGCGACCCAGGCGACCUAGAUCUGAGUCGCGGAGGUCGCCGCGCUAGGCGACCCAGAUCUGGGUCGCGGAGGUCGCCGGAGGUCGCGGCGACCCAGGACCUCGCCGCGACCCAGAUCCUCUGCGACCUCGUGGUGACCUGCGCGGCGUGGUGGGUUGCGCGACGGCGCGGCGAGGGUCGCCGCGACCCUCGCCGGAUCGCCUACCCUUGGCGGGUGCGAAGCCUUGGCCGGCGGUCACUGACGAAGCCUUGGCCGGCCAACUUUCCUUUUUUUAAAUAAUAAAAGUAUUUUGCAAAUUUAAUUUAUCCAAAUACUAUUUUGCACAAGUAUACUUCACAAUGGACUUUCACAAAUAAAUUUACUAAAUACACUUUGCAUUUUGGAAAACACCCUUGACUCAAAAGCCUUUACAUUUUCUCAGUAACUUUCCCCAAAAGUCUUCCCAAACGCAUCGUUAUAAUUCUUGGUUCUGGCAAUAUAGCCAACCUUAAAAUUGAGGCGAAUAAAUCAAUUCCAUCCUACAUGCUAUAUUUACAGUUAUAUAUAUCUGCCAUCUAUGGCGGCAAUUGUCAAUUCGUGAUAGGGCAAUUAAGUUCCUAUAAGAUUGAUGUUAGCAAUUUUAGGAUAUUUACGAAAUAAUAGAUUACGUCUUUAUCUAUCGGUUAAAACUUUUAGAAUAAUCAACGGUAAUUUCAUAAAAUCUCAUAAUUACCAUGUUAAGCUCGUAUCAAUGACAAUCGCUACACAUGAUUUUAUAAGCGCACGAAAUAAUUACCUAAACUGAAUCCAAGUUCGAAUGAACUUUUUGAUUUGCCGGAGCUUCCGUGGAGCAUAAACGUGCUCCAUGGAAAGCAGCGGGAAGUGAGGUGACGCCGGAGGUUGAAGCCAAGGCGCACUUUUGCACUGCAGAUUCGCCCUUGGAGAAGUUCGAAUUGGCCUACUCCAACUUGCCAACAUGCUUUUAUUCAAAUGCCGUGGAAAGUGCGUGCCCCAUUCCCUGUCAUCGUCCCUUUGCGAUCGGUAAAGGCCAGAGAAUCGUCAACGUGAUCGCCGGCCCCACGGCCCCACACCGGGGCGGCUUUUCUUCUGCAUCCGGCCGUUCGUUGGGGACCACCUCCCCAUCUCCCUAUUUCUCGGCGAAACCCGGCUUUCCGAUGCUUUCCACGGCGUAGCCGCUUUUAAAAAAUAUCCAGGAGCCUCUUGGCAACGGGCCACUUCCACCACACUAAAUCCAUUAAAAUCGGUCAUAAAUCCAUACUAGUGUUAGUUGAGUUAGUUAUAUUGAAUAAAUGUAUUAAAAAUGAGUAUAAGUUAAAUCACUCUCACUUCGAUUUGGUUAUAAAUUUUUGUAAGUUAUGUUAAAUAUGGAAGUAUUUUAAUAAUAUAGAUCGAAUAAGGUAUUGGUCAUUAAAUGUGUAUUAUGUGGAACAAAACGGGAGGACUAGAUCUAUUUGGAUUGGAUGACUUGUGAUCGAGUUCGUUCGUUUGACGGGUCUAAAUCAUACUUACUCUCUGAAGCUAUUAUUUAGGUAACGAUCAAACUCAAUUCAAAUGCAAGAAUUCGAUUGAAAUUGAUUCCCGAUUUCGAGGCUGGAGCCAGCCUGAUGAAUCAAGUUCUUGGGUUGCGGUGAUUUUUUUGAAUGAUUUCUUCUUUUCCUUUUUGUUAUUUAUUAUUAUUAUUAUUUUUGUAAAAGAAAGUUUGUGACGUAACCUUAUCUAGAAAAGGAAAGUUAUUGUUGCCCCCAAAAAGAUUGAAGCAUGGGCUCUAACAUGCCGAGCACCCACUUGUCAAAGAGCAUAUUCUUCGUAUAAAAGAAAACACAUUUGAUUAUGCAGCAAUCCCUUUAAUUUAUUGUAGCAAAUAAAAUAAAGAACUCGUUGAACGUUCUUGGUUUCAUACUUCUAUAAUCAAGGAAAUGCAGAUGCACUAGAAAUCAACUCGCUCGAGCACCAAUGGCCGCCGUUGGUUGCGUAACCGAAAUGGUAGAAUCUUUAGUAGUCUAAAAACAUGACCGCCAGUCCGAGUUUCGGUAAAUACAAUAUCUCUCUUUCAUAAAAAUUACAUGACAUCUAAACUAGUUCUCGCGUGGCAAAUGCAAAUGACGUGACGUUCUCGAGCUCACCUCAAAAGACUGAUGAUUGCCAUGCCAUGAAAAUUUUUUCCACCAUAAAUGACCUCUUAACUUAUCUGUCACAAGUUUAACAUUUAUUUUUUGUUAUUCGAUUCCCUAUCACGCAAAAAUUAUCCGGAGAAUCUUUAAUACGUAGAAAUUACAUAAUAUUUCGAGUUUUAAAUAAAUCUUACAACUAAAAUCUAGAUGCAAUUUUUUUUUUGUCGAUCUUAUUUUAUUUUUACUCUAGCUCCUACUCUCAAAUUUUUGUUACGAUUUAUUGUUGGGUAUCGAUCUACACUUAAAACCAAAUUAUUUCCAUUUCAACUCCCUAAGAAGAGGGAAUUUAAACUCUCCAUCUCUCUCUUUUCAUAUGAGAAGGGUGACUACAAGUAAAUCUCGGUGAUUAUCUAGAUGCAUAUUUAUCUAGCAGUUUUACGUCAGCUCCUUGACCAUCAGCUUUGAUUGCCAAAUAAAUUAUAUUCUUACAUUCGUUGGAAAGUUAUUAUAAAUAUCACGAGAGUCAUCUUUUCUUCUUUCUACUUUGGCCAACAAAUCAGGAAAAAUUAGCCCGAGACAAAGCAUGAAACGUAAUUAAAAAAACAUCAUUAUCUUUUACAAAACAAACUAAAGGCGCUGUCCUACAGACUAUUCACAGCGGGGGGAGAAAAGUCGCCUCCAGCGAAACUUCCAAAAUAUCCCCCGUUCGCGCCGUUCGCUCACCGCAGCCUCCAGUGCAAAACGCCCAAAUUUUCAUUUCUCGCCGCAGCCGUCCGAUCCUCAUCGCACGGCCCGACGGAGCCCCUGCGGCGAUUCAACGGGCCGUCAAACCCUCACCGACCAUCGACGGCGCGACGAGAUCCUCGAUUCGAUGCGGACGUUGCGCUCCCGCCACCCCUACGUGGCGACGCUCCAUUGCUGGUAAGCACGGGGGGGCGAAUAAAUCAGGGCGCAGGGGAACAUGGCCCUCCCCCGCAAUAAUCUCACCAUUUGCAGCUGGGUCGUCGGCUCACAUACUCUUCUAGAAGAGUGGGGCACGCAGCUCUAGGUCACCACGCGCAUCUCUCUCUUCUGUCGUUCUCUGCAAAUCGCCUACGCAGAAGAAGCCGUGAACGCUAGCUCCUCCUCCUCCUCCUCCUCCAUAACCACUUUAGCUUCGUCUUCGCAUCGGGAUUCGACGUGGUCUUCUCUCUCCUCUGCAACGACCCUUAUCUCCAUCCCCAGAAUUAUUGGCCCGAUCAUUUAUGUGAUUUUGCUGCCGGGGGUGGGGUCGCCGCCAUGUAUAUAACGAGCGCCUCGGCUUCGGCCUCCUCGUUCCUCCGAGCUUCUAGGGCGCGCCUCUCCGGUUCGCUGUCGUCCGCCGCCUCCCGCGCCUUGGUCGCUCAGGGCCCGUGCCCCUCGCCCUCGGCCGGCCAGUGCCGAUCGCUCAGCUUCUCCUCCGCUUUCCGAUCCCUCCGGAGCUCGGUGCCGCGGUGGAGCCACGGCGUCGAUUGGAGGUCGCCCGCGAGCCUCCGCCCUCAGAUCAGGGCCGUCGCCCCCGUGAUCGAGCGCCUCCAGCGGAAGUUCGCCACCAUGGGUAACUUUUACUCUCUGUUGAUCUCCGAUGAUCUUGGAGUUAGCUUGUGAGUCGCGUUGGUCGGGCGGAGUUUGUUCGGGGCUCGAUCUGUGCCGCCGUCCUCGCGUUGGGUAUGGCGGCUGCUGAAGCUGUCAUUGAUUCGCGAGUCACGCGAGAGUCCGAAAGUACCGUUCACCUCCCGAGCUGUUCCUGAGUAGAUGACGAAAAUGAAAUCGAACCAUCUGUCCGUGUCGGUUUUUUGGGUUUGUUCUUUGGGUAAUCAUGCUGUGAAAAGUUAUCUGUCCCUUUCGCUUUAUUUGUUGGAUAUGUCUGCGAAGCAGUUCUCAUGUCUCAGUCAUAGCGAACAUUGAGCUUGGUGAUUAGCCCGAUAAAGAAUGGUAUCAAAGGGAAAACGUGACUGUGGAUCUCCAAGUUGACUCUCGGCUGUCUUAACUAAAAGAGUAAACGUUGGAGUCCUCAUGCUCGCGUAGUCUAAUCUGAUCGCCCCAAAAUAAGAAUGAUGCUAAAGGAAAAGCUGCUUAGAAGUGUUCAAUGCCUUGCAUUACUUUGAAAAAUGCUAGCGGGUUCUCACGGUCGAGUUCCUUCUGUAUACGUUCAUUGGUUGGAUAUUUAGGGAAGUCCAAGUUUAAGAAAUGUUCUUGUAGACUCCAUCCAGAAUAGCUUUCACAUGAGUCAGGGUUGAUCACUUUUUCUUCUCAUCGUGGAAUUACACAUGCUACCUUGUUCUAAAGUUUUAUCUAUUGUGGGGAUGUAACUCUGCUGUUCGUCUGCUUGUUUGCAGCUUCAGAGAAUCCUUUCAAGGAGAUCUUAACUACUUUACCGAAGGCAGGAGGUGGCCAUUUUGGAAAAUUUUACAGCCUUCCUGCUCUAAAUGAUCCGAGGAUAGGUAUUAUUCUUGAGCGUGCUCUUACCAGCAUAGGAAUUGCAUUUCUUCUUAUGCUCCUUUUGUAUCAAAUUCUGCGUAAUUAUUAGCUGAUUUACAUUGCUAUCCUGUUGUAGACUUUUCCUUGUUAAUUCUCCUUUCCAGCUUUUCCAUUCGUUCUUUCUUUAUCCUUCUGUUUUUCCUUUUUAACUUUUGGUUGUCACAUAGUUUUCAUUGACUUGGCUGGACCAGAAAAUCCAAUAUUACAUGUGAUUGGAAAUUACUGGAGACUCAUGAUUUUAAAUCAUUUUGAGUACCCAUUUAUUAUGAGUGGCAAGACUGAUGACGUGCCUUGCAUUUUGUUCUGAUGGUGCAACAGACAAGUUGCCAUACUCUAUCAGGAUCCUUCUUGAAUCUGCUAUCCGUAAUUGCGACAACUUCCAAGUUAAAAAAGGGGAUGUUGAGAAAAUUUUAGAUUGGGAAAAUACUUCUCCAAAGCAAGUUGAAAUUCCUUUCAAGCCAGCUCGUGUUCUCUUGCAGGUAGUCCUUGAUUCAAUCGAUCUACUUGUUGCACGAUAAUUUAAUUGUUCUUUACAAGAAUUUUCUUUUUCCAGGAUUUUACUGGCGUGCCUGCAGUCGUGGAUCUGGCAUGCAUGCGUGAUGCCAUGAACAGACUUGGCAGCGAUUCAAAUAAGAUUAACCCCUUGGUGCGUGUGAUCUCUCUCAUUUUCCUAUUAAGUUAUGUUUCCAGCAUCAACGGCACCGAGAAUUUAGCUGAAGGACAGUGUUGUUCUUUGUGCAGGUUCCUGUGGACCUCGUGAUUGAUCAUUCAGUCCAAGUUGAUGUUGCAAGGUCAGAAAACGCUGUUCAGGCAAACAUGGAGCUUGAAUUCCAGAGAAACAACGAGAGAUUUGCUUUCCUGAAAUGGGGGUCGACUGCUUUUCACAACAUGCUUGUUGUUCCUCCUGGCUCUGGUAUUGUGCAUCAGGUAUGUGAUUCGUACAGGAGGUCCUUCACGUGUUAUUUUGACAUUUCAAUCAUCCAGAAUUCACGGUGUUCUGUCCUUUACAGUCUUUCUUUAACUGGCAGUAUGUGAUUUGAAUGGGAGGUACUUCACAUGGACACUGACAGUUUCCGUUUUCUUAGAUCUGUUCACUCUGCAUUUCUGGUCAUUGUGCAUAUUAGCUUACCACGUGACUCUGAUAGGGCCUCUGACUAACUUAUGCCCUCCUAACUUUUGGAAACAGUUCCUUUAAAAUUUUGCUCUUAACAUUGUGGCCUCUAUUUUCAAUGUCUUAAUUCAUGUAGCAUGUUUAAAAUGAGAAAACGAAUUUAGGAUUGAAUGCGUAUGGUUUUAUGAUGCAAUGUACUUUUAUAAGUUUCUAUGUCAAUUGUUUAGAUCUUCAACUUUCCAUAAUUUAAGUUGUUACUUUGUUGCCUGCCACAACGUCUUAAGAAGUUCUAAUCGAUCUUUAAUGAGUUUAGUUUUCAAAGCCAUAAUAAAUGCUCCUUUUUAUUAUUAUUUUUAAUUUUUUUUUAAAUUACAUCUAUGGGUACUUCCUUGAUGUGAGAGAUCAGUAUAUCGUGCAUAAUCUGGAAAUGAUGCUGGCGGCUCUCAAAAGAUCGUAGGUUGAUGUCGUACUGCACAAUUGACCUUAGCAAUUGGAUUGUAUAUUUCUUUUGACAUCUGUUUGGAUUGAGGUGGACCCAUACUGAUUUGGUUGCUUGUAAGGAUGUCAUUGAAGUGUCUUGGAUUUAUCUCUUUUUUAACCCCAAUAUGACGGUAACUUGAAAUUUCAGGUCAACCUUGAAUAUCUUGGAAGGGUUGUUUUCAACACAGAUGGCAUGCUUUAUCCCGAUAGUGUUGUUGGAACUGAUUCCCAUACAACCAUGAUUGAUGGGUUAGGAGUUGCUGGUUGGGGAGUUGGAGGUAUCGAGGCUGAGGCAGCAAUGCUUGGCCAGGUAUGAUAUUGAUGGACCUAAGCAAUCCCAUUCUCUGCAAAUGCAUGAUUUCUGACCUUGGGAAUGUUUCAUUUAAAGUGAAAUCUAAACGACAGUGUGAUAUUGAGUCGUAGUGAUGGUUCACUCCUCUUGUGGCCUCCUAAUUGUGGUGAUGACCAUCAUGUGUGUGAAUGUGCCACUUAUUACUUUCCAGUGACUAUCAAGAGUUGAUCAUUGAUUUACACACCAUUUAGUUACCAUUUUCUCACGAGUUUCCCUCAAGUACUUAAAAGGAUGUUUUUCCUAGACUGUUGUGCAGACUUUGUGAAAUUUUUCCGGCAUUUUCUGUGUUUCCUGUUGUUCUUAGCUUUUGCAAAAUUCUAAAUUUCUAUCUAUGUCGAAUUCAAUGCAGUGUAUUGCUCUAGCCAUUAUAAUGUGUUUAUGGUUAUAGUUUCCCUAGUUCUUUUAUGUGUUGAGGACAUAAUCGUUUCUAAUACGUUUUGCGUAAUAUUUGUUACCUUUGCAGCCUAUGAGCAUGGUGUUGCCUGGCGUUGUUGGGUUCAAAUUAUCUGGGAAGUUGUGUGAUGGUGUCACAGCCACUGACUUGGUCCUAACUGUGACACAAAUGUUGAGGAAGCAUGGAGUUGUUGGCAAAUUUGUUGAAUUUUAUGGUAACUUGAUAGUUGCCAUAGCUUCAUCCUAGCUUGGUUUGUCUCCCCUUUAGUUGUAUACAUGGUCUUAGAUUGAAUGUGCUUUGCAGGGGAUGGUAUGGGAGAGCUAUCAUUAGCUGACAGGGCUACCAUUGCAAACAUGUCUCCUGAGUAUGGGGCAACCAUGGGAUUCUUCCCCGUUGACCAUGUAACUCUGCAGUAUCUGAAGUUGACCGGAAGAAGUGAUGAGACCGUGAGUCAUUGACUUCACUGACUGAAGCUUGUGUCCUGAAAGUAUCACCAGUGCUUAAUUAUUUCUUAUGGUCCCUGCAGGUGGCGAUGAUAGAGGCUUACCUACGUGCAAAUAAGUUGUUUAUUGAUUAUGAUGAGGUAAAUCUACGAACUUGCUUUUUACCAAAAAAAAGAAAAAAAUCUACGAACUUGCAUUCUCAGUGAGUGGAAGCUGUUAGAAGUAACUGCUUACUUCCUAUUAUCAAUUGCAGCCUCAACAAGAACGAGUUUACUCAUCUUACCUGGAGCUGAAUCUUGAGGAUGUUGAACCUUGUAUCUCAGGACCUAAGAGGUAUAAGUUUCCUGCCAAGGGUCUCCAUAUCUUGGUUCCACAAAUUCAUGCCAUUUGCAUGGUUUAAUGAUUUUAAUCGGUAAUCCACAUUUAGCUUCAGUGUGCAACAUCCUUAAUUUUCGUCACCUUUUCUUCCCAGACCUCAUGAUCGGGUUCCUUUGAAGGAAAUGAAGGCUGAUUGGCAUUCUUGUCUUGAUAACAAAGUCGGCUUCAAGGUUAGUUUUCUUUUGAACAGCUACCUUUGAUUUCAUAAUCACGCGAGGUCAUACUAGUUCUUUCUUCUAAUUUUGCCUUGACUGGAUCAUUGACAUGGAAAGCUGCCACAAUGGUACAAUACACAGGAAAAUAAAUUCUCUUGCUAUCAGACUAAGUGAGAGAUUUGCUUUGCAGUUCAUGUUGCAUUUUUUCUUUUUCUGAUGAAGUAGGAUCUACUAUCUUCAAUUGAGCGCAGUCAUUUUAAUCUUAUUCUGCAAUGUCCUGUGACAUCUUGAUUAAAAGCCCUUGUCAUUUCGUCCACAAUAAAUUUUGUAGAUAUAGGCAAUAGGCUCUUCUUCCUAAUUCACUUUUUUCUGGGAGGCAUUAUUUUCUCUAAUUACAGCCUGCCUAAGUUGUUAUCCUGCAGAAUCAAACUGAUGCAAAAUCUUUUUGGAAUUUCUUUAAAGCUGGGUGAAAAUACUUAGGAUAUGAUAUUAUGUUUAUUUAUUUGAAGCGUGGGUGGGAGUAGAUAGCCUAUAAUAUAAUGUUGGUUUGUUUUUGUUGUAAUACAGGGUUUUGCUGUACCCAAAGAAUCACAAGAUAAGGUGGCAAAAUUUUCAUUCCAUGGGCAGCCGGCUGAACUCAAGCAUGGGAGUGUUGUGAUUGCUGCCAUUACUAGCUGCACCAACACAUCGAAUCCCAGUGUCAUGCUCGGAGCUGCUCUAGUAGCGAAAAAGGCUUGUGAACUUGGAUUACAGGUUCGCUGUGAUUAUAAUCACUGUCCAUCUCUAUACCCUGUACUCUUUCCAGGAUCAAGCUUCUUUUUACUGUUACAUUGAUAAUUCUUGUUGGUGACCUGAAUUGUGACACCAGGUCAAGCCAUGGAUCAAAACAAGUCUUGCACCUGGCUCGGGUGUUGUCACUAAGUAUCUACUUCAGAGGUACAAUUUUGGGAUAAGUUAGCAUAGUGUAGUAGAAUAUCUUUAUGUUGGCAAUGAGGAGGCAACCUGAUAACUGUAUUUUUGAUGUUGAUGCAGUGGGCUGCAGAAGUACUUAAACCAGCAGGGAUUUAACAUUGUGGGAUACGGAUGCACUACUUGUAUUGGAAAUUCUGGGGACUUGGAUGAAUCAGUUGGCUCUGCCAUCUCAGAAAAUGGUACUGUUAAAUAUUGUCUAGCAUGGAGACAUACUGCUGUGUGUGCUUCCUUUGUUUAAGCAUUUGCAUAAGCAAUUGCUUCUGGACAUCAUUGAUCAGAUUAUCUAAAACGGCUUAUUUACCUGUCACGCAGAUAUUAUUGCUGCUGCCGUACUCUCGGGUAAUCGAAACUUUGAAGGGCGUGUUCACCCACUGACUAGGGCUAAUUAUCUAGCUUCACCUCCUUUAGUAGUUGCCUAUGCUCUCGCUGGCACGGUAUGUAAUGAUAAUUGAUGGCAAUGUGGAAUUUAUUAAUUUCAAGUAUAUAAUGAAUAAUAACUUGUUAGGGUUUUUGAGUUUAUGACAUUCUCUGUUUUAAUUCGAGAAGGUAAAUAUACCCAAUCUAGUAUUUUGCAAAAAGUUUACAAAUAAAAUAGGUAAAACUGUUUUCAGGAUCGAAGUUAUAAAUCAAAGUUUUUUUUUUUUUUUUUUUUUGUAAAAAUUUAUUAUCUCAAAUAAAAACAAGGGAAAAUCCUCUUUUAUGUGAUUUUUCAGUGUGGAGAUCUCUUGCUGGUUUCGGAAAUGUUAACACUUGUGCAAAUUCUUUUUUUCAUUAUCAUAAUUUUUAGUGUGGAUACUACCAGGCACCUUGAUUUUCUUCUAAGGUGAUUAUAGGCCAUUAUUAGUCCGAAUUCUGAUCCUAGUUAUGAUUCUUUGACUGAUCAUUGACGUGAUCCUCUUAGGGAUAUUUGUACACUGCCAACAUUUGAUUUUAUAUCUUGAUGCCAGGUUGAUAUUGACUUCGACAAAGAGCCAAUUGGAAUGGGGAAGGAUGGUAAGAGUGUUUACUUCAAAGAUAUCUGGCCAUCGACAGAGGAAAUUGCACAGGUAGACAAUGUGUUAUAAUUUUGAUUUAGCAAGUAAUGUUGGGGUUUGGUUGAGUCUAACUAUGGUGUCCCUUGUUAUCAGGUUGUCCAAUCAAGUGUUUUGCCGGAAAUGUUCAAAAGCACUUAUGAAGCUAUCACAAAGGGCAAUCCCAUGUGGAACCAGCUCUCUGUUCCUGCUACGACCAUGUACAAAUGGGACGCCAACUCUACCUACAUUCAUGAGCCUCCAUACUUUAAGGACAUGACCAUGGAUCCUCCUGGAGCCCAUGGAGUGAAAGAUGCAUAUUGCUUGCUGAACUUUGGUGACAGUAUUACGACUGACCAUAUUUCCCCAGCAGGAAGCAUCCACAAGGACAGUCCCGCAGCUAAAUAUCUACUUGAGCGUGGGGUGGAUCGCAAAGACUUCAACUCAUAUGGAAGUCGACGUGGGAACGACGAAGUGAUGGCAAGGGGAACUUUUGCCAAUAUUCGUAUUGUUAAUAAGCUUUUAAAUGGCGAAGUGGGUCCCAAGACAGUUCAUAUCCCUACAGGAGAGAAGCUUUAUGUGUUUGACGCAGCAAUGGUAAGUUUCUGGGAGUUCUCUGUGCUUUCUAAUCUCUUAUUUCCUUAAUUUGCUUGUGCUUAUUUAAGACUAUUUUAAAAUAUGAUCGACUAUUUGCUUGUAGGUGUUGCUAUUUAAAUGAAGGGAAAAUACCAAACGCACAUUUCAUUUUUGAUCAUUUACAUACCUUAAGCAAAACCCUACAAUAGAAAGACCAAAUUGCUUCUGGCAAACUCAUUGUAGGAUCUGGGUGGUUUAGUUUUCAGUUGGUUUGAGUAUUUAAGGUGGCUGUCAGAAUUUAGGAAUUGGGGAUGAGCAUUUUUGGAAAGAAAUCGGUGUGUCUAAAAAAGGGGCAGAAAUAAUUGAUUGAUGGGAAGAUGCGAAAUGGUCUCCAAAGGUAAAACUCAGUGAAAUAUGUGUUGGGUAUUUUGAAAAAUAGAGAUAUGGAAAUGGUCAUUGGGUGAAAAGAAGAAAUGUUUUUGAUAUUUUCCUUAAAAUGAAAUGUCAAUGCUUGUGUGUGUCAUCCCCAAAAGGAUAAAUAUUUUCGCGUCAUAUCACAGUCAUCAGAUAUUUUGCGACAUCUGUAAUGAAAAGAAGAUGCUUUGCUGCUGUGAUUUUGAUAAUUGCUGGUAAAAUAAGUUCUUUAAGUGGAAAGUGUGAAAAAAGUGAACAUAUAUAUCUCGGAAUUGUUUGAAAUACUUUUGGGCGAUUCUGUUCUCAGAAUGAUGGGAAUCUCUUAACCUGUCUUAUCUGGUGUAAUUUUAGAAAUACAAAUCUGCUGGACACGAUACCAUUGUUCUGGCUGGAGCAGAGUAUGGUAGCGGGAGCUCCCGAGAUUGGGCAGCCAAAGGGCCCAUGCUACUGGUGAGGUCACUUGCAGUGUAACAAGCCUAUUUCAUUUUCCACUGGCACUGUCUUAUCCUCGAGACUUAUUUUAAUAUGCAACAGGGAGUCAAAGCAGUGAUUGCAAAAAGUUUCGAGAGAAUUCACCGGAGUAAUUUGGUGGGUAUGGGUAUCAUUCCACUCUGCUUCAAGGCUGGUGAGGACACGGACACAUUAGGAUUGACUGGUCACGAGCGUUACAGUAUUGACCUCCCGAGCAAUAUUAGUGAGAUUAGGCCUGGCCAAGACGUGACUGUCACAACCGACACAGGCAAAUCUUUCACCUGCACUGCCCGCUUCGAUACUGAGGUAUUUCCUGCAUCAUCUCCUUAAUAUGUUCUGGUCAUUCCUGAGAGGUAGUAUUUUGGCCACAAAUUAGAAAAAAAAUAUGCAGAGGUAGUGUUUUAACUAUAUUCUGUACGGAGCUAUAUAGCCUCUCUAGGUACGUACCAAGUGAAUUCGAAAUAGAGAAUUUCGGAAACUACUACUGUGUGGUUAAAGCUUCAAAAUUUGAUCAUGUUUCAGGUGGAGCUGGCGUAUUUCAACCAUGGAGGAAUUCUUCCGUACGUCAUUAGGAAUCUUAUUAACCAAUAAGUCAGAAAUGUCGGCAGGCGGCUUUCUCCAGCAUGGGAGCUGUUUCACUUUGUAAAAUUUGAGAAGAAAAUAAUGUCUCGAUUACAAAGAAAAAUCCCUGUCAUGGGACAAUUUUUUGAGAACUUCCGCUUAUGCAGGCUUUAUUUGAUAUGCGUUUGGAGUAAGAAUUGCGUUUCCCUUUUCUACUUGUGUUAAUGGUCUGCCCAUGUUCUUAAAUGGUGGAGCCCUUGUUGGUUUUCCAUUAUUGAAAGCCACAUCAAUUUGAAUGUAAGUUAUAGAUUUGCAAUUAUAGCUGCGGUCUCUGUAUUUGUAGUGCAAAUCAGCAAUAACAGGUACUUUUAGCAAUAAAAUAGGCUUUUCGGCAAGUGACGUGACUCAUGAGAGCAAGCAGAAUCGAAAAGCUUAGCUGAUUAGUUCAGUUUUGCCGUCUAGUUCUUGCGAAUGGAAAAAGUUUGCCUGCAUAUAUUCUUCCAUGUAAAAGCGCGGGAAAAUUCAACUCAAUUUUGAGAAUCUGGAUUGGCGAGAACAGGUAAAUUUUAUAGUGCCAUCCAACACGAGAGAACUUAGUGGGGAUAAGAACGGUAGGAAUGUCAAAAUUUUUUGUACUUGAAUGUAAAGGCUUUCUUUUCUCUCACUUAAGUGUCACAUUAGAGUAAAAUCGAUCAUUUGAGUGUCAGUUCUGCAAAAUCAUUGUAUGUGAAAUUUUUUAGAUUUUCUUUUUUGGAAGGCUAGCAAGAGUUAUUGGUGACCCUCAUUGGCCAUGCAUCCCUCACCUAGUCCACCUUACCCUCUGUCAUGAAGGCCCUAGGUGAGGCUAUUGGGGCCUUGCUGACUGUUGGUGAGAUUGUGAGGACCCUUGUUGGCUCUAGGCGGUUGCGGGCGAGGGCCCUCAUAGCCUCGUCCAUUGCUAGCAAGGACCUAAGGCCGAGGAGGUGAGGGCCUUUGCCAACAGCCUCACCGAAGACCUUCGUAGUUGAGGUUGAGGUGGCCUUCAUCCAAAUUUGGCAAGGAUUUUGCAGCCGGUGAGGGUUGUCGGUCACCCUCGCCACGACCCUCAAUGGCAUUAAAGAAAAAGGAAAAAAAAUUACUAAAAUCAUAUAAAAAAAUUAUCCACGUUAGUGCCAGCAAAACCACAUGAGAUGAUUGACAUUUACGUUAGAUUUUUCUGGCAAGGUAAAUCAUAAUUGAUACUUAAGUGGUCGAUCUUUCAAAUAUAUGGCAUUCAACUAAGCUAAAAAAAAAAGAAAAGUUUUGGCACUUAAGUCGGUGCCGUACAAAAGUUUUGGUGCUUCUAGUAUUUCUUAUCCCAAAAUUAGUAUGAAGCACAACCAAGUAUAACUCCAGGAUAAUUGAUUUUAGAAGUGUAAGGAACCACCAAUUGAAAUAAAACAAAUAAUACUAAAUUAACACAAUUGUCUAAAUUGGUACAAAUUUCAAUAAAUUCAAGGAUGUGUUUUUUUGGGGGAAAGUGUUUUUCAGGAAAUGAUUUUUCGAACUUUUAGAGCCUAUUUGAUAAUCAUUAUGUUUUCUUGAAUAAUUUUUGCUUAGAAAUAGAUUUUUUUGAUAUUGUUCUCGAGACAAGUUUCUGAGUAUAGUAAUUGUAUAAAAUUUAUAUUCCUGAAAUAGGGAUGCAUUUGGUAAGAUUUCAAUUUUUUUUUUCUGUAACUUAUAAUUUCUUUAAAAUUUUAAAUAAUUUUAUUACAUUUUUUCCCUUCUUCCUCUAGCCGAUUGCUAGCCUCGGGGUAGUUUCAUUGGCCCUCGGCAAGGUUGCCAGCUCUUGUUUGGUUGGUAAUCGGCUAUAGUCAAGGCCAUUGAUUGGCUAGAGGAAGAAGACUAAGAAGAAACAAGGAAAAAAAGAAAAGAAAAAAAAAAGGAAAGAAAAUUACUUGAUUCUCGAUGUGUUCCAAAAAUAAAGAAGUAUUUUUUUUUCAAGAAUAAAUCUAUCUCCGGGAAUAGAAAAAUUAGUUGACAUUAUCAAAUGGAUUUCUGUUUUUUUUUGUUCUUUUUGUUUUGAGGAACAAAAUAAUAAAAAUAUUCAUUGUUUACCAAAUAGGGCAUUACUCGUUUGGUUUGCAAAGAAUAAGUAUUCAAGUGAAAACACUUUUUAGUAAACGAAAACAUUCAUACAUAAAUUUAUGAAAGAGAAUCCUUAAAUCUAACGAAAUGAAACAUCGGAAUUGCCCAUCUCGAAUAUUUUAAUAUUGUUUAAUUUAUUUUACUUUAUAACUUAUUUGAAUAUUUACUAUUUAUUUUUUAAUUUUUUUUUCAAUUUUCUUCUUCUUUAGCUAGUUGUUGGUGAUUGCCAAUCGGCACAAGUGAGCUUGAGCCUCACUAGCUAGCGCCUGUUGCUGGUAAUUGGUUAUCGCUGUGGCCCAUCAACUAAUGGAGAGAAAGAAAAAAGAAAAAAGAAAGAGAAAAAAAAGAAAAGACUAAAGAAAAGAAAAGAAAAGAAAAAAUAUUUAAACGUUUGACUUUGCUUUUGCUAUGAGAUAAAGUCACGGGAUUAAAAUCACUUUUCGAAAGAGAUGCAAACAUCAAAAAAUGUUUUUGCUCAUAUAUCACCAAAUAAAAGAAGGGCACAAAAAUGAUUACCUAAUAGAUUUAAUCUAUUGUAAAAUAACAUUUUAUUUUGGAUUACAAAAAAUCAAUUAAUAAAUAAUUAUAAAUUGUUGUAAGGUUUACUUUUGAAAAUUUAUAGCUCAUAAUAAGCUGUUAUUCUCGUAGUAGUCAAAAGACUCUUAUGCUAGUAAAGCCUUAAAGGAAAAUUAUCCAUUUUCUUGAAAAAUGAUUUUUCAAAAAGUAUUUUCUUUUAUCAUGUAAUUUUCCCUAAACAAACGCAUUUUUGGGUACUUUUCAUCAAUUGGAUUAUGAGGAAAUAACAUGAAUGAUCGUUCUAAGUUGAGUAAUCCUUUGGUAUGAAUCAGCUCUAUUGCAUCAAACCAAUGUAAUCUUAUCUCAUGCCCAAGAGAAUUUAUUCACCUUACAAGUUUCGACAUGCUAUCUGAAAUCAGGGUGGAUUUGAUCGACAUUCGACAGGCAGUCGCUUUGGGGGGAAAGACCGUUCCUGCCUGGUCGUAGCAGCAACGUUGUUACAAAACGACACCAUGUGCAUGGCCAAGCCACAGGGCAUCCUCGAAUUCGUAUAACAGACCAGUGACAUCUUGGAGGUUCUUUCAACUUUUGACAGCCGUACCAUGUACGCUAGCCAAUACAGCUAUAGAGGGGGCAGAAAAUGCGCAAUGCCCUUCUAGUCUCUACUUCUAGCGAUUGAACUACCGUAGACUACAAUUGCUUUUAUGUUUACAUGGACUAAUUCAAUACAGAGCCUAACAAGUCAAAUUCAUAUUGCUUUACAGCCGAUGCUGCAGAAGUCAUGAACAGCAUGGAAAACAAGAGGAGCGCAUCAGCACAGACCAGGGUUAAAUCAAUCGACUCAUCAUUGAUUAGCCUCAGCGGUUGUACAAAGCGCCAACUCACAAACUAAUCCAAGUAUUUCCAUGGUUCUGUUUCUGUCAAGUCCUAGACUAAGAACUAAGGAGACGACAUAGCCUAGACCCGGCUUAGAUCACAGAGACACAUCAGCAAGACGACUAUGGCUUGCGAGAUAAACACUGACGAGCUAAAACUUUAACGACCCUCCAGAAUGCUCUCCAAAUGCAGCCUCCGGUUGUUGCCAUCGAACCCUCUGUCACCUAUUCUCACUUCCGAUAUGCUUCUGUUUCUCAGCUUCGACGCACUCAGCAGUUGCUCCACAGAUGAAAACUUGCGAUCUUGUGUGUGCUUGAGUAUUUGCUUCAGCUCCUCCUUUGUGACCAAUACCCUCACUCUCAGGACCCCACUUUUGCUGGAUUCACCGAUAUGGGGUCGGUUGUCUCUGACGACUUCAUCGACGUUAUCCUUCAAUUUGAAGCUCACGCUCUUCUUCAUCUUCUCGUUCUUGUUCUUGCCUCCAUGCACACGUAUUGCUGGCUCCAACUUGGAUUGCGAAAUCUCAUCCUCAUGAUCUCGAGCAAUGACUUUGUUACUCACCAAGCAAUUUCCCAUUUUGCUUUCUUCUCCCUUUUUCUUUCUCAAGAGCUAAAUGUGUGAAAGAAUCAAGAAUGCUAUUCGGACGCAGGGAAUAUAGGAGAGGCUGAAGGGCAAGAGCACAUGAGCAGUCCCCUUUUUGCGCCGGUUCUUUGGAUGAAAGGCAAGUGGACAGAUUCCUUUGCUUGUUCCAACCACCUACCCACGUACUCCGAAUUUGACGUCCCAUUUGUUAUUGUCUGUCUGAUUGUUUUUGGCUUUUUUUUUUAUCCUUCCGUGUACUUUAAGUCAGCAUGGCCGUCUCCUACCUUUAUAUAUCUAUAUAAUAUCUGAGACCCGUUUGGACGUCCGACUAAUUCUUAUCGGGCGUGGCUGUUCCCUCGUUCUACUUAACUAUAGAUAAAUUGAUCUGUAUUUCUAAUAAUAAUCUCCCAAAAAAUGCGUAAAUCUGAUGAUUCAAAUCUACAUAUCUAAUGAGAAAGACGAUCACGCUUAACACUUGAGCAACCAUCAGGUUCCGCAGCUUUUAUAUCAUUUUACUUGUUCUUGGUCAACUGUAUAGAGUAGAGUAUGCGCAAGUAGUUGCUGCAAGAUUCAUAAUAUUUUAUUUACUUUACCAGGAUGGGGCGGCAGAUACUCUUUCUAAGUCGGCCCAAAUUUCAGUUUAACGUUUUGCAUAAUGACAAACGAGGAUCUCGCGUAUUAUGAGUGUAUCCAGUUCGAUGUAAUUGGUGCAGACCUCUACUAUUAUUUUUACGUAAAAUACACGUAAAUACGAGAUUGUCAAUAAAAUUUUCAUCUUCCGAACAUUUACUGCACUUACACAAAUGGAGUAAAACUCAUUAUACACGUAGGGAAUAGAGAUCUACAGAUAGGCGAGCAAAGCAUCAAGCUUCUUCUAUCUUUAAGAAGAGAUCCUGGCUCAACAUCUCCGCCACGAUGGUCAAGUUCAUCUCGUUCGGCGGUUAAGAAAAUCCACGAAGGCUUUAGGGAUGUAAAAUGUCUAUUAUUAUAUGUACUGAAAAAACAAUUGUAUCAUGUCAUGUUCACUAUAUAAAUAUAGAUUUCUUUUGAUUUAUCAUUAAAUAGCACAAAUAAAUAAUGAUUUCCAAUUAUUUAACGUGAUACUUUAUGAGAAACUGCAAAACAUAGGUAUAUAUUUAUAUGCAAAUUUCAAGUAAUUAAUGUAAACCAAUGAUUAUAACAUUUUUAUACUUUCUUAUAAUAGGGUCGAAUAUUUUCCACAUAAUUUUAAGAAAAAAUGACGAGAGAUACCCUUUCAUGUCGCGUAUCGUCAAACUUUGUUGUUGUACAUUUCUAAUAGAGGUAGUAAUAAAGGUGUAAGCUAACUCAACUUAGAAGUCUCAGGCAAUUCCUGCAAUUUUAUUUGGAGAGACAUUUCGGAUUCGAAUAAUAAUUAAGAAUCUUAGUUCCAUAGAAAAGGUGAUGAAGUAUAUUUAUGAAGAUUAGAGAUUUUCUUGUUAGAGAAUAUUUUUAUAAAUAUUAUUAUAUAUUAGGGAUAUUAUUUAAUAUUUCGUGAUUAUCUAAGAUAACUAAUUUCGUUUCCUAUGCAUAUUGUUCGGGUAUAAAUACCCUCCUCUAAUAAUUUGUAAAGACAAGUGAUGAGUAAAAAUGUAGUCUUUAUUGAUUAUCUCUCCCUCUCUUGAAGAUCCUAGAAUAUUUGCAUGGUAUUAGAGCCAUCAAGAGGGAAGGAAUUAAAUCAAACCUUACCUUUUUCUUCCUUUAUGCUGUCUUUAGUUGUCUCAUCUUCACUAACUUCUUGAUUUUGUCGACACUCAACAACGCUACUAUGGACAUUAUUCGUUGUGGUACUCUCUUCUAAUUGCGAGCAAUAUCGACGAGUGAAGUCUUCAUCAAAUAUUCAAGUAGCUGUGAGCAUCAGAGUCAAGUACACUUUAUUGGGCAGCCAAACAUGAGCGCCAUGAGUUGAUGUCAUCAAAUAUCUAGGUUGCUAUGAGUGCCGGAGUCAAGCACACAUUGUCAAAGUAGCCAAAGAUCAUUGUGGGGUGAUGCGGUUUGGUUUGCCACAAUUCAUGAUUCUAUCAACGUUGUAUGAGAAAGAUAUAACAACCUAGGCCUUAUUGUGUAAUAUUGUCCGCUUUGAACACUGAGUCUUCACGGCUUUAAAAUACGUCACACAGAUUAGAGGGACUUAAGCCUUAUAAACUAGCCCCAAGACUUCCCCCUAAGCGAUGUGGGACAGGAGAUGUGCCCUUGCGCUUGGGCCGUCACACUCUCCCCCCUUGGGAGAACAACGUCCUUGUUGUGGAGCCACAUGCGGUUGGGAGUCGGCUCUAAUACCAUUUGUAACGACCCGGGCCCUAUUGUGUAAUAUUGUCCGCUUUGGACACUGAGUCCUCACGGCUUUAAAAUGCGACACACAGAUUAGAGGGACCUAAGCCUUAUAAACUAGCCCUAGGAUUCCCUCCUAAGUGAUGUGAGAUAGGAGACGCACCCUCAUGCUUGGGCCGUCACAAAAGAUAUGUCAAUUUUCUAGGGAAAAUUACCAAAAAAGUUAUAAACCUAUUGCAAUUGUGUCAAUUCAGUCCUGAACCAAUUUUUUUUUUGACUAAUAGAGUCCUAAACCUUUUACAAUUAUUCCCAAUCAAUUCAUCUGGCCAAAAUUGGCCGGCUGGUGCCGGCAAGCUUUUUUUAAUAAUAUUUUAUUUUUGAAAUAUUUUAUUAAUUUUUUAUCCAUUUUCCCUUUUUUUUUUUUUCCCUUCUCCCUCUCCCUCCUCCCUCCUUCUUCCUUUGGCUCCGGAGACUAGGCUAGCUCGCCUUGGUGUCGCUGGGGGAGCCCUCACCAGAUCCAGCGAGUCGAGCCCUGUCGGAUCUGGCGAGGGGAGCCUUGCUGGUUGGUGAGCUUACGCCUAGCAACGGCGGGGCGAAACCCUGCCGGAUCUGGCAAGGCGAUCUGGUGGCGCAAGCCCUCGCUGGAUCUGGUGAGGGCUUGCCUUGCGGUCACCGUGCAAGGCGAGCCCUCGCCAAAUUUGGCGAGCGCCCCUUUGUUGGAUCUAGUGAGGGCUCGCCUUGCGGUUGUGAGGCGAAACUUUGCUGGAUCUGGUGAGGCAAUUCAGCGGGGCGAGGCGAGCCCUCACCAAAUCUAGUGAGGAGGGCCUCACCACCUCGUUUGGCGGCUGCAAGGCGAGCCCUUGCCAGAUUCGGUGGGGGCUCGCCUUGCCAUCGCUGGGUGUGAGCUUGCUGACUGGCGAGGCGAGCUUGCUAAAUGAAGGAAGAGGGAGGAGGGAGGAGGGAGGAAGAGGGAGAAGGAAAAAAGAAGAAGAGGAAAAAUGAAAAAAAAAAAGAUAAAAAAUUAAUAAAAUAUUUCAAAAAAGAAAAUAUUAUUAAAAAAAGCUUGCUGACGUUGGUUGGCUGCCAUGUCGGUAUCGGCCACCCAAUUUUGGCCGGAUGGACUGAUCGGAAAUAAUUAUAAAAGGUUUAGGACUCAAUUAAUAAAAAAAAUAAGUUUAGGGCUGAAUUGACACAAUUGCAAUAGGUUUAAGACUUUUUUGGUAAUUUUCCCCAAUUUUCUAAGCAUGUGUUGCUUUAACGCUUGUCAAAUCCGGUUUUUUUAGUGUAAGGUCUGACUUACAUGGUGCUUGAUCACAGACUUUUGAAGAAAUUUGCACCAUACUACAAGUUGGAUGCUCUAGUUUAAGGCGGAGUGAUGAAGUAUAUUAUGGAGAUAAGAGAUUUUCUUGUUAGAGAUAUCAUCAUAUAUUAGGAUAUUAGUUAAUAUUUCGUGAUUCUCUAAGAUAGCUAAUUUCUAAUCCUAUGCAUAUCAUUCGAGUAUAAAUACCCUCCUCUAAUAACUUGUAAAGACAAACGAUGAAUAAAGAUAUGGACUUUACCGAUCUUUCCUCCUUCUCUCUUGAAGAUCUAAGAAUCCUUGGCAUUUACACCCAAACAAUAUGUAUAGGAAAAGAAAUUAGCUAUCUUAGAGAAUUACAAAAUAUUAAAUAAUAUCCUAUUCUCUAAUAAGGAAAUAUCUAGUUAUCAUAAAUAUACUUCAUCACUCCCCCUCAAGUUGGAGCAUCCGGUUUGCAUAUAAUUGGUGCAACUUUCUUCGAAAGUCUGUGAUCAAGCAUCGUGUAAGCCGGACCUUACAUUAAACAAAUUGGAUUUGACAAGCGCUGAAGUAACACAUGCUUAGAAAGUUGACAUAUCUUUGUCAUACAACCUUUAUAGAAUUGUGUGAAAACCCAUCUUGAAUUGCAACAAGCUAAACCGCAUCACUCCACAGUGCUUAUUUUUGGCUACUUGAUGAAGUGUGCUUAACUCCAACGCUCACAACUAAUUGGAUACUUGAUGACAUCACCCCAUGGUGCUCAUGUUUGGCUGCCCAAUGGAGGUAUGCUUGACUCUGGUGCUCAUAGCUAACUGGAUAUUUGACUGCAACUUCGCUCGUUGAUGUUGCUCGCAAUUAGAAGAGAGUACCACAAUGAAUAACAUCAAUAGUAGUAUUGUUGAGUGUCAACAAAAUUGGGAAGUUACUGAAAAUGAGACCACUAAAGAUAGAUAAAGGAAAAAAAAAAAAACAGCUAAUAUUUGUUUAAAUUCCAGCUCUCUUGGUAGCUUUGACAUCAUGUAAAUAUUCUAGGAUUUUCAAGAGAGAGGGAGAGACAAUUAGUAAAGACUACAUCUUUACUUAAUUGGCUUAACUUUACAAGUUAUUAGAGAAGGGCAUUUAUACUCAAAUAAUAUGCAUAAGAAAGGAAAUUAGCAAUCUUAGACCAUCACGAAAUGUUAAAUAAUAUCCCUAAUAUCUAAUAAUAUCUCUAACGAUAUUCUCUAACAAGAAAAGCUCUAAUUUGCAUAAAUAUACUUCAUCGAAAGGUUUGAAUAAUGAGAUGCAUGUGGUUUUACUUUCAGUAAUUCCAUCCAGUCAAUUGAUAGAUGAAUUUUCCCAUCUUAUAAGAUCGCAUGUGAGACAUUCACAUUAGGCCGACCUUGGCCCUCCCAUUGCUCUUCAUGAGCAGGGUCCGACUUAUGAUGUUCGACUCAAGAAGCACCAUGUCUUCGGCUACCUCGGUUGGAUGGACCUGGGGAAAAAAAAAAGAAGAAUUUCUAAAUGACCCGAGUUGAGGCCGAGGCUGUAAGGCUCGCGGUUUCGGAAGUGGAGGCCGGUUUCGAAUGUGGAGGCGUGGAAGCAUGGGCCAUGGUUGGCGGGUCACGAGAGAGGACGGAUCUUGAGAGGGAGCUAGAAAAGUGGGGCAUUUGAGAUGGCCGAUGUAAGGGUUGAAGAAGAGGAAGUGUAGAGUAAAGAGGCCAUUUGGAAGUGUAAUCACCAUUGUCAGAGAGAGAUGAUUUGCUUUGCCUAAAGGGGCAGGCUAAGGAAACAAAGAAAAAGAGACGAAGUGAAGAGGGGUAGAGAGAGUGUGUGUCAGUAAGGAAGCCUGCUUUAAAGAGAGAGGAGAGAAAUUUUAUAAAGAGAAAAUGACAUAAAUGAUUUCAGAAUUCUGGUUUAAAUUGCAAUGUGGUCCUUAAACUUUUAAUUUGUCCAAUGUGGUCCUUGAACUUUAGUUCAUUAUACAAUGUCAUUCAUGAACUUUAGAUAUAUCAAAUUUAGUCCAUAAACUAUAUAAAAAUAUUCAAUAUUGUCCAUGAAUUUGAAUGAAUGGAAAAACAAUAUUAAACACUUCAUAUAGCUUGAGAACUAAAUUGAACACGUAUAUAAAAUUUAAGGACUACAUUGAACAAAUUAAAAGUGCAAGAACCACAUUGGACAUUGGGAUAAAUUUUAAAAACUGCAUUGAACAAAUUUAAAUUUUAUGGAUUAUAUUACACAUUGGGUCAAAAUUAAUGAAUCAUUUACUUCAUUAUCUUUUUGAAAACUUUGACAAGUGGAACCUCUAAACAUGUGUCGAUUAGUGAGUGGAGUGGUCUAUGACUAACGUGGAAACCAUGACUAUUCAAUAUUUUCUCACUUUCAUGAAGUAAUUUAUGGAGUGAUACGACAUCUUUUCGGUUGUCCUCAAUUUGAGAGGCGUAUGGUACACUUUGUCAACAGCAACUAUAGAUAAAGCUAAAAGAAGCUCCUGGUUGGGGGCGGGACCUUUUGGGUUGGAAGCCAAACUUUGUGUUCUUUUAUGAGAUGUUUGAAAGUUUGGAAAGAAUAUGAUUUUAUCAUUAGUAGAUGUAAUUUCACUAAAUUGACAAUAACAAUAGUUGUAGAUCUAUCCCAUUUAAAUUGUGACUUAGAUAUAGGACCCCUUGUUCAAUGAAUUAAUAAUGAAGGGAGAGAUAGCAAGGAGAGAGAGUAGAGAGGAAAUUAUGAAAACUCUAAUGAGUAGAACUCAUUUCUGACAAGUGAUAAUCAAUAAGUGGAGUUGGUGCGAAAAGCCACAACUAUCUAAUAGUUUCUCACUUUUAUUAAAUAAUUUAUUGAGUGAUACAACAUCGUUUCGUUUAUCCUCAAUGCCUAUCACCUAAAUUCAAGAGGUGUAAACACAUGUAAGCCGACAUGCAAAUCUCUAACAACUCCUAUGGAUGGAUGCUAGAAGGGCAGACUUUUUUGGGUCAAAAGCCAAACAUUUUAUUUUUUUGUGAGAUGUUUGAAAGUUUGGAUAGAAUCCGACUUUAUCAUUAGUAGAUAUAAUUUAACUAAAUUGACAAUAACAAUGGUUGUAGAUCUAUCCCCUCAAAAUAGUGACUUAGGUAUAGGACCUUUCGUUCAACGAAUUAAUAAUGGAGGGAGAGAUAGUAAAGAGAGAGAAGAGAUGAAAUUUUGAAAACUCUAAUGAGUAGGACACAUUUUGGACACGUUAUAAUAAGCGGGUGGAGCUAGUGUGGAAAGCCACAACUAUCAAUAGUUUCUCACUUUUAUUAAAUAAUUUAUUGAGUGACACAACAUGUCACCUGAAUCCGAGAGGUGCAAACACUUUUCGAUUGACAUGUUGAAUCUUUAACAGCUAAUAUGUAUGGAUGCUAGAAGGGGGGACUUUUUUGAUUUGAAAGCCAAAUUUUGUGUUCUUUUGUGAGACAUUUGAAAGUUCUCAAAUAGGAUCUGACUUUGUCAUUAGUAAAUGUAAUUUCACUAGUUUAGCAAUAACUACACUACUAAAUUCGUGCUAUUAAGAUGGUGACUUUUGUAUAGGACCCCUUCCUUAAGCUUCAAUUGGAGCUCAUCCAUGGACAACGACUAUACAUUUUGAUCAUGUUUCUCAGUAAAUGUAAUUUCACCAAAUUAACAAUAACUACGCUCCUAAAUUCAUGCUAUUAAGAUGGUGACUUUUGUAUAGGAUCCCUUCCUUAAGCUUCAAUUGGAGCUCAUCCACGGAUAACGACUAUGCAUUUUGAUCAUGAUUUCUCCGUCUCUAUCUGUGGGUGCUGUACGACACCACGUCCGAUGAAGAGGGAGUCUGGUGGAGUCCUAGUUUGAAUGGGAGACAUAUCCUAUUAUUCAGAGCCACCCUAACCAAACAUGAUUUUGUACUAGCGACGUCCCAUUUGAUUUGGAGCGGCUGGAUUUUUGGGGCAUUAGUUUUCGCUUCUUCAGGGGGAUUUUGUGACAUUUGCAAUUGACAGCAAUUGACCUUCAGCUUCGAGAGCGGAGACAUGAAAGCACGAGAUCGUAUUUAUUCCUGACCUGAUGUCGCAAAAAUGUUCCCUUACCUGAUGUCGCAAAAACGUUCUAUUACGUUUUUCUUAUUGUUUCUUCUUGAAAUUUGGCUAGUCCUCACUCAUUUUCCUUCAUAUUUUUGCUUUAUUUUUUUGUUUAUAUUUAACGGUCUCCGGGAGAAUGUAUUUUAAUUUGACAUACUGAUUUUUAUGAAAAGGAAAAUAAAAAGUUAAAGGUUUUUCAUUAUAUUUGGCCUUCAAAUUAUUUCUACUUUAUCUACCAUUGCUAAUACUUUUAUUAGUUUAUCUUAAAGGAGACAACAUUUUUUAAUGACUUUUUUUUUAGAAAAAAUUAAAGUCGGAAGAUGCGUAGCUGGGGAUAAUCGGUAUAGGACCCUUUCGUUAAGCUUCAAUAAGAGCUUCUCCAUGGACAACGACUUUGCGUUUUAAUUAUGAUUUGUCAGUAUCAACAAACAACAACCAUCAAAAGUUACAUGUGAAUAGCAGUUUUUAUCUGUGGGCGUUGUACGACACUACGUACAAUGGAAAGGUGGUUUGGUGGAGUCUUUGUUUGAGUGGGAGACAUGUCGUAUUAGUCAAAGCCACUAUAACCAAACUUAAAUCGAUUUUGUACUAGCGACGUCCUAUUGAUUAGGAGCGGCUGUAUUUUAGGGCAUUGGUUUUCGCUUCUUCAGGGGGAUUUUGUGACAUUUGCAAUCGACAGCAAACAACCUUUGGCUUCGGUAACGGAGAUCUGAAAGCAGGGGAUUGCAUUUAUUCCUAAUUUGACGUUGCAAAGACAUUAUAUGACGUGUUUCGAGGUGUGAACAUCAAAAGUAUAAAAACAUGCUAUAGAGAGACACUUAAGUACCAAAAGUUUCAAAUUUAAGUACCAAAAGUAGAAAAAAAAUCUAAUACUUAAGUGCCAAUGGCAAGAAAUUUCGGCCAAAUUGUUGACAUGACAUUUUUCUAGUGAGAUAAGUGGAAAAUAAUGUUGUUUUUAGCAUUGGCGUGGCUAGAUAAGUGCAAAACAAUGUUUUUUUUUUAGCGCUAACAUGGCUAGAUAAAUCUAAAACAAUGUUAUUUUGAUGUUGAUGUUGCCUCAAAAUUGAAUUUUAAUAUAAAUAUUAAUGAAGAUAAAUUAAAAAAAAAUAAAAAAAGAAGAGGAAAAGGGAACACGUUUGGCAAGGGUUGAGGCCCUUGCCACCGCCACCCCACCAUCAUCGGAAAGGGCCGAUGAUAGUGGGGUGAGGGUCGGCUAGGGUCGUUGGCCACUGGGUAAUGGCCGGCGACCUUGUCCCACUGUUGGUGAGGGCCUAUAGGCCCUCGCCUAGAUCUGGGGUGGAAUGGUCAUUAAGUCGCCCUAGCUAAUGAUAGCCCUUGGCCUUAUUGGGCGAGGUGACCCUCACUGGAUCUUGGGGUUGUGAGCCCUUGCCAGUCACUGGCAAGGGCCACGGCCCCUCGCCUAGGUAGCAAGGCUUCUCCAGCCACAAUGAAAAAAAAUAAAAAAGAUGAGUAAAAAUAGUAAAAAUUUAGAAAAAAUAUUAAAAAAUUGUCUAUGUCAACUUCGAUUGUGCCACAUAAAACGGCGGCUAAUGUCAAUGUUAGCGAUUUUUGGCGAAAAUUGAUUGAAUUGACUCAAUUGAUACAUAUGCAAAAUAUUACAAUACUAGAAAGAAAUCAGUUCAAGGGUCUUUGGGAAAUUGUGUUACAAUACUAGAAAUAGUUUUUGAGUGAUAAUUAUCCAAAGAGUUCUAAACCUAUUUAACAACCAAUAUUGUCUUAAACUUUCAAUUUUAUCAAUUUAGUUCUAAACAUUUUGGCGAUUUUCUAAUGUAGUUCAUAUGGUUAAUUUUGGCCAGCAACAGCUAAUGUGAUCCUCUAAUUAGUGCUGGCUGUCCUACAUGGUAGCCCUAACGUGGAAUAUUUUUGCAAUCUUUUUAAAUUUUUGAUUUUUUAUUCUUUUGUUGGGUUUUUGAUGGUAAAAAAAUUAGUUUAGGGUAAAUUUAUCGCAUAUGUAUCAAUUUCGGGUUUUUCGUGGUAUUAACCUAAAGCAUUUUGAUGGUGAACAUAACAAUAUGCUGACUAACGAACAACACCUUUUACAUGAAAUAAAUCAAUUCCAGGGUCUUCGGGAAAUUGUGUUACAAUACUAGAAACAGUUUUUGAGUGAUCAUUGUCCAAAAAGUUUUAAACCUAUUUAAUGGCUAAUAUUGUCCUAAAUUUUCAGUUUUAUCAUUUUUUUUUAAAACAUUUUGACGAUUUUUCAAUGUAGUCCAUAUGGCUAAUUUUGGCUAGCAAUAGCAAAUGUGACCCUCCAGUUAGUGCAGGUUGUCCUACAUGGUAGUGCUAAUGUGGAAGUUUUUACAAAUUUUAAAUUUCUUGAAUUUUUUCUUCUUUUUCUUUGUUUUUCCAUUGUCCAUCUUCCUGAAAGGGCUAGUGGAGGCCUAUAGGGCCUUGAAGAUGGCCCGCACAAAAUAAAAAAAAUAAAAUAAAAAAGAUCAAAUAUUUUUAAAAAAAUUACAAAUGUAGGACAAUCGAUGUCAACGUCAGCGAUUUCCAACCCAUAUUGACUCGGAGGAUUAUAUUAAAAAAAGUAUUAAAAUGUUUAGGACUAAAUUAAUCAAAUUAAAAAAUUUAAUACUGAAAUAGCAUCAUAUAGCAGGUUUAGGACUUUUUAGAUAAUUUUGCCCUAUUUUUUGGUAGAUAAAAAAUGGAUAAGUGUAUUAGAAGUUCUAGAACUUAUCACGAAAGUGCGAUUAAGUUCUAGAAAUUUCAAAAAGUGCAAUCAAAUCUUAUAAUUUGUCACCAAAGUGUAAUCGAGUUCUAAAACUUUCAAAAAGUCUAAUUAAUGAAAGAAUUUGAUUGGACCAAUUUGAUAAGUUCUAGGAUUCAAUUGUAUUUUUUGAAAGUUUUAAGAUUGGAUUGUACUUUCUUGACAAGUUUUGGGACUUAAUUGCACUUUUUGAAAUUUUUAGGACUCAAUUACACUUUUAUGACAAAUUUUAGGACUUUUAGGGCACUUAUUCGGAUAAAGGAAGUCAAAAGUUAUAGGAUUUUCAUGAUAUUUGGCCAUCAAACUAUUUCUCUUUUGUCUACUAAUGCUGAUUUCCUUUUAUUAGGAGACAAUAGGUUUUAUCGACUCAUUUUAGAAAAAAAAUUUAGUCGAAAGAUGCAUAGAGAUUUCUAAUCACGAUAAUAUUUGAAUGCAUGCAUGGGAUCCUUCGAGAAAUUUUGAACAGAUCUUAAGCACGAGAUUCUUAUUUAUGCAAAUCGAUAAUCGCAUUUCCAAGGCUAUAGACUUUUUUCGAGGUGAGGACACCUGGAGUGCCAUAACUUGGCACGCCGGGACACUUAAGUGCCAUAACUUUAAAAUGGUACACUUAAGUGCCAUCAUCGGAGUAAAAUGGGACACUUAAGUGCCACUCCGGCGAAAAUCCGGCCAAAUGGCUGACGUGGCAAUUUUCCGGCGAGUUUAGUCCAAAACGGCGUCGUUUUGCACGCUGACGUGGCAGAGAAAACGCAAAAACGACGCCGUUUUGUGCCUACGUGUAAAUAAUAAUAUAAAAAUUAAUUAAAUUAUAAAGUAUUCAAAAAAUUUAAAAAAUUAAGAAAAAUUUAAAAAUUUUAAAAAAUUAAGAAAAUGAAAAAUAAAAAAAAAAAAAGGGUGGGGGAGGAAGAAGAGGCGACUGAUUGCAUCACAUUUUGCUAGGAAAAGGAACAGAGUUCUUCUAUCUUCCAUACUCUUUUUAUGAUUGAACCAUGUGAUCCUGAGUCAAUUUCUGAGCCAGAUCCCAACAAGCUUGUUCGACACUUCAAUAGUGACGGACAUCCUGCCAUCACUACAAGAUAACUAUGUCAUGAUUGCUGAGAGCCGUUUCUGCGAUGGUCCUGUUGUAGCAAUUCGCCUGGACGAGGUAUAUUCUUUUGCAGACUCCGCUUGGAGAAGGAAUCGAUGAUAGAUGUACANNNNNNNNNNNNNNNNNNNNNNNNNNNNNNNNNNNNNNNNNNNNNNNNNNNNNNNNNNNNNNNNNNNNNNNNNNNNNNNNNNNNNNNNNNNNNNNNNNNNNNNNNNNNNNNNNNNNNNNNNNNNNNNNNNNNNNNNNNNNNNNNNNNNNNNNNNNNNNNNNNNNNNNNNNNNNNNNNNNNNNNNNNNNNNNNNNNNNNNNNNNNNNNNNNNNNNNNNNNNNNNNNNNNNNNNNNNNNNNNNNNNNNNNNNNNNNNNNNNNNNNNNNNNNNNNNNNNNNNNNNNNNNNNNNNNNNNNNNNNNNNNNNNNNNNNNNNNNNNNNNNNNNNNNNNNNNNNNNNNNNNNNNNNNNNNNNNNNNNNNNNNNNNNNNNNNNNNNNNNNNNNNNNNNNNNNNNNNNNNNNNNNNNNNNNNNNNNNNNNNNNNNNNNNNNNNNNNNNNNNNNNNNNNNNNNNNNNNNNNNNNNNNNNNNNNNNNNNNNNNNNNNNNNNNNNNNNNNNNNNNNNNNNNNNNNNNNNNNNNNNNNNNNNNNNNNNNNNNNNNNNNNNNNNNNNNNNNNNNNNNNNNNNNNNNNNNNNNNNNNNNNNNNNNNNNNNNNNNNNNNNNNNNNNNNNNNNNNNNNNNNNNNNNNNNNNNNNNNNNNNNNNNNNNNNNNNNNNNNNNNNNNNNNNNNNNNNNNNNNNNNNNNNNNNNNNNNNNNNNNNNNNNNNNNNNNNNNNNNNNNNNNNNNNNNNNNNNNNNNNNNNNNNNNNNNNNNNNNNNNNNNNNNNNNNNNNNNNNNNNNNNNNNNNNNNNNNNNNNNNNNNNNNNNNNNNNNNNNNNNNNNNNNNNNNNNNNNNNNNNNNNNNNNNNNNNNNNNNNNNNNNNNNNNNNNNNNNNNNNNNNNNNNNNNNNNNNNNNNNNNNNNNNNNNNNNNNNNNNNNNNNNNNNNNNNNNNNNNNNNNNNNNNNNNNNNNNNNNNNNNNNNNNNNNNNNNNNNNNNNNNNNNNNNNNNNNNNNNNNNNNNNNNNNNNNNNNNNNNNNNNNNNNNNNNNNNNNNNNNNNNNNNNNNNNNNNNNNNNNNNNNNNNNNNNNNNNNNNNNNNNNNNNNNNNNNNNNNNNNNNNNNNNNNNNNNNNNNNNNNNNNNNNNNNNNNNNNNNNNNNNNNNNNNNNNNNNNNNNNNNNNNNNNNNNNNNNNNNNNNNNNNNNNNNNNNNNNNNNNNNNNNNNNNNNNNNNNNNNNNNNNNNNNNNNNNNNNNNNNNNNNNNNNNNNNNNNNNNNNNNNNNNNNNNNNNNNNNNNNNNNNNNNNNNNNNNNNNNNNNNNNNNNNNNNNNNNNNNNNNNNNNNNNNNNNNNNNNNNNNNNNNNNNNNNNNNNNNNNNNNNNNNNNNNNNNNNNNNNNNNNNNNNNNNNNNNNNNNNNNNNNNNNNNNNNNNNNNNNNNNNNNNNNNNNNNNNNNNNNNNNNNNNNNNNNNNNNNNNNNNNNNNNNNNNNNNNNNNNNNNNNNNNNNNNNNNNNNNNNNNNNNNNNNNNNNNNNNNNNNNNNNNNNNNNNNNNNNNNNNNNNNNNNNNNNNNNNNNNNNNGGGGUCGCCGGUCCCCGGCUGACCGACGGCGAGGGCUGCGAGCCCUCGCCGAAGCGCGGCGAGGGCCGUGACCCUUGCCCUAGAUCUGGGCGAGGGCUCGCGGGCCCUCGCUGACCCUCCCCCCUCCGUCGCCGGCCCUUCCCGGCGACGGCGGGGAGGCGGCGACGGCGGGGAGGCGGCGGCGGCGAGGGCUCAGCCCUCAGCUGCCCGUUCGACCUCCCCCCACUUUUUUUUUUUUUUUAAAUUCUUAAAUUCUUAAAUUUUUUAAAAUUUUCUUAUUUUUUUUUAAAUUUUUUAAAUUUUUUAAAAUUAAAAUUUUUAAAAUUUUCUUUUUUUAAAAAUUUUUUUGUUAAUUUUUAUGCUGAUUUGGAGCUCCGGCGAGCCACGUAGGCAAAAAAUAAUAAUAAAAUAUUGCCACGUAGGAUUUCCGGCAAGGGUCGCCGGAGGUGGCACUUAAGUGUCCCACUCGAAAAAAAAAGUGGCACUUAAGUGUACCGUUUGGAAGUUAUGGCACUUAAGUGUCCCGGCGUGCCAAGUUAUGGCACUUGUGCUGUUCUUCUGCCACUUUUUUCCAUGACCGGUUGUUGCGACCAAAUUUUCGGGUGAACCACCUAGGGUUUGGCUAAUGGAUUGUUAAGCCUAGACUUAACUCGGGCUCUCCCAAUCCAUACCAAUUCGCGACUUAGGUUUAAAUUUUUAACAUGCAGAUAGAUUUUAUCUAGGAGUCGCCACUAAUCUAUUUUUGGUGGGUCGAUUAGAAACCCAAGUAAAGUAACGGGAGAUUUACUUUACUCCUACGAACCAGAGACUAUGGGUAUGGGGACUUAGUUACACUAGAUUUCUCUAAUGCCCUUUCGGUAUCAUUUUUUUAUUUUCAAAAAUGUUUUUGCAGGCAACUUGAAUUAAUUUAAAUUUAUCUCCCUAACAUGUGAGGUUAUCAUGCGGGUGCACAAACCACCAAUUUAACACCCAAGUAAAGCAAUAAAUAAAUUGCAGGACUUACCUCAUAGCAACGAAAGCAUCUGCGUUGUUAGUUCAGAAUUCACAUCAACAGUCCUAGACAUGAUUUUUAGUUAACACGCAAUUUUUUUUUUGUUUUUUUUUUUAUACUUAUUUAGUGAAAAUCAUGCAAUAUGCAAUGCAUGCUAUUAAUCUAACAUGAAAUGAUAUGACAUGGCAGUAUAACUUAAAUUAUAUGACAUGAGUAAAAAAUGCAAUAAUUACAUAUGCAAUCUAAAUUAACCAAAAUGACCUAAUCUUAAUGACGGACAAUUUCUAAUUAAAUGAUCCUAACAAAAAUCACUAAAUGACGUGCAUUUCAUGAACCUAAUUCUAUAUGACGUGCGCAUGAUAUUUCUAUUCUAAAUAAGCAUGCAAUUUAUUCUAAUAUGCAAUGACGUGUAAAGAAUGCCCUAAUUCUAAUUUUUUUCUUUUUUCAUUAUUAUGAAAUUCGAAAUUAAAAAUUGCCAAAUAACUAAACGUGCAAUUCAAAUUUAAAACUAACAUCCUAAAUGAAUGCAUUUUUUUUUUAUUUUUUUAUUUUUUUAAACAAAUUCGAAGUAAAAUCCCUAUUCUAAAUAUGCAAGAUAACAAGAGAUAUUCUAAAACCAACCUAAUUCUAAUUCAAAUAUUUUUUGGAUUUUUCCUUUUACAAAAUUAAAAUUGACUCAACUAACAGGACGGCAGAUCAAAUAAGAUAGGAUCGAUAUCCACAAAUUGGCGAACCAUAUCUUGCGCAUGAGAUCGGGUUGGCUAAUUUUAAAUAAAUCACGAAUCGAAUCUCAAGCGUGAGAUCGGAUUGGCAAUUUUUCAAACGAUUGUGAUUGCGAGUCGGAUUUCGCGCGCGAAAAUCGGAUUGUCAAUCCCAAAUUUCAGAGGCAAUUUCAUGUCGGAAUCUCAAUCAAACAUUAAAGAAUAAUUCCACUAAAAGAAAAAUAAAACAAUAAUAAAAUAAAAUAAACUACCUAGAUUAGAUGAUUCUCGGCGGCAAAGGACUCACGAACGGCGGCGAUUACACGGCUCACGGUGUCGGCGAGCUCGCGGAGAUGGAGCUUGCGGAUAGAGAUUUCGCGGACGUUGGCAGAGGACGCGAGCUGAAGUCAAUGGUCAAGGAUGACUUUCGUUUGGCCUCAACCAAAAAUAGCGUAUCCCACCAGGUGGUGUUCCGCAUGCCUCUUCUCUUCACUACUCAACUAUAUGAAUUAUGUUAUCCCCACGUGAAAACUCAACCUGCAUGAAAAAACAUUUAAAAGAAAUGGUUGAAGAAUCACGUUGCAACCCACGAUAAAGGCAAGUUGGGUGUUAAUAGCAGCUGGCUUCGUCGUUGACGCGGAUUGAUGAUCGUGGGUCAGUGUUGGCGCUUGGGGCAGCAACGGCGUUGCUGGACUACUCGCGGCAUUGAAAGGCUAAGACACGUGGCCAUUAGAAUUGAGCGUCGUCGGGGUUGCUCGUGGCGUUGGGAUGAUAAGCUUCGUGCCCGAAAACUGCAAGAGCUAAUCCGUGCGUUCGCUGGAACUUCAACGCUGGGGCAGGCCGAGGCGGCAAACGGUAGGGACGAGACGUCUACUGCCACCGGGAGGAUGUGGGUUUGGCAUUGAGCUAAGGUGACUAGCGGCUUCAUGUCUGGAUGGGGACGCCAUGGGAUAACAAUUCGGUCAUGGCUUAGGGAUUUACGGCGAGGGCAGUGCUCGGCCCAUGAUAUUGAGGCAUGGCAGCGACAGUGGGAGCCUCGGAGUGGUUUGUUAAUGAUUGAUAACCUGCAAAACAGAGAAACGACUCCACAACAAGGUGAAAGAUCAGCAACGGUAACGGCAGAUCGUCGUGCAGUGUAGGCUGGGAGACGGCAGAUUCUUGGUGUUGAAGCUUGGUGAUGACGGUGUUCGCUGGAUGUUCACCAGAGUUGCUGGGAACUUGCUGCGAGAAGAGUUGAAGGCUUUAUUUGAUUUGGGCUUAAGGCCCGUCCGCCCAAGUUGGGCCCAGAAAUCCCGGCCCACGGGAAUAGGGCCCGUGGAAAGAAGGGGGUAUAAAAGGGAGGAGAGAGAGAGAAAAACACACCGUUUGUUUUGCAAUUCAACGUACGUCUUUUCUCUUCUCACGCUCUCUCUCUCCCAAAAGGAAAGAACAGUAAGCAUACGGCGCGCUUUUCUUCCCUUCAAGGCCUCCUCGGAUUGAACAGAGUCUGAUUUCUCUUCCUCCAUUGGCGUCGGUGCUUAAUCUGUGGCUAACAAGGUACGCUCGAAUCCGUGGUGUGCUUUACGAUCGGUGAUACGUGUUUUCCCGGGCUUUGUCUUCCGCAUUGAUUUAGGGGUUUGAUUUAGUGUCGAAUCCGGUUUUUCGGGGAUCAGUCAUUCCCAACAUUGGUAUCAGAGCCCUAGUUCACGUUUUCCCGACUUGUUUGACGAUUUUUGAUUGAUUUUUCGCGAAAGUGUUUCGGCCGUAUGGAUCGGGGCGAGAAAUCCCGACACCCGAGCGUUCUUCGGCCAUUUUACUGAGUUUUCGUAAGUUGAAACUGUUUUCUGAAUACAUGGGAAGAAAGACGACGUCGAGACGAGUCUGGCAAUGCGUCGUGCGCCGCCGGGAGACGCCGCACGCGCCCACACGCGCGGCCAGAAGCGGCGGCGUGUGGGCGCGACGCGCCCGGAAGUGCUGGCUCGCCCAGUGCGUGCGGCGCACACGCCGGUCGGCGAACUGGCGCGUGCGCACCGCCGGUCGGCGAGCCGGCACGCGCCGGUCCGCGGACCGACGCGUGCUGACGUCACCCAAUGGUCAAUAACCGCUAGGGUGACGUCAGCACGGCGACGAUUCGCCGAGCGGUCACCGGCCGGCAACCCGACCGGCGACCCGAGCCGCGCGAGACCCGGCACGCGCGCGGCGCGUGCCGGAUGACGUCUGCGUGACGUCAGCCCGCGCACGCGCGCGGCACGUGCCGUCGAUUCGCCCGAGCAGGGCCCGCCGGCCCGACCGUUGACCGUUGACGACCGUGGACCAUUGACCGUUGACCGAAAAAAAAAAAAGAAAAAAAAAAGAAUAUGUUUCUUUUUCAAUUAAGUCUAUGUGGAUUAUAAUGUGAUCUCUUAUUUGUUCUGCAUUUGUUGUAGGAACAAUGCCUCCCUUGAGGUUGCGCACACCUAUUCGCGCAAUUACCGAUGAACAAAAGGAUAGGCUGUCUAAGUUGAUAGCUGAGCUGACUGAUCAUCGAUGGGAGAGAGGUGACUUAAUUGAUCAUGUCCUUGAAGUCAACGGGAAAAUUCAACAGGUCAUAUGGAAUGGUCGUCCUAUGUCACAGUCAGAGAUGGUGCGAUUUUUCAUAAACACUCUUCCACCUGAUUGGCAAGAUGUGUUGAAUCGCAUAUGGGAUGUCAACGGAGCUGCUUCCUAUAAGAAAAUUGUGAUGGAUUUUGUAAAUGAAUAUUGUUGUAUUGUUUCAAGGGAAAAGAUCAAGAAAUUGAACAAAAGAGGAUUUUUCUCAGUUCGUGUGCUGACUUGGUGUUAGUUGUAUUGGCUGAUAUAUGUUAAGUGUGAUUUGUGGACAUAUUAUGUAAUGAUUACCACCUAAUUGUGUUAAUUGAAAGCAUUAUUGUUUUUAUUGGAUGUUCUAUUAUAUAUUGCUUUUUGUUAUUGCUGGUUACUAUGGGUAAUUAGCUAUUGGUAGUUUUAGAAGUUUUUGUAGCUUCAUAGAAUUGAUUUUGCAUAAGACAAUUAUAUUGAUGAUAGUUUUAAGUUAGGAUUUUGGAGGAUGAUUGGAAACAUAGUGAUCUUUUAAUUCUGAAACCUUACUUGAAAUUAUUCAUUAAUAUGAUGGGUCUAUGUAAAUAGGGAUGCAUAAAUGAUAGGCAUUAAUAAUUCGUGCAUAUUUGUCUGAUUUGUUCAGAUCAAUGGCUUCGGCCACAAAGAGCAUAGUUGCCGAGCUGAACAAAGGUGAAAAGCUCAAUGGAGACAACUAUGAAAUUUGGCAAAUGAAAAUCCAGUAUGUGCUGGAAGAGCAAGAAGCACUUGAGGCUCUUGUCAUGACCAUGGUAGAACCUGAAGAGGGAACCACUGCACAGCACAAAAGAGACAAAGAAGCUUUUUAUGCGUGGAAAAGAAUGAACUCUCUAGCUCGAUCACGUUACUGAGCAGCAUGGAAAAUGACGUCAUGCGAGAGUUUCGGCGUUUUGACAAUGCUAAGGAAAUGUGGGAGGCAUUGGCAGCUAGAUUUGGUCAUACUUCGAUGACUAGACUGACUCAGCUCAGUUAUCAUGUUUGACAUCUUUCUAAGAUGUUGCUUCAUGGUCUGACUCUUAUAAGAAAGAUGUCAAACAUGAUAACUGAGCUGAGAGAUGCUAGCCAUGUCCUCACAGAUGAGCAGCAAGUGCAAGCAGUGAUUCGUUCCUUGCCUCAGAGUUGGGAGCAUAUGAAGGUGUACUUGACUCAUAAUGAAAAUAUCAAAACCUUUGAGGAUGCAAUGCGUCAUCUUGAGCUGGAAGAGAACCGCUUAUUGGCGGCUAAGCCGGAUGCUGAACUUUAUCAUGCUAGUUCUAGCUUAAAUGGAGCUUCGAGCUCCAAGCGCAAGCGCCCUAACUGGUUUGAUAAGGGAAAAGGCAAGGAAGAAGCAGGUCCUUCAGGGAAGAAACCCAAGUUUAACCAACAUGAAAGAGGGAAGCGUCCCCGCAUGAAAAAGCUUGCAAGGGUGAAAUGCUACAACUGUGACAAGAAGGGUCACUAUGCUCGCGACUAUCGUGAGCCAAAAAAGGUAUGCACCCCUUGUACUUUUCAGAACUUCACUUUUGUGUCGAGUUCUGUAUUCUUAACUGAGUCUAAUCCUUUGUGGACUGUGGAUUUAGGAGCGACGGACCAUGUAGCGAAGGAUAGAGGAUCCUUCGUGGAAUUCCGACGAGUACCAACUGGAACUAAGUGGAUCUAUGUGGGAAACAACUCCAGAGCUGAAGUGAAAGGAAUUGGCACAUGCCAACUGAAUAUGCGUGGUGGACGCACUUUGUUCCUUCAUGAUGUGCUGUAUGCUCCGGAGAUUCGUCGGAAUUUAGUGUCUGUAUUAGUGUUGGUUAAAUUAGGUUUUAAUAUGAACUUCUGUAAUAGAGGUGUGAAUUUGUUUUUGGAUAUAAAUUACUAUGGUUGUGGUUAUUUUCUGGAUGGUUUUAUUGUAUUAGAUAUUGAUUAUGUUAAUACUAAUGUUUGUUAUUCCCUUCUCACGUCUCCUAAUAAAUAUGAUAAUGAUGUGAAUGUGUGGCAUGCUAGACUUGGUCACAUUAGCCAACAGCGUAUGAAUAGACUAGCCAAAGAGGGCUUGUUGGGCAAUAUUGAAAAAGUCGAUUUGUCCAUAUGUAAGCAUUGCCUAGAAAGGAAAACGACAAGAAAACCAUUUGGAAAAGGAAAAAGAGCUGAAUUUCCUCUGCAUUUAAUCCAUUCUGAUGUCUGUGGUCCAAUGAAUGUGAAAGGAAGGCAUGGGGCUAUUUAUUUCAUCACUUUUAUUGAUGAUUAUACUCGAUUCGGAUAUGUCUAUUUGAUUUCUUACAAAUCUGAAGCAAUAAGUUGUUUUAAAAGGUUUAUGAACCUGGUAGAGAAUCAAUUAGACAAGAAAAUAAAAGCAUUGAGAUCCGAUUGAGGUCGAGAAUAUUUAUCUGAUGAGUUCAGAAAAUUAUGUGAUGAAAAAGGAAUAGAAAAACAGUUGUCUAUUCCAUAUACUCCUCAACAAAAUGGUGUUGCGGAGAGAAGAAACAAAACCCUACUGGAAAUGGUUAGGUCCAUGAUGGCGCAUGCUAACUUACCUAUUACUUUUUGGAGUGAUGCGUUGUUAACUGCUGCCUAUAUACUGAACCGUGUGCCUUCCAAAUCAGUUACUUCCACUCCAUAUGAGUUAUGGACAGGUAAAAAACCGGACUUAAGUUUUCUUAAGCCAUGGGGUUGUGCUGCCUAUACACAUGAGUCCUCUCACAAGUUUGGAAAACUGGGUCCCAGAGGAAAGAAGAGUAUUUUUAUAAGGUACUCUGAACACUCGAAAGGAUAUGUGUUCAUAGGUGAGCAGGAAAGUGGGAGUAUAACUGAGUUUGAAUCACGAGAUGUCACAUUCCUAGAGGAUGAAUUUCCUAAGAAGGGCGAAAUAGGGGAAGAUUGUUCCCUAUUUGAAACCUUGGAUCAAGAUAAUGACCUUAGUGGACUUCAUCCAAGUGGGAGCAUAAUGGGGAAUGAUGUGCAAAGUGUACAAUCUCCCAUAUGGCGAACAAGUCGCCAAAGUAUUCCUCGUCGACGUUUUGACAUUGAAUGGGAGACUUUUAUGGUUGCUCCACAAGAUGAGGAUGAGCCAAGAAAUAUUAAUGAGGCUCUGAAUUGCCCUAGUAAGGAAAAAUGGAUUAAUGCAAUGGAAGAGGAAAUGGAGUCAAUGAAAUCAAACCAAGUCUGGGAACUGGUUGAUCUGCCAAAAGGACGCAGAGCUAUUGGGAACAAAUGGGUUCUCAAAAUAAAGCGAAAGGUUGAUGGCUUGAUUGAAAGGCAUAAGGCUCGCCUUGUGGCGAAGGGGUAUAAUCAACAGGAAGGAAUUGAUUAUGAAGAUACGUUUUCUCCUGUAGUGAGAUUUACCUCAAUUCGCAUUAUUCUGGCAAUAGUGGCUAGUCUGGAUCUUGAAUUACAUCAAAUGGAUGUAAAGACUGCUUUCCUCAAUGGAGAAUUAGAGGAAGAAAUAUAUAUGGAACAACCUGUUGGUUUCAUAGUGAAAGGCCAAGAAGAAAAAGUAUGUCGACUUUUGAGGUCGAUAUAUGGUCUUAAGCAGUCAUCAAGACAAUGGUAUAUACGUUUUCAUAAUGCCAUAAUGGCAUAUGAUUUUACGAUGAUUGAUGAGGAUCAUUGUGUAUAUAUCAAAAGAUCCAAGGAUCAAUUUGUGAUCAUAUCAUUAUAUGUUGAUGAUAUACUAAUUGCUGGAAGCAAUAUGGAGUUUGUUAAGACUGUCAAGAGUUGGUUGUCUUCCAACUUUGAGAUGAAGGAUAUGGGUGAGGCUGCAUACAUUCUUGGAGUUAAGAUUUCAAGAGAUCGUUCGAAGAGAUCGUUAUCUCUUUCGCAAGAAACUUAUAUAAACAAAGUUCUAGAACGGUUUCGUAUGCAAGAUUGUAAACCCAUAGACACUCCUAUUGCAAAAGGUGAAGGAUUGAGCCAUAGACUGUGUCCAAGGACUCCACAAGAGAAGGAACAAAUGAAACAUGUUCCUUAUGCAAGUGCUGUUGGGAGCUUGAUGUACGCUAUGAUGUGUACAAGACCCGACAUAUGUUUUGCAGUUGGAAUGGUGAGUAGAUACCAAUCCAAUCCAGAUCCAGCACAUUGGAAAGCCGUUAAGAGAAUACUGAGGUAUCUGAAGGGAACUGCUGAUUACAAGUUGAAUUACCAAGGAAAGGAUCUGCGACUUGAAGGCUAUUCAGAUGCUGAUUGGGGAGGAGAUUUAGAUGAAAGAAAAUCUACCUCAGGAUUUGCUUUCUUACUGAGCAAUGGCGCCAUAUCAUGGAGUAGUAAGAAGCAAACGUGCAUAGCCUUAUCCACGAUGGAAGCUGAGUUCGUGGCGUUAUCAGCAGCAGUACAAGAAGGAGUUUGGCUUAAGAGAUUUUUGGAUCAUUUAGGUGUUAUUGAGAAAGCUGCAAAUCCAUUAUUGGUUAACUGUGAUAGCCAAGCAGCUAUAGCGUACACCAAAGAUCCAAAAUAUCAUGGCAAGACCAAACAUAUAGAUACCAAGUAUAACUUUGUGAAAAGUAUGGUUGCACGAAAGGAUGUGAACUUACAGUAUAUAUCUACGCAUAGAAUGGUAGCAGAUCCUAUGACAAAGCCAAUACCUAGAGAUGUGUUUUGUGGUCAUGUAAAAUCUCUAGGAUUGCGUAGAGUCUGAUGUACUGAAUUGUAAUUUCCCUGAGUUGUUCACAUUUAUGAAAUUUUGUUUUUCAUUGAUUAAUGCCUAUGAAUCUUUGUAUGAUCUUUAUGCAUCUUAAUGCUCAGUGCAUUAUUUUAAGUUGAGAAGUAUGUCGGACAGAUAAAAGAUUAGCCCACUCACAUGGGUAAUUGCCUCUGUUUACUGUGUGAUAAAUAGAGAUGAGACUGAUUUUAAGCUUAUUAUCUAGGUGAUAAUCGAGAGCUCAAGCUUAAAAUAUGUAUGUCGCCUUAACUAAGUGUUAAGAUGAGGACAUAAUACUUACGAUGUCCGAAAGUAAAAUACCCAACAUAUUUUACUUUAUCUGUCUAUGAUGCCAUAUGUGAGUUCUGAUGAACUUUGUGAUUGAGUAGAUAUGUGAACUCAAGUUAGACAUUAGGUAUGUCUGAACUAUCAUCUGUACGGUAUUGAAAAGUGCAGACAUACGCUCCAUGGGAAAGGAGUUAAUACCGUAAUACGUAUUUCAUACUACGUAUGCAUGAGACGACCAAUAAGAGUGGCAAAAAGUUUGAUCUCAACUUUUAUGACGUGUGAGACUCUUAAGGAAAAGAGUUCCUCAAUUUUUAGUCCCCUCAGGACUCUUACUUAUUCUCAAGAUUUCUAUUUAGUGUUUGCUAUCUUAGGGUGUUGCCAAUGGUCAUGAGAUGAUUCGAUCUAAUGGGGCAUUUCUAGAAAAGCAAGCUGGACUGAAAUUGAGAGUUUGAAGGAAAGAGGAAGAUCGAUUUUGGAGAAUCACAUUGUAGUUUUUGUAUUCACUGGUCGACCAAUUAUGAUUGUUUUUGUGAUAAUUAUAAUUGUGAAUACAGUAUACAUAUCAUGUUUAAAAGAGAUCAAGAGAGAUAUAACUUGUGAUCGAUCGAUCUAGGGUACUGCAUACUAAAUCUACUCAGAGUGUGACGCCCAUUAUGAGCUGCUAUAUAUUCCUAACAGAUGUAUAGCAACGAGCUCUCAAAGUAUGCUGGUCGCACGGAUUAUUCACCGGUAUGAAUGUUGAAGAGAGGUAAAGAGAAUCCUGUUUGGCCCACCAUGUGCGAGUGGGAGAUAAAGGCUUUAUUUGAUUUGGGCUUAAGGCCCGUCCGCCUAAGUUGGGCCCAGAAAGCCCGGCCCACGGGAAUAGGGCUCGUGGAAAGAAGGGGGUAUAAAAGGGAGGAGAGAGAGAGAAAAACACACCGUUUGUUUUGCAAUUCAACGUAUGUCUUUUCUCUUCUCACGCUCUCUCUCUCUCCCAAAAGGAAAGAACAGUAAGCAUACGGCGCGCUUUUCUUCCGUUCAAGGCCUCCUCGGAUCGAACAGAGUCUGAUUUCUCUUCCUCCAUUGGCGUCGGUGCUUAAUCUGUGGCUAACAAGGUACGCUCGAAUCCGUGGUGUGCUUUACGAUCGGUGAUACGUGUUUUCCCGGGCUUUGUCUUCCGCAUUGAUUUAGGGGUUCGAUUUAGUGUCGAAUCCGAUUUUUCGGGGAUCAGUCAUUCCCAACAAGAGUUGCUGGGAACUUGCUACAAGAAGCGUUGCAGCAAACUGGAAUCCUCCGGGCAACUCACCAGCGGACCGUGACACGCCAAAGCGACUGCCGGUGUUCUCUGGAGCCACUAAUCUGUUAAGGCAGGGGCUGAGGUGGACAGGAUUACUGAAUCACUGGUGCAGCGCCAUGGAUCUGCAAGAACUUCCGCAGGGGUAGUCAAGAUGCGCGCUUGAGGCGAGGACGGCUUUGAUUCUCGUUCAGGACGUCUAGAGUUCAUUAGAUUAAGUUGCCCUUGAUGGGGCAGGCGCCGAUGUAGCGCGGCACGGACUCGGCCAGGCAGGGGCGUCAAAACUGGGCUAGACCAGCCAAGAAGAAACUGCGCGGUGGUUCUCGGACGCUGCGAGCAAUGCAAUAGCGACAGUCGUCGGGGGCUGCGGUGGCGACCGAGGAGCUUGUGUACGCGGGAGGCCAAGCAGCAGUAGCGAAGGAGACGACCUGUUCCUCUUCCGCUUCCGUUUUCUUCUUUUGGUUUUUCUCUCUCCUGCUGCUACACGUAUCCCUCUCUGCCUCUUCUCUGUUUUCCCUCUGACCUACUGACUUUUCCCUUCCCUCGGCAGCUUUUCUUUUGUGUCGCUCUCUCCAAGGAACGAAGGACAACACCCUAAAACCUUUUUUCCUCUCUUUUUAUUCUCUCUUAUUCGAACCCUGGAGGAGUCCCCCAACGAAAGAGCUUUUUUCUCUCAAUGGCCGUGUAUUCAAUAUGUGUGGCCCCCUGAAACCUACGCAAACAACUUAUUUAUAGGGCGAGAAUUAGGGUUUUAAUUUUUCCAAAUUCAUAUUCACAAAGAUUUGUUUUUUCAAAACGCAAUAUUUGCUCCACAUUUGCCCCAUCCAAAAAAUUCAUCAUAUCUUGGAAAAAUUUCAAAUUCCUAUUUUUCACGAGAUUUAAAAAAACGGGCCUGGGCCAAUUUGCUCGCUUCGUGGGCUUAAUCCAACCUGUCAAUUUAAAGCUCAGAACCACUAAUUGAAACCCAUCCGUCACUGGUCCAAUAAAUGCAAAAAAAAUGCAAAUGCACCUAAAUUUAUAUGCUAUGUAAUUAAUUAAUUAACUAAUUUUUUUAGGGGUUAAAAUUAAUCCCUAAUUUUUUAAUGCGAUAAAUGAAUAAACGGGUCGCCAAAAUUUAGGUGUCAACACCGGUGCUUAACAACACCACCAUCUAUAUAAAGCGGGGUUAGCAUACUGAGAGAUUCGCUACAACUUUCGCAAUGGUUCUUCCUGCUUUGUUCACAAGCUUCGUCCCCUCCCCAAUCAGCCAUAACCAACCCUCUCUCUUGUCCUUUAGACACCCUCGCUGCUCCUCCUCCUCCUUCUCCUCAGGCGCUAAAUCGGUGACAUGCGCCAUGACGAUCGAGAAUCCAGAGAUCGCGAGACGUUCGGCAAAUUGGAAACCUAAUGUGUGGGACUACGAGUUUCUCCAGUCACUCAUAGUUGAUUACACGGUACUGAUCCUUUUUGGUUCGGCACAAUACCCAGCCUGGCUAUGUUCUAUGGAAAAUGUUCACAUCUCGGUCCUGAACUUUGUAUUCCUUUUUUUCCAAUCUUGUCCUUGAACUUGUGGGAAUUCCCUAUCCGAUUUCUUGGUCUAUGGUUCUGGCAAAUUGAAGCUCAUGCGCGUGUCAAUGCUAGAGGAAAGUAUGAUGCAGAAAACUUGGUACAAGUUUUAAGUUCAAGGAUCAUGUUGAGAAGGGGAAAAAAAACAACAUAAAGUUGAGGAUCGUAUUAUUGCUUUUCCCUACUUUCUUUUUACUUUGAUGAGAUAGAGUCCACAACACCCAAAAUGGCAUAGAAACGAAAACGACACUGUAUUCUGAAUUAGAUAUAAGGAUGUAUACUACUUGAGUACUUUUGUAUACGACCAACCACUGCCACUCUAUCAAAUACGACCGACAUAACAAUAUUCCAUAGAGAUACUAAUAAACUUGAUCAAAAUGGCAUAUUCUCAACAAUGCUUACUCUGCUUAUGUAUUACUUUUGAUUAAGAUCUCAUUUUUCUGAAUGUUUUACGUGCCUAGGAGGAUAAAUAUGCCGAGCAAGUCCAAAGGUUGAAGGAAGAAAUCAGGGGUCUAUUCAACAGGGAGAUGAACCAGGUGGCCAAGCUUGAGUUCAUUGACGCGGUUCAAAGACUCGGACUAGGAUACCAUUUUGAGACGGAGACAAAAAAUGCUCUCAGUUCCAUCUAUGACAAUUCCGGAUAUGCUCAGCUUUUGAACGAUCUCCAUGCAGUUUCCCUUGGAUUCCGAAUACUCAGACAACAUAGAUACAAAAUAUCACAAGGUAUUUGCCAUAUGGUUACCCUUUUAUAAAUCAUGUAGAUGCAUCAAAAGUUACCUUACCGUUCCUUUUUUUGGACAUAUAGAUGUGUUUCAACAAUUUAUGAACAAGACGGGCACGUUCAAUGAAUCACUCAAUAAGGAUGUGAGGGGGCUUCUUAGUCUUUAUGAAGCUUCUUUCCAUGGAUUGGAAAGUGAAACCAUACUUGAUGAAGUGAGGAACUUUGCUUCAAAGCAUCUAAAGGAUCUAAACCUUGACAAAGUUCCCGUUAUGUUAGCGAGCUACGUGAGACAUGCAUUAGAUAUGCCGAUCCACUGGAGGCCAAAUAGGUUGGAGGCUCGGUGGUUCAUGGACAUGUACGAGAAACAGCAAGACAUGAUCCCUUCCUUGCUGCGAUUGGCUAAAUUAGACUUCAAUCUAGUGCAAUCAGUCUACAAGAAGGAAGUUAGCAAUAUGGCAAGGUAUGCACAAGCACUUUAUAUAUAUAUGUUCAUGCAAACACCAAACCUGUAGGAGCGCAUUUAGAUCUACUUAGUUGUUGCAUGGUAAAUUGCUCAGGUGGUGGGUUGAACUUGCCGCAAACAAGAUGACCUUCUUCAGAGACAGAUUGGUGGAACACUAUUUUUGGACCUGCGCCAUGGUUUUUGAACCUCAAUAUACAGCUUACAGGGAAAUGACAACGAAGCUCACUUGUAUGGUGACACUUAUUGAUGGCGUUUAUGAUGUAUAUGGGACACAGGAAGAACUUGAGCUCUUAAUAGAUUUUCUUGUUUGGUUAGUGUAAUAUGAUUACUAUCAUCAUUUUCCCUCGUAACUAUUGUUGCCCAGAGAAACGAUAAGGAAUUAAAUAGUCUCUGAAUGACACAAGAGAUACAACAAAUUUUGAUAGUUCUAUGAUAUAAAUUCUCCAAUGCAUUUUGAACAUAUCACUUUUUAAGUUAGAUUUUUUUUUUCGUCUAUAUAAUUGAUUGGUCGGGCAAUUAAAAGUAGUAGUAAGUACUAACUUUCAUUGUUAUUACUAAAAGUGUAUCAGGUGCUGGUAAAAUUUACAAAAUGUUGAAAUGUUGAUAUCUCAUCCAGGUGGGACAUCAUAGAAAUUAAUAAGCUUCCUCCAACAAUAAGGGAUAGUUAAAUGGCCUUGUACAACACGAUCAAUGAAAUUGGGUAUUGGACGAUGAGAGAGUUAGGAAUCAACACCAUUCCUUACAUGCAAAAAGUGGUAAUCUCGCUGAAUCUUUCACCUAAUAAUUUCUAGCCUGUGCAAGGCAACUCACGUUUCUACUUCUGACUUUCGUAAUGGAACUUCCAUUUAAACAUUUGAGAAUUCGAAAAAUGUACGAGAGAAGAAUGUCCCUCUGCUUUGUCAUUGACACACUUUUUUCGAAUUUCAAUCCUCUAGUGUGUGGAUGAAUGCAAGGCGUACAUUAAGGAGGUCCAUUGGUACAACAAGGGCAUCAAACCGACACUGAAGGAGUACAUGGACAAUGCGGUGGAUUCAAUCGAAGGGCUGAUUAUGCUGUUGGGCAGCUACUUCCUAACCACGGACAAAUUGACAGAAGAGGGGCUUGGUUAUGUGUCGAAAAUCCCGAGUGUCAUGCAUUGCUCUGCCAAGAUCCUUCGACUCAACAAUGAUCUCAGUACCUCAUCGGUAAAUUACUUUGACAUUUACCUUUCUCCUUUUGUAUAAUCGCUUAUGAAGAGAAAGCACAUCAUUGAUGGAUUCAAAAAUACAUGCUAUUCUUUUUAAUAUAUUCGAUGAGAAUCUUGACACUUAUGUUUGUGAAACAUCAAUCUCAUUCAUGGUCAAUAUGAAUUGGCACGAGGGGACAACUUCAAGGCGCUAGAAUGCUACAUGAAUGAAACUGGUGCCUCGGAAGAGGCCACGCGUGAACAUGUCAGGCAAAUGGUGCACGAGACCUGGAAGAGGAUGAAGAUGUAUUUGAGGACUACCCAUAUUCUGGGUUCGGGCCUUUUCUCGGCGCUUGUCUGAAAUUGGCACGAGCUUCUCAGUGCUUUUACCAGUAUGGAGACGGACACGGCCUUCCCGACAAUGAAAAAAAGGACCACCUUGUGAGGGCACUAUUCGACCCUGUGCCCCUUGAUUAGGGAUGCAUAUUACUGACGGAGGUGUCACUGUUGGAGAGAGCCUAUCGACUUACGUGUUAUUAUUAGCUUUUGGGGUGGGUGGCUUUGGAAGCUCUGAGACUUUGAAACUGUUAAUUGAAGCCUAUACGAUAGAUAGGCGUUGUACGAGCUCCAUAAAAUUCGCCAAGGAACCUCAUGCUAUUCGGGGCUUUGAGUUGUGGUUGAUAUACAUAAUUGAUAAUAAAAUUUGUGGUGAUUGUUGAUACUUAAUUCGUAGUCGACGCAUCGAAAAGGUAAAAAUGUGACAUUCAGAUUUUUCAACCCUAUCUUCUAUCGAAUAAAUCGGGCAUUUCAUUGACGCGCCUAUAAGGCUAUUCUCAGAACUGAUCAUUCUUGAGAUAACUAGACUAUCUAGGGAAGCCAUUAAGAAAUAAUGAGCAAUUGCAUGGUUAUAUAUUAUAAUGAGCAAUUGCAUAUUAUCACUUCUCAGUCUCAAACAUGCACAUAAGAUCAUUCAAGUGGUGGCCAGUCACUCAAAAGCAUUAUGCACAAUAAUAUAUAACUCACAUAAAUGAAAUCAAUUGCAAAACAUAAAAAUCAUGAAAUUCACAUCAUCAUGAUUAGGCUACAUCGUAGCCCUAACAAAAGAAAAUUAGAACAUAGCAGAUGCAGAAAUAAAAAUAAAAAUCAAACCCAACAUCUUGAAUUAAAGAACCAAAAUUCUAUCACCACUUUGGUCUUCUCUUCAAAAUACUUGAAAAACUCUCAAAACAAUGAAAAACGAUCUAACAAAAGCCUAACUUCUCUCUCUCUCCCUCAAUAUUCUCAUAUUCAUAGGAUAUAUCCAAGAUCCUUAUCUCCAAGCAAUUGUGCAUAAAAUCAGGGAGUAAAUCAAAGGAUUUUAAUUUAAUAUCUAUCUCCCACCGCUCUUUGAUUUGAAUUCCUGAUUUUUGCCAUUACUUUCCUUAUCUUCUCCAUAUCUCAAUAUUCUGCAUAAAUAAGGAAAAUUCAAAUGAUAAGAAGAAAAUCCAAAUAUUUUCUCAUAGAUAUUGCAUUAAUUGUUGUCUAAAAUAGGUAAAAUAACUCUAUUUUUAUAGAGUUAUCAAACCCCCAAACUUAACAUUUUGCUAGUCCUCGAGCAAAAUCAAGACAUAACACAUACUCAAACUAACAACCUCCUCCAUGACGUCUUUCCAUAAUUGCUCAAAUUCACAAUUCAAAGAAAAACACAAAUUUCAUCCAAACAUUGAAAUUGAUUUAUAAGUUAAGACCAAUUCUAACUAUGUGAUCCAAGUGUGUGUGUGAGAGUCCUUAUCUUUUUUGAAUUAUAAGCAAUCCGGAUAAAUUCACAUUGACAUGCAACCUCUAAAAAAUUCUCAAUAAUUAUGACCAAAUCUCAUAGGUUUACUUUUCAUUCAUCUAUCCACUAAUGUAAGCUAAUUAUAAAACCAAAAAUCAAAAGGACUUUUCUCGGUUUGUAAUGUAAGGCUGGGCUAAAUGUGAGAUAACAGUAAUUUUAAGCAAAUCACCUAUCAACACGUUGAUUUCUAGGAUCUAAUUAGAACCAAUGUCACUGUCCAAUUUCACUCUUUCAAGACAAUUUUUUUGCCACUAUAUAUCAUCAUUCUUUUUUUUUUCUAUUUUUUUUUGAAUUGUUUUAUAGUGGAAUUUCUCCUAAAGUCCCUCCUAAUAUAACAUGAAAAUUUCUAACCUAUUGAGUAUCCAAAAUGCUCACUCAAUUGAAAGUUGGAUAGGGAACUAUAAAAGCAAAUUUUUUUUUUUUAAUACACCCCAAACAACCAUACCAAUCACUUUUUUUUUUGCUUUUUCAUACUCCAUCCUUCCUCCUAAAUUUUUAUCAAACUCAAAUAAUUUUUUAUCCUGAAAAUCAACGUGCUCAUAGGGCAUGGGACAAUGAUAUAAUUUGAUAACGGCUAGGCUAAACACUUAUGGGUGUUAAUGAAAAAUUGGAUAAUAAUUAAGGCUCAAUGGGGUGACUAGGGAUAAAUAAACAUGGUUAGCUUGAAAUGCUCAAUCGAUCCAAAAAUUGUCUAAAUCAUUUUCUCAGUUAGAUGUAGCUUAGGAUUUUACCUCAAGAGAAAAUCAAACAAAUUCUAAGAUUUGGGUGAAAUUUAAGAAAAUCACAUACUUCACAUGAAUGUUUUCUAGAUUUAUGCACAAUUCAAAAAUUAAGGACUUGUAGUGCUCAGUAAGUGAAUAAACAUAAUCAGAAUUAAGAUUAACUCACACAUCAAUUGCAAGUUUAAAUAAAAUUUAAAUUUUCUUAAGAAUCGCAAAAAUUCACAACCAAUAAUCUAAUCAUGAUAAUAAAAUAGAUUUAGCCAAAAUUUUUGUCUCCCCCCCCAAAAACUUGAAUGAAGAAGUGUCAUCAAUGUGAAAAAUAGAAAUAGGAAGAAGAAAACUCCCAUGGUUGUAGGAUAAGUUCAUAGAUGACCUUGAUGAUUAAACUCUUGAAAGGAGAUCCCUAAAAAAUUAACCUGAAUAAAAUAGAGAAAAGUUAAUCUUUUUUUUUUUUACAAAACAUGAACUUAAUAAUAAAUAAUAAUUAAAAAAACAUAAUUAAAAUGCUUGGAUUGCCUCCCAAGAAGCACUUGCUUUAUAGUUUUCAGCCAAACUAUAUCAGAUGUCGCUAUUCUAGAGGAUGAAGUUCAAUGGUGGUCUUCUGCUUAUUAUAACCACCUUCAAAGUAGGGCUUCAAACGUUGACCGUUCAGUUUGAAUGUGCCCUCAGUGUCAUGUGCAACUUCAACUGUUCCAUAUGAGGACACCUGUGUAAUUGUGAAAGGACUAGACCAUCGAGACUGCAACUUUCUUGCCAUCAUGAUAAUGAUGUAGAAUGUUUUCCUUCUCUUUAUUUGGAACACAUCUCCUUAACUUGGUUUGCACAUAUUUUAAAUAAGAAAGGUUCUUCCCAAAAAUAAUUUUUAAUAUCAUAAAAGAAUUUUUAACUCUGUUGAUAUGAUAAUUAAGGAGGAAUAAUAUUAUUUAAUAAUUUACAAAGUCGGUGUACCAGGGAAUUUUUGUGGACUUAAUGGAAAUUUUUUUCUCAUUAGGGAACUCUUCCAAAAUUGGUCUUACCUCUUCUUUUAAAUUUGGAAUUCUUGAUAAGUGGUUUGCAAUUAGAUUUUUAGUCCCAUUCUUAUCUUUGAUUUCCAAAUCAAAUUCUUGUAGCAAUAGAAUCCACCUGAUCAACUGGGCUUUUGAUUCUUUCUUUUCAAGCAAAUACUUAAGAGCAAAGUGGUCAAAAUAAACUAUAACUUUUGAGCCAAUUAAAUAAGAGCGAAAUUUAUCAAAAGCAAAAACUACCGCCAAAAAUUCCCUUUCCGUUGUUGAAUAAUUCAAUUGUGCACUUGACAAGGUUCGACUAGUAUAAUAUAUGGUUUGAAAAACUUUGUUCUUCCUUUGUCUCAAAACAGCUCCUACUGCAGAAUUGCUAGCAUCAUACAUUAGUUCAAAAGGUAAAUCCCAAUUUGGUGUUGCCAUAAUUGGUGUUGACAUUAACUUCUCCUUUGAAGUGUUAAAAGCUUGCAUGCAUUCAAUAGAGAAAUUAAAAGGAGCAUAUUUUUCCAAAAGAUUAGAAAGGGGUUUAGCAAUUUUUGAAAAAUCUUUUAUAAAUCAUUUGUAAAAUCUUGCAUGCCCCAAAAAUCCUCUAACAAGUUUCAUAGAUGUUGGCGGAGGAAAUUUUGCAAUGACCUCCACUUUGGCUCGAUCAAUUUCUAUUACGUUUUGAGAAAUUUUAUGCCCGAGCACUAUUCCUUCCUACAUCAUAAAGUGACACUUCUCCUAAUUCAAAAUAAAGUUAGUCUCCUCACAUCUUUGUAAGACCAAAGCCAAAUUAUUUAAACAAGAAUAAAAUGAUAAGCCAAAAAUGGAAAAAUCAUUCAUGAAAAUCUCAAUAAAUUUUUCAACCAUAUCAGAAAAAAUAGCCAUAAUGCAUCUUUGAAAAGUAGUCGAUGCAUUACAAAUACCAAAGGGCAUUCUUUUAAAAGCAAAAGUACCAUAGGGACAAAUGAAAGUAGUUUUCUCUUGAUCUUCUAGUGCAAUAGGAAUCUAAUUAUACCUCGAAUAUCCAUCAAUAAAGCGAUAAAACUCAUGCCCUGCAAGUCUUUCUAAUAUCUGAUUAAUAAAUGGUAAAGGAAAGUGAUAUUUUCUAGUGGCAUCAUUCAAUUUUUUGUAAUCCAUACACACACGCCACCCAGUAAUUGUUCUAGUUGGAAUCAAUUCAUUGUUGUCGUUAUUCUGAAUAGUCAUAUCACAAUUCUAUGGCACAACUUGUACAGGACUUACCUAGGAGCUAUUGGAGAUGUGAUAGAUGAUACCUGCAUCAAGUAGCUUAAUUGUCUCAAUUUUCACUAUUUCUUGCAUCUUUAGGUUCAAACACCUCUGAGGUUGGAUAGUGGGUUUAUAUUAUUCAUCCAUCAAAAUUUUGUGCAUGCAAAUUGAAUGACUAAUUCCCUUGAUAUCUGCUAUUUUCCAUCUAAUUGCACCUUUGUGCUCUCUUAAUACUCUAAGCAAUUUCUCCUCCAUCAAAUCCGUCAAAGAAGAAUAUAUAAUUACCAGUAAAGAAGAAACUCCAUCUAAAUAAGCAUAUUUUAAAUGAGAAGGUAAGGUUUGAGUUCAAGAAUUGGAGGUUCUUCAAUUGAUGGUUUAGGCUUUAUUAUGUGUUGUCCCAACUCCUCAAAUUUAGUUGCCUUUUGCCUUAAAAAUGGUGGAAUUGCCUCCAUGAAAUUUGUGUACUCCUUUAUCUUCUCAUUCUGAAUAUUUUUGUCUCUUGGUCGAAUCAGACAUGCUUCAAGUAGAUCUUUAAAAAUAUUUUCCUGAAAAACCUUAUUCACCAACUUGUCAACUGUCUCAACUCUAAAACAAGAAUUAUCAUCAGAUUGAUAUUUCAUUGUUUUAAAAAAUAUUAAAUGAAACAAGAUCAUCUUGAACUCUAAGAAUCAACUUCCCUUGUUGUACAUCAAUAAGAGCUCUUCUUGUUGUUAGAAAAGGUCGACCUAAUAUAAGUGGUACCUCAAAAUCUUCCUCCAUGUCAAGAACUAUGAAAUCUGCAAGAAAGAUAAAUUUGUCAACUUUUACCAAAACAUAUUUCACAAUACCUCUUGGAUAUUUAAUUGAUCGAUCAGCCAAUUGAAGUGACAUUGUGGUUGCUUUUACUUUGCCCAAUCCUAAUUUCUUGAAAAUUGAAUAAUGCAUCAGAUUAAUAUUUGCACCUAAAUCACAUAAUGCUUUUUCAAAGUAAGAAUCCAUAAUAGUGCAAGGAAUAGUAAAACUCAUCGGAUCUUUUAAUUUGGAGGUAAGUUGUUUUGUAGGAUGGCUAAACACUCCUUAUUUAAUUUCACAAUUUCAUAAUCCUCUAGUUUCCUUUUGUUUGCCAAAAUCUCCUUAAUUUUUUUUGCAUAACUAGGCAUUUGCGCUAAGGCAUCUGCAAAAGGAAUGUUAGGGCUUGCAUGUUUUUAUUCCUCGUUUCUGUUUCUAAACACUUUUUUUGUUUUUUUGUUCCCGGAACACAAAAAGAACAGAAAUGAGAAACAAAAAAAAGUUGUUUCUUGUUCCAGAAACGAUUUUGAAGAAACGCUUCUUCUUCUCUCUCUUCUCUUUUCUUCUUCUUUUCUUCUUCUUUUUUUCUUCUUUUUUCUUUGGCCGGUCACCGGCCUUGGCCAUGGCCGGCGAGGCCGUCGAGGGUCGGCGACCUCGCUGGAGCGUUGCCGGCCCCCGGCGAGGCGGAGCCUCGCCCAACCACGGCGAGGCUCGGCCUCGCCGGCCUCCGGCGACCGGCCGAAAGAAGAAAAAAUAAAAAAGAAAGGAAAAAAAAUGAAAAAUAAAAUAAAAAUAUUAAAAAAUUAAAAGAAACAAAAAAAUAAUAAAAUUUACCAAACGUGUUCCUGUUCAUUUUUUAUUCCGGGAACAAGUUUACCAAACGCGUUUUUUUAUUCAAAACUUGUUUCCCGGAACAUAAACACUUUUUUCUAUUUCUGUUCCCUAGAACAAUUUUUGAACAGAAACGUUACCAAACACACCCUUAAUGUGCAAUCUUUUAAAUACAUCAAGAAAUUUAGAAAAUUACUUAUCUAUUUUGUGCUGCUGGAGUCGAUGAGGGAAUGGAAUUGGCAGCACAUAUGGCUUGGGAUUAUCUGGAAAAAGUUUACUCUUGCUUGUCUCCUUUGAUUGUUUAUUGAUCAUUUCUUCCUUGUCUCUGAAAAUCUCUUGUUUGACAUCUUCUUCUCCCACUUGUUUACCACUUCUCAGGGUUAUAACCUUUAUGUUUUCAAAUGGAUUUUUCUCUGUGUUGCUUGGUAAAGAACCCUGUUGUCUCCCUAACAUCACGCUUGCUAACUGACCCACUUGCAUCUCUUGAUUUCUGAUUGAAGCCUCUUGAUUUUGAAAUCUCACAUCCGUACUUUUGAUGAAGUCAUGAGUCGUAUUAGCAAGUUUGGUGACUAUAUCUUCCAAAUUUGACUUUAUUUCUUCUGAUUGUUUGAAUCCCGGUGGUCUCGUCACAUUCUGAUUAUUCCAUGAAAAAUUUGGAUGAUUGUGCCAUCCUAGAUUGUACGUGUUGGAGUAGGGAUUAUUUUGUGAACUAUUAAAAUUCUCAACAAAGUUAGAAUUUUCAUUAGAUUGUUUAAAAGUAUUAUCUACCUGACACUCUGUGCUAACAUAUCCUUCACCACAAAAAUCACAUGUCAACUUUUGAAUUUUCAUGGCUGAAACACUCAUAUUAUCUAGCUUUUUGUUGAGUGCUUCAAAUUGUGCAACAAUUGUAGUAAAAGCAUCAACUUCGUGAACUCCGCUAACUUUUCGCAUUGGUAGUCUUUUAGUAGGUCAUUGAUAACUAUUGGAUACCAUCUCCUCUAAUAGAUCGUAGGCUUCUUCUGGUGUUUUAUUAUUUAGAGUUCCCCCUACAGCUGCAUCAAUCAUAGAACGAAGAUUUGUACUAGAGCCAUUAUAAAAAGUUUGUAUCUGCAUCGAUAUGGGUAGUCCGUGAUGUGGGCAUCUCCUAAGAAAUUCUUUGAAUCUUUCACAUGCUUCAUAUAAUGAUUCAUUAUCUAUCUGCAUAAACUUAGUAAUAUCGUUACACAUCUUCGCAAACUUUGCAAGUGGAAAGAACUUACCAAGAAAUUUCUAAGCUAUAUCAUUUCAUGUGGUGAUUGAUCCUGCAGGAAGAGAAGAAAGCCAACUCUUAGCUUUGUCUCUAAGAGAGAAUGGAAAUAAUCUCAAUCUAAUGGCAUCAUCUGUAACUCCAUUAUAUUUAAUGGUGUCACAUAUUUCAAGAAAAGUAUCCAUGUGAGCGUCUGGAUCAUCGCUUGGUAGCCCAUUGAAUUGCAUUGAUUGUUGAAGCAUUUGAAUGAGUGACGGCUUGAUCUCAAAAUUGUUUGCUUGAAUUGCAGGUCUUCUGAUACUUAAUGUGGUGCCUUGAACUAUUGGUGCAUCAUAAUCUCUUAAGAGUUUACGUGGAUUUUCAUUAUCAUUGUCUGCCAUCUUCUUAGCAUGAUUUCUCUGUUCUCUCAGUCACCUUUUGAAUGUAUGCUCGAUUUCUAGAUCAAGCUUAGGAAGUUUCCCUUGUUGGCUACGUGUCAUAAACCGAUGUACACCCUAAAAAAUAAAACAAAACGAAAGCUAGAUUAAACUUAGAAUUAUUUGGUAUCAAUAUUAAUUAGUAUUAAACAAACGAUCUCUGGCAACGGCGCAAAAAACUCGUUCGUAAAAUUCUAAACGCAAGUGAACAUGUCGAAUAAGUAAUAUAAUGAUAAGAAAAAGUAUCGUCCCAUGGAGAUCGAUGAUUAAUAAACUAAUUAAAUACUAAAGUAGAUUAAUUCUAAAAUUUAUCUAACAGAUCACAAUAUAAUUGAGAAUAAAUUUAAAAAAAAAUUUGGAGACUAAAUGCAGUAAAUCAAUCAGAUAAAUAUGUUAGAGCAUUCGAUUCCAUCAUAACCAUUAGAUAAGAAUUUAAGAUGAUUGUGGGUACAAGAACAAUAUCAAACAUGUGAUAACAGAAUUUCCUAAUCUAUUUACUAUCAUAUCUCUAGGUAUAACAAACAUACUCAGUUUAUUAAUCCACUAUUUCUAUGUAAAUUAAAAAUAAACAUGAGUGCAUUAAAUUUUUUGAAUAUUCAUGGCUUACAAUAAGUCUUUUGGAUCACCUUAUUAUCAAAAGCUAUACAAAUAACGCGGUAUAUCUCUAUUCACGUUUGAUUCAUGGUUAUAUAUUAUAAUGAGCAAUUGCAUAUUAUUACUUCUCAGUUUCAAACAUGCUCAUCAGAUCAUUCAAGUGGUGGCAUUAUGUAUAAUAAUAUAUAACUAACAUGAAUGAAAUCAAUCGCAAAACAUAAAAAUUAUGAAAUUCACAUUAUCAUGGUUAGACUACAUCGUAGCUCUAACAAAAGAAAAUUAGAACAUAGUAGAUGAAGAAAUAAAAAUAUAAAUCAAACUCAGCAUCUUGAAUCAAAAAAUAAGAAUUCUGUCACCACUUUGGUCUUCUCUUCAGAAUACUUGAAAAACUCUUAGAACAAUGAAAAACGAUCUAACAAAAGCCUAACUUCUCUCUCUCUCCCUCAAUGUUCUCAUUUUCAUAGGAUAUAUCCAAGAUCCUUAUCUCCAAGCAAUUGCACAUAAAGUCAGGGUGUAAAUCAGAGGAUUUUAAUUUGAUAUCUAUCUCCCAUUGCUUUUUGAUUUGAAUUCCUGAUUUUUGCCAUUAUUUUCCUUAUCUUCUCCAUAUCUCAUUAUUUUGCAUAAAUAAGGAAAAUUCAAAUGAUCAGAAAGAAAUCCAAAUAUUUUCUCAUAGAUAUUGCAUUAAUUGUUGCCUAAAAUAGGUAAAAUAACUCUAUUUUUAUAGAGUCAUCAGUGGUCCUCAAACUUUUAACUUAUCUAAUGUGGUCCCUGAACUUUUGAUAGAUAUUCAAUUUAGUCCAUUAACUAUAUGAAAAUGUUCAAUAUUGUCAUUAAACUUGAAUUAAUGGAAAAAUAACAUUAAACACUUCAUACAGUUUAAGAACUAAAUUGAACAUGUACAAAAAAAAUUUAAGCACUACAUUGAACAAAUUAAAAGUGCAAGAACCACAUUAUAUAUUGGGAUAAAGUUUAGGAACUGCAUUGAACAAAUUAAAAAUUCAUGGAUUACAUUACUCAAUAAGUUAAAAUUAAGAAAUCAUUUAUGUUAUUAUUUUUUUUGAAAACUUUGAAACCCUCUGAUCAUGUGUUGAUUAGUGAGUGGAGUGGCCUAUGAUUGACGUGGAAGCCAUGACUAUUCAAUAUUUUCUCACUUUGUGACAUCUUUUCGGCUAUCCUCCAUUUGAGGCAUAUGGUACACUUUUUCGGCAGCAACUAUAGAUAGAAGCUAAAACAAGCUCAAGGAACCCAAGGGAGGCCUUCUGGGUUGGAAGCCAAACUUUGUGUCCAUUUGUGAGAUGUUUGAAACUUAAGACAGAAUCUGACUUUAUCAGUAGUAGAUGUAAUUUCACUAAAUUGACAAUAACAAUAGUUGUAGAUCUAUCCCAUUAAAACUGUCCCUUAGGUAUAGGACCCCUCGUUCAACGAAUUAAUAAUGGAGGGAGAGAUGGUAAGGAGAGGAGAGAAGAUUUUGAAAACUCUAAUGAAUAGGACUCAUUUCGGACUAGUGAUAAUCAACGGGCAAAAUUGGUGCGGUAAGCCACAACUAUCCAAUAGUUUCUCACUUUUAUUAAAUAAUUUAUUGAGCGACACAUCUUUUCAUUUAUCCUUAAUGCAUGUCACCUAAAUCUGAGUGGUGUAAGCACAUGUUGAUCGACAUGCUGAAUCUCUCAAAACUACUAUGGGGAAGAGAUAGUAAUGAGAGAGAAGAGAGGAAAUUUUGAAAACUCUGUUGACACAUAAAUUUUGGCGACCAAUCAUUUAUUUUUUCACAUAAAAAUUAGGGAUUAAUUUUAACCCCUAAAAAAAAAAUGCAUCAGAACAAAAAAUGGAAAAUAAGGGGAUGAUCAAUUAUGCAUGGAAGGUGAGAAUUCUGACUAGCUAUUAUUGCUUCAAUUAGAUAUUCAAUGUUGGUAAAUGUGGAACCGAAUUUCUAGCCACAGAUAAAAAAUCAAGAGAAUAAAAGUUAAAAUGGAAACCAAAUUCAAAAUUGGCGAGGAUAAUAGCUAGAUUGAUAAAUUGAAAGGAGGAAGCGUGGCUUCGAACUUUCUAAAGAUAAGUGGAAGUUUUCUUUAUAAAAGAAUGGCGUAGAAGAAAUUCAAAAAGGGGGGAAUUGACCGGUUUGCAGGAGGAAAAGAAUGAGAGACAGAAGGGAGUGGACGUGAGAGAGACGUGAGAGAGAGGAGAGAGAAAAAAAAAAGAAGGAAAAAGGGGGCUACGCGUCGUCUUCUUCCUCUCGCUGCUGCCCCCCUUUUUGUCCGCGCCAGCUGUUCCGGCACCAUUCACCGCGCUAGCACCGCCUCCGCCAGCCAUCUCCGCGCCUCCGCCGCCGUCACUCCGACACCGCUGCCCUGCCGGUGUCCCGCCAGUCGCCGGAGAUCCCCCUCACCCACGAGCCCGCAUCGGAACCACGAGCGCCUGCCACCACGCCUUCGUUCGAGCGCUAACACCACCUCUGCUGAACGCUGUGCCUCUGUGAUCCGUCGAUCGCCGCCGCAGCACCGCCGUCGAAGCCGUAACACCAGCAAACCUGCGAAGCCGAUCCGCGACAACGCUGCUUCCCCUGCCCCGUCCGGAUCUGCCAAUCGCCGCCGGUUUGAGAUUUGCCGCACCAGCCCAGUCGUCCGCGACCCCUUUUGCCGGCGCCGCUUUGAUCUCACACUUCACGCUGGUGACCUGCGACGACUCUGCGACCUCCUGCUCGCUUGUCAUCGUGCCAGAGUACCGCUCGGUUCGCCGCACCCCUGCGCCGGAGCUCGACGCCGUCGCCGCCCAACAGCCUGCGACGCCCCGAUGCCAAGCGAGCCUCGCACUGCUGCUGACGUCGUUGCCCAGCGACCCGCGAUCCAGCUCCACCUCCGCUGUUGCUCCGAGCUCGAGCCCGCCGCCGUCUACCUGCCGCUGCUCCACGCCGGAACUCCGACGACUAGUCAACGACCUCUGCGUCGCCGCGUCGCCGUGUCCACCCCCAUUGCUUUGCCGUCUCCUUAGGUAGUUUAGUUUUUUUUUCUUCUUUUAUUUAUUUAUUUUAUUUCAUUUUAUCUCAUUUUUUUGUUAUUUAUUUUUUACUUUAUUUAAGUUGUAAUAUUUGAUGUCAAUAAAUAUUGUAGGCAUUAUCUGAAGGGAUUUUGUUUGGAAUUAUUGUAAUUAUUAAUUUAAUCUGAGAGAAAUCGGAUUAUUUUUUUAAUUAUAUUAAUUUUUGAGCUUUUUGGUAGAAUUUUAAUUGUUAAAUCAUUAUAAUUAUUAAUUUGAUAUGUAAGACUUCGGAUCACAUUUUUAAUUAUUUUGAUCUCUUUGUCGGAUAAUUAGGGUUAUAAUAAUCGUUAAUUUGACCUGUGAGACAACAUGUUAUUUUUUUCGAUUAUUUUAAUCCUUUAUUUUGUUGAUAGUUUAGAUUUAAUAUUUAUUUAAUAAUUACUUAUCUUUUUUUUUUAAAUCAAAAUAAAAAAAUCAAAAUUCUGCAUGAGCAUAUAGGUUUAGUAAAUCGGACAUGUAUGUUUAGUAAAUUAGAAUUUUUUUAGGAUUACAUUUUUAGGAUUGCAUUUUUAGAAAUAGGUUAGGGUUGAACCUAAAUAAAUUUUUUAGGGUUUUAGAUAAUGUUCGCACAUUUUAAUUAUCUCAUUUUUCCAAAAAAAAUAUAGUUUUCUAAGAUAGGAUAGAGUUUAAGUCAAAUUAAUCCCUAAAAUAAAUUAGAAAAUUAUCCCUUUUUAGAUAGAUUAAUUAGGGUUUUCAUAAAUUCUGAAUUUCAAUAAAAAAAUGCAAAAAUACUAGGUGCAUGUUAACUAGUUUGCAUAAUAGGAUCAUAUAAUCAGAAUUUGUUCAUUAGUAAAAUUAGGUCAUGAGGUGCAUGUUAAUUAGUUUGCAUAAUAUACCCAUUUAAUUAGAAUUUGCAUAUUAAUAAGAUUAAGUCAUUUAGUUAAGAAAUGCAUUUGUAUAAAAGAAUUCUAAUUUUCAAGAAAACCCAAAAAAAUUGUUUGCUUUGUGUGAUGCAAUUUAUUUGUUGAAUGUUUAAUAAUGAUUGAGCAUUUUUGCGAUCAUCCCAUUGCAUGAUAGUAAUUUAAGUUAAAAUAAAUCCAAGUUGCCUGCAAUUUUUUUUUAUAAAUAAAAAUAAAAGAAAUGGUACCGAAAGGGCAUUAGAGAAAUUUAGUGUACCCAAGUCCCUGUACCUAUAGUCUCUGGUUCGUAGGAGUAAAAUAAUCAUUCAUUAUUUUACUUAGGUGUCUAAUCGACCUACCAUAAACCGAUUAGUGGCGACUCCUAGUUAAUAACCUAUUGCAUGUUAAAUAUUUGAACUUUAAGUCGCAAAUUGGUAUGGGCUUGGGAGAGCUCGAGCUAAAUUUAAAGACUUAGUAGUCCAUUAACCUAAUUUUAGGUGGUGCACCUGAAAAUUAGGUCACGAAAACUCUAAUGAGUAGGAUUCAUUUCAGUGUUAAUCAAUCUCGAAAAGCCACAACUAUCCAAUACUUUCUCACUUUUAUUAAAUAAUUUAUUGAGUGACACGACAUCUUUUUGUUUAUCAUCAAUGCAUGUCACCUAAAUCUGAGAGGUGUAAGCAUAUGUUGGCUGACAUGUCAAACAUCUAACGUCUACUAUGGAUGGAUGCUGGAAGGGGGGACUUUUUUGGAUUGGAAGCCAAAUUUUGUGUUCUUUUGUGAGAUAUUUGAAAGUUCUCAUAUAGAAUCUGACUUUAUUAUUAGCAUGUGUCUAGAUUGACAAUAACUAUGUUCCUAGAUCCAUGUUAUUAAGAUUUUGACUUUGAUAUAGGACACCUUUGUUAAGCCUCAAUCGAAGCUCAUCUAUGGACAACGUCUUUGUGUAUUGAUUAUGAUUUCUCAGUCUCAAUAAACAACAACCAUCAAAAGUUACAUGUGAAAAGCAAAUUUUUUUAUCUGUAGGCAUUGUAGGACAAUACAUACGGUGGAAAGGAAGUUUGGUGGAGUCCUAGUUUGAAUGGGAGACAUAUCCUACUAUUCAUAGCCACCUUAGGAAAGGGAGUUUGGUGGAGUCCUAGUUUGAAUGGGAGACAUAUCCUACUUUUCAUAGCCACCCUAGCCAAACUCACAUUGAUUUUGUAGUAGAGACGCCCUAUUGAUUUGGAGCGGCUAGAUUUGGGGGCAUUAGUUUUCGCUUCUUUAGAAGGAUUUUGUGACAUUUGCGAUCGAUAGCAAACUACCUUCAGCUGUGAGAGUAGAGAUAUGAAAGCACGAGGUUGCAUUUAUUCCUGACUUGAUGUCGUGAAAACGUUCUAUUACAUUUUUUUUAUGGUUUCUUUUUGAAAUUUGGCGAGUCCUCACUCAUGUUCUUUGAUAUUCUUUAUUUAUUUGUGGGAUGUUUGAAACUUUAGACAUAAUCUAACUUUAUCAGUAGUAGAUGUAAUUUCACUAAAUUGACAAUAACAAUAGUUGUAGAUCUGUCCCAUUAAAAUUGUGACUUAGGUAUAGGACCCCUCGUUCAACGAAUUAAUAAUGGAGGGAGAGAUAGUAAGGAGAGAAGAGAGAAGAUUUUGAAAACUCUAAUGAAUAGGACUCAUUUUGGACACGUAAUCAACGGGCGGAAUUGGUGCGGAAAGCCACAACUAUCCAAUAGUUUCUCACUUUUAUUAAAUAAUUUAUUGAGCGACACAUCUUUUCAUUUAUCCUUAAUGCAUGUCACCUAAAUUUGAGCGGUGUAAGCACAUGUCGACCGACAUGAUGAAUCUCUCAAAACUACUAUGGAGAAGAGAUAGUAAGGAGAGAGAAGAGAGGAAAUUUUGAAAACUCUAAUGAGUAGUGUGACAUCCCGAUUUUCAACCCUGCUUUCGACUAAAUGAAAUAGGCUUUUAAUCGAUGCACCUAUAGUCUUUUUCUCUGAGCUAGUCACUCACAAGAUAACUAAUCUAUUUGGUGAAGCCGUUAAGGAAUAUAAACGCGACUGAUUUGAGAACUCGAUCAGAAAUCGACUGCUCGACCGUGCUAAUCUGCAAGAGUCAAUAUAGCACAAUUAAAAUUGAUUAGAAACUGGAGAUAGGUCGUUUCGACAGAGGCAUGUAAGUAAAGUGUGGGUGAUUCCACCUGAUUGCAAAAUUCAUGUUGAACGGCACUAAACCGAUUUUUCUGUUGUUUCUGUACUCCGUGCUUGUAUUUGAAAUUUUGAGAUUUUUACGACAAUCGAGAGUCGCCUAUGAGUCGAAGAUGCAUAUUGUGGAUCAAAAAUAAUCGACCGCGAGUCAAUUGCGCUAAAAAAAUUCUUAAAAGCUACUCCAUAGGUUAGGUUAUGCUAAAAUCACAUCCGGUUGAAAUUAACCACAAAAUUGAACCUGAUUUCAGGAAUCAAAAGUUCUAGCAUGUCACAAUUAUUUUAGGAACAUCGACUCAUCCUUCAAAGAAUUUUUGAUAAGCGCAGAUUUUUGGCGAAAAUUCAAAAUUGAGCGAUUUUGGACCGGGAAAUUCGGAUGACCGUUCUUGGGUGGAUUUUGACCUUCAAGUUUGAUCAAUUGGUGAGGAACAUUAUGAAAAUUGGUGUGGGUUUCCUCCUCAGCAUCUUGGCCAUUUAAUUGAGUUCAAUUGGAGUGAAAUUGGUGUGAAAUUGAUGAGGGAAGUCACCAAAUUCGUAGGCCAUGGGAGGUUGCAACAUUUGGGUAUCAUCCUUGGCUUGUGGAGGAAGAUUGAGUGGGAAAAUGGCUGUUGUCCUUAGCUGAUGGCUGGUGGGGCCUUGCACUUGAGUUCUAGGAUAUUUUGGCUUGACUUUGUGGUCCCUUUGUCCCCCUCCAUCCAGCAGUAGCCUCAUCUUCUUCUUCAUUUGGAUCAGCUAAAGACUCCAUUUCCAGAGCCAAGCAACUAGCAAAGCUCCUUAUCGAACUAGCUAGUAGCCCGCAAGCCAUCGUCGAGAUUGCAAGCCGCCCGCACGCCAUCUUGCUCGUCUGCUCGUGCUCCGUCUCCUAUUCGCAUCCCCCGCAUCCUGAGCUGUUGUCUGCUGGUGCUAGCGUCCGCCGAAUCCAACUUGUCGACUAGCUUCUUCGUUGGCUGCCUUAGCUUAUCCCCAACGUUGCCUGGUUUCGCCAUACUCACUUCUGUGCUAGUCCAGCCGUUCCAGCCAUCUUAGUCAUUCAGUCCAGCCAAAGUAGAAACGAAACUCACAGCCUGGGCUGUGAGCUUCAUGGGCCAUUUCUGGGCCCUUCUAAGCCUCGUUGGGUGUCACCGUAGACCCGAGUCUUACACGCUUUGCGUCACCGUCGCCGUGAACUCAUCGGCUUGCUAAUUCGAUGAGUUUACUUGCUAAAAUCUACUUAAGGAGUUAAUUAUACUUAGAGGAGGAUUAGUUUAGACUAAGAUUAGGUUAGGAGGAUUAGUUAGUGUAAUUAGUGAUUUAGUUAGUUAAUUAGGCUAAUUAUGUGGUUAGAUUAGUUUAGUUAGGGGUUAAUUAGACUGUGUUAUAGUUAGCUUAGUACAUUCUUUAUUCAAGUCCAAUUAGGUGGUUAGAUUAGUGUAUAUAGCUUAAUUAGUGAUUUAUUUAAUUAUUUUGUAAUUUAUUUAAUUAUUUAUUAUUUUCCAAAAGUUAUACCGAGAUAGCCAGUCGUUAGAAUUUUGUGCUGAUUGUUGUGGUGUAACUAGUUUGUGCAAUUGAUUGUUAAAUUGUGCAAUUGAAUGAUGAUUAGUGAAUUUUGAUUUAUUAUUUCAGAAUUAUGGAUGUUUGGUAGUUAAUUAGAAAAUACUAGGUGUCGGGUUUUGACACCAAAAAUGUUUUUAAGUACUAUAUCAAAUCAUGGGAUUUUUAAAUGAGAGAAUAUAACUUUUUAUGGCUUAAUCUGACCGUGUACUCAUACACGAUUAUUUUUCCGGGUGUUCUUAAUAUGAAGAAAAUAGGCCAAGUACAUUAUUUAAAUUGAGACAUUUGAGUGUAAAGCACAAUGUUCUUGGUCGGGAUUGGGUGUGCGUGUGAUCUUAUGAGACCCUGUCACGAGCAUUUACGUCGGGCGAUGCUCCUAUAUGGAAUGCCCUUGUUAACGGAUGCCGGUUGUAGUAGAGGUUGGGUCGAUGCUACUUUGGGAAUACCGUCUAAAGGUAAACGUUGCUGUGCUCGAUGGGGCGUGACGAUGCUCGGUUACGCUGGAAGACCUCCGAACGUCGAGUAGGCCAUGCUUGUGGGGCUGUAAUUAAUUGGAAUGCUUAUUUGAGUGAGAUAUAACCGCGCCUGAUUAUGAGACAAAACUGUGUGACACGGAAUGAGAUGUAUCAUAACGAUUUGGCCUUAUAAUUGGGACCCCUGUGAUUGAUUGAUUUGAAAGUGAGGCGUUCUAGUUAUUAAUUGCAUUUACUGCAUUUAUAAAUGUUAUAUGAGUUGUACUAACGUGCAAGGAGGUGCUGAGGCGAGGUAAGUCUGCUAUGGUGUGUGAUUAGACUACCUUUAGGUGUAUUACCUUCCUAAUCGGGGUUUAGGGUGUGAACUCGCUUAGACAUUGUCUCAUCUUGUCUUGGUUUAACUUUUUACAGGUCCUUAGAUAGAAGUUUGUCUUGUUCAUUUUGGGUAGCCGCGAGGGUAUAACAAGCAGAGUACCAUCUUCCUUGUCCCCGGGAAUCCCUGGACCUGUGAACUCGUUGUGACCAUGAUCUUGGUCGAUGAGGGCCUACCUCAGUUGGUACCUCAUCAAUUCAAGGCAUGGUUUUGUCAUGGGCCUAAUGGGGAACGGGAAGGUCCCGUGGAUGUUUUUGACGGACCCACCGUCGAGAGUGAGGGUGAGGUGGUACUCGACCCUGUUGUGGACGCCGAUAUUAUCGCAAAUAUCAAGGUGAACCAGUUACCUGAGGAUGAGCAAGAGCUCGAAGUUGAGGAGGUAGUUGACCCAUUAGACAUCGACAUCCCCGACGGUGUCGUGAUAGACCUGGAUCCCAAGUAGAUAGGGUCCGGGGUAGGGUUAGCUAAGUAGUCCUUUUUGGGGCCUUGACUUUUGUAUAUAACUUUGCAGGCUGACCUGGAUGUUUAUAAAAGUGUGGUUUGUUUAAAUUGAUUGUCCCGCUUUUCUAUCCCAUGUGGAUUAUUGUCUGGGGAUUGUUUAUUUUGCUUCUGCAUGUGCAUGAAUCGUUUUGGGUUGGCGACGCAUCUUGGGAACAUCGCAAUUUGAUUGACCAUCGAGGGAUGUGCGCGUGCUCGAGGUUUGGGACGUGACAAGUAGGACUCAUUUUAGUGUUAAUCAAUGAGUGGAGCUGGCACGGAAAGCCACAACUAUCCAAUACUUUCUCACUUUUAUUAAAUAAUUUAUUGAGUGACACGACAUCUUUUCGUUUAUCAUCAAUGCAUGUCACCUAAAUUUUAGAGGUGUAAGCAUAUUCGGCUGACAUGUCAAACAUCUAACGUCUACUAUGGAUGGAUGCUAGAAAGGGGGACUUUUUUGGAUUGGAAGCCAAAUAUUGUGUUCUUUUGUGAGAUAUUUGAAAGUUCUCAUAUAGAAUCUAACUUUAUCAUUAGCAUGUGUCUAGAUUGAUUACUAUCUUCCCAUAUCCAUGUUAUUAAGAUUUUGACUUUGAUAUAGGACACCUUUGUUAAGCCUUAAUCGAAGCUCAUCUAUGGACAGCGUCUUUGUGUAUUGAUUAUGAUUUCUCAGUCUCAAUAAACAACAACCAUCAAAAGUUACAUGUGAAAAGCAAAUUUUUUUUUUUAUCUGUAGGUGUUGUAGGACAAUAUGUAUGAUAGAAAGGGAGUUUGGUGGAGUCCUAGUUUGAAUGUGAGACAUAUCCUACUAUUCAUAGCCACCCUAGCCAAACUCACAUCGAUUUUGUACUAGCGACGCCCUAUUGAUUAGGAGUGGUUGGAUUUGGGGGGGCAUUAGUUUUCGCUUCUUUAGAAGGAUUUUGUGACAUUUGCAAUCGAUAACAAACUACCUUAGGCUAUGAGAGUAGAGAUAUGAAAGCAUGAGGUUGCAUUUAUUCUUGACUUGAUGUUGCGAAAACGUUCUAUUACGUUUUUUUUUAUGGUUUCUUUUUGAAAUUUGGCGAGUCCUCACUCAUUUUCUUUAAUAUUCUUUCUUUAUUUUUUUUUGUUUAUAUGCAAUGGUAUUUGGGAGAACGUUUUAUAAUUUGAGAACCAAUUUUUAUAAUAAGGAAAAUAAAAAGUUAGAGGCUUUUCAUGAUAUUUGGCCUUCAAAUUAUUUCUAUUUUGUCUACUAUUGCUAAUACUUCUAUUAGUUUAUCUUAAAGGAGACAACAUUUUUUAAUGACUAUUUUUUAUAGAAAAAAUUAAAGUCGGAAGUUGGGGAUAAUCAGUAUAUUUCCUCAAAUGUCGAUAUUUCUAGGAUAAUAUAUAUGUCUCCUUUAACUGUACAUAUCCUCGAUUGAAAAUUUUUCAUUACAAGAGAAACAAUAAUUCUCUCUUACACAUAUUUCUUCUCUUACUACAGAGCUUUUUGUGGGGGAAAAAAAAGAUACGUAAGUGCCAUAUGACUUUUUUGAGCAGUUUGGUCCUAUAUCGCCACGUUGGUCGAAUAUUGAUUGCUACAGUGCUUCCCGUGAAAAAUUCCGGCGAUUUGUUUUAUGUGGUUUUUAAAAUAAAUUUUUAAGUCUGGUGUGGCAUUUUAAAAAGAAAUUGAAGUCUGGACAAAGCACAAGAGGACGUGGCACUUGUGGUACUUGAUUUUGCGCUGAGUUUUCUGCAACUUGCAAUUUUUUUUUUUGGCAAGGUUGCAAUUUUUUAUUUUCAUCAGAAAAAAUAUCAAAAAAGUCUUGAACCUAUUAUAUUAAUACCAAUUUAAUUCUAAACAUUACAAUUAAAUAAAUUUAAUCCCAAAUACAUUUGUGCCAAUUGAGUCUAUUCAAACAAUAUUCACUAGAAACCGCUCACACAAACACCGGUUGUCUUAUGUAGCAUGAUUGAGGUCAAGAUGGAUAAAUUUUUAAUAUUUUUUUCUGAAUUUUUACUAUUUUUUUUUUCAUUAUGGCCAAAGAAGCCUUGUAGCCUAGCUGAGGGACUGUGACACUUGCUAGUGGCCAGCAAGGGCUCACAAGCCCUCGCCUGGUGCUUGGCAAGGUUCGCUAGUGACCUAUUUUGACCACAAUGGAAAAAGAAAAGAAAAGAAAAGAACCAUAAUAAAAAAGUUUACAAAAAAUUAAAAAAAUGUUAUUUGUCCAUGUCAAUGCUAAUUGUGCCACAUAGGACGGGAUGUCAAAGUUAGUGAUUUUCGGCAAAAAUUUACCGGAUGAACUCAAUUGUCACAAAUGCAAAAUGUUUAUGACUAAAUUGGUUCAAUUGAAAGAUUUAAAACUUAAUUAAAAUCAAUGUAAUAAGUUUAAGAAUUUUUUUUUAAAUACUUUUCCUUUUCACCGUCUUGUCAGUCACGAAGGGGCCAUUCCCGCUUCAAUACUCCUCAAAUUGGAAGAUCAAUUCCUUUGAUAGUUACCAGUAGAUCCCUAAACGGGAACACACGUGUGGCUUCGGCUUCACAUUGCAGAGCAACGCCUAGCCUCCACCACUUUGUCCUGACCAAGUUGACAUGAUCGGGAACCACUUGUUAAUUACAACAGCUAAUUUUGCCUAGUUCAUCGUUUGUGGAGUUAGGGUUUCAAGAGCACAAUAACUUAAUCUAAAAUUGUUAAUUUAAGGCAAACAAAUGUGAUGCGAGACUUCUUUUCCAAUGAUUUUAUUUUGUUGGCAAGCUGCAUCGAACAUUUUAUAUUAAAAUAAGGCUAUGUCAGAUUUUCCAUAUACACAAAUCGCCAAUGGCACUAAGGCGAUUAAUUUUUCAGCAAAAUUGCAUUGAAGUGAUUGGGAAAAAGGUUGUGGCACUGAAACGAGUACUAGGUUAUGACACUUGAAGCAUUAUUUUCUUAAGCUUUUGUUGUUUGAGGAAGAGUUCAUUGAGCCUUUUACACAACAUUCGUAGCAACAAUACAUGAGUCACGUCGAUGUCGUUUUCCACUAAACUCGCCGCUCGAGUGCUGUUCUGACGAUUUAUGUUGCUUGUUUCGAAAAACAAGCACAACCAUUAGAUGAGCUGAAUUCGGAAAUUUCGUUGCCAUUCGCUGCCCCAAGUGCACCUUAUGCGCCUCUGCCCCCAUUGGGUUCACACGCCUUGUGCCUUUGUGCGCCGAAAGCUCCUUCGCAUGUAUUGUUGACGUCAUCACACAUCAGUACUGGCGAGGCAUCCAGUCAAUGCACACGUCAUGUAGAAAACGUUUGGCAUGUAGAAACAAAAAUAACUCAUCUAAACUUCCAUUAACACCCAAUCUGAUUGAACUUUAAAUUUUUAGGUUCAUUUUCACCUUACCUUUUAAAUGUUUAAACAACCCAUGUACAACCUGAUUGUAAAAAUAUGAGUCAAAGAAAGGUUUUGUGUCAUGUUUCGACACCAAUAUUUUUAAAGCACGGGGUUUUUAUCUCUCCAAAUUAAACAUGGUGUGUCGAGGAUAACCAUUUUAGGAGGGAAAAAAAAUAAGCAGGUGAAUUACAAUGCUUGGAGAAUGGCUCGUGUAAAUAGAAAAAAUUGCACCGAAAGCAACUAAAAACAUUUCCAUGACGGCCUCCACAACAACCCCCAUAUAAAGGAUGGUUAGCAUACUAAGAGACAUGCAAUAAAUUUCGGAAUGGCUCUUCCAGUUUUGUGCCCAAGCUUCCUCCCCUCCGCGAUCUGCCAUAAUCAACCCUCUCUCUUAUCGUUUAGACACCUUCGCUCCUCCUCCUCCUCCUCCUCCGGCGCCCAAUUCGUGACAUGCGCUUUGAAGAUUGAAGAUCAAGAGAUUGCAAGACGUUCGGCGAAUUGGGAACCCAGUGUUUGGGACUAUGGUGUUGUGCAGUCACUCAGUGUUGAUUACAUGGUAAUGAUUUUCAUUUUUCGCCACAAAACCCAGCCUAGCUUAAGUACUCUGGAAAAUAUUCACAUUUGGUCCUGAAUUUGCGUUCUUUUUCCAAUUUGGUCCUCAAACUUGCAAAAAUUCCCUAUCAAACUUUUUGGUCUAUGGUUCUGACAAUUUAAAGUUGAUGUUCAUGUCAAUGCUAGCUAAAAGUAAGAUGUGGAAAAACUCGCCAUUAUUGUGGAUAUUCAAUUCGCGAAACUACAAAAACAAUAACUCGAAGAUAAAUUUCAGCAAAUUUCACUAACACUUUCUUCCAUGAUGGCACUCAUUAUUUGAAUAUUAGCCUUCUGUUGGCAUCAAUUAGUGCCUCGGCUUCACUUUGCUGUGUUCAAGUCUUAAGUUACCAUAUUGACAAAAAAAAUAAAAAAAUCAGUGAGCUAACCGCACUUUUUCCCUAUUUUCUAUUUACUUUGAUGGGAUGGGUCCACAAAUUCCAAAACGACAUAGAAACGAAAGAAAAACUGUACUUUGAAUUAGAUAUAUGUAACAUCAAUUUACAUAUUCAUCCAAUGCCAUAGUAUCGAAUGUAUGACCAACCACAACAAUAUUAUAUAGAAGAUAUUGACAAACCUGGUCAAAAUGGCAUAUUUAGACAAGAGCUCAACAGUGCCUAUUAAAAUGUGUCUGCAAAUAUAUUGAGAAUCGAUCUGUUUUAAUACGAGAGGCGAUAUUCUAGUUUGCUUGUGCAUUAACUUUGAGUUCUUCAUGUGCCUAGGAGGAUAAAUAUAUGGAGCAAGUUCAAAGGUUGAAGGAAGAAGUUAGGGGUCUAUUUGACAGGGAGAUAAAUCAGGUGGCCAAGCUCGAGUUCAUUGACGUGGUUCAAAGACUAGGACUAGGAUACCAUUUCGAGACGGAGAUCAAGAAUGCUCUAAGUUCCAUCUAUAACAACACCGAAGAUGCUCAAAUUUCAGAUAAUCUCUAUGCUGCUUCUCUUCGAUUCCGACUCCUCAGACAACAUGGAUACAACAUACCGCAGGGUACUUGCCAACUAGUUUACCUUUUGUGGAAUAUGUUGACGCAUCAAAUUUUACCCUACCAUUUCAUCUGUUGGACAUGUAGAUGUGUUUCAAAGGUUUAUGAGCAAGAUGGGCACAUUCAACGAAUCGCUCCAUGAAGAUGUGAAGGGGCUUCUUGGUCUUUAUGAAGCUUCUUUUCACGGAUUGGAAGGCGAAACCAUACUCGAUGAAGGUUGGAAAUUCGCUUCAAAGCAUCUGAAGGAUCUAAACCUCAACGAAGUUCCCACUGAUAUAGCGAGCAACGUGAGUCAUGCAUUAGAUAUGCCGAUCCACUGGAGGCCAAACAGGUUGGAGGCUCGGUGGUUCAUGGACAUGUACGGGAAACAGCAAGACACGAUCCCUUCUUUGUUACGAUUGGCUAAAAUAGACUUUAAUUUAGUGCAAUCAAUCCAUAGGAAGGAAGUUAGCAAUCUGGCAAGGUAUGCACAAGCACUCUAUAGUUCAUGCAAUUUGGCAAAGUAGGAGUGCAUUUUGAUUGACUUACUCAUCAUAUGACAAAAUUUUCAGGUGGUGGGUUGAACUUGGGGCGAACAAGAUGACCUUCUUUAGGGACAGACUAGUGGAAAACUAUUUUUGGAGCUGUAUAUUUGUUUUUGAACCUCAAUAUACAGCUUUCAGAGAAUUGAAUACAAGGAUUGGUUGUCUAGUGACACUUAUCGAUGACGUUUAUGAUAUAUAUGGGACGCCAGAAGAGCUUGAGCUCUUAACAGAUUUCAUUCUCAGGUUAUCACUACCAUCAUAAUUUACUCUUGUAACCUAUUAUGGCCAAGAAAAAAGACGGAAUUAAUUAGUCUAUGAACAUCUUGCCCAGAACAAAUCCUGAAAAUUGUAUUAAUGAAAUAAAUUCUUUGAUGUGUUUUGCUCAUAUCAUGUUUUAUGUCAGCUUGUUUUUCUUCUAUGUAAUUGUUUGGUUUCAGCUAGUAAAGUUAUGGUAUGCACUAAUUGUCAUUGUUGUUACUAAAAAGCAUAUUGAAUGACGGUAAAAUUGAUAAGAUUAUUGAAAUGGUGAUAACUUUUCUAGGUGGGAUAUUACAAAUAUAGAUAAGCUUCCUCCAACAAUAAGAGAGAGCUUUAUGGUCUUGUACAACACGACCAACGAAGUUGGGUAUUGGACAAUGAGAGAACGAGGAAUCAACCCCAUCCCUUGCGAAAAGUGGUAAUCUUGACUUGCUAAAUCUUUCGCGUUAUAAUUUCUAGCCCGCAUCAAUUAACUCAUUUUUCUACUUCUAACUUUCCUUAUGACUUCUCUUUGAACAUUGAGAAUCCAUGAAGGUGUGAGAAAAGAAGGUCCCUCGACUUUGUCAUUGACACCUUUUUCGAAUUUUAAUCCUAUAGUGGGCCGAUGAAUGCAAGGCGUACAUGAAGGAGGUCUAUUGGUACAACAAGGGCAUUAAACCGACACUGAAGGAGUACAUGGACGUUGCGGUGGAUUCAAUCGGAGGGCUGAUUUUGAUGUUGGAUAGCUACUUCCUAACCACGGACGAAGUGACGGAAGAGGGACUUGAUUAUGUGUCAAAAAUCCCGGGUGUCAUGCAUUCUUCUGCCAGGAUCCUUCGCUUCAAUGAUGAUCUCAGUACAUCAUCGGUAACUUACUUUGAUAGUUGUGCUUUCUUAUAAAUUAUCUCUUAUAAAAAAUACACAUUAUUGGAAUAUCCACAGUGAUAUGCUAUUCAUUUUCUAUAUCUCUGAUACAAAUGUGAAAUGAAUGUGGAGAAUUAUGUUUGUAACCCAUCAUCAUUGUCCAUGCUUAGCAUGAAUUGGCACGAGGAGACAACUCCAAGGCAUUGGAAUGCUACAUGAAUGAAACCGGUGCUUCAGAAGAGGCCGCACGAGAACAUAUCAAGCAUCUAGUGCUCGAGACUUGGAAGAAGAUGAAUAAAGAAGUGUUUGAGGACUACCCAUUCUCCGGGUUCAAGCCUUUUCUCGGUGCCUGUUUGAACUUGGCACGGGCUUCUCAUUGCUUUUACGAUUAUGGAGACGGACACGGCCUUCCCGGUCACCAAACCAAGGACCAUCUUGUGUCGACUAUAUUUAAAUCCGUGCCCCUCGAUUAGGGAUGCAUUGUUGACCAAGGUCUUGCUAUUGGAGAGAGCCUUUAAUCUUAUGUGUUAUUGUUAGCUUUAGGGUGGCUCUAUGAUCUCCAAGAUAUUGAAACUACUGUAAUUGAAGCCUAUUGAGGGGUGUUUUUACAAGCUUCAUAAAAUUGGGCAGAGAACCACAUGCUAUUCCGUGCUUUGCGUUGUGGCUGAUUACAUAAUUGCCGAUCGUAUUUGUGGUGAUUGAUUUCUAUUUUAUGUUAAAAAAACAUAGCAUUUUAUAUUGGAGAAAAAUUGAAAAGAAAAAGAACCAACAACAGAAAAUAAUUUAUGUAAAAAAUAUAUCAUUAUUUUGCCAAGAUUCUUUGACUUACCAAUGAUUUUAGUACAUCGUCGGUAACUUACUUUUAUAUUGUUCCUCUCCUUGUAAAUAGUGGCUAUAAGAACAAAGAAGUACAUCAUUGGUAUAUUUGUAGCGGUGAGCUAUUGUUUUUAAUUUCGUCGAUGUGAGAGUGAGAAGAUUAUUUGGACAUAUUUAUAGCCCAACAAUAUUGUCCAUGCUUAGUAUGAAUUGGCACGAGGAGACAUCUUUAAGGUGCUAGAAUACUACAUGAAUGAAACCAGCACUUCAGACGAGGCUGUGCGGGAACACAUGAGGUAUACAAUGCAUGAGACCUAGAAGAGGAUGAAUAGAGUUGUGUUUGAAGACUACCCAGUUCCUGGAUCCAUGCUUUUUCUUGGUGUCUAUUUAAACUUGGCAUGAGUUUCUCAUACUUGCUAGUGACAAAGCCAAUGAUCAUUUCGCGUUGGCUAUAUACGAACCUUUGAGUACCAUAUUGAUUACUACAAUGGCUUCGGUGAGAUAUUUGGGCGAUUGGUCUUACAUGGCUUUUCAAUGAAUUUUUAAAUUCGAUGUGCCAUUUAAAAAAAAAGAAGUUUGGACAAAGCACGAGAGGACGUGGCACUUGUGAAUAAAUGAAAGUUGUCGUGACCUUUUCCUCGGGGGGAGGGAAUAUAUAUAGGGGUAUUGCCCGAAGAUCGGGUCUAUGACCCAUGUUUAGGCACGGGCUCUCCCGAGAUCCUUGGUUGCAUGUUGUUUUAUGCAAUCACUAAAAUAAUAGUUAGCAGCCAAGGAAAACAUUUAAAUAAAUUGCAUGGGACAACAUGCAAACAAGGGUAAUUAUCUUUGAGGACAAUUGAAACUCUAAGGUAAAAUCCUAAGGGCUUACUCAAUUUUUUAGCACAAAUUUUUUAGCUAAGAAGCUUCCAUUUUUUAAGAAAAUAACUCUGAAAAUCUUUUUGUAAAUUUUUUCAAAAGAAAUUUUGAAUUUUCUGACAUUUUUCAAUUUUUUUUAUUUUCGUAAUUUUCUUUUAUUCUCUGCCCUUUUGUCUUCUUCCAUAUUUUGUCUUUUCCCAAAGCCAACUUUUGCUUUCCUUUUUCCCUAUUUUUUUAAUCUUUUAUUCCUUUUGCUUUUUCUUUUAUGCUCCGUUCGUUUCAUGGAAAAUAACUUAUGGGAAAAUAUUUUCCGGAAUUUCUGGUGUUCGGAUGGCGGAAAAUAAAUGGUCAAGGAAGAUAUUUUCCGGUCAAAGGAAAAUUUGCCCAUCAAAUCUUGGAAAAUGAUUUCCUCUUUUGAAAGAGGAAAUCAUUUUCCGGAGGAAAUCUUUUCCCGUCGCGUGCUCUCAUCUUUCAUUACUCAUAUGUUUUGCCCUCUUUCUCGUUCUGCCCUCUUUCUCACAAAACCUAGGGCUUAUGAUCUUGUCAUCCUCCUCCUUCGACGCCAACGAUUAGCAGCAGCGGGGCCGACAGUGCUGGAUCUCCGCCCUCACGAAGCCCUAGGUUUCUGUUCUCGUCCUCCUCCUUCGAUGCCGACGAUUAGCAGUAGCAGGGCCGGCGAUGUUGGAUCUCUGCCCUCAUGAAGCCCUGUGAUCUCGUCCUCCUCCUUUGACGCUGAUGAUUAGCAGCAGCGGAGCCUCCCCCUCGUCCAGCGGUGCUCGAUCUCUGCGACCUGCCCUGCUUCCUCUUCACUGCUGGUCAGUUCAUACUCUUCCACGCGUAGUUGUCUUCAAGUGGCGUAUGCACGGAUUGAAGCGUCCUCAUAGAUCUCUCUCCUUUUGUUUGCAUGUUUAGAGGGUUUUUGGGGGGAGGAUUCCAUCGAUCCUUUGAUUGAAUGUGCGUUGGGGAGGAGGAGGAGGAGUAAGACAAGACCCAGCGAAGAUGCAGCAGCCUCCGCAGAUGAUCCCCGUGUUGCCCUCGUUUCCCCCGACCAACAUCACCACCGAGCAGAUUCAAAAGGUAUCUCCUCCUCUCCCUCUCCCUCUUCCCUCUUCCCCCAAUCGAAUCCUCUCCCGCCAUCUAUUCCUUCUAGCUUCGGUCACUCAGUGCGAUUUACCAACUACGAGUCGCUAGGUUGACUGCUUUCUUCCUAGGAAACUGAUGGCGGGACAUUGAGCAAUUGGUCUCGUGCUAAUCACAGAUUUUCAGUCUUCUAAAGAGAGAAGUGGAUGCAUGAGUCCUGACUUCCUAUGUCUACCCAUCUACGUGUCGUAUUUGAACAAUGAUAUAUGCAUAUCAGAAACAUGAAGUAUGCACGGAGAUUGAACUGCAUCAUAGCAAAUGGUUGGCAAAGCUUGUGCGACCAAGUGUUGUACAGGGGUUUUUCAAGUAACAUUGUUGGUUAUGAAAAAACUCAAUUUACUUAAGGUCAUGGAUUUAUAACUAUAUCUCUAGACUCCAACAUAGUACUAUCAUAACUAUGAUUGGGUAUCUAAUAUGGUAAGUCGGGGGGGGGGGGGGGCAGUGUCUAAUCUCUUGGAAAGAAACAGGGGACAGGGGCAAGUGGGUGUGGAAGGGAAAGUGGAGUGAAAUGACCGGGGGAUAACGAGGAAGAAAUGUGUCGCGGUAACAUGUUCCCCCGUACAAACCAGUAGCUAUCCUAUGCUCAUUGUGUGAUCAUGAUUCAGGGUUCGGGAAAUUUUCUUCCCACUUUUCAGGCUUUGGAUAAGGGACAAAAAUUUCAGUUUAUGGAUUGAAAAUAAUUAGUUUAGAUCAAAUUGGUUACUCAUUUCCCCCUCGAAUGCUCUUAAGUUCAAGCUCUGAAUGUAUUCUUGCAAGAGAGAGGCUCUCAGAUGCUCUUAAGUUUAUGGUAGGUUUCAUUUUCUUUUCCCUAUAUUCGUUAUUGUAUGAUUUUUCUUCCAUUUUGGGAUGAGGCCAUGGACACAGCCUCAUCAAUGUAAAAGAGUUACGAAUUUGAGAUCUCUGGCCUGCUCUGUGCCAAGAAAAAAAAUUCUCAACCAUAUCCGCCUAACCAAUUUAUGUUCUUUCUUACAUCUCGCCCUGCUCCAGUGUAACAUGCUCUCUUGAUGCUUUUUACCUCAACAGUGAGAACCUUAAAUUCUUCUGGGUCAAAGCCUAUCUCGUCGAGUCAUCGAAGUUGAGUUGUUCUUCUGCUACCAAAAGUUCUUAAUAUUAUGCUUUCUCUUUCAAUAAUAUAUACUGAAGACGAUAGAUUAGGUGAAAAAUGUGGAAUAAGACGUGAUUCAGAGAACCAGUGGGAAGGACAAUGGAGACAUGUACUACAGGACUAUUGCCCAGUUGUAAGGCUCUCAUGAAGGAGACGCUAAUGCUAUAGAAAAGUUGACCAAUCUUGGCGAUAACAUUAAAGCUUGAUGUAGCGAGUCCAAGUCUGAUGCAGAUGUAGACGAAUUAGUGUAUUGCCUUCUUUUGGUGGCAUUCCAGUGAUUCUUGAUCGAGUUCUGGGUCCUGUUGGGGAGUCUCUUCACUAUUUCAGACCAUUUAUUACCAAUCUCCGUGUGUGCUUGAAUUAGUAUCUUAUCCUCCUCCUCAGUCCAUGUCUCUUUCUGCGGAAUUCAUGGAUAUAUGCCUAUAUUUGUAGACUAACAUAUUACUGUCAUAAUUAUGAUCGGGUAUAUAUUAUGGUAAGCCGUAAUGUAUGAUUUCUAAAUAGAACUUUACAAUGAUUAGCUGAGUAAAAACUGAAGAUUUAUCGCUCUUGCCAUGUAUAUGUACAUGUCCUUCAUGUGGUGUCAGCCAUGUGUGGUUUUCUGAUUCUUCAUCAGCUUUCAUCUUUUCUGUCAUUCUUUUAUAUGAUGAUGGGUCCUAUAAUAUUAUGAAUAAUCAGUAAGAUCGUAUGUCUUCUCACUUUAACAUUUCGAGAAUUGGUGGAUAUUUCAGCAACUAUACUCGUUUGCAUGAUUAAUACAUAGGUUAAAUCAUAUUUCUUUGAAGAUGAUAUAUUUCUCACUUUAAACUUGAUAACAUUACAGAUAUCUACAAAGGGAAAUUGAUUAAGCUAGACAUCCACAUUGACAUGGACAAAGUAAGGUAAUACAUUCUUACAAUCAUCUGCUAUCCUCUAUUUUUCUGGUUCUUCUAGUAUUGCUGUUCUUGUAUUUCAUAUGAAUUUGUGUUUCAUGAUUAUUAUGUUCCAAUAUAGAUGGAUAACAAAAUUCAAGCAGUGGUAACGGGUGCAGCUGCGGCGGUUAUGACAGUUAUCACAUUAGUUAUGGAUGAUUAUGAUCAUUCGGAGAAUCGCAUACCGAGAGAGCCUCAUGUGAAUCGAGAUUAUGAGAGAGAGUUAUUUAUGAAUCGUGUGUUAUAUAGUGGUGAUACUCAUUGUGUAGAUCAAAUACAGAUGACGCCGAAUGCUUUUUUAGACCUUUGUAAGAUACUUGGUGCAAGUAACUUGUUGCGUUCUACUGUAAAUGUUUCUAUUAUGGAGCAAGUUAUGGUAUUUUGUCAUAUCAUUGGACAUAAUGUGAGGUUUAGAGUCAUUGGGGGAAGAUUUCAUAGAUCAAUAGACACCGUUCAUAGAUAUUUCAAAAUCGUCCCGCAAGCGAUUUUGAAAUUAUACAAGCAUGUGGUGAAAGAACCAUGCAAUUCCACUCCUCCUGAGAUAAGUAACAGUCGAAGGUUUUAUCCAUAUUUUAAGGUAUGGAAUUUGAAAAAACAAGUCUAUAAAUUGCUUGAGAAGUUUCAAUAGUAUUUGGUUGGUAACUAUAUUGAUUAUUUUAGGAUUGUGUUGGAGCAAUAGAUGGAACUCAUGUAUGUGCAUCAGUUCCUCUUGAAAUUCAAGGAAGAUUUCGUGGUCGGAAGGAUGGAACAACACAAAAUAUAUUAGCCGCCGUUACAUUUGACUUGAGAUUUUCUUAUGUAUUAGCUGGUUGGGAAGGCACAUCUCAUGAUUCACGUAUUUUGUCUGAUGCACUUUCAAGGCCGAAUGGAUUGAACAUUCCUAGAGGUAAGAAAAUUGAAUCUACACACAUUAUGUGAAUUGAGAUUAGUAACUUGAUAAUAAACUUAUUUAUAACUUGUAGGAAAAUAUUAUCUUGCCGAUGCUGGUUAUGGAAUCCAAAAUGGCAUCAUCUCUCCCUAUCGUGGUGUUAGAUACCAUUUGAAGGAGUUUAGUGAUUGCCCUCCUGAAAAUGAGAAGGAACUAUUCAAUUUGCGGCAUUCAUCUCUAAGAACUACUAUUGAGAGAGCAUUUGGAGUUCUAAAGAAGCGUUUUCGAGUAUUGGCUUCAGAACCUUUUUGGUCAUUUAGAACACAAGUCGAUGUUGUCUUAGCUUGUUGUAUCAUUCACAAUUUUAUUAUGAAAGCUGAUCCCAAUGACUCUAUCAUGGAAGAGAUGAAUAGAGAAAUGGAAUCUCAAAGAGAAAAUCCAAGAAUCCAACUUUCUCAAAGGGAGGAAAGGGAGGAAAAUAGGAUAUGGGCAUCAAAGAGGGAUAGGAUUGCACAUGCAAUGUGGAUUAGUUAUCAAAAUAUUAGAAGAAGCCAAUAGUUAUACUUUUAUUUCUUUUGAGUGCUUUAUUUUGAACAUGUGCUUUUCAUUUCUUUAAUGAUAAUCAUCUCUAAAUAUUUAUUAUGUGUCCAUCUUCGUCAUAUUUUUUCUAUUCUAAUGUUUAAAGCAGUUACGUAGUUAUCAUGAUGAGUAAAAGUAAGGCAAACGAUGAGAAGGUCAAGCAAUUUAGAUGGUCGAAGCCUAUGGAACGUGUUUUACUUGAAAUUCUCGUUGAUGAAGCUAGUAAAGGAAACAAGCCUUCAAGUACAUUCAAACCCUCUUCAAUUACUCGAGUUUUCAAUACAAUAAAUGAGAAGUUUAGUAUUUGUUGUGAGCCCGACCAUGUUGAGAACCAUUUGAAGACAGUCAAAAGCAAUUGGAAGACGAUUCAAACUGUGCGUGGCAAGAGUGGAUUCAGUUGGGAUGACAAGUUGAAAAUGGUCAUAGCUGGGAAAAAUGAAUUUGAUCAAUAUGUGUCAGUAAUUUUUCUCAUCACUUGCUCAAUACAUUCUUUUAGCCAAUGUUUCACAUAAGCAAUUUUAUGUGUCUUUAUAUAUUUACUCAGCAUAUAAGGGUUAAUUUCCUAACCAUCUCAGUCAAGAUUUUUAAACUUUAAUGCGUUUGCUAACAUGCUGGACUGAAAAAAAAAAGAAAAGAGAGCAGAUUAUUAACUUGUUAGUCACCCCUGUUUCACUGAAGCCAUAGGUUAUCGUGUUGGUGUAGGUUUAUUGUGUUGGUGUUGUUUCUGUUUUUGUUACAAGUGUAAUGCAUAAUUUAAUAUUAACUGUCAUACUAGCAAUUUAUAUGUCUGGAAAUUUUCUCAAUGUCUUUUGCUGCUGCGAUUUUGAUUUUGAUUGUUGGGUAUAUCUGGAAUGCGACUAGGGUUGGUAAAGUUUGCUUCUUUUCUCUUUAUCUUCUGCAAUUUAGGUGGUGAGAGACUAAGAAGGCACCAUGUCUUCUGCAAUUUAGGUGUUCACAAAUGAGGUGCUAAUUCUGACAUUGAUAGGCGUUUUCGAAACCUCGUGCUUUAGAUCUUAUUGAUCUUGCAUCUCUUGCAAAGAUGGAUUGACAAUGCAAUUUCUAUUUAGGCGUAAUUGUGAAGGGAAAAUGACUAAAAGAACAAACAAAUGAAGGCUUCAAACAUGUUUUUGUCAUAGCUUGAAGCCUAAGUGUUGUCUGCUUAAUAGCUUCUUUUUCAUAUCUAACCGUGGAACUAAUAAUUGAAUGAAUAUUGUGCAUUUACAGGUCCAUCCUUCUCAUGGAAAGUAUUUGAAUAAAAUGAUUGACAUGUAUGAUGAGAUGACUGUGGUGGUUGGGAGAGAUAUAGCCACCGGAAGCUUUGCUAAGCAGUUCGGGGACAUCGAUGCAACGGAAGUUGACUCCUCACCUGUCGACUUAGGUGAUGACUUCGAUGACUUCGAUGAGUUGAUGAAGGGCUCGAAAACAUGUUCCUCUACUGUGCAUUUAGAAAAGAGGUCUCGCAAAAGGCAAAAAGGUUCCAACAAUGAUGACAAGUAUGUUGCACUUUCAACACAACUUGGAGAGAUGGCCUCAGCAAUUAAGUCAUUGGCUCAUACGGAUGUGGAUCACUCUCAAGUCUAUUACUCUCAACUCUACAAUGAGGUGAUGAAAGUGGAUGGAUACGAUGAAUUACCCUUGGAUCAGUUUUUGACCAUCUAAUUGAAAAUGAAAAAAUUGGAAAAGCAUUCAUGGUGAAGAGUGCGACUCUUCGCAAAGUAUGGGUUGAUAAAUUUCUAAGCAAAUGAGAUCAUCAUUAGUGAUAUACUUGUCUCUGGGUGUAUGGUUGGUGAUCGUGAUUGUGAUGGUGAUCGAGAACUGAUUUUUGAUGCUCUGUUGACUGCAUCAACAAGCAUUUUUGGCUAGACAACCUACUGCAAAGUAGAUGAAGAGAUAGGUGUGUAGACAUAUUAUGGCUGCCGAAAUUCCACUGAUGUGUAAUUUUAUUCAAGGUGCUUAGUAGAAGUGUCAAGGUAACAGAGGUAACACAAGAUUUUUGAUAGCUUGAUCUGAUGUUUGCUGGUCAAAAGAGUAUGAACUGAAUGAGUUGCUUAAAGCAGGGGUGCUUUUGCCUUUAUGAAAUCCAUAGGUCAACUGGGUAGUUAUUAUUGUCUUUUGGAUUCAUACAUUUAACACCUGUAGUCAAAUAACAGUGUUUUGUAAUUGACCCUCUGCUUGCCUAAUUUAUCUAUGAUACUCUUAUGGAUUCAUAUGGAGAAUUCGCCACUAUUUACUUGCUAAUAUUCCACUGAUGAUUACCAGGAUGGGUUCCACAAAUAUUGUGGAAGAUUUUGGAAUUACCUUUUAGCAUGGAUAAGAAAUAGAUAGUGGCAAGAAGACCAAGAAACGACUAUCCAUGAGAACCAAACCCACCCCCCAACUAACCCAAGUCCCUAAAAAGAAAAAGAAAAAGAAAAGAAAAUUAUCGGUGGGCUCCGGGUGCGUACAAGCCCAGUAAAUCUCGAGUGCUGAAUCGCAUGAGUUCCCACAGCUCUGAUCAGAAGAGAAACAAGAUCCGGUUCGUGUCGACGGGGCAUUGACAUUAUGUAUGAGCAAUGGGAACUGCCGCCCCUUAACGUGAGUAUUAUUGAUAAAUGUAUUGUAAUAUAUGGUUCAAUUUCAUAUAAAAUUUUUUGGUCGAAUGAAAAAAAAAAUGUAGAGACAAACCUUUACUUGAAGGACAGAAAAUGUUUAUUGUUAACUCUUUCAUUCAAAGAAAGCUUAUUUGGGAUCCGAUGUGACCAAUGACGAUGAAGUUACAUGUCUGUUAAGCCAGAAUGAUGCCAUUUUGCUUAUCUUACAAGGGAUUAUUUACUCGAUUUGCUUUGAAUCUAUGAUUUCGACCCCUAGUUUUGAUUGGCACAAAGAACCCUACUUUGCAAGAGUGAAACACCGUUCCAACUUUCCGAUUUGCUCAAACUCUACAAAUUACCUCAAAUCUGAGGACAUAAUAUUUUAAUUUACAAACGGUUUGAAGUAAAAUCCUACUCAUCGAAUCUGCAAACUCGAUGUAAGGGCUGAAUCCUUUUAUCUAAAAUGGCAAUAGAUGCGAAACAUGAAUCCAAACCAUGUUAAACUAUUCCCAAGCAUAAUGGUUAAAAAAUAUUUUCUUUACCGAACACCGGAAAACAUUUUCCGAAACAUUUUCAAGUUUUAACUGAACACCAGAAAAUAUUGUCAUUUUCCUGGAAAAUGACUUUCAGGAAAAUAUUUUUCGGAAUUGGCCAAUUUUCCAUGAAACGAACGAACCAUUAAUCUUUUCUUUCUUUCUUCUGGUCUUCUUCUUCUUCGUGAGUCCUCCGCAUGCCCGAAUCUUCCAUUAAACUCAGAAGUUCCCAAGAAUUCAAUCCCAAACUCACGACGUCGAAACAACGAUUUUGAUGCAUAUCUUGUUUUAUCCCAAGCCGAGAACAGCGUGCGCCACUAUCCAACAAUCUCGAAUAUAUACAAAAUGUAAAACGCAAGAUGGAUGUGAGGUGCAACAUGUGGCCAUAAAUUCGGACCUCGGCGAAACGAAAGCGAAAACGGACGAAAUGAAGACGAAUGUUACUCUUCGAAAAUGAAACAGACACUCCCAAAUUCCAUCCAGCCCACGCAACGAUCAAGAUGGCUUACGGAUUGAUGUUAUCUCUCUUUUCAUUACUCUUUGUUUGUCUCUUUUAUUUUAUUUAAUAUAUCUAUUCUUUAUUUAAUUUUCUCUUCCCUGGGCGUUGCUUCCUUCCUCACCAAAACUCCUCUUUUCUACGUUCUCUUCUUUGCGGAGAACAACACCAUCGCCAGGAUCUCUCUUGAAGAAACGCCACCACUAAAACUCGCCAACUACUACCCAUGAUCAACUAGAUAAGGCUUCAUGGGAGAUGAUCUGUGUGAAUAGUGAUCAAAACGAUGAUACACAAGCUUUGGAUACAGCGAAGGCAGUGGCUGUUUUACUAGAAGCGCCUCAAGGGCAUUUUAUCAAACACCUAGGGUGCGUUGGCUCAAGACAGCCACAUACAAGAAUAAGACCCGAAACUAGAUCAAAACUUAACAAGAAUGGCAGGGAAUGCUCAACAUCAACAAAGGACAGCAUAAGCGAACUCGAAACGUGCGCCCCAACUCUGCAAUCCAUGCAAAAAAAUGUGAGAGAACGGGAUAAGAGCGGGGCACCAAAAAAAAAUCAGCGGGGGCUUCCUACCUAACUCGGGGGUGGCGAACGAUGGGCGAGAUCGAUAGAUCGGACUACGUCCAGUUGCCUUGCACGCCCCCAAGUCGGGAUCCUUAGGAAAUCUACACGAAUUGAAAACCGGAAAACUCACCUGAAAAACUUGAAAUCGAGGCAAGGGAAGCCGCAGCUUGUUGGUUCCGGCUAGGAGGUGCAACCUUACGUCGGGGGUGGCUAAGCGAUGCUCGGCUAAGGUGGAUUCCAGGUCUCCCUCUUCUUGGUCACUCCCCGUUUCUCCCCACUGGGGCUCCCUCGGGCUCUCUCCUGUCGCCCUCCUCUCCUCUCGGUUCUCUCUCAGUCGCCCUCUCUCUGAUUCACUCCCCUCUUGGUUCCCCUCUCUCCCUUCUCCUCUUUUGAUGCUCACCUGCUGCCCUCUCUGCUCUUUGCUCCUAUCCCCUCCUCUGCUCUUCCUUUCUACUCCCGUCUUUUCUCUUCUUUUUCCUGCAAGUUCGCGCGCGAGCUGGAGCCAGAGGAGGAAGACCGGUUGGGGUGGAUUGGGCCAAAGGAGAAGAAAAAGAAUGCUGGGCUGGGCCUAGUGUAGGGAAAAAGGAAAGGGAGGUGGGCCGGGCCAAGGCCGGAUCCGGCCUGACCUGACCCAUGAGCGUUUUUUUUUUUUUGUUUAAAAAAAAGUUUCAACAAAAGCCAAACGAGGAGAAGGAGCCGAAGAAGAAGACUGCGGUUCAGCUUCGCCUUCAAGCGUCUUGAACAACAAGAAGGCCUCGAAAGCUUAUCCAGAGUCAAAGUGACGCUUGCUUAGCCCUCAAAAGUUUUUCCUUUGUUUCUAUGAGAAUUGAUGGGAGACUUUCUGAUUUUGCUUGAAUUACAAAUUUCAUCAUAUGUUUUAGAAUAUAUAAAUAUUAAACCACUCUCACAAAAUGUAACAUGAUAUCAAAAAUGGAGUGAUCCCUUUCAUGAAUGCGUAUCCAACCUUAUCAGUCAAAUUUCACAUGCCAUGGUCUAAAUGUCAUGUGCCACUCAUAAUUAAACUUGCAAGUAAGAAAGAGUGUUGAAACCUCAUCAGUCAAAUUUCACAUGCCAUGGUCUAAAUGUCAUGUGCCAUUCAUAAUUAGACUUGUAGGUAAGAGAGGGUGUUGAAACAUGAGGAGUAGCCCUUCUCCACUGUUUCGCUGAAGAACAAUCAAGAGAAGUUGCACUAACUCCUCACACGCUAGCCACUGUGAAGAGAUUGUUUGAAGAGCUAUAUUGUGAGUCACAUGUUGAUGUAAUCAAGCCGAUCAUCAUCAAUGCUAUGUGUGAUGUUUUCUCAAGGUUAGGAUCAUCUAAUCAGCCACCAUUAGCCAAUCUAGUUGUAAUGAAGUAUGUUCAUAAUCCCUCUUGAUUUGUUGGGGCCAAUAAUAUUCAUCAGAGUAGCCAACCCUUCAUGAGAAUUAUGCAAAGGUCCAUUCUUCUAAUCAAAGUCACAAUAAUGAGAAUAAUCAGGGAAAUAUUAGUCAAAAUAAUCCAACUAGUGACGAUAAUUUAACAAAUCAAAUUGGUCAAUAGGCUGUUUAAUUGCCAAAUGUUGAAGAUGUAAGGCCAAUUUCCACCCACUAUGUAUGUUCCAUGUCAAUUAAUGUUGAUAAUUUGGCGAGGCUAACAUCAUUGCCUAGAAGUCAAAAUGGCCAACCAAAUCCACAAUUUGUCAAAAAAGUUCAACAAUGAUUAAGGUUAGACAAGGGUGUUAUCAUUACCUGUUUGCAAGUAACACAAUUAGCAACUCUUAUCCGACUCGACCUAAUCUAGACCCAACUUGGUUCCGAAUUUUACUAUAGUAAAAAAACCAAUCAAUUAAAAGGAAAUUUAGAGUGUGUUUCGCGGAAUAUGAAUGAUUUGGAAAGCAUUUUUCCAUAAAUGAUUGCUUAUAUUGCUCGAAAUAAUUAGUUAACUAAAAAUAUGUUUAUUAUCAAUAACAAUUUAUGUCUAAAUUUUUUAAUGACAACACUUUUCAUUGAUUCAUUUUUCUAAGCAAUACAAGUAACCAUUUUUAGGAAAAUAUUUUCAAAAUUACAUUUUUUGCGAAAAAAAUGAAGCCAAAAUAUGAAAAUGAAUUAGCAAAUAAGUAACUACUCAAAAAAGUGAUAAGUACGUUAGGAGCGCCAUAAUUUUCGUAUAAUACUUGCUUGAGUAUUAUAACUUAUUUUUCUUUCACUUGGGUCCACAAAUUAAAAAAAAAAAAUCGAUGACUUGAGUGUCAUUAGUGAUUUACCUCAUCGAAAAAGCUUAUGUGACAUUAAUUUAUUAUACAUCAUUUGACGUGACAUGUUGUAAAGUUGAAGUCUACACUUGAGAAGGCAAACGAUGUUGUUGAAAUUCCAAUAAUUUCAUAAAUGAUCGUUUCGAUGUCACAAGUUUUUAGAAAUGAACACUAAGGUUCAUCAACUUUUUUAAAAGUGACCACUUAAAUGAUCGGAAGAGAUAGAGUUUGAAAAUGGCAUCAUUUGAGGAAGAGAAAGAGUUUGAAAACAAUGUCAUCUAAUUGGGGAAGAUUUUAAAGAAACAACAAUAAAUGACACCUUUUGUUAUAUUCUUGCCAUGCUGGACAAAAAUUUCCACGAUUGACUUUAGUCUAGUUUUAAAAAUUUCAUGUCGGAAUGGAAAAUUAUAAAAAGAAUUCAUGCAAGACGAUUUGCCCUUGCCGAAAAUGAUAUUCAAGUAAUUGAUUUUAUAUCAAUGUGGCAUUCAAACUAGUGAAAAAAUUUAUAGCACUUCUAGUAUACUUAUUCCACUAAACAAUUGUCAGAUUUUCGAGCUAUUAGGACAAAUCUACUAUUAUUUUCUAUAGUAUUAGAAAUUUGGUAUGAUUUCUCCAAAGUGGCAAUACCUAGAAAGACACAUCAAAAGGGAAAAUGCAUGUGGAAAAACAAGCGUACUCUUGAGCUGUGACAUCCUAGAUUUCGAUCCUGUUUUUUAUUGAAUCAAUCAGGCAUUUCAUCGACGCACCUAUAGGGCUAUUUUUAGAGUUGAUCACUCUCAAGAUAACUAGACUAUCCAGGGAAGCCAUUAAGGAAUUUUAAUGCAAUAGACUUGAGAAUUCGACUAGGAAUCGGCUUCUUGACCGUGCUCAUCUUUAGAGGCAAUUACGGCACAGUUAAAAAUCGAUUUGAGAUUAGAGAUAAGACGGUUCGAUUGAGAUGUGUGGUUAAUCGUGGGUGACACUACUAAAUUCGAAAAUUCUCAUUGACCGGCACUAGACUGAUUUCUUUAUCGUUUUUGUACCCGGUGUCCAUAUUUGAAUUCUCGAGAUUUUCACGAAAAUCGAGAGUUGCCAAUGUGUCGACUGGGUUCAUUGUGGCUCGAAGAAAAUCGACCAUGGGUCAUUUGCAUUAAAAAUUUCUGAAAAAUUACCUAGUAGCCUAGGUCACGCAAAAAAUUCGCAUGAGUGAAAUUAACCACCAAAUUGAGUCCGAUUUUAGAAAUUAAAGAUUCUGUCAUGUCACAAUAAAUUCUACGAGCAUUGACUCGGUCUCUGAAGAUUUUUCUGCAACCUGAAACUUUUUGGGAAAAACUCAGCAUAGGAUCGUUUUUGUUCAGAAAAAGCCGGGGACUGUUUUUUAUUGUGAAAUUGGGAAGCAAGUGAGUUGUAUUGGCGAGGAAAAAUGCCAAGAUGAUCGACAAUAAGUUGAUUGAAUUCGUGAGGGCCAAUUGAGAUCAAAUCAAGUGGGAUGAGGAGUCCAAUUGAAGCCAAAAUUGAGAAAUUCGUAUGCCCCAAUUGUCUAGCCGAAAUGGACCAAUUCAAGUGUAGUAAGAAGUGUCUUGGUGGCUCAUGGAUAGCCAAGGAAGCCAUGCUUGGCUGGAAAUGGUCAAGGAGACCAUGGGAUGGAAGAAAUGGCCUUGGUGGAGCCCUUGUCUCCUUAUCCUUCUCUCUCUCCCUAUUCAGCUGGCCGACCAUCCCCUCUUCCCCUCCAUCUGCCAUUUCUGAACACCACAGCAACCAAAGGAGACUAGUAGAGGGCCAGUCAAAGCCAGCAGCCACCAGCGCCACCGCUUGUCGCCGUCCACGCGUGCCACCAUCGCUUGAGUGCCCCACGCACGUCCGCUCGCCUAGCCGCGCCUCCUCGCCGUUCCAGCAGCCUCGCCUCUCCCUGUUCGACAUCCAGCAAGCAUUGGAGUUGCUGUGAGCAGCCACCGGAGGUCCGUCGAGUCCUCGUUUGGACCGAAACCACCCUGUUGCCCUUCCCUGAGCCUUGCUGCCCAUUUCAGCCUUUUUUCUUCUGUUUUGCAGCUCAAAAUAGAGAGGAAGUUAGUGGGUUUGCAGCAAAGCAUCUAGGCCCGUUUUGGAGGUGUUUCGGGCCUCGAAACCUAGGCCCACUUUGAGAAGAAUCAACCCCUGCGACGUUCCCAUCUGUUUGAUCUGACCCGCGGGUUAAACAAGUGAGUUUAACUUACUAAACCUCGCUUAGUAUGUUAAUGAUGCUUAAGGGUUGAUUAAAUUUAAUUAAGUGUGAUUAGGUGGGUAGAUUAGAUUGGAAUAAUUAAAUUAGUGCCUUAUCAAUUCAUGUUAGGAAAAUGGUUAGUGCUAUUAGCUAGUGAAUAGUCUAUAGUAUUUAUUUAACAAGUCUCGGUAAUUUUCCGGGCUCGUCUCGGCAUCCAAUUAGGCAUUACGGGCCUAAAUUGGAUUUAUUGCAAUUGUUUAAUAAUUUUUGUAAUUAAUUAAUUAAUGAAUUAUUUUCCUAAAUUAGGUUGGGAUAGCCGACGACCGAAAUUUUAUACUGAUUAUGGUGGUGUAGUCCAUUUAUUUAAUUGAGCCUUAUAUUGUGCUGAAUUGAUUUAAUCGUGUUUUUAGGAUUUUAUUCAUAAAUUAAUCAAUUUUGAUAAUUAAUUGAGAAAUAACUGGAUGUCGGUUUGCAGCGCCAAAAUAUUUGGUGGGCUAUAUAUAAAGUGGCAAGAAUUGUGAGAGUGAAUCAAUUAUAUUUUUGGCUAAGACCAAUCGGGUACUAUUUUAUCGGGUAUGAGAAAGAUGAGAAGGAAGGUUGUAUCACAUGGCUCGGAGACUAAGAGUCAUCAUGGAGAAUGCACGUGACUUGUUGAUUUGAUAAAUCACCUUUGAAUGGCACAUGGCUCGGUGAUUUGGUAUAUCGCCUUUGAGAAUGCACGUGACUCGGUGAUUAAGUACGUCGCCUUAGAGAAUGCACGGGGCUUGGUGAUUAGACAUGUCACCUUAGAGAAUGCACAUGACUCGGUGACUAAGUGUGUUGCCUUAGAGACUACACGUGACUCAGUGACUAGGUAUAUAUUAUUUGAAGAUUGAAUAAGAUGAAUUAAAAUGACCGAGAAGUGGUCUGACUGACAUAUAAUCGACGAGGUCGAUUGAUUGAUGAUUCGAUUUUCUUUGAUUGGGUGUUGUAUUUGUCAGUGUUUAUAAUUGAACUGACUUGUAGGAAGGAACUGAUGCCAAGGUAAGUCCUCUGACUUGUGUUGUGCUUAGGCAGCCCCAAGGUAUAUUGGCUUCCUAAUCGAGUUUUAGUGGGGGUAGAAUUUGCUGAGACAUAGUCUCACCUCGUUGUGGGAUAACAUUUCAAGUCCCUAGAUGGCAGUACCUCCACCUCCUCGUCCUCCCAUGUAUUUUGGUAUUCCCGAAGAGGUCACCGAGAUAGCAUAUCAUUUCCCAAUACACCCCCACUCGGAAGGUCUAGAAUAUGUUUUGAUAAAAUCCACAAUUUGGAUUGAUGUGGGUAAUGACGGUCUGGUGCCCCAUGAGUAUAGGUCGUGGUAUCGUGACUACCAUGAUAGGCAUAGACAGGGUCCCAUACCGAAAGGUGAUGUGUCUUUAUUCGUCUUAGAGGCAACGUUUGGAGAAUCGAUUGCAGAUCCUAAGGAUGGGUCGGUAGUAGAUGCCAAAGACCCUAAGCUCGAGAGUGACCUUGACUCUCCAGUGUACUCAGCCGGGGGAGCUAAUUGGAGUAAAGAGGAAGGGUAAAUACUCGAACAAGAGGAAGAGCUAGAGAAGGACUAUAGGAGUGAGAAGAGGCAGAGGAGGAACCUGAAGAAGAAGAAGAGUCUGAGGAAGAGCUUGAAGAGGAUGAUCCGGAGUAUGACCUGGAUGAGGACUGAGACCUCACCCUGUUUGGCAAACCCUGUGUAGAAACUGAUAUAUGUUAGAUCAAACUUUUGUCAAUAUUAUUGUAAUAUAUACUAUGAGGUUUGCUAGUAUAAAAGUGUGGUUGUGGUUUUUUAGUUAUGGAAAAUAUAGCCCUACUUUUCUAUUCCAUUGUUUUCUUGUUUGGGGAUUAUUUAACUGCUUCUGCAUGCAUAUUAAAAUGAGAGGGUCGGCGAUGCGUCCUGGGACGUCGUUAUUUUAUCGACCAGGUGAGGGAUGAGCGUGUGUUCGAGGAUCGAGGCGUGACACGAGCAUUAGAUAUAUAAAGUCCCAUAUAGUAUCUUUUUAAUCCCCUUCAAGUGCUAAUAUUUCAUCAACAAAUUUUAGUGACUUUCCUCGUUUAGCUCUCACAUAUUUGAAACUGUUAUUGUUAUCACCCGACUCCUUCUUUUGGUGGUGGUCACUUAAAAUACUCACCCUAGAGAAAUGAUCAACGCAAAAUCAAUCGUUCGUUAUUUUUUGAAACUUUUUCCUUGGCCACAGCACCGAUUGAUUGUUAUAUACUAGCUUGGUGUCGUGUGCUGGCCAUAUAUGUUACAUCCUCUAAAAUUCCAUCAAGACCCAAUCCGAUGGAACUUUAAUUUCUUAAACUCAUUUUCAUCUGGCCUUUUAAAUGUUUAAACAACCCAUAUACAACUUGAUUGUAAGAAUAUGAGUCAAAGAAUGGGUUUAUGACUGGUUUCGACACCUAUUUUUGAAGCACGACGUUUUCAUUCAUCCAAAUUAAGCAUGGUGUAUUGAGGACAGCUAUUUUGAAACCAAAUAAAAAAAAGAAGAAGAUAAAUUGCAAUGCUUAGAGAAUAGCGUGCGUAAAAAUUUGCACUGAAAGCAACUAAAAACUUUUUCCAUGACGGUUUCCACAACAACCCCUAUAUAAAGGAUGGUUAGCAUAUGAAGAGACUUGCAAUAAACUUCACAAUGGCUCUUCCUGUUCUGUGCCCAAGCUUCCUUCCCUCCUCGAUCUGCCAUAAUCAUCCAUUUCUCUUAUCCUUUCGACACCUUCGCUCCUCCUCCUCCUCUGCCUCCAUCUCCUCCGACGCUCAAUUCAUGACAUGCGCUUUGAAGAUUGAAGAUCAAGAGACUGUGAGACAUUUGGCGAAUUGGCAACCUAGCAUUUCGGACUAUGGCUUUGUGCAGUCACUUAAUGUUGAUUACCCCGUAAUGAUUUUCCUUUUUCAGCACAAAACCCAGCCUAGCUUAACAGUUUGUCCUACAUUGCUUUGAAUUUUGUUUUGGUAAAAUUGAGUCCAAAAAAUGAGCUUGUUUGGUCUUAAAUCCUUCAUGAAAGUUGAAAUACAUGCUAUAUAUGUUCAAUUGAUACAUGCUUUGCAAAGUCUUAAUGUUGACAAGUGAGUCAAUUGUAAGAAUUAAGGUGAAAAUGUGCUGCAACAAUACAUAGCUUAGAUAUGCACCUUUUUUUUUGGGUCAUUUUUGCUGUGAUUCAUGCGAUCAUAUUUAGGUUUUAAACUCUCAAUGAGAAAUGUUCAUCAUUGCAUGCUCUAUAUGUAUAAUUUUUUUGUAGGAUUUUUGUAUUUCUUGAGAUGGCUAAAAUCAUGCCCGUUCUGUGAAGUUAAUGCUGAAAUGAAAUCUUGUUGUAUAUGCAUCUUGCCAUACUUGUUUGAGUCAUUUAGAGACCAAAUUUUGCAAUCAUGCUUUCUUGAUAAUUAAACUGUAUGUUAUAAGGUCCACAUACAUGUUUAGGUCAUAUCCUUUGAAUAUCAUCUUGCACGUUAAAUUUGUACCACAAAAGUGUUCAUCACACUUAGGAUUCCCAGGCAUACCAUUAUGAAUCUUGAAUCAUUUUAUAAUGUCAUUUAAGUUGUAUGACAUUUUGCAUGCCAACCUAGGAUUAGAUGGUUAUCCAAAUUUUCUGUUGUAUCUGAUCCUAAGUCCCAUGUGAUUUCUUCAUGCCGUUUGUGCAUCAUUUGAAUGACUUUGAGGUUUUCUAAUGCAUUCUUGUGUUCUAUUUUUCUUAGUUACUAACACACACACCUUUAGAGAUCUCGAUCUCAGAGUAUCUAAUUGACCUAGUUUGGACUCGAGCCCUUCUAGGAAGUUGAAAGGCACGCUUAGAAGUUUCUAGUGUCAGUGAUUUUAUACAAAUCACUCAUUGUUUAGUCAACUUUCCAUUUUUUCUUUAAAACUAGAUCAUAAUUUGGACAUGGGAUUAAAUUCGAACCCCUGUUCUAACCCCUAUUUGGAUAGCCUUCUGACAUUUUUGUUCUAUUUUUUUCUGCAAGGAUUCUGCAUUUGACCUCUUAACAAAACUUGCUUGCUAACAUGUUGGUUAUGUCGUGUGAAAAUUUGGUAUUGUUUUGAUAGGACAAAUCCUUGUAAUAUUGGCUGAGUGUCCUACUAUUUUGACAAUUUUCCGACAUGAUGUUGCCUAUUGUUUGAUUUUUAUAAAAUCAUGUAUAGCUUUUCUUUUUUUGAACAUAAAAAUCAUGUAUAGCUUGUUUAAUAAAACUUUCUUCACAAAAGUUGUUUGUUAUCCUGUCAUGCAUGUUAAGGAAUUUUGUCAUUACCAAAUUGUCAUUACAUAUUGCCCAAUUUUGUUGUUUUUGCAUGCUUGUUUUGAAAUCCCUAAAAUGAACUUGAUUGUGAUUGUUGUGAUAAACUUCCUAGGUUAGUUUGUGCAUGAACCUCGGCCAUUCCAUCUUCAUAAAAAUUUCUUUAAAUACCUCGAUAUUCAUUGUUAAAUGAUUUUUGACAAAUCUUCUUUUCAUACCAAAUUUAAAAAUGCUUUGGUACAUGUGAUGUUUCCCAAAAACAAUUUAUUAAAAAGUUCAUUUCCAAAAGCUCGAUUUGGCUUAAGGAAGAGUCAUAAUUUGGACCAUAUUCAAAAUGCAUACGACACUUGUUAGUGUAUUUAUGCGAGUCUCGAGCUAGUUUUGGCAAUUGAAUGUGUUCCAUAGCCUAGUUAUUCCUUAAUCUGGAAUAUUUUCAAUUUUUUUCUCAAAUCUUGAUUUGACAAUUGUGAACGUCAUUGUUUGAAUUGUAUUCAAAAUGCCUGCGAUACUUGUGAGUGCAUUUAUGCGAGUUCCAGGUUAGCCUUGACAAUUGAAUGUCUUUCAUAGCCGAGACAUUACUUUGUCUCAAAACCUUUUGUGAACGAUUUCAAAGAUGUCUUUGAAACAUCACAUGUACCUUCAUGCAUAAAAUUACGCUAUUCAUUAAAAACGUCUAUGUUUAUGAUUGGCCCAUACUCUUGACAAUAAGCGACCCAUUGACAGUUCACUUUCUCGCUUGACUGGUUGAGAAACAAGGUCCAAAAGACUUGUACGCAUGUUUAAUUCCUGCAAUGCAUGUGAGAUUUAAAUAUGUGGUAGGGUCAAUGCAUAAUAUCGAGGGAAAACCUUAUGAUCACAUAGAUCGCUUGGUUAUGAAACUUAUAAAUAUUAUUGGCCAUGCAAGAACACAAUUGGUCAAUAAUGACUAUAUGUCAUAAAAUGAAUUGGGUAGGUGUCUUAGAGAAACCUGUGCCUGAAUUUCAAAGGCUGAUUCUAAGGCUCAAGUUUUUUUUUUUUUUUUUUGCACUUAAUUUCUUUUCAAAGAUUGAUUUUGGCAUGAUGUUGUGUUUCUUUAUUGUUUUGAUGUGUAUGCUUGUUUCUUUCCAUUGUAUUUACCUAGUUAUAUAAUUUUUUAGUCUAGGUUUAGAUUAGGAUCCUGAAGAUAGAGAAGACAUGAAGACAGUGGAGGUCGAUGUCCAUUGUGAUCAUAAUCAUGUACUAUUCAUUUCUUUGACAUAUGUCUUGGGUUCUCAUCAAGCCCAAUGAGUUGCGGGUCCUCUUCUUCUUAUCCUUUUCAAUUGUGUUUCUCUUUUAUAUUUUCUAGGAUUGCAUGGUAGAUUUAUUGCUUUCCUUGAUAGUUUACUUACUAUCUCAUAAUUUUAAUUCCAUUAAUUGCUUUCUUUUCUCGUUUUCCAGAAAUAUAAUAGUAUGAAAAUGACCAACCAUGCAUGAUCGUUUAGUUUAUGACUAACGAUCCCGAAAAUGUAAGAGGAAAUACAUGGACAUGUUAGGUAAACAUAACAUACUGUUUAGAUAUUGAAAGGGCGCUACUAGCAUAUUGGCCUAACCAAGUCCAUAGAUCUAGAUAUUAUUUGCGUAGGAAUUGAGGGAACACUCCCGACCCUCAAUUGGGUUUUUAGCCGAUCCCUAAAAAUGAGACUAGUGGCGACUCCUAUCUUAUUUUUAGGUUAUCCUAAACAACUAGAAUGUAUAAAUGAACUCGUUGUGUGGGUAUGGGUCUCGAUAGGGCUCACCUUGGUUUAGCAAUACUCGCAUGUAGAAAAUUCCUAAUGGAUAAAGUGACGCCAUCCUUAGGAAGGAGUACCAAAGGGAGAGCUACCAUGGUAAAUGUACCCUUAAAUUUGAAAUUCACACUUGACCUCCUCUCUUGAGGUGUGUUGCCCGUGUGAUACAGAACACGCCACUCUAUUGUCAUGCGGAGUAUGAGUUUGGGAGAACUCGCAACCUUGUAAAGAGAACUCAUAAGAGGUUCAUCCGAGGGAUGAGGUUAUGACAUCCUUGUAAUUAAGAAUCGGGAGGGAACUUUCAUGGUUAAGUAUCCCUAAAUCUGACCAUUCGCCCCUUUUCCUUUCCUCGCGAGAGGGAUAGAAGGCAGUGAGAUCGAGUCACGGUAGUAGUAAGAAAAUCUUCACAAAACACUUGCUCAUCGUUCAAAACCUCUAAAAAGGAGAUCACCAAUGGAAGAAUUGCUGGAAGCCACUCAAAGUCAGAGUGUGGUCUAAGCUGGUGGAUUAACCACUACUAGUACCCUAUUGCUCAUGGGCAUAGAAAAAUAAACCCUUAAAUCACAAUUACUUGUAGAGAAGGAUACAUGUGCUGUAUCACAUAUGGCACCACUAAUUAUAGCCGUUCCAUCACCAUCAACUCUUGCCCAAACGCUCUUAGAAGAUCUAUUGAAAGGCCUAACCACUUUCAUGGAAACCUAUGGACUAGAGCUAAAGAAACUCCUCAAGUUCAAAGUCACAGGAUUGCAAACCCUACAGCUUGAACGAGCACUUACUGCUCAAGAAAGACUAGCCGUUGAACCAUCGCAUUCAACUGCUUAGCCCUUUCAGCCAUCUCAGCCGUCUUAACCCUCACCUCAUAAAUCCUUAACAAGAGAGGAAGGUACCUUAGAAACCGCUGCUCCCAAAGACAAAGGAAAGCAUAUUGUUGAAGAAGUAGAAAUCAUCACCAAACCAGUUACCUUAUAGCUUGAAGGAAGCAAAGCCACAAAAGAAACAGGAGAAGCCCUGGGAGACAAGCGUCGUGAAGAAGAUAACGAUUGGGUAUUUAAAAAUUUUGAACACACUCUUAAUUUUGAAAAAGAUCCCAGUUUCAAAUAUGAUUUCUUUCUUUCACUAGAACAUAAACACGCAAAACAUCACUUCUAUAAUCAAGGUAUCAUCCCUCAUCAUUAUGUUGAUUUUGAUUUCUUAGAAAAUCAUGGUAUUUUUUUGUUUGAGCUUUUUGAAGACCUUCAACUCAAAUAUUUCUGCUCCAUGAAAGAGGAAGUUCAUCAUGAACUCGUGGCAAUGUUUUACUCAAAUUUGUAUUUUCCAAACCGGGACUCUUUUGCCUUUACUUUUUGUGGACAAAAUCAUAUUGUGUCUCUGGAUAAAUUGGUUGAAAUUAUCCAAACAUAAAACAAUGUUUUCAAGCGCAUUCCAAUAGAGCCUAAUGAGGCCUAACAAGUUUUGUUUUAGAAACCUCCAACUUUGCUCGCAAUUCUAGAGAAAUUAUCCUGUUGAAUCUUCUCCCUCUCAAAAUGAAUUUUAUCUAAAAGAUCCUCACUUUCUUCCUUUGCCCGAAAACAUCUUCUGUAAAUGACGUCUCUUGAUAUAAGGUUAAGGUGAUCUAGGCCAUCCUGAACAAAUUUGAAGAGUUUUCCUUCUCCCAAAUGUUCUUUAUCCACAUGUACCGCAUGGAUAAGAUAAAGAUAGAAUAGCUACUCUACAGCGCUUUGACACAAAUCUUCAAGUACCUUAGGAUCGACUACUCUAAAGUUUCACCUCUUGUCAUGCUAAAUGUAGAGACUGGGAAGAAAAAAUUAAACAAGAUGAUGCUCAGGAUGACACCAGAAGGAUAGGUCAAUCUUAGAGGAGAAAUUGUCCCCAUUGGUCACAACGACCAUGAAAGAACAAUGACAAAGCUCAAAGAAAGGAUUGCUGAGUUUUCUGAACUAGAAAAAGCGUAAAUAUGCUAAGGCUCCGACACCAACAAAGGCUCCUCAUCCACAUCAUCCAUAAAGAUCACCUUCACCAGCUGUGGACACACCUGCCUCUCCUGCUAGCCUUAAACAACUACAAGCAAAUGUUAAGGAGAUGAAGAACACCCUCCUUUCUCUGACCCGAUACAUGGUGAAGAUUGAGCGCACCAUCCUUAGCCUAGACUGCUACAACCUUAUCCGCCCUGAACCAGAGACUGCCGAACUCGGAAAACCCACUUUCUCUCAGCAGCGCAAAUGCCUUUGUACCUAGAACUUUUUAAAUCUUAAUGUGGUCUUGUUUUGCUCUUGUUGUUUUGUCUAUCUCAGUUCAUUGCUGAGGUUUGACAUUUGUAUCGCACUAUCACCUACCAUCAAUGAAGCUGAUCUUUUCAUUCAUGUUGCUAUUUCACAUUUACCUUGAUUGAUGAUAAAAAGGGGGGAGUUACUGUUAGGGAAAUCCCUUAUGAUGUUUUGAAGAUGACAAAAUAAAUCAAAGGCUACUAACAUGUUUGAUGGUUGAGUAAUAGACCAUGCAGAUGUUAGAACAUGUAAAGGAUAUUGGCAAAGUCUGAAGACGACCAGAAGACUGUGUCAAAGUCUGAAGACUGUCAGACUCAAGACUCAUAUUGUAAAGUCUCAAGACCCAGGUUGUAAAGUCUCAAGACUCAUAUCGUAAAGUCUCAAGACUCAGACUUUACAUCCAGAUUCGAUGAAUCGUAACUCAAGCCCAAUCAUACAACGGCUAGUGAUCUGGUUUGGAUUCCACAUCAAGAUUGAUUUGAUUGAAGACAAGAUCUUUCUAUACGAAGAAGCUUUACUUAUGGAAACCAAGAUUUCGUUUGUAUGGGCGAUCGGAAUCAAUUUGGGAUUUUACCUUUGUCACUCAACGGCUACCAAAUCUUCUAAGAUACAGAGCUGUCCAAUGGGUAUAUUGGAAGACGAUUCUCCGGGAUGCUGUCCAACGGUAGUUUGGAAGUGGAGGAGUAUUUAAGGAGAUCAUGGACCGAUGAGCAAGUAAGAGACGGAGCGUAGAAUUUAUAAUUCCAAAGUCUAAGCGACUUUAGAUCAUAUACUUGUCUCUUGAGAGCUUAAACGUUUGUAAUCGUGAGAGAAAUACCAAGAGAGUGACUUAGUGAGAUAGUGUGAUCUACUAAGUAUUUGCACUCGGAGUUGUAAUCUCUUGUUGAUUGCAUAGUGGAAUCCAGCCAAGAAGGCUGUUAUCGUGGGAGAGUGGACGUAGGCUUGGAUUAAGCCGAACCACUAUAAAUCUCGUGUUCUUAUUCUCUUCCCUAACUCCUUUAUUUUGUUCAUACUAGCACUCUCAGUUACUUGAUGUGAAAGAUUACGCCUAACAUUUGCUCUUAAAAUAUUUGCUACUAGAGAUGUUGGAUAUUCCUUUGAAAACUUUAGAUAUGCUCACAACAUCUAAUAUUGAUAAUUUGCUUAUAAUGUUUUGCUUGAAACCGACUAAUGAUUGAAAUUAAAGUGCUCACCAAGAUAGGGGGAGCAUACAAGUGUAUCAUCAAGCUAGGGGGAGCAACCAACUAUUAUACUAUGAUCCCCAAAUUAGAUGAUGAAACACUUUGGGAAGAAGAUCUUUUGUGCAAUCAUAUAUUAUCUUACUAAAGAUCAUUUGAGUAUUUCUCCAAAGCAUUACAUCAAAACACCUUAAGGAGAUCCUAUUUUAAAUUUUGCAAAUUAUUUCAAACAAGCUUUACUAUUUGUUCACAUCGAUAGGAUAUUAUUGUCGUCAUUAAAAAUGAGGAGAUUGUUGGAGAAAACAUCUUCAAAAGAUUUUGAUGAUGCCUAAACUAUCCUUAGUAUAGUACUUACUACGUUAUUUGCAGAUAUUUAGACCAAAGGGCUACGCAACAUCCAUGAUGUGAUCCAUCGGAAGGAAGUUUGCAAAUGUCUUGUUAUUACAAAUAGCACCAGUCAACCAAAAGAUCAGGUACUUAUGAUUGUUUAUGUUGAAGCAAUAAAGAUCAGGUUGAUGGUAGUGUGACUAUUAAGUACAUUAAUUGAUAUUCGUUGGGUCGGCUAAAGAGCUGUUGAAAGAUUUGGAUUCACAUAGCAGCAUAAUCAAAAUAAAGCAUGGAGCAGAGUAGUUAAAGUGUCCAACAAGUCAGUUAGAGAUUGCAGUAAGAAGAUAGUAGCAAUUGCUAUUUUUGUUAACUUGCAAAAGUCCUAGGAAAAAAGCUAUAUGGGUAGUACCUUCCUAGACAGCAUCUCAAUGGAAAACUCUCAAACGGUCAUCUACUUCUCUAAACCAACCUCAACUGAUAGAUCGAGAAAUAGUAUAAAAGAGAAGGCUUUGAAAAAUCAAAAGAGAGUGUGCCACAUAAAAUAUCAAGUAACUUACGUACUAUUGUUCUCUGUCAAAAGCUUUAUGUCUUAUUGUUUUGUUUGUCAUACUGUUUAGCAAUUGUGAUAUAGAAUAAAUGUACAAGUGUAAGAGCAGCAACUAAGUCUAGAUAGUAUGAUCUAUCACAUGAAGGAUUAGUGCUAGCCAGCUAUAAAUUUCCAAGCAGAUUGUUAGUGGAAUCCAAUCCAUCUUGAGGCUGUUAGUCUGAAGAGUGGACGUAAGCUUGAGAAUAAAGCUGAACCACUAUAACUUUUUAUGUCCCAUUGUUAUUCAUCUUCUUUUAUACAUUGGUAUAUAGUUAAUGAGUAUUUGCUUAAACAUCAGGUUGAGGUGAUCUUUACUUAGUAAUUAGUUACUUUCCAUAAAAGAUCAUCAAAGUCUAAAAACAACUUAUUCACGCCCUCUAGGUUGUAUUAUUAGCCUCAACAUAUAUAAAUUGGUCUUAAAGAACAUAGACAACUUUUCACAAAAGGUUGUAAAAUGAACAAAGGUAUCCCUUCGGAAGAAGUUGCAAAAUGAACAAAUGUAACCCUUCGAGAAAGGUUGCAAACUAAACAAGUGUAAUUUCCAAAGGUUAUAUUGAAAAAACAUAAUAAAAAUCCGGACUCGAAAAAUGAUUUCAUACCCAUUCAUCCAAAAAACUAACAUAUAUAUAUAUAUAUAUAUAUAUAUAUAUAUAUAUAUAUAUAUAAUUGGUCUUAAAGAACAUAGACAACUCUUUGUGAAAAAUUGCAAAGUGAACAAUGGCAUCCCCUUAUAAGAAGUUGCAAAGCGAACAAAUGCAACUCUUUGACAAAGGUUGCAAAUUAAAUGAAUAAAAUUUCCAAAAGUUGUCUUGAAGAGACAUAUAGAAUUCGAAAUAAUAAAAUAAUAAAAAAAUAAUGUAUUUUUUAAUAAAUAAAAUUUCAAAUGUUCAUAAUUUCCAAAAAUACUUAAUAAACAAAAACAACAUUUGAGCUAAUAAAAGGUUAAUAAGAUAACCAUAUGAAAUAAAAUAAAAUAAAGGAAUUAGUACUUAUUAAACUAUAGGUGCGCAAGUGUGCAAAGUGCUACAUGCACCAAAAUCACACACCCGCAUGCAGUUAUUAUGGUUUUUAGCCCACACCCAAUUUUUUUUUUUCCAAACAUAAUAAAAAAGGCUCACACUUAUAAAUUGACGCAUUUCCUCCAAACUUUACUUUGUAGGACAAUGAAAAGCACACUUUGUUUAUUUUGCAAAUAAAUUUUCCAAUAAUGAUUAACUUUUGGGUUGGCUUUGUGAGUUCCAAGAUAUUGAAACUAUUGUAAGUGAAGUCUAUUGAGGGGUGUUUGUGCAAGCUUCAUAAAAUUUGACAGAGAAGCACAUGCUAUUACGUGCUUUGCAUUGUGGUUGAUUACGUAAUUGCUGAUAGUAUUUGUGGGGAUUGAUUUCUAUUUUAUGUUAUAAAUUAUAGCAUUUUAUAUUGAAGAAAAACUGAAAAUAAAAGAAAUCUACGACAGAAAAGAAAGCCGGCCAACUUUGAUCGACGCUAGCCCAGUGCAAUUGGAAACGGUGGCUGUGCAGGAGGUUUUAUUUCUACUAUUGAGUUUCAAUGAAACGACGUCCCAAACAAUCCUGCGAUGUCCAGGGCAGCGCAAGGCUAUCAUAGAUCUUUUAAAGUACGUCGAAAUCUGAAUUUUCGCCCAAAUGUCUAUUUUUGCACUAGGAAUUGAACUCGUUGAUGUCAUCAAAAUUUGGCCCAUAGUAAAAGUGAUUAUUAAAUUAAUUUUUGGCAUAUCACAUUUAGGAGACACGUUGAAUCCAACAGUGUUGUGAUUUCCCUAACAUUUCUCUACAUUAGAGUUAUGUUGACUCGCAUUAUGAAUUACAUUCACUCGCAUUUCUCUACAACUUUGCUAGAAUUGAUUCAUACCACAAAAUACCUUUCAUCAAAGGUUGAUCUUUGGUUUUUAUUGGAUUGAGUUUAGUGGUGAUUCAGACAGGAAGUAAUUAAUGGUGCAAUAGGGACAAAUAAAUCUAGAGUAAAGUAAAAUCAAGUACAGGAAAUUGAUAAAUUGAUAAGCCGAGAAAUUGAAAUCGAAAAGAUAUAUAAGUGUUACGAAUCAUUUAUAAUGAUUUAGCACGGCUCUUAUAUAAUCUAUUAUAAAGUGUAACCACUUGUAAAUGGUUGUAACAUGCAUGUUUACGUAGUUGUUCAUAAAAUUCUAAAUGUAAGUGAAUGUAUCGAACAAAUAAUGUAACAAUGAGAAAAGUAUCGUCCCACGGAGAUUGAUGAUUAGUAUACUAAUUAAAUACUAAAAAUAGAUUAAUUCUAAAAUUAAUCUAACAGAUCAAAAUAGAAUUAAGAAUAAAUAAAAAAUAAAAAUAUUAAAAGCAAACCUAUCUCUAGGUAUGAAGUUCAGAUUAUUAUGCAUAUAAGAAUGAUAUUAAAUAUGUGAUAGCGGAAUUUCCUAAUUUAUUUACUAUCCUAUCUCUAGGUAUAGCAAACCUACUCAAUUAUUAAUCUAAUAUAUCUCUAUGUGAAUUUAAAUAAAUAUAAGUGCAUUAAAAUAUAUAAAUAUUCUUGGCUUAUAAUGAAUCUUUUGGAUCAUCUUAUUACCAAAAGUUACACAAAUAAUACAGUAUAUCUCUAUCCAUAUUUAAUUCAUGGUUAUAUAUUAUAAGGAGCAAUUGCAUAUUGUCACUUUUCACUCUCAAAUAUGUGUGGCUAGUCACUCAAAAGCACCGAGCACAAUAAUAUGUAACUCACAUAAAUAAAAUCACUUGUAUGCAUAAAAAUCAUGAAAUUCAUGUAAUCAUGGUCAGGCUACAUCGUAACCCUAAUAAUAUAAAAUUAGAACAUAGUAUAAGAAGAAAUAAAAAUAUAAAUUAAACUCAAUAUCUUGAAUCAAAGAACAAUAAUUCUAUCAUCACUUUGUUUUCUCUCAAGAGUGCUAAAAAAAUUCUCAAAACAAUGAAAAACAAUAUGAAAACCAAAAAAACCUAGCUCUAUAUUAUCCUAUUUAUAGGAUAUAUUCAAGAAUCCUAACACAAUGCAAUUGCUUAUUUUUUUUUCACAUAAAAUUAGGAAAUAAAUCGUAAAAUCCUUGAUUUGGUAUCCAUUUUCCAAUGCCUUUUAAUUUGAAUUCCCAAAUCAUAGAAUUUUCCUUUCCUUCUUUUUUUCUUAUUUUUUUUCUAUAUCUCAUUAUUCUGCAUAAUCAAGGAACAUUUCAAUAAAUAGAAGCAAAUCCAAAUAUUUUCUAACGAAUAUUGCAUUAUAAAGUAUCAUAUUUAAUGCCUAAAAUAGGUCAAAUAACUCUAUUUUUAUAGAGUUAUCAAACCCCCAAACUUAACAUUUUGCUAGUCCUCGAGCAAAAGCAAGAUAUAACACAUACUCAAGCUAACAACCUCCUCCAUGACAUCUUUCCAUAAUUGCUUAAAUUCACAAUUAGAAGGAACAAAAAAAAAAAAAAAACACAAAUUUCAUCCAAAUAUUGAAAUUGAUUCAUAAGUUAAAACCAAUUCUAAUGAUGUGAUCCAAGUGUGUGUGUGAGUCCUCAUAUUUUCAAAUUAUAUGUAAUCUAGAUAUAUUCAUAUUAGUAUACAACCACUAAACAAUUCUUAUAAUUAUGACCAAAUCUCAUAGGUUUGCUUUUCAGUCAUUUCUCCACUAAUAUAAGCUAAUCAUCCAACCAAAAAUCAAAAGGACUUUUUUGUGCUUAUAAUGUAAAGCUGGGCUAAAGGUGAGAUAAUGGAAAUUUGAAGCUUAAAUCACCCAUUAACACAUUGAUUCCUUGGACUAAUUAGAGCCAAUGUCAUUGUCUCCAAUUUCACUCCUUCAAGAUAAUUUUUCUACUAUCAUAUAUUAUCAUUCCUUUUUUUUUAUUGCUCUUUUUUAAUUGCUUUAUGGUGGAGUUUCUCCCAAAUUCCUUUUUGAUUUACCAUGAAAAUUUCCAAUCCAUUGAGUAUACAAAAGGCUCACUCAAUUGAAAGUUCGACGGGGAAUCAUAGCAAUCAUUUUUUUUUUUUUUUUUGCAUGCUCUAACCUUCCUCUCAAAUUGCUAUUAGGCUCAAAUAAACUUUUAUAUAAAAAAAAAAAAAUCAACAUGUUCAUGGGGUAUGGGACAAUGAUAUAAUUUGAUAAAAGCUAGGCUAAACAUAUAUGGGUGUCAAUGAAAAUUAGAUAAUAAUUAAGGAUAAAUGAGGUGACUAGGGAUAAAUAAAUAGGGUUGGCUUGAAAGGCUUAAUCAAUCCAAAAAUUGCCUAAAUUAUUUUCUUAGUUAGAUGUAGCUUAGGAUUUCACCUCAAGAGAAAAUCAAACAAAUUUUAAUAUUUGGAUAAGAUCUAAGAAAAUCACAUACCUCACAUGAAUAUUCCCUAGAUUUACACACAAUUCAAAAAUUAAGGAUUUUGGUGCUCAGUAAAUGGAUCAACAUAAUUAAAAUUAAAAUUAACUAACACAUUAGUUGCAAGUUCAAAUGCACAACACCAAAAACCUAUUCAUAAAAUUCUAAACGUAAAUGAAUGUAUCGAACAAAUAAUAUAAUGAUGAGAAAAAGUAUUGUCCCAUAGAGAUUGAUAAUUAAUAAACUAAUUAAAUACUAAAUAUAGAUUAAUUCUAAAAUUUAUCUAACAAAUGAAAAUAGAAUUGAGAAUAAAUUAAAAAUAAAAAUCUUAAAAGCAAAAUUUGGAUACUAAAUGCAAUCCAAAUGCAGUAAAUCAAUUAGAUAAAUAUGUUAGAGCAUUUGAUUAGACCAUAACCACUAUAAAUAAAAUUUAGAUUGUUACAUGUAUGAGAAUGACAUCAAACAUAUGAUAGUGGAAUUUAUAAUUUAUUUAUUGUUCUAUCUCUAAGUAUAGCAAACUUACUUAGUUUAUUAAUGGACUAUAUCUCUAUGUGAAUUUAAAAAAAUAUUAGUGCAUAAAAAUCUAAUCUUUUGGAUCACCUUAUCACCAAAAGCUACACAUUUAAUUCAUGAUUUUAUAUUAUAAGGAACAAUUUCAUAAAGUCACUUCUUAUUCUUAGACAUACACAUCAUAUCAUUCAAAUGGUGACCAAUCACUCAAAAUUAUUAAGCACAAAAUAUAUAACUCAUAUAAAUGAAAUCACUCGCAUGCAUAAAAGUAAUGAAAUUCAUAUAAUUAUUAUCAGGCUACAUUAUAGCCCUAACAAAAAGAAAAUUAGAACAUAGUAAAAGAAGAAACAAAAAUAUAAGUUAAACCCAAUAUCUUGAAUCAAAGAACAACAAUUCUGUCACUACUUUGUUUUCUCUCAAGAAUGCUCGAAAAACUCCCAAAACGAUGGAAAAACAAUAUGAAAUCCAAAAAAACCUAGCUCUAUAUUAUCCUAUUUAUAGGUUAUAUUCAAGAAUCCUAACACAAUGCAAUUGCUUUUUUUUGUUGUUGUAUAAAAUCAGAAAAUAUAUCGCAGAAUCCUUAAUUUGGUAUUCAUCUUUUUGCCCUUUUUUUCCUUAUUUUCUGCAUAUCUCCUUAUUUUGCAUAAAUAAGGAAGAUUUGAGUAAAUAAAAGGAAAUCCAGAUUUUUUCUAACAAAUAUUUCAUUAUAAAGUACAAUAUUUGUUGUCUAAAAUAGGUAAAAUAACGAGUUAUCAGCGGUCGAAGUUCAAAACCAUUAUAUUAGGGAUGAUUUGUGAAUAUGAUUUGUUUGCACCGGAGUCUAACUCUUUGCUUCGUAGGAAUGCAUGGAAGUCGCUAGAAUCAGGGAUGUAGUCUCCCUCGAACAAGUUUUGCUCCUCAUCAAAGAAUUAAGCAAUAUUCUAUUAGUUUUAGUGUUAUUAAAUCAAUGUAACAUGUUAGAAAUCUUACGUCACAUAAAUUUACGUCUAUUUUCCAUUAUAUAAAUAAAACUUCAAUUUCAUCUAGUAACUCUCUCAUUUCGUGAUAGAUAUAGGAGCAUUUUGUUAUCUAAGUGCAUGUCAUCUUUUAAAUUUAGUUAAAAUUAAAGUUUAAUUUCUCAUUCUUAGAUUUGAAGAUACUUACCUUUAUGCAUUGCUCACUGGGACUUCUAUCCCAGGGCGUUUUAAUGAGACCUUGUGUUACGCUCGGUUGUUUUUUAUUUUUUAUUUUUUCAAUUGUCUUUAUCUUAUUUAUUUUAAAUUAUUUAUUGUUAUGGUGUUUUGUUUGAACAUUUAUGCACGGACAUUUACAAUUAAUGGGUUUUCUCUAAAAAGUCGGGAAUAUUGCAUGAAACAACGCUUUCCUAAACGAGGAAAAGUACCGGUAAUGAGUGUUGGCUGAAAUUGGUGUAACCAAAUCUUUGAACUCAAAAUCUCUUGUUCGCAUAAGUAAGUACUCCUUACCAAUCUACAAUAAGUCAAGGACAAUCCUAAUUUCAUUUAGUUAUUGCAAAAUGUGAAAUCAAGUUACAAUCAUUGGAGUUUUAGAGAGGCCAUACGGAAUGUAAGCAAUACGUUGCAAGAAGGUCAUACGUGCUAAAUUACCCCAAGUUUGGGUUGAAGUUGCAAUUCGUCCAAUUGGAUGAAAUUAUAAAUUCCAUGAUAGCUGCAUGUCACUAUCAUUAAUUAGGUAUGCCUGAACUAAACCGAAAUUUCGUACAUUUUUUAUUCGGUUUAAUUUUCGAUUCGAAUAAUGGAAAAAUAACUGUUCGUUUUUCUGAUUUGAGUUAUUUCGAUUCAAUUCGCUUAAUCGAGCCAAAACGAAUUUCUCAACAAAAAUUGAACAUCCAACUUAAAUAUAUAUUUUUCCUUAUUCCUUAUUCAAUUCGGUUCUAGUGAGCAGGGCAAAAGGAAAAGGAAAAUCAAAUUGGGUUUUCGGUUCAGGUAGUAUUCAGUUCCGAUCGUGAUUGGUUUCUGCCAGAAAAACAGAUCCGCCCCCCUCCAAAUGUCCGAACGCUCUCCUUAAUCUUCUGUCGAGGCAACCCUUAUGCCUCCCCCGCUUGAGCUAGCAAUCUUUUCAGUUACGCAUCCCUUUCCACCAUGCCAGCUCAGCGAUUCUAGAGGGUGCGUGGAUCCGCUUUGGUCACUCGUCCGUCUCUCCUUCACGUCAGGCAAGGCUCACGCAUGCCUUCUUUUGUCUGUUCUUUUCUCGUGUCACAGUCUUACAGGCGUUCACCUCACGGCUAUGCACGUGUAGGGGAAGAAGAAAUGAUGGACUGGGUUUUCUCCUUUCAUCCACUUUAUCGGGCCAAAAGGCAAUGAAAUAGGCCCUAAAAAGGUUGAGCCUAAAAAGGCAUGCUAGCGUGGGCUUAAAGAGAAUUAAAGAAAAUUGGGCUUAAAAGAGACAGCAAAAGAUGGGCCAAGGGAAUUAAAACAAACGGGCUGGACUAAUAAAGCUUAGAGGGCCGAAAAUUUGUUUAAAGGAGUGGGUUAAAAAAAAUGCUGGCCCGCUCAUUCUCACCAUUUUUUAUUUCAUUUUUGUUUGGUCCAAUUUAUUCAUUUUUUUCAAUUUUUUUUUUUUUGCUUUUUUUAUCUUAUAUAUAUAUUUUUAUAUUUUUUUGCAAAAUAAAUGGAUAUUUUGGAAAGAAAACAUUGAUAAAAAUUCGAGUGUCAACAAACACGAGACCGGUGAUUUGCAAGGGCUUCACUGGCGAACAACAGAUUAGCUAGUUCUAUUGGAGGCUCGACCAGCAAGAUCAAGAAUUCGCUGGUACUGGUUCGUGGUCUCCUUAAUUAUGAGUCCGAGACCCGGGACGUUAUGUGAAGCAUGCAUCUCUCAAAGUCACACGCAAAAUGCAGAGUCUUGAGCGGGCGAACAUUAAUUGAAGAAGUAUGCAAAUCUUGACGUUUGCUUCGUUCAUCAAUGCAUGCGCCCAUGGAGUGGGACAUCCAAUUUUGCCCUCAUUUAAUGCACACACAUGGCUAUGUGCAUCAUGCCCAUAGAAAUUGGUGGGCGCCCUUGCUGCUUUGAGGCUUGUCUUGAAGGCGACAAUGUUCUCUCCUCUUUUAUCAUCUUUCGUGGGUUAAGUUUGUCUUUUAUUAAUGAUUAGAGGAAAGGAAGAAGUCGAAGUUCUGCUAAUUUUUCUUAUGUCGGUGAGAGUUUUUUUUUAUAUGAGCUAUGUUAAUUAAUAAUGUGAUUUACUGUUUUACGAUAUUGAUCUAAUAAGGUGAGAUAUAAUAAUUUUUAAUUAGUCUAAUAUAGGGCUAACUAAUAUAGAUAUGGUAGAACUUGGCCCGUGAUAAAAAAAAACUUUAUAAAUAGUGCCAAAAUCUCUUUUAUAACCUUGAUACAUAAAUAUCCUUACAUAAGGAGGUUUGUUAAACUGAGGUAAGGAGCAAUCUCAUUGAGCUAAUAAUAUAAUGGCAAUAGUGAAAAAGUAUUUGAGCUUUGGAUCGUCGCUAUUCUACAUCUCUCUUUUGCUCGAUAAUAGGUGUUAUUUAUUCUAGCUAUAGAGAUGACUUCAAAAUCAGGUGUGCAAAUCUCUUUUACCUGAUUACAUGUGUUCUUGAUUAUGUUUAUGGAGAUUAAUUUCAAAUCAAGUAUACAAAUCUCAUUUACUCAAUUAUAUGUGCUCUUGAUUCUAGUUAUGGAGAUCUUUGAUGCUAUUUUAACAACUUACAAUGUCAUCAUUAAUUGGCUUCUGAAGAGGGUGCCAUUUGUCGUGUCUACAUCAAUUCUCCGACAAAAGGAUGAUCGCAGAGGACUGUCGCGACCAAAAUUUCAGGUGUAAACCAUUUAGAGUUUGGUUAAUGGAUUGUUAAGCCAAAACUUAAUUCGGGCUCUCCCAAGCCCAUAUCAAUUCGCGACUUAAGUUCAAAUUUUUUAACAUGCAAAUAGAUUUUAUUUAGGAGUCACCGCUAAUAUAUUUUUUGUUGGGUCGAUUAUAAACCAAGUAAAGUAACGGGAGAUUUACUUUACCCAUACGAACCAGAAAUUAUAAGUUUAGGGACUUGGUUACGCUAGAUUUCUCUAAUACUCUUUCGGUACAUUUUUCUUUUUAUUUCGAAAAAAUAUUUUGCAAGUAGUUUGAAUUAAUUUUAUUUUACCUUCCUAACAUGUGGUUCAUGCAGGUACACAAACCCCAAUUUAACACUCAAGAAAAUAAUGAAUAAAUUGUAGGACUUAUCUCAUAACCACGAAAGCAUCUGCAAUGUUAAAUUAGAAUUCACAUCAACAAUCUUAGAUAUGAUUUCUAAUUAACAUGCAAUUACUCAAUUUUUGUUUUCACUGAUUUAAUGAGAAUAUAAUCCAUAUGCGAUGCAUGUUACUAAUUUAACAUGAAAUGAUAUGACAUGGCAACAUGACCUAGCUAUAUGACGUAAAUAAAAUGCAAUCUCUCAUAAUGAAUGACAUUGAUUUAUUUUCACAAAAAAAAAAAUGACAUUGAUUUAUUCUAAGGCAAUUUUUGGUUCGAAAUUAGAAAAAUGUGAAAAUUAACCACCGCUCGCAGCGGCGCUGCUGGCUUGGGGUUCUCUCCCCCUCACGAAGGGAAGGAGUUCGAAUCCCAGAGGCGUCGUUAGGAAUUCUUACCUGGAGUACUGUGGUGGUGGGUCCUGCAAUCACUCUCCCAGGGUUUGCUCGCCGGCUAUCGGCUUACGGGAUUUCCUAGGUCACAAAAAAAAAUGCGAAAAUUAACUAGCUAGAUUAAGAUUAUAUCGGAUUAGGUCAGGCUAAACUCUAAUUUAAACUAAGAUAUUAUCUUAACUUAGCAGUCUCUAACCUAAACUGCAAUCUAUCUAAAAAAAUUAAUCUAAACUUCAAAUGAAAUAUGCAAUUUUAUCAUAAUAUGCAAUGACGUACAAAAGAUGCCAUAAUUUUACAUGACAUAUGCAUGAUGAUUUUUUAUGUUUUUUUUUUUAAUUUUGAAAUUUAAAAUUACCACAUAAUUAAACAUGCAACUUAAAUUAAACAAAAACUAACAUACUAAAUGAAUGCAUUUUUCGGAUUUUUUUUAUUUAACAAAAUAAAAAUGAUUCAACCAAUAUGAUAUAGGAUUGAUAUCCAUAAAUUGGUGAACAAUAUAUCGCGCAUGAGAUCGGGUUUGCCAAUUUUUAAAUAAAUCACGAAUCGAAUUUCGGUCGUGAGAUUAGAUUGACAAUUUUUGCAAAAGAUUGCGAGUCGGAUUUCGGGCGCAAAAAUUGGACUGUCAAUCUCUAAUUUGAGAGACUAUUUCAUGUGAGAAUCCCAACCAUACAUUUAAGAAUAAUUCUACUAAAAAACAAAGUAAAUAAAUAAAAUAACAUAAAUAAUAGAAUAAAGUAAAAAAAAAAAAAAAACACAACUGCCUAAUUGAUUUUCCUUUUUUUGUUUUGCUUUCCAAACAAGGGUGGUGCUCGUGGUGGCUGGUCACCGUCGGUCCGGCAAGGGCGUCGCGAUCGGAGCUCCGGCGAAGGUCCGGCGAGGGGCAGCAGCCGGCGUGCAGGCGGACCAGCUUGGCGGUGGUCCGGCAGAGGAGCAGGUCGUCACGGGCGUUGCUGGCGACGGACGCGCGAGCAGGAGCGGAGCAGAACAGACGGGCUUAGGCAGCAGGACGUCGAGUGAGCAGGGGCGGCCGGUCCUGGCGUCGCGAUCUGCAGCUGUGGUGCAGAGCAGAUGGGCUCGCGGUCUAGUGAGCGGAGGCGUCGGCGAGUAGCUCCGGUGCGGCAGAUAGGGUGAAGAUCGGCUGAGGCGCGGUGGGCUUCGUCAGGCUGGUGGAGUAGAUCGGCGAGGCAGCAGCAGUUUCGCGGGGCGAUGAGGUUGGAGCGCGGAUCGCGGGUCGUUGGGCGCCGAGUGCUGCAGCGGCGCCACUCGGGGAAGCUCGGAGCAGCGUGCGGGGCGUCACUCGGAGAGCGGGGGGCUGCUGCUGCGUCGAUCGAAGGCGGAGGCUGGCGUCGGGGGUUGUUGCAGCGGGAAGAUCUGGAGCAGCGGCAGCCAACUCGGGUGUAGCAGACCGGCGGUGUGGCAGCGUCGUGGCUGGAUCACAGUAGCAGAAACGGAGCCGGCCGGGGGAGAGCAGAAGCGGGCGGAGAGAGUUGAGGAAGACGAUGAACAGUAAACGUCCAAUCACCCCUCCUUUUUUGCCGCUUCUGCUUUAUCCUUUUCCCCUAAAGAAUCGAAGGCUUCUUUUUCUUUCUUCUUUUCUUUUUAUUCCUCUUGACCUCGAAAGGAAACCCUAAAGAAUACCCCUCUCUCACGUUUGUCUCUCUGAAAUUUUUCCUCCUCAAUGUGGCCGAAUGUCUCAAUUGCGUGGCCUCUCUAUUUUUUCAAACCCUAUACGAGUAACUUUUUUUAUAGACCAAAGAUUAGAUUUUUUAAUUUUCUUUUCAAAUCAACAUCGGUGAAGAUUUUUUUUUCGCACGCAAUAUCACUUUUAUUUUCCACACAUUUUCUAGAUUUUCUUUGCAAAAAUGAAUAUUCUCUAUUGAUUUUUAAAAAAUUACAAUAGGAUUUUUUUUCAAAUAUGGGUUUGGGCCCAAAUUGUUCUCUUCGUGGGCUUAGUCCAAUUUGUCAAUUUAAAACUCAGAACCAUUAAGUUGAAUACAUCCACUAUCGAUCUGAUAAAAUACAAAAAAUGUAAAUUAAAAAUAAAUGCACAUAAAUCUAUAUGUAAUAAAUAUUUUUUUAGGGAUAAAAUUGACCCUUAAUUUUCUAUGCAAUAAAUAAAUGAUCGAAUCACCAAAAUUUAGGUGUCAACAAGAACAUAGAUAAUAGAGUAGAAAAGAGAGCUCAAGUGACGAGAAGUGAGGCUCGGAAGGUUUGUGGAUAGAGUAAGUCCAUUGAGUUGAGCUGUUAAAUACAAUGGGUAUAUUAAAAUUAGGAAACAUUCAAGUGUGUGAGCGUUUGUAAUUCUAUAAUUCUUCUAUUUCUUAGUAGAAUAUUUGCUGACUUUUCUCAUGAAUGCAGGUUUUGACAUUCAAAUUAAAUCACAUAAAUGUCAUGUGUCCUUCUAUUAUUUUUCGUUUUAUAUGUUUGUCGAUUUCCAUAGCUUCAAAUAUAAUUGCAAAGUUACGAUGUCCUUUAGUCAUGUCACAAUUUCUCUGACCUCCAUUUCCCCCGUGUGAUGGUGUUGUCUUUAGGGGUGAGUAUGGUCCGGGUUGGUCUGGGCCACUCCCUAACCCUAAGAUUAACCUGUACAGUGUCGGUUCUUAAUUUUUAGGACUGAAAAUUGACCCUAUUGAGCCUGAGACCAAGGACCGGACCGACCCAAUGGAUUCGAUCCGGUUCUAGGGUCAACUUGAGACUGAUCGAUACUUUAUUUCGUCUUGUUUUUUAUACUCCAUAAAAAAGCAAACCUACAAAUUCAAAUUACACAUCCAUUGACAACGCGGCAUUGUGCAACUAAACUAUAAAUACCAAUACAAGAUCUCAAAUGAAGCACAAAGUAGAACUCACUAGCCAAGUUUUGUUUGGAAAGUAAGGGCGAGCCGAGCGUUAGGGUUUCUAGUUAGGGCUUCUUCUUUUUUCCUUCUGAUUUACUCGGCGAUAAGUGAGGCAAUCGGCGUGAGUGGCGAGCGGCAAGCGUCGAGCGUCGAGUGGGGCGAGCGUCAACUGGCAAGCGACAAGCGUUUAGUGAGGCUAGCAGCAAGCGGCGAGCGUUGAGUGAGACUAACAGCGAGUGGUGAAUGGCGAGAGCAGCGCGCAUGGUCAAAGGUGAGUAGCGCGGGCAACUAGAGGCGAGCGGGAUGUUGCUACUUUUGAUUUUGGCAAAUUGAAGAACAAAGAAGACAGAAUGGAAGAGAACAUACUUUGGGGAAGGAAGCUGUGAGGAGAUUUACGGCGUAAACUUCGCGCCUUUUUGGACGUCGCGAGUCCGUGACUGUGAGGAGUCCUUGGUCCUCACGAUGAAGAACGUACUCUGGAGUCUGGACUGUGGAGGAGGAGGCCGUGAAGACCUUUACGACGUAAACUCACGUCUUUUGGAAUUGGAUGCCGCUUGUCCGUGAUUGUGAGCCUGGAGGAGUCAACAUCUUUAACAUCAUUUUACUUAGUUUUUUUUUUUUAACAGACGUUUUACUUAGGUUUGAAUAUAUAAAAAAAUUAUAUAUAAUAUAAUAUAAAGUAAAUUUUACUUAAGUUUGAAUAUAUAUAAAAGAAUUAUAAAUAAUAUAAUAUAAUACAUGGUUGGUCCAGGGUUGGACCGACCCAAAAUUCUCAGGACCGAGAACCAACCCGCAUAGUGUUGGUCCUGGAAUUUCAGGACCAAGGACUGACCCAGUCCCCUUGGGAACCGGACCAGAACUGGUAGGGUUGGGCCAGUCCAGGGUCAGUCUAGGGUCGACCCUAGACCUCUACUCACCCCUAGUUGUCUUAUAGUGAAUGGAGGGCCGCCGAGGGGGAAUAAAUAAUUUCGAUGAAGUUGUCGAGGGAGGUGAUAGCGAAUGGGACCUGUUUUUCACAUUUUUUCUGGUAGUGGAAGAAUCUGUUCUUUUAUGUAGUCCAAGGAAAUCCCAUAAAUUGUGGCGAACGAAUCAUGACAUCGUGGAGCAAAUCAAGAAACGUUUUUUUUUUUCUUUUGAAAAUCAUCCCUUCUCUGUCAAACUUUUUUCGUUUCUUCCCUAUUUGUUUUUUGGCUCUUCCAAUGCACUAGAAUCUCGUUGUCUCCUAAAUCCAUAUUGGCCGAAAAUAUGUUUUCUUGCUUUCCAAAUUUUCUCAUGUGCAUUGCAUAUGGGAAUUUUGGCUACAAUAGGGUGGACGAUGGGCUUGGCCGAAUUUUUUUGUUUUUUAACAGGCUUAAUCCAGAUUAUUUAGCUCGAAACCAAUCUGUACAAGUCCACUAACUCAGGUCCAAUUCAAUUAUACGAGUUUAAUAAUGUAUAAAAAUGCAAUUAAUAUGUAGAUGCAUUUAUUAAUUUUCUGUUAGAGAUCAGUGCUGGUUUCUCUCUUUUUUUUUUUUUUGCAACGAAUAAUCAGACAAACUUACCAAAUUUAGGUGCUAGCAGUUAUCUGUUGAAGUUUUGUGCGCAUUCUCAAGGGGAGCCGGUACUUAACAAAUGUGUGAAGUGAAGCAAAGGGAAUUAAGGCCAAUUCUUCCACACUCAAAGUAAAAACAUUUUUCUUCACAGUAAAAAUCAUUUCAUUAGGAGAGGGAAAUGAAAGGUUUGAGUAAAAAUAUGCCACCGACUGAGGAUCAAAUGAUUUGUUCAGAUAACAAAGUUUGGUCAGUUUCAUAUCAUCAUAAUAUUUUUGACAUAAACAGCCUAUGGUUUUCCAAAUAAUCGAAAUCAAUUAUCCUGCGAAGUAUGACUCGUCUAGCCAGUCGUAAAUCAUAGAAUUCACUGUGUUUCGACGACAGAAAGAAGCGAGAUUUGAGAGAUUGUACUUUGCAAACACCGAUGGAGGAUGAAAGUUGUCGUCCUUUCAUCGUCCUUCUUACCCUCCAGACGACUUUCCGAUUCUGGUUCCACUAGUUCUUGUGGAACAUUUGAUGGUUCUUCAGCAAUAUUUUCUUUGCCCUUUUGAGAGGUAUAUGCCCUCUCUGGUUGACUCUGCGCAGGAUCUUAGUUCAGGAGCAGGGUUUGAGUAAUUUUCAAUUUCGCUCAUAAGAAACUGAGCAGAUGUCGUUGACUAGACUCAAAAUAUCCUCCGUUAUAGCAUCUUUCUCCUUGAGUGCAUUCAGCAUGUUCCUUACUACGCUGGCAUUGUCAAACCUUGGUGAGUGAAUAGUUGGAGGUGUUUCUGAAGCAGGUACAGAAACCGGUCCAGAAGAUGGUCUGGAAUUGGAGUUUUGGGUGAAGAAGUAGGGAGGUUUUUUGGGCUUAAAGGGGGAGUGUUCCUCGAAUGUCUAACGAGAGGCGUCUCUUCACUCUCGUAUUCCAGUGAUAUCGAUGCUUCCUCGUCCACUUGGAGCAGAAGAGAACACUGCCGUUCUUCUUUGUGAUCUUCUCAGCCCAAUAUAUCUCUUAGGGACAAAGUACAGCCCAAGUGUCAAAAUUUGGCACGAGGUGCCAAAAGUUUGGAAAGUGAUACUUAAGUGCCAAAAUCGGAGCAAAAUGGAUCACUUAAGUGUCAAUCUGGCCAAAAAACAGCCAAAUUGCUAACGUGGCGAUUUUCUGGAGAAGUGAGUGCAAAACGACAAUUUUGCACACUGACAUGGUUAAAAAAAAAUGCAAAAAUGACAUUUUUUUGUCUUUACGUGGUAAAUAAUUAAUAUAAAAAUUAAUUAAAUUAAAUUUAAAACUGAAUUUAUUUAAAUAUUCUAAAAAAUUUAAAAACUAAAAAAAAGGGGGGGCCUGAAGGGAGGCGGCUGAGGGCUGAGCCCUUACCAUCAUUGUCGGGAAGAGCCGGUGAUGGAGGGGGGAGGGUCGGUCGAGGUUGCCGGCCCUUGGCUAACUGGUGGCGAGGGCUCGCGGGCCCGCACCGUCGGUCGGGCGGCUAGUCCCGGCCCUGCCAAAAACCCCGUGACGAUACCACAAUUUAAAUAAAUUUAGUUUUAAAUUUAAUUUAAUUAAUUUUAUAUUAAUUAUUUACCACAUCAGAGACAAAACAAUGUCAUUUUUGCAUUUUUUAGCCACGUCAGCGUGCAAAAUGAUACUGUUUUGCACUCAUUUCGCCGGAAAAUUGUCAUGUCAGUAAUUUGGCCGGAUUGAUACUUAAGUGAUCCGUUUUACUCCAAUUUUAACACUUAAGUGUCACUUUCCAAUUUUUUAGCACUUAAGUGUCACUGUGUGCCAAGUUUUGGCACUCCAGAUGUCUGUACCUCUUAUCUCUUAGAAAUAGUGUUUGCAAUGUUGGGUGCCAUUAGAGAGGAUGAUUAUUUGCAAAUAGGGUGAGGUUGAAGAAGAUUUUUGGGAUAUAUUAGAAGGAUCGUGAAUGAGGGUUUUGUGAACAAAAAUUUGGCAAUGCUUCAAAUGUAGAAAGAAGUGAUUUUGACAGUUCUGAAAAAGGUUUGAAUUCUGAAAAAGGUAUGUUUGUCGAAUCUCUAAUAGGCUACUGUAGAUGGAAGCGAGAAGAGGGGAUAGAAUCUCACUUUGUCAUUUGUAGAUGUAAUUUCACUAAAUUGACAACAAUGGUAGUUCUAGAUCCGUCCCAUUAAGAUUGCAACUUAAGUAUAGGGCCCCUUUGUUAAGCUUCAAUUGAAACUCAUUCAUAGGCAACGGCUAUGCGUAUUUAUUAUGAUUGCUUGGUCUUAAUGUACAACAACCGUCAUAAGGUCAUGUCAAAAGCCAAUUUUCUAUUUGUAGGCGUUGUAGGACAACCGUAAAUGGAUAGCGAGUUUGGUGAGGUCUAGUUAGACUUGUCCCUAUAAAUCCAAGCCACCCUAACCAAACUUAUAUUGAUUUUGCAUUAGCGACGCCCUGUUAAUUAGGGGCAACUGAAUUUGGGGGGAAUUAUUUUUUGCCAUAUAUAGGGGGUGUGUCUCCCUCUACACAGGAUUUUGUGAUAUUUGUGAUUAAUAGGAAGAUUGAUAGCAAACGGCUAGUCGCUUUUAUUGAGGUUCCAUUAAUGAGUACUGUUAAAAAUCCGCCUAUAUGGAUGAUAAAAGAUAAAUAAUCAUCUAAUAGAAUUUGACAUUGACAUGGCUUUAAGUGAAAUAGUAAUGAUAUAUUUUGUCUAGAAAAUCUUCUAAUAGAACCUUGCCAAAAAGUAAAUGUGGCAUGCGGGUGUAAAUUAAGGGUUUUGAUGUCACAAGAAAAACUUUAGAGUAAAGAUGUCACGGUUUGGGAUUUUUUUAAGUCACAGAAAAAUUCGGUCUAAAUAUGUCAUUGUGGAUAUAUUUUGGGAUUUCUUAUGACUUUUUUCAAUUUAAAAUUAAUAGUUAUUAUAUAUAAAAAUAUAUAUAUCUCAUGGUAAAAAUUGCUAAAUAAGCAUUUAGGUUUAUACCACGAAAACUCUAAACUAAUAUAUUUGUGAUAAAAUUACCAAAUACUAAUUCUUUUAGCACAACAAAAUCUGAAAUUGGCACACCCAUGACAAAGUUACCGUAAGCUAAUUAUUUAACCAUAAAAAACCCCAAACUGGUACAUUUAUGAUAAAUUUACCUUAUGUUAGUUUCCAUUUAAUUGAAUUAAUAUCAUAAAAAAUCACAAAUCAGUACAUUUAUGACAACGAAGGUUAAAACUCAAAACUGGUAUACCUGUCAACUAUCACGCGUAAUCUAACGUAGCAAUUUGUGGAUAAAAUUUAAUGGAAAUUAACGGAGUGUAAAUUUGUCACGGGUACACAAGUUUCAAUUUUUUCGUGGUCAAAAAAUUAAUUUAGAGUAAAUUUAUCACAUAUGUAUCGGUUUUGGGUUUUUUUCGUGGCAUUAACCCAAAGCAUUUCGAUGGAAGACAUAACGAUAUGCCGACUAACGAACAAAAUUUAUAACAUGAAAUGAAUCAAUUUAAUGGUCUUCACAAAAUUGUGCUACAAUACUAGAAACAGUUUUUGAGUGAUAAUUGUUCGUUAGUUCUAAACCUAUUUAAUGGUCAAUAUUGUUAUAAACUUUUAGUUUUAUCAAUUUAGCUCUAAAUAUUUUGAUGAUUUUUCAAUGUAGUCUAUAUGGCUAAUUUUUGCUAGCAAUAGUUAAUGUGACCCUCCCGUUAGUACUGGCCAUCUUACAUUGUAGCGCUAACGUGGAAGAUUUUUACAAAUUUUUGAUUUUUCUAUUCUAUUCUUUUCUUUGUUUUUCCAUUGUCCAUCUUCUUGAAAGGGCUAGUGGAGGCCGAUGGGGCCUUGAAGAUGGCCUGCGCAAAAUUGAAAAAAUAAAAUAAAAAGAUCAUAUAUUUUUAAAAAAUUACAAACAUAGGACAAUUAACGUCCACCUUAGCGAUUUCCGACCCAUAUUGACCCUGAGGAUUAUAUUAAAAAAGUCAUCAAAGGUUUAUGACUAAAUUAGUCAAACUGAAAAAUUUAGUAUUGAAAUGGCAUUGUACAAUAGGUUCAGGACUCUUUAGAUAAUUUUGCCUUAUUUUUCAAUAGAUAAAAAGGGGAUAAGUGCAUUAGAAAUUCUAAAUCUUAUCAUGAAAGUGCGAUUAAGUCUUAAAACUUUCAAAAAGUGCAAUUAAGUCAUAAAAUUUGUCACCAAAGUGCAAUUAAAUCCUAAAACUUCUUACCAAAGUAUAAUCAUGUCCUAAAACUUUCAAAAUGUGUUAAUGGAAGGAUUUAAUUGAAAUAAUUAGAUAAGUUUUAGGACUCAAUUGCACUUUUGAAUUGAGAACGCAAUUGGACUUUCGUGACAAAUUUUAGGAUUUGAUUGCACUUUUUGAAAGUUUUAGAAAUCAAUUAUACUUUUGUGAUGAGUUUUGGAAUUUUCAAUACACUUAUCCAGAUGAAAAAGUAAAAACUUAUAGAAUUUUUAUGAUAUUUGGCCAUCAAACUAUUUCUCUUUUGUCUACUAAUGCUGAUUUCCUUUUAUUAGGAGCCAAUAGGUUUUAUCAACUCAUAUUAGAAAAAAAAAAGAUUUAGUCGAAAGAUGAAAAAAGAUUUCUAAUCACGAUGAUAGUUGAAUGCAUGCGUGGGAUCCUUCGAGAAAUUUUGAGUAGAUCCUAAGCACGAGAUUCUUAUUUAUGCAAAUCAAUAAUCGCAUUUCCAAGGCUAUAAACUUUUUUCUAUGACCGGUGCUCAACAACAACACCAUCUAUAUAAAGCGGGGUUAGAAUACUGAGAGAUUCACUACAACUUUCGCAAUGGCUCUUCCUGCUUUGUUCACAAGCUUCGUCCCCUCCUCAAUCAGCCAUAACCAACCCUCCCUCUUGUCCUUUAGACACCCUCGCUGCUCCUCCUCCUCCUUCUCCUCAAGCGCUAAAUCGGUGACAUGCGCCGUGACGAUCGAGAAUCCAGAGAUCGUGAGACGUUCGGCAAAUUGGAAACCUAAUGUGUGGGACUACGAGUUUCUCCAGUCACUCGGAGUUGAUUACACGGUAAUGAUCCUUUUUGGAUCGGCACAAUACCAAGCCUGGCUAUGUUCUAUGGAAAAUGUUCACAUCUCGGUCCUGAACUUUGUAUUCCUUUUUUUCCAAUCUUGUCCUUGAACUUGUGGGAAUUCCCUAUCCAAUUUCUUGGUCUAUGGUUCUGGCAAAUUGAAGCUCAUGCGCGUGUCAAUGCUAGCGGAAAGUAUGAUGCAGAAAACUCGGUACAAGUUUUAAGUUCAAGGAUCAUGUUGAGAAGGGGAAAAAAAACAACAUAAGUUGAGGAUCGUAUUAUUGCUUUUCCCUACUUUCUUUUUACUUUGAUGGGAUAGAGUCCACAGCACCCAAAAUGGCAUAGAAACAAAAACGAAACUGUAUUCUGAAUUAGAUAUAAGGAUGUAUACCAUUUGAGUACUGUUGUAUACGACCAACCACUGCCACUCUAUCAAAUACGACUGACAUAACAAUAUUCCAUAGAGAUACUAAUAAACUUGAUCAAAAUGGCAUAUUCUCAACAAUGCUUACUCUGCUUAUGUAUUACUUUUGAUUAAGAUCUCAUUUUUCUGAAUGUUUUACGUGCCUAGGAGGAUAAAUAUGCCGAGCAAGUCCCAAGGUUGAAGGAAGAAAUCAGGGGUCUAUUCAACAGGGAGAUGAACCAGGUGGCCAAGCUCGAGUUCAUUGACGCAGUUCAAAGACUCGGACUAGGAUACCAUUUUGAGACGGAGAUAAAAAAUGCUCUCAGUUCCAUCUAUGACAAUGCCGGAUAUGCUCAGCUUUUGAACGAUCUCCAUGCAGUUUCCCUUGGAUUCCGGUUACUUAGACAACAUGGAUACAAAAUAUCGCAAGGUAUUCGCCAUAUGGUUACCCUUUUAUAAAUCAUGUUGAUGCAUCAAAAGUUACCUUACCAUUCCUUUUUUUGGACAUAUAGAUGUGUUUCAACAAUUUAUGAACAAGAUGGACACGUUCAACGAAUCACUCAAUAAGGAUGCGAGGGGGCUUCUUGGUCUUUAUGAAGCUUCUUUUCAUGGAUUGGAAGGUGAAACCAUCCUUGAUGAAGCGAGGAACUUUGCUUCUAAGCAUCUAAAGGAUCUAAACCUCGACAAAGUUCCUGCUAUGUUAGCGAGCUACGUGAGUCAUGCAUUAGAUAUGCCGAUCCACUGGAGGCCAAAUAGGUUGGAGGCUCGGUGGUUCAUGGACAUGUACGAGAAACAGCAAGACAUGAUCCCUUCCUUGCUGCGAUUGGCUAAAUUAGACUUUAAUCUAGUGCAAUCAGUCCACAAGAAGGAAGUUAGCAAUAUGGCAAGGUAUACGCAAGCACUCUAUAUAUAAACACCAAACCUAUAGGAGCGCAUUUAGAUCGACUUAGUUGUUGAAUGGUGAAUUUCUCAGGUGGUGGGUUGAACUUGGCGCGAACAAGAUGACCUUCUUCAGAGACAGAUUGGUGGAACACUAUUUUUGGACCUGCGCCAUGGUUUUUGAACCUCAGUAUACAGCUUAUAGGGAAAUGACGACGAAGCUCACUUGUAUGGUGACACUUAUCGAUGACGUUUAUGAUGUAUAUGGGACACAGGAAGAACUUGAGCUCUUAACAGAUUUUCUUGUUAGGUUAGUGUAAUAUGAUUAUUAUCAUCAUUUUCCCUCAUAACUAUUGUUGCCCAGAGAAAUGAUAAGCAAUUAAAUAGUCUCUGAAUGACACAAGAGAUACAAUAAAUUUUCAUAGUUCUAUGAUAUAAUUUCUCCGAUGUAUUUUGAACAUAUCACUUUUUAAGUUAGAUUUUUUUUCCUCUAUAUAAUUGAUUGGUUGGGCAAUUAAAGUAGUAGUAAGUACUAACUUUCAUUGUUAUUACUAAAAGUGUAUCGGGUGCUAGUAAAAUUUACAAAAUGUUGAAAUGUUGAUAUCUUAUCCAGGUGGGACAUCACAGAAAUCGAUAAGCUUCCUCCAACAAUAAGGGAUAGUUACAUGGCCUUGUACAACACAACCAAUGAAAUUGGGUAUUGGACGAUGAGAGAGCUAGGAAUCAACACCAUUCCUUACAUGCAAAAAGUGGUAAUCUUGCUGAAUCUUUCACCUAAUAAUUUCUAGCCCGUGCAAGGCAACUCACUUUUCUACUUCUGACUUUCGUAAUGAAACUUCUAUUUAAACAUUUGAGAAUUCGAAAAAUGUAUGAGGGAAGAAUGUCCCUCGGCUUUGUCAUUGACACACUUUUUUUCGAAUUUCAAUCCUCUAGUGGGCGGAUGAAUGCAAGGCGUACAUAAAGGAGGUCCAUUGGUACAACAAAGGAAUCAAACCGACAUUGAAGGAGUACAUGGACAAUGCGGUGGAUUCAAUCGGAGGGCUGAUUAUGCUGUUGGGCAGCUACUUCCUAACCACGGACAAAUUGACGGAAGAGGGGCUUGAUUACGUGUCAAAAAUCCCGAGUGUCAUGCAUUGCUCUGCCAAGAUCCUUCGACUUAACAAUGAUCUCAGUACCUCAUCAGUAUAUUACUUUGACAUUUACCUUUCUCCUUUAAUAUAAUCGCUUAUGAAGAAAAAGCACAUCAUUGACGCAUUCAAAAAUACGUGCUAUUUUUUUUAAAUAUAUUCGAUGAGAAUCCUGAGACUUAUGUUUGUGAAACAUCAAUCUCAUUCAUGGUCAGUAUGAAUUGGCGCGAGGAGACAACUUCAAGGCACUAGAAUGCUACAUGAAUGAAACCGGUGCCUCGGAAGAGGCCACGCGUGAGCAUGUCAGGCAAAUGGUGCACGAGACCUGGAAGAGGAUGAACAAAGAUGUGUUUGAGGACUACCCAUAUUCUGGGUUCGGGCCUUUUCUCGGCGCUUGUCUGAACUUGGCAAGAGCUUCUCAGUGCUUUUACCAGUACGGAGACGGACACGGCCUUCCUGACAACGAAACAAAGGACCACCUUGUGAGGGCACUAUUCGACCCUGUGCCCCUCGAUUAGGGAUGCAUAUUACUGACAGAGGUGUCGCUGUUGGAGAGAACCUAUUGACUUAUGUGUUAUUAUUAGCUUUUGGGGUGGGCGGCUUUGGAAGCUUUAAGACUUUGAAACUGUUGUAAUUGAAGCCUAUACGAUAGAUGGGCGUUGUACGAGCUCCAUAAAAUUCGCUGGGGAACCUCAUGCUAUUUGGGACUUUGAGUUGUGGUUGAUAUACAUAAUUGAUAAUAAAAUUUGUGGUGAUUAUUGAUACUUAAUUUUUAGUUGACGUGUCGAAAAGGUAAAAAAAUUGAGAUUUGGGUUUCCGAUUGCGAUGGAGCCCGUUUCUCACUAAAAAAUAUUGUUUCUCAUUUCUUUAUUUUGUAUCGUUAUUUUUAAGCAAUUUCCAAUUCAUCUUCGAGAAAAAUUCAAAAAGUCAAAUGGUUGAUUUUUGAGUUGACUUUUUGGUCAAUUCUUUGAUCAAAAGUUAAUCCCAAGUUGAAAAUUGACUUUUCACCUAAAUUUCACUUUCAUAAAAUCAAUUUUUCAAAAACUCAAAGAUUUGACCAAAAAAUCAACAUUUAAAAAAAAAUCAACUAAAUAAUUGACUUUUGGUCAAACAUUUGAUUAAAAAAUAGAAAAAACAAAAAAUCCAUAAAAACACUUCUUUUAGUGUAAAUUUGAUUUGUAUGUUGAAAAUUUCACAAAAUUCAACUUGUUUUCCAAUUUUUUUUAUUUUUGGUUCUAAAUUGUCCAAAAAUGAAAUUAGUUUUAUUCUAGUUACAGUUAGGUGUAGUUCCUUUUACGGCAUUUGUUCUAGGGACUAUUUUAAACCCAUUUGUUCACUUGAUUUUGUGGCCCUUCUCACUUGUCAGCAUAAUUUCUGAAGAGUUGAUCGUCCGAAUUUCUUCUACGUCAUUAAAUGCAUGCACAUGGCCAUGUGCAUGCAUGCCCGUAGAAAAAUUGUGCUGCCUCAUAAGCCUAUCGUGUAGGCGCCGAAUUCCCUCUCUUCUUGGUCAUCUUUUGUGGGCUUCUCUUGUUUUAUUAUUAAUAAAGAAAGAGGGAAGGCAGAAGCUAUUCUCCUUCUGCAUGGUCAUACGCGCACACUCUCAUUAAUUGCAUGGAGGCGCAUGCUUUGAAGAUCAGCGCCGUUCUGACAAUUCCGGAGUACAAUUUUGUUUUGUUUUCUUCCCUGCCACCAAUAAAAAGGAGAGAGAGAGAGCUUCGGAGGACGAAGCAGCGGCAAAGAAAAGAGCUUGAGAGAGCAGCGAAAAGAAAGAGCUCGAGAGAGAGCGAGAGGCGUGAGCUCAGAGGCGUGAGCUCAGAGAGGUUUGUGCGUAGUCGAUUCCAUUGAGCUGAGUUGUUAAACACCGUGGGUAUCGGAUAUAAAGUAGGGCUGAGAAACACUUGACUGUAUGAGUGAUUCUAAUUUUGUAAUUCUCGGAUUAUAGUUGAUUAUUUUGCUGAUUCUCCUCGUGGAUGUAGGUUUCAAUAUUCGGAUUGAACCACGUAAAUUUCUGAUGUCCUUUUUUAUUGUUCCUUGUUUUAUUUUUGACGAUUUCUAUAGCUCCCGACAUAAUUGCAAAAUAGACGAUCCGCUUCUGCUGUGAUGCCGAUUCAAACAUCGGCAAUCCAUGCAAAAAAAUGUGAGAGAACGGGACAAGAGCUGGGCACCGAAAAAAAGGUCAGCGGGGGCUUCCUACCCGACUCAGGGGUGGCGAACGAUGGGCAAGAUCAAUAGAUCAGACUACGUCUAGUCGCCUUGCACGCCCCCGAGCCGGGAUCCUUAGGAAAUCUACAUGGAUUGAACCAAAAACUAGAAAACUCAACUGAAAAACUUGAAAUCGAGGCAAGGGAAGCCGCAUCUUGUUGGUUCUGGAUAGGAGGCGCAACCUCACGUUGGGGACAUCGGGGGUGGCUAAGCAACGCUCGGCUAAGGUGGAUUCCAGGUCUCCCUCUUCUCGGUCACUCCCCGUUUCUCCCCCCUGGGGCUCCCUCAAGCUCUCUCCCGUCGCCCUCCUCUCCUUCGGGUCUCUCUUGGUCGCCCUCUCUCUGAUUCACUCCCCUCUCGGUUCCCCUCUCUCCCUUCUUCUCCUCUUCCACUGCUCACCUACUGUCCUCUCUGCUCUCUGCUCCUAUCCCCUCCUUUGCUCUUCCUUUCUGCUCCUGUCCCUUCUCCUUUGCUGCCUUGCUCUUCCUUUCUGCUCCUGUCUUUUCUCUUCUUCUUCCUGCAGGUUUGCGCGCGAGCUGGAAAUUGAAGAGGAAGACCGGUUGGGGUGGACUGGGCCAAAGGAGAAGAAAAAUAAUGAUGGGCUAGGCCUAGCGCAUGGGAAAAAGAAAAGGAGGCGGGCCGGGCCAAGGUCGGAUCCAGCCUGACCCAACCCCUAAGUGUUUUUCUUUUGUUGUUUUUGUUUUUUGUUUUUUGUUUGUGUUUGUGUUUUUGUUUUUGUUUGUUUGUUUGUUUGUUUUUUUUGUUUAAAAAUAGGUGUCAACAAAAGCCAAACGAGGAGAGGAGCCGAAGAAGAAGACUGCAGUUUAGCUUCGGCUUCAAUCGACUUGAACAACAAGAAGGCCUCGAAAGCAUAUCGAGAGUCAAAGUGACGCUUGCUAAGCCCUCAUAAUUUUUUCCUUUGUUUCUAUGAGAAUUGAUGGGAGACUUUUUGAUUUUGCUUGAAUUACAAAUUUCAUCAUAUGUUUAAGAAUAUAUAAAUAUUAAACCACUCUCACAAAAUGUAACAUGAUAUCAAAACUGGAGCGAUCCCUUUCAUGAAUGUGUAUCCAACCUCAUCAAUCAAAUUUCACAUGCCAUGGUCUAAAUGUCACGUGCCACUCAUAAUUAGACUUGCAGGUAAGAAAAAGGUGUUGAAACAUGAGGGGGGUAGCCCUUCCCCAGUGUCUCACUGAAGAACAAUCAAGAGAAGUUGCACUAACUCCUCUAGCCAUAGUGAAGAGAUUGUUUGAAGAGCUAUAUCGUGAGUCACAUGUUGAUGUAAUCAAGCUGAUCAUCACCAAUGCUAUGUGUGAUGUUUUGUCGAGGCUAGGAUCAUCUAAUCAGCCACCAUUAGCCAAUCUAGUUGUAAUAGAGUAUGUUCAUAAUCCCUCAUGAUUUGUUGGGGCCAAUAAUAUUCAUCAGAGUAGCCAACCCUUCAUGAGAAUUAUGCAAAGGUCCAUUCUUCUAAUCAAAGUCACAAUAAUGAGAAUAAUCAAGGAAAUAUUAGUCAAAAUAAUCCAACUAGUGACGGAAAUUUAACAAAUCAAAUUGGUCAAUAGGUUAUUUAAUUGCCAAAUGUUGAAGAUGUAAGGCCAAUUUCCACCCACUAUGAAUGUUCCAUGUCAAUUAAUGUUGAUAAUCUGGCGAGACUAACGUCACUGCCUAGAAGGCAAAAUUGCCAACCAAAUCCACAAUUUGUCGAAGAAGUUCAACAACGAUUAAGGUUAAACAAGGGUGUUAUCAUUACCUGUUUGCAAGUAACACAAUUAGCAACUCUUAUCCAACUCGACCUAAUCUUGACCCAACUUGGUUCUGAAUUUUACCAUAGUAAAAAAACCAAUCAAUUAAAAGGAAAUUAAGAGUGCAUUUGUUUUGUGGAAUAUGAAUGAUUUGGAAAUCAUUUUUCCAUAAAUGAUUGCUUAUAUUGCUCAAAAUAAUUAGUUACCUAAAAAUAUGUUUAUAAUCAAUAAUUUAUGUCUAAAUUUUUUAAUGAUAACACUUUUCAUUAAUUUAUUUUUCCAAGCAAUACAAGUAACCAUUUUUUAGCAAAAUAUUUUCCAAAUUAUUCAUUUUUUGCGAAACAAAUGGAGCUGAAAUAUGAAAAUGAAUUAGCAAAUAAGUAAUUACUCAAAAAAGCGAUAAGUACGUUAGGAGUGCCAUAAUUUUCGUAUAAUACUCGCUUGAGUAUUAUAACUUAUUUUUCAUUCACUUGAGUCCACAAAAAAAAAAAAAAUCGAUCACUCAAGUGUCGUCGGUGAUUUGCCUCAUCGAAAAAGCUUAUGUGACAUUAAUUUAUUAUACAUCAUUCGACGUGACAUGUUGUAAAGUUGAAGCCUGCACUUGAGAAGGCAAACGGUGUUGUUGAAGUUCCAAUGAUUUCAUAAAGUCACAAGUUUUUAGAAAUGAACACUAAGGUUCAUCAACUUUUUUAAAAGUGACCACUUAAGUGAUAGGAAGAGAUAGAGUUUGAAAAUGGCAUCAUUUGAGGAAGAGAAAGAGUUUGAAAACAAUGUCAUCUAAUUGGGGAAGAUUUUAACAAAACAACAAUAAAUGACACCGUUUGUUAUAUUCUUGCCGUGAUGGACAAAAAUUUCCAAGUUAGACUUUAGUCUAGUUUUAAAAAUUUCACGCCGGAAUGGUAAAUUAUAAAAAAAAUUCAUGCAAGACAAUUUGCCCUUGCUGAAAAUGACAUUCAAGUAAUCGAUUUUAUAUCGAUGUGGCAUUCAAACUAGUGAAAAAGGUUACUUCUAGUUUACUUAUUCCACUAAACAAUUGUCAGAUUUCAAGCUAUUAGGACAAAUAUGCCGUUAUUUCCUAUAGUAUUAGAAAUUUGGUCUGAUUUCUCCAAAGCGGUCAUACCUAGAAAGAUACGUCAAAAGGGAAAAUGCACGUGAAAAAACAAGCACACUCUCGAGCAUUAGAUAUAUAGAGUCCCAUAUAGUAUCUUUUUAACCCCCUUCAAGUGCUAAUAUUCCAUCAACAAAUUUUAGUGACUUUCCUCGUUUAGCUCUCACAUAUUUGAAACCGUUAUUGUUAUCACCCAACUCCUUCUUCUGGUGGUGGUCACUUAAAAUACUCACCCUGGAGAAAUGAUCAACGCAAAAUGAAUCGUUCGUUAUACAUAUACUAAUUGCAGGCCUUAAAAAAGGGAAAAUAAAAUAAAAAGGAUGGUGACAAUCAAUGGAUUUAUUUUUUGAAACUUUAUACUUGGCCACAGCACCGAUUGAUUAUUAUAUACUAGUUUGGUGUUGUGUGCCGGCCAUAUAUGUUACAUCCUCUAAAAUUCCGUCAAGACCCAAUCCGAUCGAACUUUAAUUUCUUAAACUCAUUUUCAUCUGGCCUUUUAAAAUGUUUAAACAACCCAUAUACAACUUGAUUGUAAGAAUAUGAGUCAAAGAAUGGGUUUAUGACUGGUUCCGACACCUCUAGUUUUGAAGCACGACGUUUGCAUUCAUCCAAAUUAAGCAUGGUGUGUUGAGGACAGCUGUUUUGAAACCAAAUAAAAAAAGAAGAAGAUAAAUUGCAAUGCUCAGAGAAUAGCGUGAGUAAAAAUUUGCACUGAAAGCAACUAAAAACUUUUUCCGUGACAGUUUCCACAACAACCCCUAUAUAAAGGAUGGUUAGCAUACGAAGAGACUUGCAAUAAACUUCACAAUGGCUCUUCCUGUUCUGUGCCCAAGCUUCCUUCCCUCCUCGAUCCGCCAUAAUCAACCCUCUCUCUUAUCCUUUCGACACCUUCGCUCCUCCUCCUCCUCCUCCUCCUCUGCCUCCAUCUCCUCCGGCGCUCAAUUCAUGACAUGCGCUUUGAAGAUUGAAGAUCAAGAGAUUGCGAGAUGUUCGGAAAAUUGGCCACCUAGCGUUUCGGACUAUGGCCUUGUGCAGUCACUUAAUGUUGAUUACCCCGUAAUGAUUUUCUUUUUUCGGCACAAAACCCAGCCUAGUUUAAGUACUCUGGAAAAUAUUCACAUUUAGUCCUGAAUUUGCAUUCUUUUUCCUAUUUGGUCCUCACUUAGAAAAAUUCUCUAUCAAACUUUUUGGUCUAUGGUUCUGACAAUUUGAAGCUCAUGUCCAUGUCAAUGCUAGCUGAAAAUAUAAUGUGGAAAAACUCGUCACUGUUGUGGAUAGUCAAUUCGCCAAACUACAAAAACAAUAACUCAAGACAAAUUUAAGCAAAUUUCACUAACACUUCAUUCCAUAUUGGCACUGAUUAUUUGAAUAUUAGACUUCUGUUGGCAUCGAUUAAUACGUCGGCUUCACUUUGCUGUGUUCAAAUUUUAAAUUACCACGUUGACCAAAAAAAAAAAAAAAAAAAGAACAUAAGUUCGGUGAGCGAAGUGCACUUCUUCCCUAUUUCCUGUUUACUUUGAUGGGAGGGUCCACAAAUUCCAGAACGACAUAAAAACAAAAGAAAAACUGUACUUUGAAUUAGAUAUAUUGAUAUAUACUUCUCAUGUGUACUUCUGUAUAUGAUUUAUAUAUGACAUUCGAGAUACGUAACACACACAUUCAUCCACUGCCACGGUAUCAAAUUUACGAGCAACCACAACAAUAUUAUAUAGGAGAUAUCGAUAAACCUGGUCAAAAGGCAUAUUUUCAACAUAUAGCAAGAGCUCAACAGUGCCUAUUCAAAUGUUUUGGCAACUAUAUUGAGAAUCGAUCUGUUUCAAUACGAGAGGCGAUAUUCAAGUCUGCUUGUGCAUUAACUUUGAUUAAGAUCUCAUGUUUCUGAGUUUUCUUGUGCCUAGGAGAGUAAAUAUACGGAGCAAGUUCAAAGGUUGAAGAAAGAAGUCAAGGGUCUAUUCGACGGGGAAAUGAAUCAGGUGGCCAAGCUCGAGUUCAUUGACAUGGUUCAAAGACUUGGACUAGGAUAUCAUUUUGAGACCGAGAUCAACAACGCUUUAUGUUCCAUCUAUAACAACACUGAAGAUCCUUAGCUUUCGAAUGAUCUCUAUGCCGCUUCCCUUUGAUUCUGGCUACUUAGACGACAUGGAUACAAUGUGCCACAAGAUACUCACCAACUAGUUUACCUUUUGUGAAUCAUGUUGACGCAUCAAAUUUUACCCUACCAUUCCUUCUCUUGGACAUAUAUAGAUGUGUUUGAAAGGUUUGUGAGCAAGACUGGCACAAGGAAUGGCUCAAUGAAGAUGUGAAGGGGCUUCUUGGUCUUUAUGAAGCUUCUUUUCAUGGAUUGGAAGGCGAAACCAUACUUGAUGAAGGUUGGAACUUCGCUUCUAAGCAUCUAAAGGAUCCAAACCUCAAUGAAGUUCCCACUAAUUUAGCGAGCAAAGUGCAUCAUGCAUUAGAUAUGCCGAUCCACUAGAGCCCAAACAGGUCAAAGGCCUGGUGGCUCAUGGUCAUGUACGAGAAAAAGCAAGACAUGAUCCCCUCUUUAUUAACAUUGGCUAAAAUAGACUUCAAUUUAGUGCAGUCAAUCCACAAGAAGGAAGUCAGCAUUCUGACAAGGUAUGCACAAGCACUCUAUAGUUCAUAGAUGCAAUCUGGCAAAGUAGGAGCACAUGUUGAUUGACUCACUCAUCAAAUGGCAAAUUUUUCAGGUGGUGGGUUGAACUUGGGGCGGCCAAGAUGACCUUUAGGAACAGGCUAGUGGAAAAUUAUUUUUGGAGAUGUUAUUUGUUUUUGAACCUCAAUAUACAGCUUUCAAAGAAUUGAGUUCAAAGAUCAGUUGUAUUGUGACACUUAUUGAUGACGUUUAUGCUAUAUAUGGGACACCAUAAGAGCUUGAGAUCUUAACAAAUUUCAUUAUCAGGUUUGUGUAAUGUCACCAACAUCAUUGUUUUCCCUCGUAACUGUUAUUGCCAAGAAAAGAUACAGGGAAUUAGUUAGUCUAUGAACAGGAUGCCUAUAACAAAUCCUAAAAAUUAUUUAUUAUGAAAUUAAUUCUUUGAUGUGUUUUUCCCAUAUCAUGUUUUGUAUCGGCUUGUUUGUCUUCUAUGUAAUUGAUUGGUUUCGGCCAAUAAAGUUAUGGUAUGCACCAAUUUUAUUUGUUACUUCUAAAAAGUGUACUGAGUAACAGCAAAAUUUAUAAGGUUGUUGAAAUGGCAAUAACUUGUCAAUAACUUGUUGAGGCGGGACAUUACAAACAUUGAUGAGCUUCCUCCAAUCAUAAUGCUCGAGAGUGUGCUUGUUUAGACAAUGAGAGAAUGAGGAAUCAAUCCCAUCCCUUACCUAUGGAAAUUGGUAAUAUCGACUUGCUAAAUCUUUCACCUAAUAAUUUCUAGCACGUGCGAAGCAACUCAUUUUUCUACUUCUAACUUUCCUUAUGACUUGUCUUUGAACAUAGAGAAUUCGUGAAAGUAUGAGAAAAGAACCUCCCUCGACUAGGUCAAUAACACACUUUCGAAUUUUAGUUCUAUAGUGGGCCAAUGAAUGCAAGGCGUACAUGACGGAGGUCUAUUGGUACGACAAGGGUAUUAAACCGACAUUGAAGGAGUAAAUGGACGUUGCGGUGGAUUCAAUCGGAGAGCUGAUUUUGCUAUUGGGUAGCUACUUCCUAACAAUAGGCAAAGUGAUGGAAGAGGGGAUAAAAGAACACUUGAAGUACCAAAACUUGACAUAGAUGGACACUUAAGUGCCAAAAGUGACGAAAGUGACACUUAAGUGCCACUUUUUUUUUUUUUUUUUGAAAAUAAGACAUCUGAGUGCCAAGUCGGGCGAAGGUGGCCGGGAAUCUUACGUGGUAAUUUUUUUUUUUUAAAUAUAACUCGUCUAUAUGGCACAUCGAAGAGUUGAGUCAACAACAAAUAGCCAAAAUGAUGUCGUUUUGUUUCUUUUUUUUUUAAUAAUAAUUUUAAUAUCAAUAUUAAUUAAAUUAAAUUAUGAGGGCUCAGCCCUCGCCACUUGCAAUCUCCAUAUUCCUUUCCUUUUUCUAAAUAAUUUCAUUUUAAAAUUUCAUUUAAUUAAUUUUUAUAUUAAUUAUUGUUGACAUCUAAAUUUCAGCCAAAAAAAUCAUUUCUAAAAAAAUGGGAACUUGUUUUUCCACAAAAUAUUUCAUGUCCAAUUCUUGCAUAUAGAUUAUUUAGGUGUUUAGUAUAGUUUUUUUUUUUAAUGGAAGUUGUUUUUCCUAAAAAAAAUUAAACAUUAAAAAUUAAAGAUAUAUAUAACAAAAGAAGAUAAAAAAAAAGGUUGGAGCUGAUGAUCUGAGUGUGACUAGCCAAGCCCAAGAGGUCAGAUUGUAAUUAAAAUGGCAAGUUGGGGCUAAAAUGCAAUUUUCAAAAGUUGAGGGACCAAUUCUCAAAUUUUGCAAAAUUUGCGCCCGAGCCCUUAUAUCAUCAUCUUUGCCCCCAUUUGAGUUGAAAUUGAACUUGGUUUAGGUCUAAGUAAUUGAAUUGGGCAAAAAUGAUCAAAUUGGAUUGAAUUGAGCAUUCUCGGGCAAGAAAAUGACCAACUUUGAGGGACUUUCCUGAAAAAUUAGGACUAGACAAUUGCGAAAAAUGAUCAAGAUCUUAAACUACUAUACAUGAGCUUGCUAAUUGAUCAAGAACCACAACCAAAUUGAUGAAUUUAGGCACCCAAAAAAGCUGCCAAAUCUCAGUCCACAAGUUAUUCUCAUUUUGGAGCUGCUGAGGAAGCAACUUGGUAGACCCACCAUAUCCUCCUCAGCUGCCCAACUGGCCUAAUCUUUGCAUGUAAUGGAAGACCAUAAUUAGUAGUGCAAGUGGAAAAAAAAAUUGGCUAGGGAUAAGCUGCUGAAAAAGCAUGGGAAAGUCGUAGCAAAAUCCGCACACUCAACAGCUACAAAUUUGAAAAUUUUGGCUUAGUCAGAAAGUGGGUAAACUGCUCAGUUGGCAGGCUUAGUUGGAGGGCAAAAAGCCGAUCAAGAGAUUGCUUAAUGAAGUGGAUAAGAACUAUAAAGCAUGCUCUUUUAAGGAAUAAGAGGUAGAAGACAAGAGGCACUGGAGGGAGCUCACAAUUGUGCUCAAAAGACACCCUUAGAAGUAACUCUAGAAAGCAAAAACCCAGAAAUUCCAAAUCAACAUAAAGAGAAAAGUGAAACUUUCACAAACUUGCAGCCAAAAUUAGCCAAAACCUUCAACUAGAGAGUGAAGUUCACUCAAAGAUCUUUCCAACCAUAAGUCACAUGUCCAAAAUGGAGAUCGGAAAGACCUCCUAAAGCCCCCCGAAAAGAUGCCCUCCCGGCAGGCCAAGGGAGUCCUAAGAUUUUUCUAAGUGUUGAGCUCGGUUGGUCACGAGUGAGGAAAUGCGAGUGUUUUUGAGAAAUGUGAGAGAUAAAUGAGGAAAUCCAUGACUUACAAACCAAACUAGAGUUUAUAUAGUUUGGGUUAGUUUUAAUUUGGCCAACAAAAGAGGUUCUGAAGCCUAAUUUUGAAGGUCAACGAAAACCUUCGUUGUUAGUUUUUUUCUUCCACAAAUCUCACUUUUAGUUUAAAGGAGCCAUUUUCCACGUGUCCCCCCGGAGGAUAAUUUCUCGUUUCCUCGACCAAGAGUCACUUGCAAAAGAAACUAGGAAGUAAGGUAAACAUCCUAGAUGUAUUUUUGUUUGAGUUUGAACAUGUUUUGAUCAUGAAAAUCAGGAGGAAACCUAGUCUGGAGAACUGAUUUAAGAGGUUGAAUUUUUUAAGUGUUUAAAAUCUCUUCAAUACCCCUACAUGCUUGAUUUGUUACCCUCCUUUGCAUGCGUUUUUUUUUUUUUUUUGGUAGUUGUGACUUUGAUGAAUGUUAUAUAGGAGUGCAAAUGAUGUAUAGGACAACUCGGCGUAGUCUUUAAAUCUCCUUGUGAACCAUGCAACCGUCUAUAACAUGAGCCAAAAACCAAGCCAAUCCACAUUGAGACAUGGUUGGCUAGCAUAGAUCAUGCAUGUACGCUUCUUGGAGAGUUCGUUUUGAUGUGUCUGAUUGAUCGUUCUUCGUGAUAUUUGUUGCAUUUGAAAGUCCAUGUUACCUAUUUUCAUCCGGAUGGAGUAAUAUUUCAUAUAUAUGUUGCAUGUGAUGGUUGUCAGGGCUUCAAUCUAGGCAUAUGACAUGUCUGUUUGACUUGGGUUCAACACUAGAUUUGCAAAACGGCUCCAACCCGCAUAUUUGAGGCCGUUUUCAGUUUGGUUCUUACGUGUUCUAGGCUGUGAUUUCUAGCUAAAACUAUUCUUUGUAUGUAAUAGUACAUCCUUGAUACUUUGCGUUCACAUGAGAUUGCUUAUGGGUCGAGAUUGAAUGCCACGAACAUGGCCCAAGGAAGCUGUUUUGAGAUGAUUUGAUGCAAGCCAAGUAUUUGAUAAAAUUUUGGAACCAAGCUUCGAUUUUGAAAGGGUCGAUUUAAGCUCGAUUAUUGUGAUAUUCAUGUGUUGUGUUGUUCAAUGUUAGCAUAUAUCAGUUUAGGGAAUUAUUAUUAUUAUUUAAAAAAAAAAUCCAAAAAUCCAAAAAUUUCAAUAUAUAUAUAUAUUGUUAGAGAAAACAUUUCCAAGAGAUUUUGAUAAUGCCCAAAGUAUCCUUAAUAUAUUACUUACAAUGUUAUUUGCAUAUGUUUGGACCAAAAUACUACACAAUAUCAUGGUGUGAUCCAUCAAAAGAAGUUCGCAAAUGUCCUAUUAUUACAAAAUAGCACUAGUCAACCAAAAGAUCAUGUACCGAUGAUAUAUAUAUAUAGAAGCAGUAAAGAUCAGGUUGAUGGUUAGGUGACAACCAAGUAUAUCAAUUAAUGUUCGUUGGGUCAGCUAAAAAACCGUUGAAAGAUCUGGAUUCGCAUAGCAGCAAAAUUGGAACAAAGCAUGUAGCAGAGUAGCUAGAGUGGUUGACAGGUUAGUUAAAGACCGCAGUGAGAAGAAAGCAAUAGUUGCUAUUUUUUGUUAGUUUGAAGAAGUCCUAGGAAAAAAGCUGUAUGAGUAAUAUAUUCCUAGACAACAACUUAAUGAAAAACUCUUUAAUGGUCAUCUACUUCUCUAAACCAACCUCAAUGGAUAGAUUGAGGAAAGUUAUAAAAGAGAAGGUUUUGAAGAACCAAAAGAGAGUCUACCACAUAAAAAAUCAAGUAGCUCAUGUACUAUUAUUCUUUGUUGAAAGCUCUCUGUCUUAUUAUUUUGUUUGUCAUGUUGUUUAGCAAUUGUGUUACGAAUUAAGUGAACGAGUAUAAGAGUAGCAACUAAAUUCAGAUAGUAUAAUCUAUCACAUGAAGGAUUAGUUCUAGCUGGUUAUAACUUUCCAAGCAGAUUGUUAAUGGAAUUUAGCUCAUCUUAAGACUAUUAGUUUGAAGUGUGGCAUCCCAAAAUUCAAAGCCAAGCCAUAACGUGUGUUAAAGUUUCUAAUUAGGUGAUAAAAAAUUUCCAUGGCUUAUGCUUUAGCCAUUAGUCUUUUAAUUAGAUGAUUCGUGCAUAUGAUUGUGAAAAUUUAAAUUUGAUAGAUUAAUAAUUUAUGCUUGGCCAUGUGCUUUGUAAAUUAAAUUUCAAUAACCAAGAUGCCCCAAGACUUUGGCCAAGAUGGAAAUUAAAAUUUUAAAAUAUUUAUAGAAGAAAUUCAAAAAAAAAAAAGAAGGGAAAAAGAGGGUCAAAAUUCGAUUGGGCCUUAAGCCCAAGAGUGGAACUUUAAUGGGCCAAGUUGGCCGGCCCAUUGAAGCCCACAAGUGGGCCGUCGACCAGCCCAAGAGGAGGCCCAAGAAGUGGCCGGAUGGCCCAAGCCCAAGAAGCCCAAACCCAAAUUAAAAAAAAAAAUUCAAUAUGACAAAUGGCAAAGGGGAAGGCCAUGCAUUGGCUGGUUUGUAGGCAAGUAAUGAUUGUUAAUCAUGAGGAUUUGAGGGUAUAAGAAGGGAAGAGAGAGAGAAGGUGGCCGGAUUUCUUUUGGCCGAGAGAGAGGGUGGGAGAGAGAGAGAGAGAAUUCGAGAAAGAGAGGGAGAGGCUGAGAGAGGAAGGAGGCGGAGCCGAGGGGUUGUCGCCGUCCGUCCGCCGUGUGCCGCCGUGUUCGCCGCCCUACGCCGUCGACCGUCCAUUCUAGAGGCAAGUGGGAGUCCUCUAGCUUCUCUUGCAUGCUUGUAUGUCGUUUGCAUGUUGAGUUUUUGGAUGUUAGAUGAUAAAAACCGAAGCAUGGAUGAGUUGUGUGUGAAUGGUGUGACUGUUCUUGCUCGGAUCGUGUGAGUCAGUAACUUGUUUGAGCUUGCAUUGUGUUUAGAGUCCGAUUUUAGAUUCUAUUUCUUCAUGAGAGUUGUAGCUAACAUCUUGAGCUACAACAUACUGAAAUUUCGUGGAAAAUUAUGGAGAUUUGAGGGGUUAAAGUGUUAUCCUACGGAGACCUCAGAUCUGGAGAGUUUUUACUGACCUCUUGCUGGAUUCGUGAUUGCAUGUUGGUUUUUAUUGAGAAUCUCACUUUUAUUUCUUCAUAAAAGUUGUAGGAGACAUAUUAAAAUACAACAUACUCAAAUUUGAAGUGAAAUGAACAAGUAUAGCCUAGUAAAUAAACUAGAUCUUGAAGAUGAUGAUUCUGGUGAUGAAUUCCGAGAUACCCGAGACUUCAUGGACAUAGAUGAUGACUAUAAUCUGGUUAUUUGACCUAGAUAUCUUCAUGAAACUUGUAUAGGACACCUUGAUAUAUAAAAUAUCUAAAUUUCAGAGGAAACGAAAGAGAAAAGGUAGGUUAAAUCUCAAUAUUUCGGAGAUGUGUACACUGGACGAUGCGGUAAUGGAUCCAGAAACUUCGUGCGGUUGUAUAAAAUAAUAUAAAAAUAAUCUGGCUUGGAGUUCUUCAUGAAAGUUGUACGAAAAUGUCUUGUCUAUCACUUUGUAAAAUUUAGUAAUUUUUGGAGGCCGUAUGGAUAUUUUAAUCGAAUUUCUUCGGAAACUGUGCAUUCUGGUUUUAUCCGAAUAUUAUGUGCUGUUUUGUGGAAAUUGUGAAAUUGUGUGAAAUUAAAUUUGGCCAUGAAUUUUGUAUGAAAUUGUCAUCCUAUUGGUUUUUUAAUGAUUGCUUGAAUUUUUAUAAUUUUGGGAAUUUAUAGAUAUUGAAUUUAAUAUUUAUUAUAAAAUAAAUAAAUAAAUAAAUAAUAACAAAAUAAAAUGGAUUAUUUUAUUGGCCAUAAAUUCCAUUGAAUUUAUUAAUAAAUAAUUAUACAUUGCUACAUGUAUAAUGAGACAUUGGUGUAUGUAUGACCUUGAAUUGUGACGCAUGUGUGAAUUCUAUGCCAAGUAUGACUUGUUUGAUGUCACGCCAUAUGCCAUGUUAAAAUGAGAUCAAAAUAAUGGUAAAUGUGGAUAAUGAUAAGUGAGGAAGUGAUUGUGGUGGAGGAUGAGGCCAGAAUGUAUAGAGAUGCAUUGCCGGAUUCCCUGGGAGAUUUAGGAUGCCCGGAAUGUGGGGGGCCGGAAGCCCUGUCGGAGGUCUUUGCCCGAAGGGAAUGCCUCGCGAUGCCAGGAUUGGGGUGCGGGAUGCUCGGCCAGGGAGUGUAAAUGCCGGAAGCCCUGUCGGAGGUUUAUGCCCGAAGGGAAUGCCUCGCGAUGCUAGUUGAGAUGCGAGAUGCCCGGAAUGUGGGGGGUCGGAUGCCCGGUGGCCUGGGAGGCUGAAUGCCGGAAGCCUCGGAGGUCUUUGCCCGAGGGGAUGAUAAAAUUGAUGAAUUGAGAAAUGGGUGAUGUGGUGAUCAAAUUGAAAGCUAAAAGUGGAAAUUAAAUCAUGGCAUGAUAUGCAUGAUAUGAUAUGCAUGAUGAUAUGCAUGAUGAUGAUGAUGAUGAUAUGUGAUGUGAAAUAAUGAUGAUCACCCAUGAUAUGAUAUGCAUGAUGAUAUGCAUGAUAUGAUAUGCAUGAUGAUGAUGAUGAUGAUGAUAUGUGAUGUGAAAUAAUGAUGAUCACCCAUGAUAUGAUAUGCAUGAUGAUAUGCAUGAUGAUGAUAUAUGAUAUGGCAUGAUGAUAUGAUGAUUGAUGAUGAUGAUGAUGAUAUGAUAUGCAUGAUGAUAUGCAUGGUGAUGAUAAUGAUAAUGAUAUAUGAUAUGGCAUGUGUAAUGCGACGAUGUCGUGAUGAUGAUGACAUGUAUGAUGUAAUGAUGUCAUGACGAUGAUGACAUGUAUGAUACGAUGAUGAUACACAUGUAUGUGUUAUAAAUCGAUAUGAUGAUGCAUGAUAGUAUGCGCAUGGCUUCAAGGUAAGUAGCGCCUGCAAUGCAUGUAUGAUUGCAUGAUGCAUGAGUUGUUAUUGGAUUCCCNNNNNNNNNNNNNNNNNNNNNNNNNNNNNNNNNNNNNNNNNNNNNNNNNNNNNNNNNNNNNNNNNNNNNNNNNNNNNNNNNNNNNNNNNNNNNNNNNNNNAUGGCAGUUUCCCCCACUAAGCUGAGAUUGACUUCUCAAACUGAUCGAUCGAAAUAAUAGUUCGUGACAUGGCACGGUGGCACCAACUGACGAAAUCAAAAGGGUUCGUCUUAUCCACCUUGAACAGUUGACCCCUUCUCUUCGAUUUCAAUAAUUCAUGUGUUAAAAGAAUUUGCGAGUCGCGUCCUCUAAAGUCUACCCUCUUGUGCGUCGUGGAGCUCCAUAUUUUUAUAACGUUUGUUCCCUCCCGCAUCUCCCAUUUCCCUUUCUUCUGAAAAAGGGAAAGACUCUCUCUCUCCCAAUUCCGGUGUACAUAUACGGGACGGCGCACUCAACACAUCUACGAACUAGCCGCGUCACUUUUUUUAUAUAUAUAUAUAUAUAUAUAUUAUAUAUAUAUAUAUAUAUAUAUGUAAAUAAAGUGUCGUGGCUUGUUUAUAAAAUUAUGGUGAUUAGUGGUGUGUAUUUGUAUCAUGGUUGGUAGGGGGAGAGAUGGUGAUGUUUUAAAUUGCUUCCGCUAAUGAGUCGCGCUGGGACCGUUUUGUUUAAAAAAAAAAAUGUGUUUAUGAAUUAGGACGCUUCUUCGAAAGACAGAAAGGUAAUAAGGUGUAACAUUGGCGCUGGUGACGACCUGCGAAGGGUUCGGGGUGUCACAUGAAGAGUGGACGUAAACUUGAGGAUAAACUUGAACCACUAUAACUUUCUGUGUCACACUGCUUUUCAUCUUCUUAUAUGAAUUGGCAUACGGUUAGUGAGUGUUUACUUAAACAUUGUGUUGAGGUGAUCUUUACUUGGCAAUUAGCUAGUUUCCAUAAAAGAUCAUUAAAGUUUGAAAACAACCUAUUCACCCCUUAUAGGUUAUAUUGUUAGCUUCAACAAUUAGUAUCAAAGUUUUGUUGCUCAUUAUCUAAGGCGUAUUUCUUUUGAAUAUAGAGAUCUUUUAUUAUGGCUAACCUUGGCAGCUUCUUUACUAAUGAUGCUUAAGCUACCAACAAGCCGCCAUAUUUUGAUGACGGCAACUAUGGCUAUUGGAAGCAAAGAAUGAAAUUAUAAAUUGAAGCCAUAGAUCUAGAUAUGUGGGAUGCAGUUGCAAACGGUCUAGAAGUACCAAUUUUUGUUCGACAAAAAGGCUGGGAAGCAGCAAUUGUCAAUGCUACAAAAAAAUCUCGAAAAAGAGCCAUUCUUAAUGCUAAACUGAAACACCUCUUGUAUUGUGUAUUAUCACAUUUUGAAUUUAACAGAAUCUCUUCUUGUGAUAUAACGAAGGAAAUCUAGGAUCGCAUUACGCUGACAUUUGAAGGAAUAGAAAGAGUCAAAUAAACAAAGCUAAACAUCUUGCUUGGAAACUAUGAGCUGUUUAGGAUAAAGUUCGAUGAAACAGUGACUCGUUCACACUAUUCACAAAAAUAAUGAACGUACUUGCUCUUUAAGGAAAAAGCUACAUAGAUGCGGAGAAAGUAAACAAAAAACUAUGAGCUCUUUCCAAGGAAUAGAGUACUGUCAAGACUUCACCACGAGAAACCAUGAGGAUUCAACCAAUCACAAUGGACGAGCUUAUAGGAACAUUCAUGUCCUAUGAAGUCGAGCUUUAAAAUGAAGGGAACAACUCCAAAGGUAAGAAAAUCAUUGCAUUUAAAGCUAACCUUGAUGAUACAGGUUGAGAAAUAUCAUUUGAUGAUGAAAAAAUGGAUGAAGACAUGGAAUUACUAACAAAGAAGGUUAAAAAAGGAAGAAUCCAAAGGUAAGGACAUCGUGUGCUAUGAAUGCAAGAAAUCCGGACACAUAAAACUAGAAUGUCCAUCCAUCAAGAAGAAGAAAGGGAAAUUUGAGAAAAAGAAAAAGGUGCUAAAAGCUAAAACAUGGAGUGACACUGAAUGUGAAUCAAGUGAUGAAGAAUAAGCAAAUCUUUCUCUCAUGGCUUCGAAUUAGAAGAAGAUGAGAUAAAAGAUUACGAGUUGUCUUAUGAUGAAUUGAAAGAUUUUUUAAAGGAAAUGUUUGAAAAACACCAAAAAGCUUUAAAACGAAUUUCUCCCUUAAAAAAGGAGGUUCAUAGCCUUACCACUUAAAACCUCACCAACCAAACUCUCAUUGACAACUUGAAGAAAGAGCUUGAUUCUCAAAUAAAUCAAGUAAAGCUCUUGCAAGCUGAGAAUGAGAAUGUCAAGGAUAAAAUUUCAAAAAUCAACAUUAAAUCUUCUUUUGGUUCAAAAACAUUAAAGCACAUUUUCUCUAUCCAAGUUCCUCACUACAACAAUAAUGAUCUUGGAUGUGAAGGAAAUGAGGAUGAGACGAAUCAUUUUCCAAAAGCAAAGGACAGAUUAAAGCACAAAACUCUUGCACACUUUUACAAGUCUCACUUUGUCAAACACUUUACUAAAGCUACUGGUAAGAAAUUUCCUAAGUAUUCAAACUAUGGAGGAUAUGGCCAUUUCAAAAUGGAUUGUCUAAAACAGCUAAAGAAAUUCAGGAAAACUAGCCGGUCUUUUGAUCCCGAAUUAAAGCCUAACCACAAAGGACCUAAGUUUAUGUGGAUGCCAAAGAAAAGAUGAGAUUUACUUUGAUUUCAGGUUAUCUUGAAGAACAACAAGUGGUAUUUAUAUAGCGAGUGUUCUUGACACAUGACUGGAGACAACAACAAGUUUGUAAUGCCUACAACCAUAGAUAGAGGCAUAGUUACAUUUGGAAGAAAAGAUAAAAGGAAGAAUUAUCGAGAAAGGAAACAUCAGGUUGGAAAAUUUAUUUGUUGAAUAUGUUUCACUUGCAAAAGGUCUAGAGCACAAUCUCCUUAGUAUAAGUCAACUCUAUGAAAAGGGUACAAAAUAAAAUUUGAGAAAUGUAAGUGAAUAGACACAGCAAGGAUAAAUCACAAAUAUUCACUAGAAAUAGGUAUGGCAACAUCUACUUACUUGACAUCAACUUUGAUGAAUCUUACUAUUUAAUAUCUAUUAAGGAAGAAUGUGAUCUAUGUACAAGAAAUUAGGUCAUAUUAAUGCAAACUAUAUCUUCCAAAGAUAUAGUUUGUCCUCUACCAAAAAUCAAUUACAGCAAGUAUGACACAUGUAAUGCAUGCACAUUGGAAAAAAAAAAGGUGAGAAACUCUUUCAAAUCUACCAAAGCUAUUACUACUGGUAGAUCUUUGUAACUAUUGCAUAUGGACUUGUUUGGACCAACAUGAACAACAAGUCUAAGAGGAAGAAAAUACUGUCUAGUCAUAGUGGAUGACUACUUGAGAUUCACUUGGGAAAUGUUUUUUAUCACAAAAGAAUGAGGCAUUUCAUUCUUUUAAGAAAUUUGCUUGACAAGUUCAAAAUGAGAAAGGAUACGACAUCACCACCAUUAGAACUGACCAUGGAGGAGAAUUCGACAACCAAAGCUUGCUGAAUAUUGUGAUGAAAACGGAGUGGAACACAACUUCUCCACUACUUACACUCCUCAAUAGAAUGGGGUAGCAGAAAAAAGAAAUCGAUCAUUGCAAGAAAUGGCAAGGACAAUAUUGAUCGAAAGUAAUGCACUUACUUAUUUCUGGGCUAAAGGUGUUGCUAUCGUAUGUUACACUCUUAAUAGAAUAUUACUCAAACCUAUGAUAGAAAAGACUCCAUACGAGAUAUAUGAUGGAAGAAAAUCUACUCUACGCUACUUCCAUGUAUUUGGAUGCAAAUAUUUCAUUUUGAAGAAUACAAAUGACAACAUCGGGAAGUUUGAUGCAUGAGCUGGUGAAGGUAUCUUUCUUGGUUACUCAACUACAAGUAAAGCCUAUCCAAUCUUUAUUAAAAAUUCAAAGAUAGUGGAAAAAUUCAUAAAUGUGAAAUUCAUGGAUGAUCAAAAAGGGACACAGAGUGAUGACUACGAGGAUGUCAUACAUAUAUUUGCACCAAUUGCUCAAAAACAGUAGCAACCCCUACUUCUAACCGAUCUUUCAAAUCAAAGUCAAUCUUCAAGAGAUUGGAGAUUCAAGAUUGAGCAUCCUAAGGAAUAAAUAAUGGGAAAAGUGGAUGGAGGAAUCAAAACAUGAUCAUCUCUCACAGGUAUGAUAAAUUCCUUAACUCUUAUAUUUGAAUUUGAGGUCAAGAAAGUUGAAGAUGCUCUAAAAAAAAAUGAAAGCUGGAUUGAAGCUAUGCAAGAGGAAUUAUAUCAAUUCAAAGUCAACGAUGUUUGGGAACUAGUUGCUAGACCUAAAUAUUAGACUAUCAUAGGAACCAAAUGGAUAUUAAGGAACAAACUUGACACAACAUGUAAUGUUGUACGUAACAAGGCAAAACUAGUUAUCAAACAGUACCUACAGGCGGAAGGUAUUGAUUUUGAUUAAACUUAUGCCCUUAUUGUUGAGUGCGGGACACCUGGAGUGCCAUAACUUGGCACGCCCGGACACUUAAGUGCCAUAACUUUAAAAUGGUACACUUAAGUGCCAUCAUCGGAGUAAAAUAGGACACUUAAGUGCCACUCCGGUGAAAAUCCGGCCAAAUGGCUGACGUGGCGACUUUCCGGCGAGCUCGGUCCCAAACGGCGUCGUUUUGCACGCUGACGUGGCGGAGAAAAUGCAAAAACGACGCCGUUUCGCGUCUACGUGUAAAUAAUAGUAUAUAAAUUAAUUAAAUUAGAUUUAAACAAAAAAUUUUAAAAAAAUAAGAAAAUUUUAAAAAUUAAGAAAAUUUUUUAAAAAUUAAGAAAAAAUUUAAAAAUUAAGAAAAUUUAAAAAAUUUAAAAAAUUAAGAAAAAUUUUAAAAAUGUUAAAAUUUUUAAAAUUUUAAAAAAUAAGAAAAAUUAAAAAAAUUAAAAAAAUUAAGAAAAUUUUAAAAAUUUUAAAAAAUUUUAAAAAAUUUUAAAAAAUUUAAAAAUUUUAAAAAUUUUAAAAAAUUUUAAAAAAUUUAAAAAAUUUUAAAAAAUUCAAAAAUUUUAAAAAAUUUAAAAAUUUUAAACAAUUGAGAAAAUUUUAAAAAAGGGGGGGCGGGGGGGGAAAUGGGGGGGGCCCCCUGCCCCCCCCCCCCGGCCCCCCCCCCCCCCCGGGUUAAAUUUUUUAAAAUUACGAAUUCCCCCCCCCCCCCCCCCCUUUUUUUAAUUUUUAAAUUUUUUUAAAUUUUCUUAUUAUUAUUUUUUAAAUUUUUUAAAUUUUUUAAAAUUAAAAUUUUUUAAAAUUUAUUAUUUUCUUAAAUUUUUUUAAUUUUUUUAAAAAAAAUUUAAAUUUUUUUUAAAUUUUUUAAAUUUUUAAAAUUAAAAUUUUUAAAAUUUUCUUUUUUUUAAAAUUUUUUUAAUUUUUUAAAAUUAAAAUUUUUAAAAUUUUCUUUUUUUAAAAUUUUUUUUAAAAUUUUUUAAAAUUAAAAUUUUUAGAAUUUUCUUAUUUUUUAAAAUUUUUUAAUUUUUUAAAAUUAAAAUUUUUAAAAUUUUCUUUUUUAAAAAAAAUUUUAAAAAUUUUUUAAAAUUAAAAUUUUUAAAAUUUUCUUAUUUUUUAAAAUUUUUUAAUUUUUUAAAAUUAAAAUUUUUAAAAUUUUCUUUUUUUAAAAAAAGUUUUAAAAUUUUUUAAAAUUAAAACUUUUAAUUUUUUUAAUUUUUUUUUAAUUUUUAUGCUGAUUUGGAGGUCCGGCGAGCCAUGUAGGCAAAAAAUAAUAAUAAAAUAUUGCCACGUAGGAUUUCCGGCAAGGGUCGCCGGAGGUGGCACUUAAGUGUCCCACUCGAAAAAAAAAGUGGCACUUAAGUGUACCGUUUUGAAGUUAUGGCACUUAAGUGUCCCGGCGUGCCAAGUUAUGGCACUUGUGGUGUACUUCUGCCCCUUAUGUUAGACUAGAAGCUAUACGUUUAUUAUUAGCUUGUGCCUAUUUUCAUGAUUUCAUACUAUAUCAAAUGGAUGUCAAAAGUGCAUUUUUGAAUGGUUAUAUCAAAGAAAUAGUAUACGUUGAGCAACCACUAGGCUUUAAAGAAACAAGUAGACCUGGUGAUGUUUAUCAACUCAAGAAGGUGCUUUAUAGACUAAAGCAAACACCAAGAGCUUGGUAUGAAAAAUUAAGUAAUUUCUUGACAGAUUAUGAAUUUAAAAAAAGUAAGGUAGAUACUAUCCUCUUUAUCAAUUGGAAAGGUAAAAAUUUGCUUAUCAUUCAAAUAUACGUUGAUGAAAUAAUCGGUGGAGCUACUAAUGACAUGCUGUGCAAGGAAUUUGCAAAAAUGAUGAAGAGUGAAUUUGAUAUGAGCCAAUUGUUGAAAUAAAUUUCUUUCUCGAACUCCAAAUCAAGCAAUCUCUUGAAGGCAUCUUUAUACAUUAAGAGAAGAACACAAGAUAAAUAGUAAAGAAAUUUGGUUUGGAAGGAUACAAGAAAAUCGAGACUCCCAUGUCAUGCUCUAUCGAAUAAGAUAGAGAUGAGAAAGAUAUAAGAAAUACAUCAAGUACUUGUCAAUUGCUAGGGAACGUGCUAAUUUCUUGGUUCCCGAAUAAACAAAAUUCAGUUGCCUUCUCAACCAUUGAGGCUGAAUAUAUUGCUCUUGGAAGCUGUUGUGCUCAACUCAUUUGGAGGAAGCAACAAUUAAGUGAUUCUAGAAAAGAUGAAGAAUGUAUUCCCAUCAUGUGUGAUAACACUUGUGCUAUAAAUCUAACCAGAAAUCCAAUCCUACAUUCAAGAGCCAAACAUAUCAAGGUGAGACAUCACUUUGUUAGAGAUUACGUUAACAAUGGAGAUAUCUAUAUACAAUUUAUAGAAUCAAAACUAUAGCUAGUAGAUAUUUUCACCAAACCGUUGGACAAGCCAGCCUUUGAAUAUAUACUUGGUGAACUAGGAAUGUUCAUUGUUCUAGAAUGACAACAUUUAGGUAAUAUGUCAAUUAUAUUGAAUAACAUUAGAUGUGGAAGAAACAAUUGGUACGCAUCUACUGUAUUAAUUCAAAAAGUUAAUGUUACAAGUACUACGCUUGUUACCGUUUUGUCCAUCUAGAGGUGAUACGAUUGUUGUAAAAAACUCCAUAUGCAUGAAUUUAUUGCCUAUCUAAUUGGUAGAUUUCAAAUACGAAACAUCUAUGGAUAAGAAAAAUCACCGUUGAUGAAACAAUGGCUAUUUUUCUCUCUCUCUCUCUUCAUGUAAUACACCACUUCUAUUUAUAGAAGAUUAGUAUUUAUUUUUUUACUCACUACUCAUACCUACCCUCUCAUAUUUAUUUUAUAUUAUCUACUCAAACCUCUCAUCCCUUCUACACACAAACACCUUUUCAUUCAAAUCCAUGGUACCCAAAGCUCACACCUUUUUAAAGGUAAUUGCUGACACCUGAUUUUUAGUCGACGUGUCAUUAAAAAGUACAAAUCGAGAUUUUGGAUUUUGGAUCGUGACGGAACCCUAUUUCUUGGCCGAAAAGUGUCGUUUAUUUUUUGUCUUUUUCAUUGUCAUUUUUAAGCAACAUCUAGUUUAUUUUCAAGAAAAACUCGACAAGUCAAAUGGUUGACUUUUGGAUUGACUUUUUGAUCAAUCUUUUGACCAAAAGUCAACCCCUUGACCAAAUGUCAACUCGGGGGUCAAAAAUUGACUUUUUACCCAAAAAGAUUUCAUUUAACUUUAAUUUCACUUUCGUCUAAUCAAUUUCUCAAAAAAUUGACAAAAAAAUCAACAUUUUAGUAAAAGUCAACUAACUAGUUGACUUUUGAUCAAACAUUUGAUCAAAAAAAUGAAAAAAAAUGAAAAAAAAUAAAAAAUACAUGAAAACAUUUCUUUGAAUGCCAAUUUGACUUUUGUGUCGAAAAUUUCAUAAAAUUCAAUUAAGGACCUUGAUUUCUAAAUUUUUUAGUUUUAGGUUAUAAAUUAACUAAAAAUAAAAUUACUUUUAUUUUAGGUAUAGUUAGGUGUAAUUCCUUCUUCAACAUUUGAUUUAGGGACUAUUUUAAAUUUUCUUGCAUAUUCAAUUUCGCGAUUUAACAAGUUAAAAUGCGAAUUACCGUUUUGAGCCCUAAUUAUGGGACCAAAAUCGAUCUUUUAUAACUUGUGAAUGGACGAUUGUUUCUCAUUCGUUUCCUUAAGAUAAAUCAAAAUUCAAAAUCGAUUUUGAGAAAUUCACACCAAAGCCUAUCAAUUUGAGGGAUUUUAUCCUCCAAAGCAUAAGAAAGUCAAGUAAUUAAUUUCAAUUGUCAAAAUUCGAAUUGACACAUUCAUGGUUAUGGUCUAAUUUCAUAAAUCUAAGUCUAAUUUGAAUAUUAGACCUAGAUCCAUUUUUGACAUAAGCCCGAGCGCUUUAAUUUAAGGCCAAUUCGGACAUGAUAAGUGAUCUUACAUAUGGGUAGGUCAUUAGAUAGGGCAAUUGUGACAUUAAUUGAGUUCAAUUUUAGUUAAUUUGUAAUUUUGCCUAUUGAAUUACAAAUUUGAUCAUUUGAGCUCUUGAGACCCAAUUCAAAGCACCCAUGAUUUUCACCUGUCACCUUUGACGAUAAACAUUAAAUUAGGUUAAUAAAAUACCUCUAGAUUAUGUUCAUAAGGUUUGAUUAGCUUAAUUGUAUCUCACUUGGCCUAUUUCUUUUUUAAAUAUGGUAAAAUUCCUUUUCAAUUUGAUCCUUUAGGAACCAAAUUGUUUAAAUUUUGGACCCACAAGGAUCCUAAGUAGACGAAAUAGCUAGAACCAGACCAAACCAGUCAAGAACCGAUCAAAACCCAGCUGAACCGCAAGGAAAUGGCCGAUUCAAUCCCUUGCCGGCUGGUUCUUGACCUCCAACGACCUGUUCUAGAAUCCUCUCAAUGUCAAUUUUACUUCUACACCUUUAAUUUCUUGAAAUUUUACAAGUUGUAUCUCGAAUUUUAUCAAAUUACAAAUUAACCCUUGAUAAGACAUUCGACAUAAUUCUCGAUUUUGGCUCGGGUUUUUGCAAAUUAAACAUACUAGAUAGAUUACCCAACACCUCGAGAUCAUGAUACAUCCUUUAAAAUUGAAUUUUAACCAUUGGAUCAAUAUUUUGAUCGUUGGAAUGACUGACGGUCGGAAUUGCUCGAUUUUAAGAGGGUAUAAAUACCCAUUUUCCCUCCAAUUUUUUUGGGAGAGGGCUUCAUGCUGCACGAACUUUUCUCUCUUCAGAUCUCUCUCUCUAAUUUCCCGCUUAAAAUCGCUCAGUCUCUUCCUACUCGCCGAUUUUGCCUGAUUCCUCUUCGGUGAAGCUUUUAGCCUUUGCCAGCAUUAUCCUUACUCUGAUGACCAUUUCCGACCUUACUCCAUUACUGUUGCUAGCUCAAGCCAUUUCUAGAGUGAUCAGAAGCCUCCAAACGGGCUUGAUUUUUCCUAGGCAUUAAAGACCGGUUCGAUUCAUGAACCGGUUCUAUUUCAGACUUGAACUGGCGAUUGCCGGACAGUCUCGUGCCACCAAUCACUCUUGAUCGGUGACGUAAGUGGUCUUCAACCUCGUUGUGGUUGAGGACUACCAGAUUUGUUCCAGUGACUUGCUUCCUCUACUAGCGUGAAGAUUGAUCCGAUUCUUGGACCGGUUCUGUGUGUUCUGCAAAAACAAAGGUCAUCGGAGCUUUUAGGAGGGUCUAGCUAUCUCUGUUAUGUGUUAGGAAUGUCUUCUGACCUCGUUGUGGCUGGCUAACUGCUGGAUCAACAUCAGUGGCCUAUUUUCUCGCUAGUGCUUGAAGGCUGGUUCAAUCGAAUCAGUUUAUGUUCGUGUUGCAUCUUGUCCGAUUUGGAGCCUUGAUCUAGUCCAUAGCGAUCCAAUCCACAUCCUUGGAGUUUCAAUUGUAAUUUGAAGGCUUGCAUCUUGUCCGAUUUGGAUCAAAAUCGACAAAAAUCAAUAAAAGGUGAUUUCUUAGUCUUAAACCCCUUGCAGUGAGGCUGGAUUAGCCGGUCGGGGUUAGGGUUCAAUCUAAAGGAUAUAUGCUAUGCUCAUGUGAUCUUUGAUAAGUUGUUGAAGUUUGAAUGCUGAUAAGUAUUCUUGGAUAAACUUGAAUGAUUAUAGUUGAUUUAGCUUGAAUAUGAAAUUUCAUAGCUAUAGGAUUGAUUUGACGAUUUGGCCAAAAUGAGGUCUGAAACAACCUCAUUUCAAUUCAAGUCCUCUUAAAACUUUGAAAAUACUCAUUGCUAACUUUGAAUCGAUAUAUUGCACACCUAAAUCAAGCAUCAUUUGACUCUCAAAAAACAUCUCUAAAGAUGAACAGAUCUGUAGUAGUUCAGGUGGAUUUUAAGUUUUGUUCUUGUUCGGAAAUGAGAUUUUUACUAUUUAUGUGUAGUCUUCUAUGAUGAUUUCUGGAUAGUCUUGCUUGCAUUGAUUUUGUUCCAAAUAGUCUUGUGCAUGUUCUAUAAUUUUUUCGUGAUUUUUGGAUUUAUUUAACUAGGUCAGAUCUACUCAGAUUUGAGCCUAGGUCAGUCUAUUCCAUGUUGAUCUCAUAUUUUGUCAUUUUUGUACUAAUCUAUGUGUUGAUUUCUGGAAGAACUUUUCCUUCAUGAAAUUUUCUCAUAUUAAUGUGAAGCAUGCUUUGUAUUUUUUUUUUUUGAAUUUUUAGACAUGAUUAACUAGGUCAAAAUCACUUAGAUCCGAACAUACAAUAGUCUGUCCUACAUUGCUCUGAAUUCUGUUUUGAUAAAAUUGAGUCCAAAAAUGAGUUUGUUUGGUCUUAAUUCCUCCAUGAAAGUUGAAAUACAUGUUGUAUAUGUUCAAUCGAUACAUGCUUUGCAAAGCCUUAAUGUUGGCAAGUGAGUCAAUUGCAUGAUUUAAAGUGAAAAUGUGCUACAACAAUACAGAGCUUAUAUAUGCAUUUUUGUUUUGUCAUUUUUGUUGUGAUUCAUGUGAUCACAUUUAGGUUUCGAACUUUAACGAAAAAUGUUCACUAUUGCAUGCUCUAUAUGUAGGAUUUUUUCUACGUCUUGAGAUGGUUGAAAUCAUUCCUGUUUUGUGAAGUUAAUGCUGAAACGAAAUCUUGUUGUAUGUGCAUCUUGUCAUGCUUGUUUGAGUCAUUUAGAGACCAAGUUUUGCAAUCAUGCCUUCUUGACAAUUAAACUGCAUGUUAUAAGAUUCGCAUACAUGUUUAGGUCAUAUCAUAUUGCACAUUAAAUUUGUUUUACAAAAGUGUUCUUCGCACUUAAGAUUCCAAAGCAUACCAUUAGGAAUCUUGAAUCAUUUUAUAAUGUCAUUUAAAUUGUAUGACAUUUUGCAUGCCGACCUAGGAUUAGAUGGUUAUCCAAAUUUUCCAUUGCAUCCGAUCCUAAGUCCCAUGUGAUUUCUUCAUGCCGUUUGUGCAUUAUUCAAAUAACUUUGAGGUUUUCUAAUGCAUGCUUGUGUUAUGUUUUUCUUAGUUACUAACACGCACACCUUUAGAGAUCUCGAUCUUAGAGUGCCUAAUUGACCUAAGUUGGACUCAAGCCAUUCUAAAAAAUUGUAAGGCAUGCUUAGAGGUUUUCAAUGCCAUUGAUUUGACACAAAUCACUCAUCAUUUGGAAAACUUUCCAUUAUUUUUAAAACUAGAUCAGAAUCUGGAUAGGGGAUCAAAUUCAUACCACUAUUCUAAUGUCAAACUCCAAACCUCAAGCGUACGCACAUCCCUUGGUGGUUGAUAAAAUUGCGACGUCCCAGGACACAUCGCUGACCCUUUCAUUUUAUUGCACAUGCGAAGUGUAUAAAUAAAUCCCCAGACAACACAAAUAUGGGAUAGAAAAGUAGGAUACCAUUUUUACUAAAACAGUUUUCAUAAACAAACUAGUUUAUACACAUAUGCCAACUCUAAGGUCUAUGCACAGGAGGUCUAUCUCCAAAAAGAACUACUGAGCCAUCCAUGCUCCUGACCCUUCUGCCUCAAGUUCCGGGUUCUUCACACUAGGGACUUGAAAAGAUAAGCCCACAAUGGGGUGAGACAAUGUCUCAGCAAGUUCAUCCUCUAAAUCCCGAUUAGAAAGGAAAUACGCCUAGGGGCGUCCUAACCACAUAACCACGCAACCACACAACCGUAGAGACUUACCUUGUCUCAGAUCCUCCUUGUAGGUCAGCACAUUUUUUUUUUUUUUUUGGUAAAAAAGGUUAGCACAAUUCAUAUCACAGACAUAAGCAGUAAUCAGCUCAAUCAAUUGGAAUGCCACAUCUCAUAUCUCACAAAGCCACAGGGGUCUCGAUUAUAAGGCUAAAUCGUUGUGAUACGUCUUAUACCAUACCACACAAUUUUGUUCCAUAAUCAGGCGCGUUAAUUUCACUUAAUCAUGCGUUCCUAAUUUUAAUCUCGGCCCAAUGGGCAUGGCCUACUUGAUGUUCAGCGGUCUUCUGGCGUAAUUAGGUAUCGUCUCACCCUAUUGAGCACGGUAACGUCUCACCUCAUUGCGCAUGGUAAUCCCAAAGGAGCAUUGAUCUAAAAUCUACUGUGACUGGCAUCUGUUGACAAGGGCAUUCCACAUAGGAGCAUCGUCCAGCUUAAUAGCCCAAGACAGUUUCUCAUAACCAACACACGACCAUCCAAUUCCGGCCAAGGAUAUUUUGCUUUGCACUCAAAUGCCUUAACUAAAAUAACAAACUUGGCAUAUUUUCUUCGUAUUAAAAACGCCUGGUGAAGAUAAUUGUGUGUGGGUACACGGUCAAAUCGAACUUUUAAAAAUUAAUAUCCUUCAUUUUAAAAUCCCACUGUUUGAUAUAGUACUUAAAAACAUUUUCGGUAUCAAAACCCGACACAUGGUAAUUUCUAAUUAAUUACCCAAAUUUCCAAAUCUUGAAUUAAAUACUCAAAAUUACAAUCACUACUCAAUUUGCACAAAUUAAUAAUCAAUUGCAUAAACUAAGCAUACCAUUGCAAUCAGCACGAAAUUCCAAUCAUCAACUAUCUCAGUAUAAUUUUCAGAAGAUAAUAAAUAAUUAAAUAAAUUACAAAAAUAAUUAAAUAAUGCAAAUUAAAUACAAUAAAUAUUAACUCAAGCUGGAAAUGCUAAUCUAACCACCUAAACGGGCCUAGAAAAUUUUCGCACCUAUCUAGAUAAAUAGUACAAUCUAUCUACCCUUAAUUAAUCUAUAACCACCUAACAUUCAUAAAUAAAUAAUUAAAUCACUAAUCUAAACUAACUAACCACCAAAUCCACACUUAACCUAAUUUAAUUAUCUACAAAGCGUUAUUAACUUCAUAAGCAGAGUUCAGUAAGUAAACUCAUCGGUUUAGUGAGGCGGUGAGUCCACGGUGAUGGCGACACGAAGGUGAGCGACAAACAAGCUUGCGACAACACCAAGCGGGGUCUAGACGGGCCUUAAAAUGGGCCUAGAAGUCCAACAACCCCUACUGGCCUUCAGCCUCUGUCCUUGGGCCGAAGGGCUUGAAUGUGCGGCCUAGUUGGGCUGAAACGGCCACGGAUGGAUGGCGGUGGCUGGAACAGCUCCUAGUGAGCUUGACGGAUGUGGAGGGUGGCUCGACGGUGACGGACAGUAGCCAGGCGAUCUCAACAGUGGCUAGGCAACUCAGGAUGGCGGUUGGGCACAAACACGAGGAGGGACGAGCACGCGGGCACGAGGGACGCGUGGACAGCUCGCGGGCGGUGUGCGACUAGUCCGGCGACUUCAAGCGGUGGUCAACAGUGAAGGAGGAAGGCUGGCUGGUUUCUUUGAUUUUUCUUGUGCUCCAAACAUGCUAAAAUGGAGAAAGUGAGGCCAAGGGAAAAAGAAGAAGCUGCUGAAGAUGAGGAAGGGUCACAACAUAUCCAAAAUGCUUGAGUGCUAUGCCCCACUAGCCAUGGCUAUCAUCCUUAGCCAAUUUGCAGCCUUUCAAGCUUCCUUAGCAAGCCAUCCAAGGGUCCAAAUGUUGCACACCCCAAGCACCUACAACUUUUGGACAAUUUCCAUCCAAUUGGACUGAAUUCCUUCUCUAAUUGAGCUCAAUUUGGCCUCCAUAAAUUCCAUUAAGGUGCCCACGUCCAUCUUAUGAUUUUUCUUUGUCAAUUGAACCAACUUGAUAGCAAAAAAUGCAACAAAAAACUGCCCUCUAAUUUUCUCGAUUCAAAAUAGCCUUACUUUGCAUUUUUUUGCCGAAAUCUCGGGUUUGCAGAAAAAUCUUCAGAGAACGAGUCGACGUUCCUAAAAUAAAUUGUGACAUGACAAAACUUUCAAUUUCUAAAAUCGAGUUUAAAUUUGUGGUUAAUUUCAACCGGGCACGAUUUUAACGUGACCUAACCUACCGAAUAGCUUUUAGGAAUUUUUGGUGCAAUCGACCUGUAGUUGAUUAUUUUCGAGCUACAUUGUGCAUCUUCAACUCAUUGGCAACUCUAGAUUGUCGUGAAAAUUUCGAGAUUUCAAAUACGGGCACAUAAUACAGAAAUGACAGAAAAAUUGGUUUAGUGCCAUUCGACGAGAAUUUUGUAAUGAGGUGGAAUCACCCACACUUUAAUCACGUACCUCAGUCAAAUCGACCUAUCUCCAAUCUCUGAUCGAUUUUGACAGUGUCGUAUUGACAAUUGCAAAUUAGCACGGUCGAGCAGUCGAUUUCUAAUCGAAUUCUCAAAUCAGUUGCGUUUAGGUUCUUUAACGGCUUCACUUGAUAGGCUAGUUAUCUUGUAAGUGGCCAACUCAGAGACAACGGUCAUAGGCGCGUCAAUGAAAAGCCCGUUUCAUUUCAUCGAAAACAUGGUUGAAAAUUAGGAUGUCACAUCUAACCCCUAUUUGGAUAGACCUUUGACAUUUUUGUUCUAUUUUUUCUGCAUGGAUUCUGUAUUUGACCUCUCAAUAAAACGUGCUUGCUAACAUGUUGGCUAUAUUGUGCAAAAAUUUGGUGAUUUUUAGACUUGUUUUGAUAGGACAAAUCCUUGUGAUAUUGGCUGAGUGUCUUGUUGUUUUGACUAUUUUCUGCCAUGGUGUUGCUUGUUGUUUAAUUUUUGUAAAAUCAUGUGUAGCUCGUUUGGUAAAACUUUCUUCACAAAAGUUGUUUGUUAUCUUGUUGUGCAUGUUAGAGAAUUUUUUCAUCACAAAAUUAUCAUUAGAUAUUUCCCAAUCUUGUUGUUUUUAUAUGCUUGUUUUGAAUUCCUUGAUAUGAACUUGAUUGUGAUUGUUUUGAUAAACUUCCUAGGUUAGUUUGUGCAUUAACCAAAGCCAUUCCAUCUUCAUAAAAUUUAUUUUAAAUACCUCAAUAUUCAUUGUUAAAUGAUUUUCGAUGAAUUUUCUUUUCAAAUCAAAUUUAAAAAUGCUUUGGUCCAUGUGAUGUUUUCCAAAAACAAUUUAUUAAAAAGUACUUUUCCAAAAGCUCGAUUUGCUUAAGGAAGAGUCAUGUUUUGAAUCAUAUUCAAAAUGCCUACAACACUUGUGAGUCCAUUUAUGCGAGCCUUGAGCUAGUCUUGGCAAUUGAAUGUGUUCCAUAGCCUAGUUAUUCCUUAAUCCAAAAUAUUUUCAAAAUUUUUCUCAAAUCCUGAUUUGAUAAUUGUGAACGUCACAGUUUGGAUUGUAUUUAAAAUGCUUGCGAUGCUUGUGAGUGUAAUUAUGCGAGCCCCAAGCUAGCCUUGGCAAGUGAAUGUCUUUCAUAACCGAGACAUUAUUUUGUCUCAAAACUUUUUGUGAACGAUUUCAAAAGAUGUUUUUGAAACAUCAUAUAAUCACGUCAUUCAUAAGAAAAGUCUGUGUUUGUAAUUGACGCAUACUCCUGACAAUAAGUAACCCGUUGACAGUUUACUUUCUUGCUUGAUUGGCUAAGAAAUAAGGUCCAAAUGACCUGCAUGCAUGUUUAAUUCCUGCAAUACAUGUGACUUUUAGAUGUAUUGUAGGGUUGAUGCAUGAUAUUGAGGGAAAACCUUGGGAUCACAUAGAUCGCUUGGUUAGGAAACUUAUAAAUGAUAUUGGCUAUGCGAGAACACAAUUAAUCAAUAAUGACUGUAAGUCAUAAAAUAAAUUGGGUAUGUAUCUUAGAGGGACCUACGCAUGAAUUUCAAAGGCUGAUCCCGAGGCCCAAAUCUUCCUUUUGCAUUGAAUUUCUUUCGAAAGAUUGAUUUUGUCAUGAUGUCGUGUUUUUUUAUUGUUUUGAUGUGUAUGCUUGUUUUUUUUUUUUUCCAUUAUAUGCACCUAGUUAUAUAAUUUUGUAGUCUAGGUUUAGAUUAGGAUCCCAAAGAUAGAGAAUACAUGAAAAUGGUGGAUGUCGAUGUCCAUUUCGACCAUAAUCAUAUAUUAUUCAUUUCCUUGGCAUAUGUCUUGGGUUCUCAUCGUCUGUAUAAAGCUUGACGAGGUGCGAGUCCUCUCUUCUUAUCAUUUUCAAUUGCGUUUCUCUUUUGUAUUUUCUAGGAUUGCAUGUUAGAUUUAUUGCUUUCCUUAAUUGUUUACUUACUAUCUCGUAAUUUUAAUUCCAUUGAUUGCUUUCUUUUCUUAUUUUCUAGAAAUAGAAUAGUAUGAAAAUGACUAACCGCACAUGAUCAUUUUAUGACUAACGAUCCCAAAAAUGUAAGAAGAAAUGCAUGAACAUGUUAGGUAAACACAACCUACUGUUUAGGUACCAAAAGUGCGCUGAUAGAAAUAUUGGCGUAACUCAAGUUCCUGAACCUAGAUAUCUGUUUGCGUAGGAAUUGAGGGAAUACUCCCGACUCUUGAUUGGGUUUCUAGCUGACCCCUAAAAAUGAGACUAAUGGUGACUUCGACUCCCGUCUUAUUUUUAGGUUGUGCUAAACAACUAGACCAUAUAAAUGAACCUAUGAUGUGGACAAGGCUCAACAUGGUUUAGCAAUAUCCAUAUGUGGAAACUGUUAGGGAAAUCCCUUAUGAUGUUUUGAAGAUGACAAAAUAAAUCAAAGGCUACUAACAUAUUUAAUUGUUGAGUAACAAACUAUGCAAAUGAUUGAACAUGUAAAGGAUAUUAUCAAAGUCUAUACUUAGAAGAACCAGAAAACAAACUUUAUAUUGAAACUGAACUUAUUCAGACUAUGUUCGGACCUUAAAGCUAAACAUGUUCAGAAACAGAUUAUGUUCAGACUGAUGUUCAAAUUGUAAAGUCUAUUACACUCAGACUCAGAUUGUAAAAUCUAUUACACUCAAACUUUACUUCAAACAGAACAAAGCAGGUCCAGAACGAGACAGAACAUAACACAAGCCCUAAAUGUAUAACGGUUAGUGGUUUGUUUUGGAUUUCACAUCAAGAUUGAUUUGAUUGACUCAAUCUAAUUGAUUGACAAUUGGUUCUUGAAGACAAUAACUUUCUAUACAAAGAAGCUUUAUUUAUAGAAACUAAGAUUCUGUUUGAUGGACGAUUAGAAUCAAUUUGGGAUUCUACUUCUAUCACUCAACGGCUACCAAAUUUUCUAGAUACAGAUCUGUCGAAUGGGUAGAUUGAAAGACGAUCCUCAAGAUACUGUCCAACAGCUAGUUUGGAAGUGAAGGAGUAUUUAAGGAGAUGAAGGACCGAUGAGCAAGUAAGAGAUGAAGCGUAUAAUUUAUAAUUCCAAAGUUUGAGCGAACUUCGAUCAUACACUUGUCUCUUGUGAGCUUAAACGUUUGUGAUUGUGAGAGAAAUACCGAAAGAGUAACUUAGUGAGAUAGUGUGAUCUACUGCUAAGUGUUUGCACUCAAAGUUGUAAUCUCUUGUUGAUUACAUAGUGGAAUCUAGUUAUAAGGAUGUUAGCGUGGGAGAGUGGACAUAGGCUUGAUCUAAGCCGAACCACUAAAAAUUUCGUGUGCAACAUUCUAUUUCCUUAACUCCUUUACUUUAUUUACUGCGAUAUACUUAUGUGUUUUGAAAUAGUCGUUAAAGUUUGAUUCCUUCUGCAAAGUCUGUAGUCGACCAGACUCGGGUUAAAAGUAAAGUUUUUUACUGCAUUUUGCAAAAUCUAUUUUAACACAUAUUCACCCCCUCUAGGUGUUCGUACUAGCACUUUCAAUUGGUAUCAAAGCUAAGUGUUCGAUUUAUAAAAGUGUUUUUAUUUUUGAGUUAAAGAUUUUCUAUGGCUAGUAUUUUGGCACCAAGACUUAUGGAAGGGCAAAGUAAUACCAGGCCACCAUAUUUUGAUGGAAAGGAAUACAACAUGUGGAAAAACAAAAUGAAAGCAUUCCUAAGAUCUAGAAAUCCCUUACAAUGGGAUGUUGUGGAAAAAUGAAUCAAUCCCACUAUUGCGUCUAUAUUGAAUAAGAAUGGCAAAGACAAAGAAACCAAACCCCCUGCUCCUAUGUCUCAAACGGAGAUAUCCAAAAGAGAAGUUCUUGAUGCAAAAGCCAUUUAUUCUUUAUAUUACGCUUUGUCUCUUACUGAAUAUAACAGAAUCUCUUCAUGUGAAACAGCAAAGAAGUUUGUGAUAAACUCCAUGUCACUUAUGAAGGGACUGAUUGUAUUAAAGAGACAAAAGUAAACUUCUUACUCGGCAAAUAUGAAUCCUUCAAGAUGAAGCAAGGAUAAUCGAUUGGAGAUAUGUUCAGCUGUUUUACAGAAAUUGUAAAUGGUUUAGCAUAUCAAGGUCAGCCAAUUUCUACCCCAAUGAAGGUCAGCAAACUUUUGCGAGGUCUCUCAAAAGAUUGGAACCAUGUCAAGACCUCAAUUUGGGAGACUCAAAGGAUUAUGUCACUCUCCGUUGAUGAAUUGAUUAACACUCUUCAAUCCUACGAAGUAGAACAAAUCAACGACAAAGAUCCCGAAGGUAAAAAGUCUAUUACUUUAAAAUCUAAUGCUAAUUCUAAUGAUAUGGACUUAGAAAAUGACAUGGACGACAAAGAACUUGCUUUUAUGAUCAAGAAAUUCAAAAAACUGAGUAGAAAAGGAAAGAAAUUCAAUGGAAUAAGACAAUACAAGCAUAAUGGGUAGAAAAGAACCAUGAAAGAAGAUGAUGAAUAAGGAAAUAUAUGCUUCAUGGCACAUUUAGACUCAGACUCAAAAUUUGGAAUCAGAAUCGGAGUCUAACUAAGAUAUAGACUCAGAAUCAAAGUCUGACUUAGACACAAACUUAGAAUCCGAUGAGGAAAACGAUGUAAGUCAUUCAAAAAUUCCUAUCAAAGUUUCAAGGUAUCUAAAUGAGCUUUGCUUAAAUCUCAAAUCCUCUCUCAAAAGGAUCUCCGAACUAAAAAGUGAGAAUUCAUGGCUUAGGCAACAAGAUCUUUCUCAAAAAGAAAAUUUUGAAAUUUUGCAAAAAUAUUUUCUACAAAUAAAAGAAAGUCGAGAUUUACUUAUCAAAGAAAAUGAUUCUUUGAAGAAAGAAUUUUCAAAUAUUUGAACAAGAUUUUCAAAUGGUUCAAAAACAUUAGAGCAUAUCCUUUCCAUACAAGUACAUUACUAUAAUAAGUCGGGACUUGGUUUCAUUAAGGAAAGUGAUUCUCUAAUAGAUUUUCUUAAAGUCAAGGAGAGAUUUAGACAAAGACCUCCUAAACUUGCGUACAAAAAGCAUUUUCAAAGGAUAUUUACAAAACCUGUUGGUCAAAAUGCCCUCAGGUGUUCAAAUUGUAGAGAUUCAGAACACUUUGAAAAAGAAUGUCUUAAAGUCUGGUGACCUAUUAAGAAAGAUUAGGUAAAAACAACAUACUCUACUAACUCUCAUGGACCCAAGAAAAUAUGAGUACCAAAGAAAGUAUGAGCUAUUUUUGCAGGAAAUAAAGGAAAAUGAGAAAUUGGUAAGGAAUGUAUUUUUUUUUUGGGCACAUAAUUCUCAUUAUGCUUGAUAUUCGAUAUAUUUUUGGUUGCUUGAGAUUUUAUAAUGAUCAUAUUUUAUUUUGUUGAAAAAAGAAUUGUAUGAUUUGUUUUUGUGAUUUGUGAGUUGCGAUUUUAUUUAAUAUGUGUGAUUGAUUUGAUAUCUUUCUUAGAGAUAAUGCAAAUUAUUUUGUCUAAUUUUAUGCUCUCUAAUUUUGUCAUAUUUUGCAAAGUGAAAAUCUGUUUUAUGUGAUAUUAAUUUAUUGUGCAAAGAUAUUCUUUCCUUAAUACUUUGUUACGAUGAAUUAAGAAUGAAUAUCUGUUUAUUUUCUAUUUUACUCUAAUGAAAUGGAAUGAUCCAAAUUGAUGGACACCAAAAAGGAAAUGAGUUGAUUGCAGGAAAUUCAAUAAGGUAAGAAUGAUUAUGAAUCUACGUAGAUUUUGGUGCAAUAAGAAAAUAAUCUUAGGUGAAGAUUGGUAAUGAUUUUUUUUUUUAUCAAUGGUAUAUUGCAAUCAUAUACCUUGGGUAAGAGAAUAUUUUUGCAAAUCUUUACAUACAUUUAUCAUGAUUUUAGAUGAUUGCCUAUGAAUUAAAUAUGAUUUAUAUUGCAAAUAUCUUUUGUUAUAAACAUAAGGUAUUGCAUUUAUUUUUUAAAUUAAAUUGGUUGAUUUGGCACGUGAUAAAAAUAUCUACUUUCAUUUUGCGAAAUGCAUCAAUAAUAUAUUUUUUGAGAUUUAUGCUUAAGGAAAUCCCUUAGAUCUUGAAAGAUAUUAUUGCGUAUUUAUGGAUACUCUUGAUAUAUUCUUAAAAGAUAUCUUAUAUCUAGCAAGUUUGAUCCACGAAUCGAAGGAAGAUAUUAUGUGAUAUUUUUACAAAGAUUGUUAUCUGUUAUAGAAUUUGCAGGUGGCAAAAGAAUCUUCUAUAUGGAUUUUGAAAAGCUUGAUUCGAAAAUCAUGGAGAUACUAUACUAUCUUUUGGAGGCUCAAAAAUUCCCUUGUGCAAAGUUUUUGCAAAUUGUUAAGGAAAUUCAUUAAUGUGUCGUACGAAAGGUUGAGUAGUUCUAAAUUUUAAUAAUUAAUAAUUUUAUAUAUGCUAUUCAAUUUAUUUAUUUGAAGAAAGGACAUUAUAUAUUAUGUGGAUAUUAUUACAAAUUAUUUGUGCAAAAAGUUUGUUAAGUUUAUUCUUACAUUUUACCAAAAAAAAAAAAAAAGUUUGUUAAGUUUAUGUGGGUUGAAUUCGAGAAGAACUUGAUUGAAGAAAAUAAAUUUUUGCCUCUAAUUUCAAAAUGCAAAUGAUCGUUGUGGAUAUUGUUGUUACGAAGAAAAUAAUGGAAAAAAUUCUGCUCAACGUGCACAAGCCACAAUUAGUGCUAUUUGCAAAUAUUGUCAUGAUGAUAGGGGGAGAAAGCGAAUCCAAGAGAAAAGAAAGAAUCGUGAUCAUCUCAAAAAGGCAACAAAUUGAGGGGGAGCAUUGAUCAAUUAUGGAAAAAUCUUUUUGAAUCGAUCGUAAUCUUGAUUAUUAUGGAAGAAAGGAAAAAGGUAAAUGUGUUAGAACUUACCAAGUUCUACAAAAUCCAGUGAGUGCAUCUUUUAUUACCUUUUAUUAUUAAUAAAUCUAUUAUUUACAUUAUCUUUUUUAUGAAAAAAGGAUAAGUGAAUAUUAUAAUGCAUCCAUGAUUUUUAAUUGAAUAUUUGCUGAUAUAUAUGAUUGAAGUGAGCCAUAUUUCAUAUCUUUAAUAUUCGAGUUAUUUUGUAAAAGCUGAUUUUUUGGAAAUUGUAUUUCAUGCAAGAUAUAUUUAUCGUUUUAUAUUCUCUACAUGAUAUCAUUAUCGCUUUUUGAUUAUGACAAAAAGGGGGAGAGAAUAUAAAUAUGCAUAUGUGUUGAUAUUUAUUGAGCUGUGAUUAUCUUUACAUAUAUAAUUAUAUGCUCAAUCUAUUUGUUAUCUUGAAUUACAUUAGUCUUUAAGAUUGCAUUGAUUUAUUAUCAAUAUUUUAGAAAGUGUGAUUACACAUCUGCAUAUUUAGAGAUUGUUUUGUCAUCAUAAAAAAUGGGGAGAUUGUUAGGGAAAUCCCUUAUGAUAUUUUGAAGAUGACAAAAUAAAUCAAAGGUUACUAAUGUGUUUAAUUGUUGAGUAACAGAUUAUGCAGAUGAUAGAAUAUGUAAAUGAUGUUAUCAAAGUCUAUACUUGGAAGAACCAGAAGACAAACUUUUAUGCUGAAAUUGAACUUAUUCAGACUGUGUUUAGACUUUAAAGUUAAAUAUGUUCAGAAAUAGAUUAUGUUCAGACUGGCGUUCAGAUUGUAAAGUCUAUUGCACUCAGACUCUACUUUAGACGGAACGAAGCAGAUCCAGAACAAGACAUAACGUAACACAAGCCCUAAAUGUAUAAUGGUUAUUGAUCUUGUUUGGAUUUCACAUUAAGAUUGAUUUGAUUGACUCAAUCUAAUUAAUUGACAAUUGGAUCUUGAAGACAAGAAUUUUCUAUACGAAGAAGUUCUACUUAUGGAAAUCAAGAUUCUAUUUGUAUGAGUGAUCAGAAUCAAUUUGGGAUUCUACUUCUAUCACUCAACGGCUACCAAAUUUUCUAGAUAUAAAUCUGUCCAAUGGGUAGAUUGGAAGACGAUUCUCAAGAUACUAUCCAACGGCUAGUUUGAAAGUGGAGGAGUAUCUAAGGAGAUGAAUGACUGAUGAGCAAAUAAGAGACGGAGUGUAGAAUUUAUAAUUCCAAAAUUUGAGCGAAUUUCGAUCAUAGACUUGUCUCUUGUGAGCUUAAACGUUUGUGAUCGUGAGAGAAAUACCAAAAGAGUGACUUAAUGAGAUAGUGUGAUCUACUACUAAGUGUUUGCACUCAAAGUUGUAAUCUCUUAUUGAUUACAUAGUGGAAUCCAGCUAGAAGGCUAUUAGCGUGGGAGAAUGGACGUAAAUUUAAUCUAAGCCGAACCACUAUAAAUUUUGCGUGCAACAUUCUCUUUCCUUAACUCAUUUACUUUAUUUGUUGCGAUAUACUUUUGUGUUUUGAAAUAGUUGUUAAAGUCUGAUUCCUUCUGCAAAGUCUGUAGUCGACCGGACUCAGGAUAAAAGUAAAGCUUUUUAUUGCAUUUUGCAAAAUUUGUUUUCACACAUGUUUACUGCCCUCUAGGUGGUCGUACUAGCACUUUCAGAAACAGAUUGGCCCCCUUCCAAAUGUCCGAAUGCGAAAUCAAGUUACAAUCAUUGGAAUUUUAGAGAGCUCAUACGGAAUGUAAGCAAUAUGUUGCAAGAAGGUCAUAUGCGCUAAAUUACCCCAAGUUUGGGUUCAAGUUGCAACUCUUCCAAUUGGAUGAAAUUAUAAAUUCCAUGAUAACUGCAUGUCACUAUCAUUGACUAGGCAUGUCUAAACUAAACUGAAAUUUUGUACAUUCUCGGUUCGGUUUAAUUUUCGAUUCGAAUAAUGGAAAAAUAAUUGUUCAUUGUUUUUAUUUGAGUUAUUUCGAUUCAAUUCGGUUAACUGACCCAAAAUGAAUUUAUCAAUAAAAAUUGAACAUCCAACUUAAAUAUAUCUUUUUUCUUAUUGCUUAUUCAAUUUGGUUCUAGUCAGCAGGGCAAAAGGAAAAGGAAAAUCAAAUCGGGUUUUCAGUUUAGGUAGUAUUCAGUUCCGAUCAUGAUUGGUUUUCUGCCAGAAAAACAGAUCAGCCCCCCUCCAAAUGUCCGAAAGCUCUCCUUAAUCUUCUGUUGAGGCACCCCUGAUGCCUCCCUCGCUUGAGCUAGCAAUCUUUUUAGUUAUGCAUCCCUUUCCACCACGCCAGCUCGGCGAUUCUAGAGGGUGCGUGGAUCCGCUUUAGUCACUCGUCUGUCUCUCCUUCACGUCAGGCUAGUGUCAUGGUCCGUGAAUCCUCCCGUACUCAUAACACUUGUGAGUGGCACUUGGGGUUAUCUGGUGAAGAGUGUGAGGUACAAUGGUAGAAUACAACUGGUCCAUGGGAGUGGCGUCAGGACGGUUGGUGUUAGGAGUUCUAGAAUGGAAUGAUUAUAUCACUUGGGAGCUUUGAAGACGGGUUGGGAGCUGAUGCCGCUCUCCUGAUGAGGUCAUGGCAGGCCGAAACCAGUUGUUGUGCCUAAAGAGAACUGUUGUCCCAUUCGAUGGACUAGAUGCCUGAGCGAAGCUGGGCGUGGUGGGAUCUCGUACGAAGAAGCAUUCACCGUAUUGUUUGUCGAACAGCUAAAGAAGGAAGGCUGGCCUAGCGAAUUCCGCUUGCUAGGCGCUCGCAGGUUGUUUCGAGGCCAAGGAAACUUUUGGCCCAUAACAAAUGGUAUCAGAGCAGGAAUACCUCUCGUAAGUGAGUGAGUCGGAGAAUUGGACUCCUCGCUCCAGCAUGAGUCGAACUGAUAAGUACUAGUGAGACUGGUCUUAGUGGGCGGAAAGUGAAUGGCCGGGGCAAAAGAUGCUCAAACGAAGCUGCGCUCUCUGCUGCUAAGAUGACAAGGGUGCUAGGACGAGUUCGUUUCUUGCUGAGCAAAUAGCAAGUCCGAGAAGAAUUGAAUUCUCGUUGAAUGGGGAUAACGUUCCUAGAUUGAUCGGUGAAUUCGAAGAAGAGGUCUACUGCCACAUUUUCAACAAGAAAAGAACCUCCGUUGGUUUGCUGGGGUCAAGAUGUUGGUUAGGCUGAACUUGUGCUGCCAAAAGAUGCGGUUGGCGAAAAAUACCACACUUGCCAUAAAGCACAGGUAACCGAGAAGGGCCGAGCGGCUGAGCUCAAAAGAGGCUACUGAUGGAGCAAAACCUAUUUUGUUGGGCGAGCGUGAUCGUUCGAUGUGAAUUCCCAAAAGUGGCACAUCAAUGGUUAAGGGACGCAAGGAAGCGACAGAACAGAUCACAACGAGGGCAUUGCGAAUUGAGUGGGGGAGAAUGUCACAGUCUGUAAAUCCUCCUGUACUCGUGAAACUUAUGAGUGGCGCUUGGGGUUAUCUGGUGAAGAGUGUGAAGCAGAAGGGUAGAACACAAUUGGUCCGUGGGAGUGGCGUCAGGACGGUUGGUGCUAGGAGUUCUAGGAUAGAAGGAUUAUAUCACUUGGGAGUUCUGAAGACGGGGUGUCACACCCUGAUCCUCAUGCACGCGCACAUCCCUUACCUUUGGUCGAUUUUAAAUUGCGAUAUCCCAGGACUAUGUAUCGCCGACCCUUUCAUUCAUUUAUGCACAUGUGGAAGCAGUUAUAAAUCCCAAAACAAUAAAAUAAUGGGAUAGAAAAGCGGGCCAUAUAUUUUUCAUACUAAAAAUUCACAACCACAUCUUUUUACACGCAUCUCAUAGUAUUCUACAAUACUAUAUACGUAAGUUUGAUUUAACAUCUAUUUACAUGCAGAUAAGGUCUGAUAAGACAGGACGGGAUCUCAGUCCUCAUCCGGGUCGUACUCGGGGUUAUCCUCGGGGUUCUCCUCCUUAGUACUCCUCUUCAGGCUCCUCAUCAGGGAUCUCCUCGUCAAAUUCCUCCUCCUUAGGCUCCUCAUCUGGGUCCUGAAAUGGUUAUUCAAUAACCACUGAGACAACGUCUCAGCAAGUUCUACUCCCUAAGACCCGAUUAGUAAACUAAUACACUUUAAGGCUGCCUAUGCACAACAUGAGUCAGAGGACUUACCUUGGCCUCAGAUUUUACCUGCAUAUCAGCACAGAUUAAAUAGGCACCCAAGCAAUCACAUCAUAGAUCGAAGCAUCGAUCUAAUCAACUUAGUCGAUUACACGCCAACAAGACCACUCAAUGUCAUUUCCAUUCAAUCGAUCAAUCAACAGCAUCAAAUCAAGAUAAUAAUCAAUCGACCUAGUCGAUUACAUACCAACAAGACCACUCACAAUCAUUUCAAUUAUUCCAACUCAAUUCCCAAUUAUAAAUCACGGUCCUUAGGACACAACUUAUCUAUAGGUGGUAAUCACGGCCCCACCAAGAAACUUUUUUAGAUUUAGUGGCUUUACGGUCCCACCCGACCCUUCCAAGAUUCAAUGGCUUUACGGUCCCACCCGACCUUCUUAAGAUUCAAUGGCUUUAUGGUUCCACCCGACCUUUCCAAGAUUUAAUGGCUUUAUGGUCCCACCCGACCCUCUCAAGAUCUAGUGGAUUUAUGGUCCCACCCGACCUUUCCAAGAUCUAGUGGCUUUAUGGUCUAACCUGACCCUUUUUACGAUGCCAUACUUUGUCACCGAGCCACGUGCAUUCUCCAAGAAGACAUGCCGAGUCUCUAAGCCACGUGCAUUCCCUAAGGUUACCUUUUCGCCAAGAUGACAUAUCCAAUCACUGAGCCACGUGUCUUUCCCAGGUGACAUUCCAAUUCACUGGGCCACGUGCAUUUUCCAGGUGAUUUACCAACUCACUUUCAAUACUGACAACCGAUACCCAACCAAUUCUCAAUCACAAGGUCAAAAUUGCAUUAUUUAAUAACAUAACUUAAAAAUGCACCAUUAAAUCAAUUCGACACGAAUUAAAGCGCAAAUAAAUAAACGGACUGCUCCACGACAAUCAGCAUGAAAUUUCGGUCACCAGCCAUCCCGGUUGAAUUUCCGGAAAAUAAAUAAUUAAAUAAUUAAUUUCGAAAAUUAAAUAAAUAAACACAAUAAUUCCAAUUUAGCACAAUAUGAAGCUCAAUUAAAUAAACGGACUACGCCACGAUGAUCAACAUAAAAUCCCGAUCACUGGCCAUCCCAGUUGAAUUUCUGGAAAAUAAAUAACUAAAUAAUUAAUUUCAAAAAUUAAUAUUUAAUUCCUAAAAAUUCCAAUUAGGCCCGAAUCGCCUAAUUAACACCCGAUAAGGGUCGGGAAAAAUCUCAAGAAGCAUCCAAUACAUACUAUAGGCUAUUCUCCAUCUAAGUAUACUAAUCAAACAACUGAUAUGCAAUGCAAUUAACUAAUAAUCGCUAAUUAAUUCUAAUAUAACCACCUAAUUAAACUUAAUUAACACUAAUCAACAUUUAAGUAUAAUUAGCAAACUAAGAAGGCAUUAGUGAGUAAAACUCACUCAAAACGACGGCAUCGAUGCAAGGAUCGACUUUUCUCAAAGCGGGCCGAGCAUUUGGGCUCGGGAAGGCGGCCAAAACGGGUCACGAAGGUGCUACCAUACCUAUUUUGAACCUCUCUGCUUGCUGCUGGAUGGGGUAGAUCCGGGGCCGGUUGAGGCGAGUAAGGGCGGUGGAGGGCAAGGCGGAGCUUUAGCAAGGUCGACGGUGGCUGGAGGUGGUUGGGUGGCGGCCUGAGGCGGCUGAAUAGGACUGAACAGAGGCGGAACAGGGGCUAGGGUCGCAUGGUGGGGAUGUCUGGACGAUGGAGAGAACAAGCGGUCGCGCGGCUGCACAUGUGCUCGCGUGGGGACGGGCGACCGGCGACCGGCGGAGCAUGGGCGGCGACGGCGGGCUUCUCCAAACCUAGGCGAGCUGCUCCAAACCCAGGAGCAUGGGCACAAAACAGAGAGGAGGGAGAGAGUGCGUCGACGAAAAGAGAAGGGGCAGAGUUGCGAGCAGAUAGUAGGGCGGCAGUGACGGCAGCUCUGAUGACGGCUGCAACGGCGAUGGCAGCUCCUGCUUCGCUAGUUCCUCGGCUUGCUGGGUUUCACUGGUCUUCAGUUGCUGCUCUAGAAGAAAUCGAAAGAAAGGGGAAGAAGAUGGAGGUGCUCGACGAAGGAGAGAGGGGAAACCGGUUUUCUCUUCCUCUCUCUCUCUCUCUCUCUCUCUCUCUCUCUCUUUGGCCCCACCAAUCCAGCUAUCUUCCACUCACUUUUCCUUGCCAAAAAUGCCGCUUCUAGAAGCUUUAAGGUAGGCCAAAAUGUAGGGUAGAUGUGGCAUACGAAUUUUGCUAGGUUUUUCCCUCCAAUUGGACCUUAAUCCCACUUGAAUCAAAUCAAAUCGACCCCCAUUAAAUUAUUUAAUACCUCAUCAAUCAAAUUGGUACUUUUCUUUACCAAUGUAGCCUACUUGCAUCCUAAUUUCGAAUUCAAGAACGGUCCUCUGCAAUUUCCGAUAAAAAUGGCCCUAACUCAACUUUUUCCCAAAAAGUCUCGAUUGUGAGAAAAAUCUUCUGAGACUGAGCCGAUGCUUUUAAAAUGACCUGUGACAUGACAAACUCUUCAAUUUCUAAAAUCGGACUUAAAUUGGCGGUUAAUUUCACUCUAACGCGCUGUUAUUGUGACCUAGGCUACUAGAUCGUUUUCAUAACUUUUUAGGACAAAUGACCCGUGGUUGAUUUUCUUCGAGCCACAAUGAACCCACUCAACACAUUGAAGACUCUUGAUUGUCGUGAAAAUCUCUAGGAUUCAAAUAUGGACAUAGGGUACCAAAACAACAGUAAAAUCAAAUUAGUGCCGGUCGAUGAGAAUUUUCCAAUUUAGUGUAGUCACCCACGAUCGAUCAUUUAUCUCAAUCGAACCGACAUAUCUCUAAUUUCAAAUCGAUUUUAUACUGUGUCGCAAUGAUCUCUAAAGAUGAGCACGGUCGAGAAGUCGAUUCCUGGUCAAAUUCUCAAGUUUAUUUGCCUUAAAGUCCUUAAUAGCUCACCCAGCUAAUCUAGUUAUCUCGUGAGUGGCCAACUCAGAGAAAAACACUGUAAUCGCGUCGAUAAAAUGCCAAAUUUAUCUAAUCGAAAUCAGACCCCGAAAUCUGGAUGUCACACGGAGUAGGCCUCCUGUGCACAAACUGGUCGAGAUCUGAUGCCACUCUCCUGACGAGGCCAUGGCAGGCCGAAACCAGUUGUUGUGCCUAAAGAGAACUGCUGUCCCACUCGAUGGACUAGACGCUCGAGCGAAGUUGGGCGUAGUGGGAUCUCGUACGAAGAAGCAUUCACCGUAUUGUUCGUGGAACAGCUAAAGAAGGAAGGCUAGCCUGGCGAAUUCUGCUCGCCAGGCGCUCGUGGGUCGUUCUGAGGCCAAGGAAACUCUCGGCCCGUGACACUAGGCUCACGCAUGCCUUCUUCGUCAAUUCUUUUCUCGCACCACAGUCUUACAAGCGUUCACCUCAUGGCUAUGCACGUGUAGGGGAAGAAGAAAUGAUGGACUGGGUUUUCUCCUUCCAUCCACUUUAUCGGGCCAAAUGGCAAUGAAAUAGGGCCUAAAAAGGUUGAGCCUAAAAAGGCAUGCUAGCGUGGGCUUAAAGAGAAUUAAAGAAAAUUGGGCUUAAAAGAGACAGCAAAAGAUGGGGCAAGGGAAUUAAAACAAACGGGCUGGACUAAUAAAGGCUUAGAGGGCCGAAAAUUUGUUUAAAGGAGUGGGUUAAAAAUGCUGGCCCGCUCAUUCUCACCAUUUUUUAUUUCAUUUUUGUUUGGUCCAAUUUAUUCAUUUUUUUUCAAUUUUUUUUUCUUUUUAUCUUUUAUAAUUUUUUAUUAUAUUUUUUUGCAAAAUAAAUGGAUAUUUUGGAAAGAAAACAUCAACAAAAAUUCGAGUGUCAACAAACACGAGACCAGUGAUGAGGGUUGCAAGGGCUUCACCGGCGAACGACAACAGAUUAGGUAGUUCUAUUGGAGGCUCGGCCAGCAAGAUCAAGAACUCGCUGGUACUGGUUCGUGGUCUCCUUAAGUAUGAGCCCGAGACCCGGGAUGUUAUGUGAAGCAUGCAUCGCUCAAAGUCACGCAAAAUGCAGGAGUCUUGAGCGGUGAACAUUAAUUGAAGAAGUAUGCAAAUCUUGACGUUUGCUUCGUUCAUCAAUGCAUGCGCCCAUGGAGUGGGACAUCCAAUUUUGCCCUCAUUUAAUGCACGCACAUGGCUAUGUGCAUGCAUGCCCGUAGAAAUUGGUGGGCGCCCUUGCUGCUUUGAGGCUCGUCUUGAAGGCGACAAUGUUCUCUCCUCUUUUAUCAUCUUUCGUGGGUUAAGUUUGUCUUUUAUUAAUGAUUAGAGGAAAGGAAGAAGUCGAAGUUAUGCUGAUUUUUCUUAUGUCGGUGAGAGUUUUUUUUUUUUUUUUUUUAUAUGAGCUACAUUAAUUAAUAAUGUGAUUUACAUUUUUACGAGAUUGAUCUAAUAAGGUGAGAUAUAAUAAUUUUUAAUUAGUCUAAUAUGGGACUAACUAAUAUAGGUUGAGUAGAACUUGGCCUAUGAUAAAAAAAAAACUUUAUAAAUAGUGCUAAAAUCUCUUUUAUAACCUUGAUACAUAAAUAUCCUUACAUAAGGAGGUUUGUUAAACUGAGGUAGGGAGCAAUCUCAUUGAGCUAAUAAUACGAUGGCAAUAGUGAAAAAGUAUUUGAGCUUUGAAUCAUCGCUAUUCUACAUCUCUCUUUUGCUCGAUAAUAGGUGUUAUUUAUUCUAGCUAUAGAGAUGACUUCAAAAUCAUGUGGGCAAAUCUCUUUUACUCGAUUACAUGUGUUCUUGAUUCUGGUUAUGGAGAUUAAUUUCAAAUCAAGUACGCAAAUCUCAUUUACUCAAUUAUACGUGCUCUUGAUUCUAGUUAUGGAGAUCUUUGGUGCUGUUUUAACAACUUACAAUGUCAUCAUUAAUUGGCUUCUGAAGAAGGGUCCAUUUGUCUUGUGUCUACAUCAAUUCUCCGACAAAAGGAUGACUGCAAAGGACAUAGAUAAUAGAGUAGAAAAGAGAGCUCAAGUGACGAGAAGUGAGGCUUGGAAGGUUUGUGCAUAGAGUAAGUCCAUUGAGUUGAGCUGUUAAAUACAAUGGGUAUAUUAAAACUAGGAAAUAUUCAAGUGUGUGAGCGUUUGUAAUUCUAUAAUUCUUCUAUUUCUUAGCAGAAUAUUUGUCGAUUUUUCUCAUGGAUGCAGGUUUUAACAUUCAAAUUGAAUCAUGUAAAUGUCAUGUAUCCUUCUAUUAUUUUUCGUUUUAUACGUUUGUCGAUUUCCAUAGCUUCUAAUAUAAUUGCAAAGUUACGACGUACUUCAGUCACGUCACAAUUUCUCUGACCUCCAUUUCCCCCGUGUGAUGGUGUUGUCUUAUAGUUAUAGUGAAUGGAGGGCCGCCGAGGGCGAAUAAAGAAUUUCGAUGAAGUUGUCGAGGGAGGUGAUAGCGAAUGGGACCUGUUUUUCACAUUUUUGCGGGCAGUGGAAGAAGCUGUCCUUUUAUGCAGUCCAAGGAAAUCCCAUAAAUUGUGGCGAACGAAUCAUGACAUCGUGGAGCAAAUCAAGAAACGUUUUUUUUUUCUUUUGAAAAUCAUCCCUUCUCUGUCAAACUUUUUUCGUUUCUUCCCUAUUUGUUUUUUGGCUCUUCCAAUGCACUAGAAUCUCGUUGUCUGCUAAAUCCAUAUUGGCCGAAAAUAUGUUUUAUUGCUUUCCAAAUUUUCUCAUGUGCAUUGCAUAUGGGAAUUUUGGCCACAAUAUGGUGGACGAUGGGCUUGGCCGAAUUUUUUUGUUUUUUGACAGGCUUAAUCCAGAUUAUUUAGCUCGAAACCAAUCUGUGCAAGUCCACUAACUCAGGUCCAAUUCAAUUAUAUGAGUUUAAUAAUGCAUAAAAAUGCAAUUAAUAUGUAGAUGCAUUUAUUAAUUUUCGGUUAGAGAUCAGUGCCGGUUUCUCAAUUUUUUUUUUUUUUUUUACAACAAAUAAUCAGACAAAGUUACCAAAUUUAGGUGCCAGCAGUUAUCUGUUAAAGUUUUGUGCGCAUUCUCAAGGGAAGCCGGUAUUUAACAAAUGUGUGAAGCGAAGCAAAGGGAAUUAAGGCCAAUUCUUCCACACUCAAAGUAAAAACAUUUUUCUUCACAGUAAAAAUCAUUUCAUUAGGAGAGGGAAAUGAGAGGUUUGAGUAAAAAUAUGCCACCGACUGAGGAUCAAAUGAUUCGUUCAGAUAACAAAGUUUGGUCAGUUUAAUAUCAUCAUAAUAUUUUUGAGAUAAACAGCAUAUGGUUUUCAAAAUAAUGGAAAUUAACUAUCCUGCGAAGUAUGACUCGUCUAGCCAGUCGUAAAUCAUAGAAUUCACUGUGUUUCGACGACAGAAAGAAGUGAGAUUUGAGAGAUUGUACUUUGCAAACACCGAUGGAGGAUGAAAGUUGUCGUCCUUUCAUCGUCUUUCUUACCCUCCAGACGACUUUCCGAUUCUGGUUCCACUAGUUCUUGUGGACCAUUUGAUGGUUCUUCAGCAAUCUUUUCUUUGCCUUUUUGAGAAGUAUAUGCCCUCUCUGGUUGACUCUGCACAGAAGCUUCUAGUUAAGGAGUAGGGUUUGAGUAAUUUUCAAUUUCGCUCAUAAGAAACUGAGCAGAUGUCGUUGACUAGACUCAAAAUAUCCUCCGCAUCUUUCUCCUUGAGUGCAUUCAGCAUGUUUCUUACUACGCUGGCGUGGUCAAACCUUGGUGAGUGAAUAGUUGGAGGUGUUUCUGAAGCAGGUACAGAAACCGGUCCAGAAGAUGGUCCUGGAAUUGGAGUUUUGGGUAAAGAAGUAAGGAGGUUUUUUUGGCUUAAAGGGGAGUGUUCCUCGAAUGUCUAACGAGAGGCGUCUCUUCACUCUCGUGUUCCAGUGAUAUCGAUGCUCCUCGUCCCCUUGGAGCAGAAGAGAACACUGCCGUUCUUCUCUGUGAUCUUCUCAGCCCAAUAUAUCUCUUAGAAACAGUGUUUGCAACGUUGGGUGCCAUUAGAGAGGAUGAUUAUUCGCAAACAGAGUGAGGUUGAAGAAGAUUUCUGGGAUAUAUUAGAAGGAUCGUGAACGAGGGUUUUGUGAACGAAAAUUUGGCAACGCUUCAAGUGUAGAAAGAAGUGAUUUUGACAGUUCCGAAAAAGGUUUGAAUUCAGAAAAAAGUAUGUUUGUCGAAUCUCUAACAGGCUACUAUAGAUGGAAGCGAGAAGAGGGGAUAGAAUCUCACUUUGUCAUUUGUAGAUGUAAUUUCACUAAAUGACAACAACGGUAGUUCUAGAUCCGUCCCAUUAAGAUUGCAACUUAAGUAUAGGGCCCCUUUGUUAAGCUUCAAUUGAAACUCAUUCAUAGGCAACGGCUAUGCGUAUUUAUUAUGAUUGCUCGGUCUUAAUGUACAACAACCGUCAUAAGGUCAUGUCAAAAGCCAAUUUUCUAUUUGUAGGCGUUGGAGGACAACUAUAAAUGGAUAGCGAGUUUGGUGCGGUCUAGUUAGACCUGUGCCUACAAAUCCAAGCCACCCUAACCAAACUUAUAUUGAUUUUGCAUUAGCGACGCCCUGUCAAUUAGGGUGACUGAAUUCGGGGGGAAUUAUUUCUGCCAUAUCUAGGGGGUGUGUCUCCCUCUACACAGGAUUUUGUGAUCUUUGCGAUCGAUAGCAAGAUUGAUAAAAAUCUGCCUUUAUGGAUGAUAAAAGACAAAUAAUCAUCUAAUAGAAUUUGACAUUGACAUGGCUUUAAGUGAAAUAGUAAUGAUAUCAUUUUGUCUAGAAAAUCAUCUAAUACAACCUUGCCAAAAAGUAAAUGUGGCAUGCGGGUGUAAAUUAAGGGUUUUGAUGUCACAAGAAACGGUUUAGAGUAAAUAUGUUAUGGUUUGGAAUUUUUUUAUGUCACAAGAAAAAUUCGGUCUAGAUAUGUCAUUGUGGAUAUAUUUUGGGAUUUCUUGUGACUUUCUUCAAUUUAAAAUUAAUAGUUAUUAUAUAUAUAAAGGGGUUAGGAUUGGAGUACUAUAUGAGAGAACAAAGAAGUAUAAGAGAUUAACAAAUUUAUAAGAACAAGGAAUGUAUGAAGGAUGUAUAAAAACUUAAAUAAAAUCGCGAGAAUUAAAAAUAAUGUAAAGACCAAAGGCAAUAUAUAAAAUAUAAAGUAACAAUAUGCAUAAACAAAAACUAACCAUGAAGGUGGUCUGAACUUGUAUUAAAUAAACUGAAAAUUACAUGUAUUGAAAAAUACAGAAACUAAAGCAUCAAGUCAUCCACUAGGGCGGUAAUCCGUACUCCAGGGAGUAUUGAUGUUUGUAUUACAAGAAAUGGUUAACCAGCUAUCAUAUAAGUUGGUAACCCUACAUAAAACUAUGUAUUUGAAAAAUUAACUUACUUUGAAACCAGGGGUACAAGGUAAGAAAGCUUGAGGCUUGAAAGGAUGAGGGUUUGCAAGAGGGUGAGGAGGAAGAAGAGAGAAGAGAGGUCUGAAAAUUUCGAGCCCCCUUCUUCUAUGCCAAGAGGGUGUAUUUAUAGGAGGUGCUAUAGUGAAAGUACUACAGUGCUAAACAGUGUGAAAUGAACAGUACUGAGUGAACAGUUUAAAGUGAAUAGUGAACAUUGUGUGAACAGUGUAUGCUUAUCAUGCUACAGUGUAUAGCCUUUGCGCCGUUGUAACAGUGUUAGCAUGUGAUGUCUUGAGUUUAAUCUCUAUCUAGGUUGAUCCCGUAGCAGUCGUCUUCAUUGGUGUUUUCACUGUGAUGUGAUUGUGAGGAUCUGUCUGUAUUGUCUUGAAAUUUGGAAGAUCCACAUUGUGAUCCUUCAGCUUCGAAGAGCAUUGUUCUGAGGAUGUUGUAGUAUUCCUCAUUGCUUUGGAUUGCAGCCAGUGCUGCAAUUGCAAUGGAUUUUUCUUGUAAAAAAGAUGUAUUUAGUGGGACUGUGGUUAUUUAAUUUUUCUGGCUAUUUAGCCAUGUCCUAACCGCAACUUCGGAUCAUUGUUCAUGAAAUUUGAAUCCGUCCCACCAUUUUGUUUUGUAUUUUUGGACAAGUACUGGUACACUCGGUUUAGUGGAUGUAUUGUAUUCGAAUUCCCAUGCGGUUACCCAGGAGAUUCUGAAUAUUAUAAAGAAAUGCAUAAGGCAUUGGAACCUUAUAUCAUGCGGUGUUGGUACGAAGUAUUCACUGAAAACCUUGUAUCCUUGUUUGACUGUGGGGUGUAGUAUUAUGUCCAAAGGACCAAAGAGAUCCCACCAAGAGUUAAACCAGUUGGGUAGGCUUUGUCUUGGGAAGUUGUCUUUAAAAAAUAAUAACCAGGUGUAUUGGAAAUUUGUAUUUUGUUUGAAGAAGACAUUCCACCAAGCUUGUUGGUAGUCCCAGUAUGUAUAUGAGGAGGAGUAUGGUAGGCUUUGGGUAAGUUUGGUUUGGAAUUUUUUGGGUGUAUGGGGUGAAGCUCCCCAGGGUGAGGGGUGAAGCUCCCCAGGGUGAGGGGUGUAUGACUUUACUGAUGGAUAUAGUGGAGUAUAGGAUAUUUUCUGUAUUGUUUUUGUCAGCAAAGUGAGUGAACCUUGCCGAUUCUGUUUCUACUAGAAUUUGCUCAUAAUAAGCAAGGGUUUUGUUUGUAUUGUGUGGUUUGAAGAGCCAAUUUUUUGGAAAUAUGUUUUUUGCAAAUUUGAUUGGAUCUUCAUCGAAGAAUCCAUCUUCCAAAGUCAAAAUUUUUUGAAAAGAUAUUUUGGGGAAAAAUUUUGAUUUAUGAGAAUGAGGGGUUGCCUAUGGCCUAAUGACCAUCUUAUUCGAAAUUAUUUUGUAUUCCGCUUGUUUUUGUGUAGCAAGCGGGGAAUGAUUGUUUCUUACCUCGAUGACACUAGAUGGCUCUUUCUUUACUGUUUUUUGUAAAACCUGUGCAAGUAACAAUAUUGUUUCUUUUGGUAGUAUGUCAGCUAGCUUAUUAAAGGCUAGCAUGAGUUCAGAUGAUAUGGGUUCUAUUUUCAAAAGUGUUUGGUGUUGUUGUAAGAAUGACUGAUUGUUUUCUGCCAUUUGGAGCCAUGUCUUGAUGGGUGUUAAGCAUGUUGGCUUUGGUGGUGUAUUGGAGGGUUCAGCAAUGGCUUUACCUUUAUCUUUGUCCUUUUUGGAUCUUGGCAUAUUGGUAUCCCCUGUAAAAAUUCUCUUGUGAGAAAAUCAGGUAAUGAAUUUGAAGAACCAUUUAUAAAUUCAAUGUCAAAAUCAAAUAUUGAAAAUGUGGCUUGUCAUCCGGCCAAAAUUUGUUUUGAUGCAAUGUUUAAUACAUCCUUUUGUAAAAUGUCUUUGGCUGAUUUGCAAUCAAUUCUUAAGAGAAAUUUUUGAUUUAGUAAAUCUCCUUGGAAUUUUGAUAUAGAUAAAACUAUAGCAAGUAUUUCCUUCUUGAUUGUUGAAUAAUUUUGCUGAGUGGAAUUCCAAUAUUUUGAUAUAAAAUGAACAACUUGUUCUUUGUUGUUUUUAACCUGUUUAAGAAUACCACCAUAUCCUAAUUCUGAAGCAUCAGUCUCAACUAUUUUGAAAGUAGAAGGAUCAGCAAGAUGUAAGCAUGGUAUAUCUUUCACAUGAAUUAUUAUUUGUUUGAUAAUGUUAGUAUGGACAGAGGUCCAUGGUGGAGGAUCCUUUUGUAACCGUUGGUGCAAGGGUUUACAAAAGAUAUUUAUAUUAGGGAAGAAAUCUAAAAUAUAAUUGAGACUACCCAAGAAUCUUUGUAGUUGAGUUUUGUCUUUAAUCUCAUCAUGGAAUUUAUCAGUAAAAGAUAUUGAUCCUUCUAUGGGAGUGAUGGUGCCUAAAUGAAUGUAAUGACCUAAGAAUCUAAUCUUGGUUUUGAAGAGUGCACUUUUAGUAGGAGAGACUACAUGACCGUUUUGUAUGAUUAUUUUUAUGAAAGUAGAUAAAUGUUUGAAAUGUUGUUCUAUAUUGGAAGAGAAUAUUAGAACAUCAUCUAUAUAAACUCUGAUGUAUUUUGAAUAAGGAUUAAAUUUCGUUCAUAAUUCUUUGGAAUUCUAAAUGGGCAUUUUUGAGGCCAAAUGGCAUAAUAUUCCAUUCGUAUUGGCCAAAAGGGACUGUAAAGGCUGUUUUGUAUUUAUUUUUUUUACUGGCCUGUAUUUGCCAAAAUCCUAACUUCAUGUCAAAUUUUGAAAAUAUUUUUGAUCUACAAAGUCUGUUUAGCAAAUCUUUUUUAUUGGGUAUAGGAUAUUUUAUCCAUCUAAGGGCUGUAUUAAGAGGUUUAUAAUUAAUAACUAACUUGGGAACUCCUCUUUCUAGUUCAGCAUUUUUAUUGACAUAAAAAAACAGAGCAACUCCAUGGUGAUUGGCUUUUUCUUAUGAUUUUUUUUAUUUAAGAGGUCUUGUAUUUUUGUUUGGCAAAAUUUUAGAACUUCUUGGUUCAUUUGAGUAGGACAAGCUUUUGUGGGUAUUUUGUUUUCAGAAAAAUCAUGUUCGUAGGGUAAAUCAACAAUAUGCUUCUUUCUUUCCAAAAAACCAUUGGGUAAGGUAGAGCAUAUGGUUUUUUUUUUUUUUUUUGUAAGGAAGCUAUUUUUUCUAUAACAUUUGGCUUUAUAAGGUUUUCUUUUAUUCUUUUGAAUUCUAAAUCUUCUUUUAAGAAUUUAAGCUGGUUUUCUUUGUCUUUUAUAAGGCAAUUUAUUUUAGAAAUAGAAUGUUCUUGUAAAAUAUUUAGACUUCUCUUUUGUGGUUUUGUUAUGAAGUUGAAAGUGAUUUUUCUGUUUAAAGCAUAAGUUUCAAUGCCUUCAUUAGUAACCGUAAAAGAUUGGAUUAAUUGCAUGAAAAGUGUUCCAAGGAUUACCUAUUGCCUCAUAUUUUUUACUAAAAGAAAAUAUAUUUUGUAGGACAUUUGAUCUUUUAUUAUUAAGGCUUAUGGUAAUUUGUAUUGUAUAUUUAGUUUGUCUCCUAAGGCUGAUUUUAAGGAUUCUGAUGUUUUAUCAAAGUAUCUUGUAGGAACCAAGCCUUCUUUGAUACAAUUGAGAUCAGUUCAUGUAUUAAAGAGUGCCGUUGUUUGGAUAAUAAACUCAUUGUUGAUUUUUAUCAUAAUAUUUAUUAUCCAUUUUCUAGAUGUCAUUUAUGUUAAUAACAUAAGAAAGGCUAGGUCCGAAGUGUCAGAAGUAUUGGUGAUUUCAUUUUGGUCUUCUGAUUUUGUCUUUCCUUUUAUGACAAGGGAUUUUAUAGAAGAAAUUUCUUGUUUCAUUUCUAACUGUGUUGUUUUCGAGACUUGUAUUUCUAAUUUUUGUUGUUUUAUUUCAUUUUGAAGGUCAUUAAUAUUUAUGUGUCUAGACUGGGGUUUUUUUGUUUCUAUUUAAAAUGUCUUUUAGAUUGUAAGAAGUAUUAGGAUUAGAAACAAUGUUCAUCGAGGAAUGAAGUCUAUCUAAGUAUUCUUUUUUGGCUUCAGGGUCAGUUAUUUUGUCGGCUGUGCUAAGGAGAAAUUCUUCUUCUUUUGUUAACAUAUUUAUUUCAGGAAUAGGUUUGUCAGGAGAGGCAUCUUCAUAAUCAGAAUCGGAAGAGGUUUCUAUUUCAUUAAUCUGAAGACCUUCUUCCUCAAGAAGUUCAUCAAAUGAAGUAUCACCAUUUUCUAUGAGGAUGUUGUUUAGCUGGUAAAGAGGAUUGUCAUUUAAAGAAAGUUCAUUCAAUUUCUUGUUAAUCCUAUAAUAUUUUGAAAUAUGACAUUUUCUACCACAAGAAUAGCAUUUGAUGUCUCUAAAAAUUUUCUUAUCCUUCUGAGGAUUAUUCUGGUUAAUAUGGUGUCUACGUUUAUUCCUAUGAGGUUGAGGUUUGUUGCGAUGUCUCUUUGUUUCCUUUUCAGAAGGACAAGUCCCUUUACAUUUUGGCUUUGUUUUUUCAUUAUAAGAGGGGUCGUACUAGGCACAGAAAUCUCCUAGGCUUCUAUUGGUGAGAGAUUAUUCUUCCUUGAGUUGUCUUUGUAAUUUGAUAGUAUUACAUAUUUGUGUUCCUUGUCUAUAAACGUAGGAGACUAUUUCUCCGUAUAAAAGAAGAUCAUAAGGAAUUUGGCCACUGUAUUCUUCUCUAAUUUUAUUUCUAACUUGGUCACCUAUAAUUUGGGGUAAACCUGCUAAGAAUUUUUCUUUCCAAAAAGAUUGAUUGCAGUCAGGUCUUAUAAGAACCCUUUGAAGGAAGAGUUCUUUGUAUUCUUUAAAUCUCCCUAAGGAUUUACAGCGCAUAUUGGAUAAGAGAUCUUGGUUCCUAUCUCUAAUAUGUGAAGGGUCUCCUAUGAAGUGUUGUGGAAUGGAAUAGAUAAGAGUAUUGACCACAUCUUGGAUGAGAUGUCCUUGAUCAUCAUCCAUGCGUUGGCCAAAGUCAUCGAUUUUAUAGGCAGUUAAAAUUUGUAUUCUUUGUUCAUCGGUCAAAUAAUUAUCCCACCAACCUUUUAGUUGUCCAGUAAAUCCGGCUACUAAAAGAUUAGCAACAACAUGGUCAAAAAUAUAUUGCUAUGUUUUGUAGGCAUUAGCAAGCAUUACCAUGUUGUUUAGUAUGUUCAUAAUAUUGGCUUCAACUACACCAUCAAUAUUCCAUUCAUAAAUGGCAUCAGGAGAGUAUUUAUUAUGUAUUUUUUGUGAUGAUUCUUCUUAGGCAAUGUUUGGUGGGGGUGGCUCUACUAUAAUAAAGUUUUUGAGGUUAUCUCCAAUUGAGUCUGUUUACCUCAGCGGUCGAUUCACUAUCAAAGUCAUCAGAGGGUUUAGUCAAGCUACUAAUAGUGGGUUGUUCUAGAGUAUCAUUAAUAAUAAGUCCUUGGAAUUUAGGAGUGUCUAAUAUAGGUGUAGGUUCUAGCUUUGGUUUCCCUAAAAGCUUUUUCUUUUGUUCUAUGGCCUUAACAAACUCUGAACUAAGGUUUUUUUGGAAAUUCAAAGGCUUUGAAAAUGGGUUUUUUUUUUUUAGUGUAUCAACUUGUGGUAUGAUGAGUUGAGUAGGAUUCUGGAUGGUGGAUUCUAUCCUAUUUAACUGUUUUCCUAUGGUAACUAAAUGUUGAUUAGUAUAAUUGUUUUGUUCAAUAACUUUGUGAGUAUAAAGAGAGUCUCCUUUGUCUGGAAGCCUAAAAGGUGUAGCGGUAACCUCACUAUCUCCAUGUUGUAUUUUUAUUCUCCUAAGGGGAGGAUGAAUGGAUUCUAUGGUUUCCCCAUUAUCAAGUUUCCACUUAUAAUGAUGAUCUAAAACAAUUAUUUCUUUUGGUUCGAGGAAUUGUUCUUCUAACCAAUCAAAGAAAAAUAUAUGGACUUCAUAUCCAUACUAAAUAUAUCCACGAAAACUCCAAACUAAAUAUAUUUGUGAUAAAUUUACUAAAUACUAAUUCUUUUAGCACAAAAAAAUCUCAAACUAGCACACCCAUGACAAAGUUACCCUAAGCUAAUUAUUUGAUCAUAAAAAAUCCCAAACUAGUACAUUUAUGACAAAUUUACCCAAUUUUAGUUUUCAUUUAAUUGAAUUAAUAUCAUAAAAAAUCACAAAUCAGUACAUUUAUGAUAACGAAGGUUAAAACUCCAAACUGGUAUAUCUGUCAACUGUUACGUGUCAUCUAACAUAGCAAUUUGUGGAUAAAAUUUAACAGAAAUUAAUAAAGAGUAAAUUUGUCAUGAGUACACAAGUUUUAGUUUUUUGUGGUCAAAAAAUUAGUUUAGAGUAAAUUUAUCACAUAUGUAUCGGUUUUGGGUUUUUCAUGACAUUAACCCAAAUCAUUUUGAUGGCAGACAUAACGAUAUGCCAACUAACAAACAAAAUUUAUAACAUGAAUUGAAUCAAUUUAAUGGUCUUCACAAAAUUGUGGUACAAUACUAGAAACAGUUUUUGAGUGAUAAUUGUUUUUUUUUUUUUUGGUAAAGUUUUUGAGUGAUAAUUGUUUGUAAGUUCUAAACCUAUUUAAUGGCCAAUAUUGUUAUAAACUUUUAGUUUUAUCAAUUUAGCUCUAAAUAUUUUGACAAUUUUUCAAUGUAGUCUAUAUGUCUAAUUUUUGCCGGCAAUGGUUAAUGUGACCCUCUAGUUAGUACUAGCCAUCUUACAUUGUAGCGCUAACAUGGAAGAUUUUUACAAAUUUUUUAAAUUUUUGAUUUUUCUAUUCUUUUCUUUUCUUUAUUUUUCCAUUGUCCAUCUUCCUGAUAGGGCUAAUGCCGAUGGGACCUUGAAGAUGGCCGAUGCAAAAUUGAAAAAAUAAAAUAAAAAGAUCAGACAUUUAAAAAAAAAAUCACAAACAUAGGACAAUUAACGUCCACCAUAGCGAUUUCCGACCCAUAUUGACCCGGAGGAUUAUAUUAAAGAAGUCAUCAAAGGUUUAUGACUACUUUAGUCAAACUAAAAAAUUUAAUAUUGAAAUAGCAUUGUACAAUAGGUUCGAGAGUCUUUAGAUAAUUUUGCCUUAUUUUUCAAAAGAUAAAAAGGGGAUAAGUGCAUUAGAAGUUCUAAAACUUAUCAUGAAAGUACGAUUAAGUUUUAAAACUUUCAAAAAGUGCAAUUAAGUCAUAAAACUUGUCAUCAAAAUGCAAUUAAGUCUUAAAACUUAUUACGAAAGUACAAUCGUGUCCUAAAACUUUCAAAAUGAGUUAAUGGAAUGACUUGAAUGAAAUAAUUAUACAGUUUUAUGACUCAAUUGCACUUUUGAAUUGAGGACUCAAUUGGACUUUUGUGACAAAUUUCAGGACUUGAUUGCAUUUUUUUAAAGUUUUAGAAAUCAAUUAUACUUUUGUGCCAAGUUUUAGAACUUUCAAUACACUUAUCCAGAUGAAAAAGUAAAAACUUAUAGAAUUUUUAUGAUAUUUGGCCAUCAAACUAUUUCUCUUUUGUCUACUAAUGCUGAUUUCCUUUUAUUAGGAGACAAUAGGUUUUUUCAACUCAUUUUAGAAAAAAAAAAAGGAUUUAGUCAAAAGAUGCAAAAAAUUUUAGGAAUUGAUUUUACUUUUUGACAAGUUUCGGGACUUAAUUGCACUUCUUAAAAUUUUUAGGACUCAAUUAUACUUUUAUGACAAGUUUUAGGACUUUCAGUGCACUUAUUUGGAUAAAGAAAGUCAAAAGUUAUAGGAUUUUCAUGAUAUUUGGCCAUCAAACUAUUUCUCUUUUGUCUACUAAUGCUGAUUUCCUUUUAUUAGCAGACAACAGGAUUUAUCGACUCAUUUUAGAAAAAAAGAUUUAGUCGAAAGAUGCAUAGAGAUUUCUAAUCUCGAUGAUAUUUGAAUGCAUGGGUGGGAUCCUUCGAGAAAUUCUGAACAAAUCCUAAGCACGAGAUUCUUUUUUAUGCAAAUCAAUAAUCGCAUUUCCAAGGCUAUAGACUUUUUUCCAUGACUGGUGCUUAACAACACCACCAUCUAUAUAAAGCGGGGUUAGCAUACUAAGAGACUCGCUACAACUUUCGCAAUGGCUCUUCCUGCUCUGUUCACAAGUUUCGUCCCUUCCUCAAUCAGCCAUAACCAACCCUCUCUCUUGUCCUUCAGACACCCUCGCUGCUCCUCCUCCUCCUUCUCCUCAGGCGCUAAAUCGGUGACAUGCGCCGUGACGAUCGAGAAUCCAAAGAUCGUGAGACGGUUGGCAAAUUGGAAACCUAAUGUGUGGGACUACGAGUUUCUUCAGUCACUCGGAGUUGAUUACAUGGUAAUGAUCCUUUUUGGUUUGGCACAAUACCCAGCCUGGCUAUGUUCUAUGGAAAAUGUUCACAUCUCGGUCCUGAACUUUGUAUUCCUUUUUUUCAUUGUCCCUUGAACUUGUGGGAAUUCCCUAUCCAAUUUCUUGGUCUAUGGUUCUGGCAAAUUGAAGCUCAUGCGCGUGUCAAUGCUAGCGGAAAGUAUGAUGCAGAAAACUCGGUACAAGUUUUAAGUUCAAGGAUCAUGUUGAGAAGGGGAAUAAAAAAACAACACAAGUUGAGGAUCGUAUUAUGCUUUUCCCUACUUUCUUUUUACUUUGAUGAGAUAGAGUCCACAACACCCAAAAUGGCAUAGAAACAAAAACGAAACUGUAUUCUGAAUUAGAUAUAAGGAUGUAUACUACUGAGUACUUUUGUAUACGACCAACCACUGCCACUCUAUCAAAUACGACCAACAUAACAAUAUUCCAUAGAGAUACCAAUAAACUUGAUCAAAAUGGCAUAUUCUCAACAAUGCUUACUCUGCUUAUGUAUUACUUUUGAUUAAGAUCUCAUUUUUCUGAAUGUUUUACGUGCCUAGGAGGAUAAAUAUGCCGAGCAAGUCCAAAGGUUGAAGGAAGAAAUCAGGGGUCUAUUCAACAGGGAGAUGAACCGGGUGGCCAAGCUCGAGUUCAUUGAUGCGGUUCAAAGACUCGGACUAGGAUACCGUUUUGAGACGGAGAUAAAAAAUGCUCUCAGUUCCAUCUAUGACAACACCGGAUAUGCUCAGCUUUUGAACGAUCUCCAUGCAGUUUCCCUUGGAUUCCGGUUACUCAAGACAACAUGGAUACAAAAUACCGCAAGGUAUUCGCCAUAUGGUUACCCUUUUGUAAAUCAUGUUGAUGCAUCAAAAGUUACCUUACCGUUCCUUUUUUUGGACAUAUAGAUGUGUUUCAACAAUUUAUGAACAAGACCGGCACGUUCAAUGAAUCACUCAAUAAGGAUGUGAGGGGGCUUCUUGGUCUUUAUGAAGCUUCUUUUCAUGGAUUGGAAGGUGAAACCAUACUUGAUGAAGCGAGGAACUUUGCUUCUAAGCAUCUAAAGGAUCUAAACAUCGACAAAGUUCCCGCUAUGUUAGCGAGCUACGUGAGUCAUACAUUAGAUAUGCCGAUCCACUGGAGGCCAAAUAGGUUGGAGGCUCGGUGGUUCAUGGACAUGUACGAGACACAACAAGACAUGAUCCCUUCCUUGCUGCGAUUGGCUAAAUUAGACUUCAAUCUAGUGCAAUCAGUCCACAAGAAAGAAGUUAGCAAUAUGGCAAGGUAUACGCAAGCACUCUAGAUAUAAUUACAUGCAAACACCAAACCUGUAGGAGCACAUUUAGAUCGACUUAGUUGUUGCAUGGUAAAUUUCUCAAGUGGUGGGUUGAACUUGGCACGAACAAGAUGACCUUCUUCAGAGACAGAUUGGUGGAACACUAUUUUUGGUGUUGCGCCAUGGUCGAUGAACCUCAAUAUACAGCUUACAGGGAAAUGACGACGAAGCUCACUUGUAUGG
Molecule: long non-coding RNA, 195715 nt
Filed under: Eucalyptus grandis
Lineage: Eukaryota; Viridiplantae; Streptophyta; Magnoliopsida; Myrtales; Myrtaceae
Description: long non-coding RNA (EGRA_LNC000159)
Rfam family: Plant small nucleolar RNA R71 (bases 74379-74485)
Source: RNAcentral